GCAACUCCCAUCACACUCCUCAAAAAAACUCCCACCUUCUCCGUCAAAUGCAUGUCACAAACACCUCAAAGCGGUGAACCGGAGAUUUCAAAACCAGCAACCACCCCAACACCACCAAAGAUCAACAUUCCUCCUCCUCCGCCACCUGCUCCAAAGGUCAGCACGAAGUUCUCUGACGUGUUGGCGUUUAGUGGACCUGCACCGGAGAGGAUCAACGGAAGGUUAGCCAUGAUAGGGUUUGUGUCGGCGAUGGCUGUGGAACUGAGCAGCGGUCAAGACGUGUUCACCCAGAUCGGCAACGGCGGUGUUGCGGUAUUUGUCGGGACAAGUGUGGUGUUGACGUUAGCGUCGUUGGUGCCGUUGUUUAAAGGAGUGAGUGUGCAGUCGAAGUCGAGUGGACUGAUGACAUCAGAUGCAGAGCUUUGGAAUGGGCGGGUUGCGAUGUUGGGUCUGGUGGCUUUGGCUUUUACUGAAUAUGUUAAAGGCAGUGCCCUUGUCUAGAUAAUGUAUCAUAGACUUUUCUAUUACAGAAUUACAUCUAAGAUAGGCAAAUGUAUAUUCUUUUGAAUAUUUAUGUGUAUCGAUUUACCAUACAUAGUUCAAAUCAUGAAAAUCAAUUAAUCAUGUUUUUUUGAUAAUAUAGUAUAAAACAAAUAUGAUCAAUCAAAUUGAACGAUUGUGGUAUCUUUCAAUAUAAAAUUCUUUUUAUAAAAUUAAACAAACAACAUACUAAGAUAAAUUUUAGAGGCAUGAACCUAGAUUAGCAAUAUAAGAGUCAAAGUCUACAAAGAUAUUGAAAUCCUAGUUUCACAACUUCCUCUUUGAAUGUUGAACUGAGGUGAUCUUCAUUAAUUCAGACCAAAUAUGUGCAUAAGUCCAGCCUAGUCAAUUAGCCAAUUUAAGAUGACAAGUAUCCAAAAUUCAAAUACAUUACAUACCUCAAUUUCAAACAAAACUGAAAAAUAUAAUGACUAAUGCUCACAAAAUGAUCACUUUCGGGGAGUGGUCACAGUUAAACUACCGGAAAAGCGCUGCAAACUCAACGUUACAUCUGCUCCAUCACCAAUUCCCUAAACAUUGGAAAUAGUUACCACUCUAUAUCAUUUAUAUUUAUAUUUUAUUUAUUUUUUAAAAUUAGAUUAAAUAAAAAACAUAAUUAUAAACUUAAGUAAUCAUUUUACUAAUUAAAAAAUCAACUAAACAUAUUAUUAAUUUUUAAAAUUAUUAAACAUAUCUAGUUAUAUAUAGUUGAGGGUUUAACUUAAUUCAAAGAAAAAUAAAAGGGUAUAAUAAGAUUAAAAGACACAAUUUUAGAGACCAAAUUUGUAACUUCAAUUAAAGCAAAUUUGAAUCGUCUUCUUCACCUGUCUUCUUCAACCUUUUUCUGAAAAACGGGUCAUUGCUCAAUACCAUUUUUUUUUCUUUUACUUUGAUGGAUACAAAAGAAAAGGAAAAAAGGGUUAAAUACGUGACCUUUGUUGUUGCUACUUUCUUAUUCGUUGUCUUCAUCCGUCUUUGCACCCACGUUACACCCAAACCACUGGCCUUAGGGGCGGUGUGGACAUAUCCUUAGGCCGGACACAUCAGCAAGAUGCGUGGGUUAGUCCUCCCACUCCGGUUAGCCUUAAACACUUAUUAAAAGCUAGUGGACGUCUUUGCACCCACGUUACACUCAAACCACCGGCCUUAGGGGCGGUGUGGACGUAUCCUUAGGCCGAACACAUCAGCAAGAUGCGUGGGUUAGUCCUCCCACUCCAGUUAGCCUUAAACACUUAUUAAAAGCUAGUUUAUUUCUUGUUAGUUUGAAAUCUAAUGUUAUCAUCAAAUCUAUACAAGAUUGAGAUUGAUAUCAGAGUAACAAUCUCCAAAAGAAAAAUAUUUUACUCAAAAGAAUAUAUAUAUAUAUAUAUAAUGAAUUAUAUCCUAAGAAGUACUAUGCAUGAGUAUAAGAUUACUAUUAUCUUGGGAUCUAUUAAUUGGUAACUAAGCAUACUUCCAAGUUACUAUAUGAAAUUUAGUUAAGGAUUAAUGUCAAGUUGGGUGCAUGCACCUCACUCAAAGGCCUUGUAUUUUUAUCGGUCCCAAGUGACAUCUUACAAGGGCCGUUUUGGAGUUUUUUCUUUCCCCAAUGUAUUAACAUUUAUUUUUUUUUGAUAUUUUUGAACUUUUUAUUUUCUUAGAAAAGUAUACAAAAUAAAAUAUAUACAAGUUUACUUGAAGAUAUGAGUGUUUAUCAGGUUAUUCUCUUGAACUAUCUAUUCUUAGAUAUGAAUAAAUGUGUUUGUCUUUAUCAUUUUUCCCCUUUGUCAAUUCUUGACUAAUAAGGUAAUAGUCGUUCUUGGUGAGGGAUUCACCUCUCUAUUGAUUCUUCAUUCUAAUUAAAUGUUUGGAUUCAACAAUGUCCGAUUGAGUAGUUCUUUAAAACCGCAUUCUACCAUUUGCAUCUUUAUAUUAAUCCCAUGAAUUGGGGAUUCCAUAAACUGAAACUCUUGGAGCUCAAUAGUGUAGUUGAAAAACAUUUGUCGAGCCUACCACUUCCAUGAAAUAGGAGAAUUUUUUCAAUAAACUAAGUAGUUCCUUCUUUAUGGAUCAUCUUUUCGUUACUCGACCCCUGCUUACAUGCGAUUCCUACUAGAAAAUAGAAUUGCAGACUAACUGCAGCUGCAGACAACCCUUCGUUUGGCCAGAAGGGGUUUGAUAUUCCUUGGAGAAAAAUCUCAUCCUGAAAAUAACAAUAUCCAUGAACACAAUGGCUACGAAAUACUGAUUUUCUUAACCGACGAACCGAAAUGUUACAGCCAUAAUGCUGAAACCUCAUUACUUGCCCGCCCUUUAAACAGGUAGAACCAUCCCUGAGCAUAGAAACAUAAACUAAAUCCUGAACCCUCCAGCUGAGGUCUUUGAUAUCCAAUUUUCUUGAUCCACAUCUUUCUGAGUAUAGAUGUUGCACUAAUACACUCGCGAUUCCCAAUGCGAGCUUUCACCAAAAACCCACUCGAAUAUGGCCACUCAUAUUCUUCUCGAAGACCCUUCCCUACAUCUAAUGAGCGUCCAAUUAUGAAUCUGCCCGCAAUUCCUGACUGGAGACACUAACAGAAACAUGCAUAACUGAUCCUCGAAACAUACCGACCACGAUCUUCACCCAAAACCAAACCAUAUGAUGUACCAAAACCUUAUUAACCCUUGAUCCUCUUCUAUUCCAUUACUGACCACUGCUUCGCCGAGCAAGAGAUAAAUCCAAGAAUUUCUGCUUUACAUCCAACCCCUUAUAGAAUCAGGUGUACCCCCACCUGGACAACCACUUGAGACAAUCAUAAAGAACUUUAUGACUUGCGACUUUCCAACCAAUCCCAACUUGAAAACCACAACAAUAGCAACAACUUGCGAACAACCAAAAAUAUAAUGUAUACAUCCCAUAAGGACUUUCUGAUUCCUGACAGAUACUCCCAACAACCUUUACUACUUCCUUUAUCCAACCAAUAGAUUUACGACUCGCUCGUCUCCCAUCAGUGUAUCGAUACCGAAAGCACCACAAGCAGAAUAAAUGAACAACCAUGUUCACUAGGCCCUCAAAGUAUGACUGGAAUACCCCUUAUAAUGUCCUCUGAAUAUGUUUGGAUUGCCUCUGAGCCCACAACAUGAAUCUGGAAUGCCCUCCCUGGCCUUCAGCCCAUGUCUGGAAUGCUCUCGAUAUCACAACGACCUUGACGCCAUCGCAUCGCUCGCCCAUCACUCCAGGCCCACAGAUACUCACCUCAUUCCAUUCCCUUGAAGGGACUUAAUCAAUUCCCUCACCACGCCAAUUGUGCAUCACAAAGAUGCCACCAAAGCAAACCUUACAAAACAUGGACGUACGCGACCCGUGAAUAGGAAAAUAGAUGCACCAUUGGCCCGAUUCGAAGGCUAAAAUCCAAAAGAACCAUGCACAUGAUUCGAACCAAGUGCUCCAAUGCUAUCUUUACCAGAUUACAUGAACUACCCCCAUACACAUACUUAAGAAACCUAGAAUAUCAUCCAGAGAGAGAAGGAAUGUCAGAUAUAAUCUAAAAAUACCUCAAUUAAUAACAUAAAACAUCCCCAUGAUCAGUUGAAACAAGAUCCCAUACUUGAUUGAGACUGAACGGAUUCCAUCGCUACACAACUAGGUUGAGAAGACUUCCGCGGAUAUCGAAGGUUGCCUAAACCUGAGUCUGCUAUUAACCAAGUUCCCACUCCACCAUUGAGGGUAAACACACUCGAAGGACCAAAGAACAUAGAUCAUACCGAACUUGAUGACAGAUUGGCCCGACCACUGCAUCUCGGCUGACACAAUUAAACUUCCGAGUGAACUUUUAUUGAAUGAUGAACCCCAAAAUUAGUGGUCGAGGACACAUUGACACUUAAUCCAGAGAAUCAAGACCCACAUGGAACUGAACAUACCCGCUUCUGGAAAGAUCCACUGACUAACGUCUGCCUAACUAAUCUGAAAAUAGCAAUCCAACAACAAACUCGCAUAUCCCUCAAUGGCUAAAAAUACUCAACCUUAGAAUCCCUAUUCUCCCCCACUUUAGGCUCAAACUACCACUUACUGGCGCUAAAACCAAAUCAUAACUCAAACCAUCUUGAGCAUGUACUACCCUUCCUAACCCUGGAAGUUACGAGUCUGCUCACUGCUUCCCCGAACUCGGAAAAACUGAAAGGGCGUAACCCUAUAUCUUAUAUUCUUCAAACCUAGAGAUAUGAGUUGUUACUAUGAGUUGGUUAUACAUUUGAUUGCACGAAAACGCAUUGGUAACUCGAUGAUAUAAAACGUGCCUUUGUGUAUGAUUCAACAAGUAGUAGAACAAGCCAUAUGAGUCGAAGUUUAUCCAUUCCUUUUACCUUCAGGAUAAAAGCGAUAUCCAUGGGCCCCUCGAUGAUUUAUUAAUGAUGACACAUGUGAGUGCUUGGGCAAGCCAUGACUGAUUUGAUCUGUUCAAUCAGUCAGUCAUCAUGAAUCGGAAAUCAGGAAACAAUAAAUGGAUAGAGAUAAUGAUUUAUAAUCCAUGUCUUAGUCCAUAUGAUAUUUAGAAUGGAGGAAUAUAUGAUCCCUUAUCUAAUGGACUAGUCAUUGACAAAGGUCAAAGUUCAUCGACGAGGUCAGAGUUCAACAACGGCUUUUGAGAGUUACGAUUGCCAGUUGGUUUUUGAAGUCAUCCUCAAUAAUAGUUUUAGACUUAUCCAAGUAGGAGACUAUUGGAUUAGUGUCUAAGUCCAUACCUAUAAUUGGUAUGUACUUGACCGUACUCGUCAUUGUCCAUUUGGGUUGCAUGGCAUCGGAACAUUUGGAUAAACUGUUUGUGAGAAAAGGACAUUUGUGACAUAUUAAUAUAUUAUAAGUUCUAAUAUAUUAAUAUUAAAUCAUGUUAUUUAAUUAGUAUUGAUCAAGAAUUAAUUCAGACUUAAUUUAGUGAUCAAAAGAGACUAAUUAAAUAUAUGGGGAUUGAUUGUGUAAAUCAUUCAUUCUUAUAUAUGUGGGGUUAUGAUCCAUUAUUCCUUAUGUUGGGUUUAACCCAUGUGGUGAUCCAUGGAUACUCCAUGGAGGUUAAAACCCAUGAAGCAUAAGGAAUUCGUAAAGUCAUGGGUUACAUAGUGUAACCCUAAUGCGCACACUAUAUAAGGACCCCUUUAGCUCAAGAAACGGCACUAGUGAUACUUAUAUGAGGGCUAGCCGAUUUCAACAUAGGGUUCUUCUUCUCAUGGUUAUUCCAAGUGUUGAUGAUGUUGUGUGNNNNNNNNNNNNNNNNNNNNNNNNNNNNNNNNNNNNNNNNNNNNNNNNNNNNNNNNNNNNNNNNNNNNNNNNNNNNNNNNNNNNNNNNNNNNNNNNNNNNUUUCCAUUGCAGUCAGAGGGGCCACAAGAAGGCCCAGUGUCCGAGAUUGUAUCCAGUAGGGCAGGUGCCAGCUCCUGCCCUUGGGAUUUCGAGUACCGCCAGCAGUUGUCGAGGCCCGGCAAGGGUGCCUACGGCUCAGAGCCGAGUUUUCCGGUAGAUUUCAGCAGGGAUUCGAGCAGCACUGAGUAAUGAAGGUACGUAACUUUUGUUUUUCUGUCAGCUUAUGUCAUGAUUAUAUUGUUAUGGUUCUGCAUCAAAUUGUGGUAUAAGUGUUGUGUUAUAGUGUGGCUUGCUUGUGAUUAUGUUAUAUGCCAUUUGCAUACCUCGGAUAAUUGGUUGGUAGUUAGGGAAUGUGCUCUUAUGGAGAAGGUUUCGGAGGAUGCAGNAUGGUUGGGAGAGAUUUGGUUCGUUUCGCGAGUUCGGAGUGGUUAGUGUUGGGUUGGAUUGGUUAGAUCCCUAGCUAUGGCAGGCUUGGGCUCCUUAGCAGAAUGAUUAUGGAAUGGCAGCAAAGAUCGGGAUCUCUUUUGAGUGUGAAGCAGCAAGGGGUAAGCAGGAUCGAAGUGGGGGAGAACCCUCCGGGUAUACAUGGAUAAGAGUCUCGUAGACUCAGAAUGAGUGCGCGGCCUCUGAGAAGAAAUGGUAGUAGCACAGUGAUGGAUGGAUUGAGAAGUUCAGAAUUGGGAGUUCGAGAACUUUUCCCAGCAGUUAGUUCAUGUAAUCGAGAUGGUUAGAAGCUGGUUGGGAAUCCAGGAUUGGAGGACCACCUGUCGGACGCAUGAGAGUCGGAAUGAAGAUCCUGAGAACGGGUAACAAGAGAUGUUUUCGUAUUAGUAGCCAGUGUCUGAGGCAGCAUGCAGGUUGUGUAGAUUCAGGAGUUGGGAGGUUGGAAACUUCCCAACAAUAGCUUCUUGUAUCCGGAUUAGUAGACGGUUGGUUUGGGAACCAAGCCGAAGGAUUCCUCGACGAAGCGCUAAGUAUAUCAAGGAUAUAAGAUGUCGAGGAUGAUGCAGAAUUCAAAGUCUAAGGACUGUUUUUUUUGAGAAAUCGGGAUGAGGAAUCACUAGCAGGACUAGGGAUAGUCAGGAUGUUCUCGAGAUAGUAGUAGUGUUGUAAGUCUGCGGGGGUAGCCGUAGCAUUCACUAGCAGUCAGAUAGCAGUAGUAGUGUUGUAAGUCUGCGGGGGUAGCCGUAGCAUUCACUAGCAGUCAGAUAGCAGUAGUAGUGUUGUAAGUCUGCGGGGGUAGCCGUAGCAUUCACUAGCAGUCAGAUAGCAGUAGUAGUGUUGUAAGUCUGCGGGGGUAGCCGUAGCAUUCACUAGCAGUCAGAUGGUAGUAGUAGUGGUGUUGUAAGUCUGCGGGGGUAGCCGUAGCAUCCACUAGCAGCCAGAUAGUAUUAGAGAGUUGUAAGUCCGCGAGCGUAGUCGCAGCCUUUUAUCAGAUUGGUAAGUAGCAUGAGCGCGUGUUAGACGCGGGAAAGCAGUUGUACCCACCAGUUCGGGUGUAGCAGUGAGGAUAUGGGAAUCCACGGGUUAGAUUUCGGAUUUCCCAAAGGGAUCAGUUACGGCUAAGUUAGCAAUUUGGGCUUUGGAUCGUCACAUCAGUUAUGAGAUCAGAGUAGCAGUGGACCGUUAGGGUUCAGGUAUGUUGCGGACUACAGUCAGUCUGGGAACCAUCAUGUUGUUAGUCGUGGAAUUGAUGAUGUCAGGAUGUGACGUAUGGACCCGAUCGGUUGGAUCGGAAAGUUGCUAGAGCCUCAGUGACAGGAUAACUAGUGGAAACUAGUCCUAGAGGAAAAUUUCGUUCAGAAGUCGUGGAAGCGACUAAGUGAGGAGUCCCUUGACUCCACAGUUGGGUUGGAGUUCAGUGUUCCAGUCAGUUCAGUGUUUCAGGCAGCUCAGCGUUUCAGGCAGCUCAGUGUUUCAGGCCGUUCAGCGUUUCAGUCGGUUCAGCGUUUCAGGCAGGUUCAGUAUUGCAGCUAGUUCAGUGUUUGGAAGGUUUCAGGGUUUUGGGUUAGUAUUGCAUUUGCGUUGGAAUGCAAGUGCUGACGGUAUAGUUGGUUGAUUUGGAAUUGGCAAGUCCCUCUCAGCAGGAUCAGUUGAGCCUUUUGCCGAGUAUAAGUGAUUGGUAGGGAUGGCUAGGCAGGUAGCUUUUCAUUCAGGAAGAAAGGCUCGAGUAAGUAGGAGAUGAGUAAGCAGGUGGGAUAAAAGCAAGCUGGUUCCAGCAGCAUCGUUUCAGUAUGAACGGCAGGAUGGAUAGAACAGUUAUAGAUAAUCAAAGUAUCUUUAGGAGUCGCUGGAAGAGACUAGGAGUUUGCGAUGGAGUGUAGUGACCGGUGGGAGUCCGGUAACUCAGAUAUAGGGAGAUUGGUUAGACCAGAGUAGUCUCAGUACAUCCGGUAGGCGGAUGGGAGGCAGCAGGAUUUUCAGUCGGAGGAAGUAACGUUGAGGAGAUUAUGGGAAAGAGAAGGAUUUAGUAUGUUCUAUCGGUAGUGAUCGGCACUGUGAGUGGCCGGAGUGAUGGGCAAAAGAGUGAGGGAUUUUCCAGACAAAGAGUUGGAGGCAGUUCGCAGGCAGUUGAUCAUAGCAAACUUCGAGGACGAAGUUUAGUUUAAGUAGGGGAGAGUUGUAACACCCCAAAGAUUGGAAAGUCAAGAAAAGAAAGAAGACCUCAAUUUUAAGAAGAGACUCGGCGAGUCCAAGGAGGGACUCGGCGAGUCCNNNNNNNNNNNNNNNNNNNNNNNNNNNNNNNNNNNNNNNNNNNNNNNNNNNNNNNNNNNNNNNNNNNNNNNNNNNNNNNNNNNNNNNNNNNNNNNNNNNNNNNNNNNNNNNNNNNNNNNNNNNNNNNNNNNNNNNNNNNNNNNNNNNNNNNNNNNNNNNNNNNNNNNNNNNNNNNNNNNNNNNNNNNNNNNNNNNNNNNNNNNNNNNNNNNNNNNNNNNNNNNNNNNNNNNNNNNNNNNNNNNNNNNNNNNNNNNNNNNNNNNNNNNNNNNNNNNNNNNNNNNNNNNNNNNNNNNNNNNNNNNNNNNNNNNNNNNNNNNNNNNNNNNNNNNNNNNNNNNNNNNNNNNNNNNNNNNNNNNNNNNNNNNNNNNNNNNNNNNNNNNNNNNNNNNNNNNNNNNNNNNNNNNNNNNNNNNNNNNNNNNNNNNNNNNNNNNNNNNNNNNNNNNNNNNNNNNNNNNNNNNNNNNNNNNNNNNNNNNNNNNNNNNNNNNNNNNNNNNNNNNNNNNNNNNNNNNNNNNNNNNNNNNNNNNNNNNNNNNNNNNNNNNNNNNNNNNNNNNNNNNNNNNNNNNNNNNNNNNNNNNNNNNNNNNNNNNNNNNNNNNNNNNNNNNNNNNNNNNNNNNNNNNNNNNNNNNNNNNNNNNNNNNNNNNNNNNNNNNNNNNNNNNNNNNNNNNNNNNNNNNNNNNNNNNNNNNNNNNNNNNNNNNNNNNNNNNNNNNNNNNNNNNNNNNNNNNNNNNNNNNNNNNNNNNNNNNNNNNNNNNNNNNNNNNNNNNNNNNNNNNNNNNNNNNNNNNNNNNNNNNNNNNNNNNNNNNNNNNNNNNNNNNNNNNNNNNNNNNNNNNNNNNNNNNNNNNNNNNNNNNNNNNNNNNNNNNNNNNNNNNNNNNNNNNNNNNNNNNNNNNNNNNNNNNNNNNNNNNNNNNNNNNNNNNNNNNNNNNNNNNNNNNNNNNNNNNNNNNNNNNNNNNNNNNNNNNNNNNNNNNNNNNNNNNNNNNNNNNNNNNNNNNNNNNNNNNNNNNNNNNNNNNNNNNNNNNNNNNNNNNNNNNNNNNNNNNNNNNNNNNNNNNNNNNNNNNNNNNNNNNNNNNNNNNNNNNNNNNNNNNNNNNNNNNNNNNNNNNNNNNNNNNNNNNNNNNNNNNNNNNNNNNNNNNNNNNNNNNNNNNNNNNNNNNNNNNNNNNNNNNNNNNNNNNNNNNNNNNNNNNNNNNNNNNNNNNNNNNNNNNNNNNNNNNNNNNNNNNNNNNNNNNNNNNNNNNNNNNNNNNNNNNNNNNNNNNNNNNNNNNNNNNNNNNNNNNNNNNNNNNNNNNNNNNNNNNNNNNNNNNNNNNNNNNNNNNNNNNNNNNNNNNNNNNNNNNNNNNNNNNNNNNNNNNNNNNNNNNNNNNNNNNNNNNNNNNNNNNNNNNNNNNNNNNNNNNNNNNNNNNNNNNNNNNNNNNNNNNNNNNNNNNNNNNNNNNNNNNNNNNNNNNNNNNNNNNNNNNNNNNNNNNNNNNNNNNNNNNNNNNNNNNNNNNNNNNNNNNNNNNNNNNNNNNNNNNNNNNNNNNNNNNNNNNNNNNNNNNNNNNNNNNNNNNNNNNNNNNNNNNNNNNNNNNNNNNNNNNNNNNNNNNNNNNNNNNNNNNNNNNNNNNNNNNNNNNNNNNNNNNNNNNNNNNNNNNNNNNNNNNNNNNNNNNNNNGUCAGCUUCGGACUUCGGUCCGAUGGAGGGGGCAAGGCCCCAGUCAGUUAGCUUCGGACUUCGGUCUGAUGUCAGCUUCGGACUUCGGUCCGAUGGAGGGGACAAGGUCCCAGAUAGUCAGCUUCGGACUUCGGUCCGAUGGAGGGGGCAAGGCCCCAGUCAGUUAGCUUCGGACUUCGGUCCGAUGUCAGCUUCGGACUUCGGUUCGAUGUAGGGGGCAAGGCCCCGUUAGUCCGGACUUCGGUCCGAUGCAGUGGGCAAGGCCCAAUAUGUGCUUUAUAUGUUUUGUAUGAUAUGUGGUAGAUUGGGGGAGCUCACUAAGCUUCGUGCUUACGGUUUUCAGUUUUGUUUUCAGGUACUCGAUUUCCAAAAGAGGAGCUCGGGAAGAUUGCAGAGCACACACCAUAGUCAGUUAGCCUGGGAAUGUUUGACUCUGAUAAUGAUAUUAUGUUUUGAAUUGAAUACUCAAAAGUUAUGUUUGACUUAUGAUACGUUGUUAUAAAUCUAUUUUUAGUAAUGUUUAAAAGAAAUUUUUAGUCAUGAUUUUUGGGUCGUUACAAAUACCUUGGAAUAUUCAUAUUUGCAUGUAUAAUAGAGAAAACGUAGAUCCAAGGUAUUUAGGGUUGCAUGUACACCAUAGGAGUGAUAGAGUGCUCAAAACCCAACAAAUAGGUCCGAGUCCUUCAUUCUAAGAUUAUUUAACCUUCAUAGCAUGUAAUUUAUUGUAUUCACUUGAUGGUUAACUCCCAUCAACAUGGGUUCCACAAAGCUCAAAGCAAGGAACAUUCGGGCAGAGAAGUCGGUUGUCACUAAAACGCAACAAAAUUUGACAGAUCCUCAUACAAAAUCCUCAAUCUCAAACUCCCCGCACCACGGGUGCACCUUUGCCCUGCUCUCACUCUCCCCAGAGUGGCUAAUCAUUCCUCGUGCUGACCAGCUAUACACUGUACCCACUCAUGAAACUUCCACCAACCCUACAACACUCUUGUAUGCUAGCUGUACAUAACACUGGAUCCUAUAGACAGUCGAAUAUCUGAUCCGAACCUAAGUCCUUCAUCAAACAAGAACAGAAAAUAAGGCCGAAUGAAACAUUCUCAGGCUAAAGAAUCUUAGUUAUGUACAACUAUAAUGCAUACUCUAAGCAAUUGUAGUAAUGAUGUCAAUUUCAUCUAAGGAAGAACCCUAGGCUAUCAUGCAUCAUAUAAUCAGGAAACUCUAUCAUGCAAUUCCUAUAGAUCCCUAGCCUAUCACUAACAUGCUAUUUUAACAUAUCACAAGAUCAAUAACAGUGUAGCAAUUUGGGGUCUACUUACUGGCUCCGACUGAUCUUACACAUAGUAUCCUCUUUAGUUUGAAAGCGACUUUGAAAGUUAUUUUUAAAACCUUUACUUUGAAAAUUAUUUUUUAAAAAACCCUUUUUCCUUAGUUUGAUACUGGAUUCACACGAGUGUUCCUCCAAUUCACUCAAACCAAGGCUCUGAUACCAACUUGUAACGUCACAAAAAUUUCAACAAAUUGAAACCUUUCGAAACAACCCAUUUAUUAAGAAAAGUGUUUUGACCCGUAGGCGCUUUGUACGCCUUGAACUCCCGGAAUGAGGGAGUUCGAUUCCUAAUCUGACCCGUAGUGAUCUCAGCUCAGAAAGAACAAUUUGCUCCUCUAUAAUCUCCAUGAUCCCCUCCUUGACGGUAUUGAAAAUCACUGGGGUAGCGUUAAGGAUGUCGCGAGUAACAUCGACUACGAUAAUCUCAUGCAACCUCUCAUCAAUCGGCUUUGCCGCAGAUCCUGAGCCCGAUCCCGAACCUGAACCUCCUCGCGUAGCCAUCACCAUCCUCAACUGAAAAAUACAACGUAGAAAGCAAUUGAUAAGGAAUAUCAAAAGGAUUUCUCCCCACCAGACUGAUGGUUUUUGAGCACUACACCAUUCCUAUGGUGUACAUGCAACCCUAAUGCUUCAGAUCUAUGUUUUUCUCAAGUUAUACAUGCAAAUCAAAUCAUCCAAAGCAUAAACCCUAAAUAGCAUACAAUUUUUGGAAUUUGUAACUUAAAAAAAAAGUUAGAAGAAUACAUUUUCCUUGUAGCUUGUAGAUCUUGACCUUCAAGAGCUUAGUGCCUCAAUUGUUGCACUCUAGUGAGUCACAAACACCAAGUAGCAAUUUGGAAGAAUAUGAGAGAGGUUAGGAGGCUCAAAAUCGGCUAGGGUAUUAUCUUAGAAGCAAUUGACUAAUUUCAAGGUGUCAUGGGGUAUUUAUAUAGUUGUGCAAUUAGGGUAUUUAACUGAAACCCUAAUUCUCUGCUUAGGCCUUAAGCAAUCCAGUAGAUCCUUCCAGAAGGCCUCUUAUGGACGAAAUCUAUGUGGGCUAUACAUAAGAUUUCGUCCAUCCCUUCUUAGGGAUCCACAUGCUCAACUUGGCAACUACCAUAUAAUUGCAAUAUCAGUCCUUGUAAUCUAACCAGUCUCUUUUGAUCACCAAGUUAAUUCCAAAUCAAUUCCUGAUCAAUACUAAUUAGUUAAUCUGAUUUCUCAAUUAAUAUACCAUUCUUAUAAUAUAUUAAUAAAUCAAAAUUAACCUCUUUCUCCAUAAUUCAUCUAGUCAAGUUGCUAUGGUGCAGGCAACCAAAAGCACCAUGCUACUAUCGGGUCAAGUACAUACAAUUUAUAGUUAUGGGCUUAGACACCUAAUCCAACAGUCUCCCUCUUGGAUAAGUCUAAUAACUAUAACUACAAGUAUGACUUCAAAAUCCGAUUAGCAAUCGUAGCUCUCAAAAGCCGCUGUUGGAAUCUGACCUAGUCAAUAUGUAACAUCCAUAAAUUUUACACCAAAUUUAAACUUUUCAAUCAUAAAUAAAAACCAAAUAGCAUUAUGUUUUCAAAUCAUUAUCCAUCAGAGUGUCCCAAAAUCAUAACAUAAGGAUGAGGAGUGGUAGGUCACGCCUACGCGUUGCUAGAUCUCCUGAAGUACCUGGAACAAUAAACCGAAAACUGUAAGCCCGAGGGCUUAGUGGCUACCCCCAAAAUACCUAUACCACAUUGACAAUACCAUAUCAGUAAUAAUCAAUCAAUCAACAUGCAUAUCGGGCCAUCGGCCUGACUGGACCGCCCUAUAGGGCCUACAGUCUAUCUGGAUCUAUCCCGAGCCUUCGGCAUGACUGGUCCGCCACAUGGCCCUACAGUCUCCCCGGACCGAUCAUAGGGUGUGCAUACUUUCAGCACAAAGCAGGACCGCCUCAACCCAACUAACAAUCAAAUAACUAUGUGCGCAUAACUAUCAUAUACUGGCAUAUACAAACAUCAAGCAUAUCUAUCACUGGUCAUCAAUCAUAGAAUUCCCUCGUAACUAGAGUACCGACCUAGCAGGUCACUAACAUACCAAUCCCUACGGAUCAUAAGAGCAUAACAUACUGUCUACCCUGAUUCCGAUCAAACAGAUCAUAACCACAUAUAGCAUACCAUAACAAUAAAAACUAAAGGGUCGACCUUGGUGCUGUAGACCCUAUCGAUAUAGUGAGGAUAACUCACCUCAUAGAUGUCGACUCGGAAGGUAAACUCCAAAUCUCGGAUCAAUUGACACAGGCCCCACCACAUAUCGCAUAACAUACACGUAAGUCCUUAACCUUAUAAGGUACUCCAUAACCUACUAGUCAACCCCUGAUCAAAGUCAAAGUCCUCAGUCAAGGUCAACAGUCCAUGUUGACCUCAACUCGCCGAGUUCCUUGAAGCAUAUUCAAACUCGCCGAGUCAUCGGGGUGACUCGUCAAGUUCCUUUGAUUCUCGAUCAAACUUUAAGGCCACCCGUCGAGUUCCCUCCUUGCAACUCGACGAAUACACAUGCAUACAUAUCCAGGAGAAAACUCAUCCGCCUCGCCGAGUUGUUCUUCAACUCGUCGAGUCUAUGGAAAUCAUCAUCGGACUCGUCGAGUUGUUUAUCCAACUUGUCGAGUUCACGACCAUCUUCAUGUGACUUGCCGAGUCAACCUUGCGACUCGCCGAGUCCAUUCAGUCCGUUUUCCAUACAGAUCUAUUUUGAGUCAUGCAGCGGCUCCAACUCACAGAUCUAAGCUUCUAGGACAUGCUUAUCACGUAAGGAUGCAAACUUUACGUGCAUGCAUGGCUUUAAAGGCUCCAAAUGCCAAAUCUAAGAUCUUAAUGAGGCUUCAUGCUCAAUAGGGACCUCAAUCACGACCAAAAUUGUAACUUUAUGCUUCUAGAAUCCGAAGAGGGUCCAGAUCUGAAGUUACAACUUCAGAUCUAGCCCAUAGCUCAUCAUACCAACUUGAUAUUACAAGAAAACCCUAAAACUCAACCAAUAGAGGAGAUUCAUAAGGAAAAUGAUGGUUUGGGUACGUCUGGAAGAUGAUAUCUGAGAUGAGUGUUGAUUUCCACACUCUAAAUGCUCCAAUCUCCUUCUCCUCCAAGUCUUCUCCUUCCAAAGAUCCUCUUUUCAAGCUUCAAACACACACAAGGCACCCACACACGAAUAAGGGCUCUCAAGGACUCUUUAGAACUGUAAAUAGGUCCAAGGGAGGCUAAGGCCCCUUUAAAUAGGGAUACAAACCCCAAGAUUUAGGGUUUCAUCUGCCAACUCCUACUCACCAAGUCCCAAUAUGGAAUCGUCAAGUAGGUCACUUAACACGGGAUCUCACCCCGCUGCUACUCGACGAGUAGGGCAACCAACUCGUUGAGUAGAGCGUAACUCAAUACAUCUUAUUUAAAACAAUACCUAAGAACCGGGGCGUUACAAAUCUCCCCCACUUGAACUAGACCUCGCCCUCGAAGUCCGCUGGAACAAACAAUGUCGGGUAAUGCUCGCUCAUCUCCGCCUCCGGCUCCCAUGUCCACUCGGAUCCCCUCCGAUGUUCCCACUGUACCUUUACCAAAGGUAGUUCCUUGUUCUGCAGAAUCUUCUUCUUCCUUUCCAAAAUAGCCACAGGCCUCUCCACAUAGUUCAGGUGCUCAUCGACCUGAAUGUCAUCCAACGAUACCACUGCCUCCUGGUCCAUAAUGCAUUUUCGCAAUUGCAAAACAUGAAACGUGCUGUGGAUCCGGCUGUGCUCCUCCGGAAGCUCUAGCCUAUAAGCCAGCCUGCUAACCCUGGCAACAAUCCUGAAUGGCCCAAUGUAACGGGGACCUAAUUUUCCCCUCUUCCUGAAGCGGAUCACACCCUUCCAACGUGAAACCUUCAGGAGGACCAUGUCACCCACCUGAAAUUCCAGUAUAGAUCGGCGUCGGUCGGCAUAACUUUUCUGCCGACUCUGAGGGGUCUGCAAUCGCUGUCUAAUCUGUUGUAUCAUCUCGGUAGUUUGCUGAACUACCUCUGUCCGACCCAUUACCCUGUGGCCAACCUCGCCCCAACAGACUGGGGUCCUACACUUCCGCCCGUACAACAGCUCGAAAGGCGGGGCGGGAAUACUGGAAUGAUAGAUGUUGUUGUAGGCGAACUCUACAAUCGGUAGGUGGGAAUCCCAACUACCAUCGAAAUCAAUGACGCACGCCCUCAAAAUAUCCUCGAGGGUCUAAAUGGUCCGCUCACUCUUGUUGGAUAAGGUGUCUAAGUCCAUAACUAUUUCUGGUCAGUACUUGACCCGACCCGACAUGGUCCAUUUGGGUUGCAUGGCACCAUGCAAUUGGAUAGACUAAAUGAGAGAAAUAACACUUGGAGAUUAUUAAUAUAUUAUAAGUUCUAAUAUAUUAAUAAUAUUAUUUAAUUAGUUUGAUCAAGAAUUAAUUUAGAAUUAAUUAAAUGAUCAAAAGAUAACUAAUUAAAUAUAUGGGUUGAUUAUGUAAAUCAUCCAUAUCUUGUAUAGUGGGCUAAGAGGCUCCAUGGAUUAUCAAGUUGGGUUCUACCCAUAGGAUGCUCCAUGGAUGCUCCAUGGGAGUUACAAACCCAUGGGUCAUGGAAAUGAAGAGUCAUGACACAUUAGGGUUUACAUGGUGUAACCCUAGAUGUGUCAACACUAUAUAAGAAUCCCAUUCUCCACCAAAAUCUGACACACAUAUGAAACAAGAGGGCUAGUCCGAUUUCAAGAAGUGUGUGUUCUCUCAAAAGUCUUUCCAAGAGCAUUUGGUGUUGUGUGAAGCAUUUAAGGCAUCACACUUGGGGUGCUAGGCUCACAAGGUUUCAAGGAACAUAAGCAACAACAAGGUAAGUUAUUCUAUCUUUCAUUCAAGUUAAAAAUUGUUCCCCAUGUAUGCUAGAUAGGAAUAUAACCUUGGAAUUCAACUUUGCAUGAUAAUUAGACAAACAUAGAUCCAAGGUUAUUAGGGUUGCAUGUACACUUAGGAAGUGUUAGAAUGCUCAAAACCCAUCAGUGGUAUCAGAGCCUAGGCUUGUUUGUUUGUUAUUUGUGCUUAAAAGUUGAAGAAAGUCGAAAAUCUUGCUGUCUGACUGAUGGACUCGGCGAGUCCAUGGGGAGGACUCGACGAGUUCAUGUGUAUCUUCAACCUACUCGGCGAGUAGGUUUAUGCACUCGGCGAGUAGGGUCGACAGAGUGCAGAAUUUCGACUUGUGUUGCUGGAAAUGGAUUAGAAUCAUUACCCUAAAAUGUUUUGGUACUUGAAAACUUAUUUUAGAAGGUGUAAUGUCUUUUCUAACUCAUUUACAACAACUAGUUAUCAAAAUUACAAAGAUUAAAUGUGAUUUUGAUUCUUGAAAGUGUUCAUAUUCAUAUUCUUGUUCUUAUGAUGUUUAGAUGAUCAUAGGAAUUAUUUGUAACCUAUGUGGUAGAUUAAUUCAUGAUCAUAAUGUGUUUUAAUGGAGUCCAUAACUUGUCCUCAAGUUAUGGAAAACCAAAAGUCUCUUGGAUUAAAAAACAUUAAAAGAACACAAGAGUUAGGAAAAAUGAAAAGUCCUCAUUUUAUUACUCUAUUAAACUCAUAAGUUACAAGAAAUGAAAAGUUUUGAAAGUUUACAAAACUUGCCCUCAAGUUUUGGAACAAGUAAAGUUAAGUUAAAACUUUAGUUCCAACCCCUAGAAUUUUAAAAGUUAAAAUUCAACCCUUAUACUUAUAUUAUUAUGAUUUAAUAAUUAUAUAUAUAUGUAUAAGAACAAAGUCGUCUUACCGCUAGUACGCCUCAUUCACGAAGCCGGUCUAUAAGGUGGGUAUAAGGUUGUUGCCUAUAAAAUGGUGACUUAAUGGGUGUCCACUCUCACCCACCGCUUGCUUGAUCGGUGGAGGGUCGUUAGCCGAACGGGUAAGACAAGGACUUAUUAAUUCUCAUUCAAAGUAUGAUGAAUAUUAUAAAGUAACUAAAUGUUUUAUUAAAUUCCCAAUCUUAGUUACUUUAGGAAAAAUGUGAAUAAGGUGCUAUUCCAUGAAAUUACACUUUACACUUUGAUUAAGUCGUUGGUGGAGCGUGUGUGGUUAACCGGCACACUAACUUGGACUUAACAAGGUAGGUAAAGGGUGACUUAGGGUUUAUUAUAGUAUCGAUGGAGCGUGUGUGGUUAACCGGCACAUCGAUUGAGUGAUAAACUUUAAGGGUACCAAGUGAUUUGCAUGGUUACUUCACACCUCGUUUUGUGAUCCUCGGUAUCCCAGUCACAAAACUUGGAGGGCACACUCGAGAUUGAAACAUGCCUUUGAAAAGUUCAUUGAAUCUCAAAGAAUCUAGGAAUUUCUAAGAACCAUUCAAAAACCUAAUACUAAAAUAUUGCGGUUUUCGUGGUGGAAAUUGGUGAAUCGUCAUUCACCUACCUUUCAAAUAUGAUAUAGCUUAGAUUACGGCAUACCUCUUCUAAGUUAUAUUAUAUUGUGAUUGGAUCCUAGCCUUAAUAUUACAUUUGGGUGUUUUAUUAAGGACUCUCUUAUAUCUAAACUAAUCUUGUCCUCUUUCCUUCAGAUGUCUUUCAACAAUGCUUCUGGCUCUAAUCCUAAUGGCUCCUUUACCCUUAUGAACUUGUGUGGGAAAGUCACCUUUGAUGGAUCCAACUUCAAUGAGUGGAUCAGAAACAUCAGGAUGAUUACCCGCUACGAGGACAAAGAAUAUGUCCUUGACAAGGAGCUUAAGGAGAUUGAUGAGUCCACUGCAACUCCUCAGGAGAUCGCUGAAUUUCGGGCACAUGAAAGGGAUGCUACGAAAGUGGCUUGCAUCAUGAUGGCCACGAUGACAGCGGAACUCCAAAAGUCUUAUGAGGAUUUCUACCCUUAUGAAAUGCACCAAGAUUUGAUGGAAAGAUACCAUCAAAGUGCAAGACAAGAGAGGUAUGAAAUCAUCUGCUCCAUGAUAACAACCAUGAUGAAGGACGGGGAAUCCGUCACGAGCCACAUGCAGAAAAUGCAAAGGUAUGUGGAUCGUUUGCUGAAGCUUAAUGUGAACUUCCCGGAGGAUCUUGCAAUAGAUAUUAUUUUGCAUUCCUUACCAUCGUGCUAUGAUCAAUUCCGCAUGACAUAUCACAUGAACAAGGAAGAAGUCACCCUCAGCAAACUUCAGGGACUUCUCAAGACCGCAGAAUCAGGUCUUAAGGGGAAGUCGGUUGCUAUCACUCCUACUCAAAACUCUACUCCGGUUUUGGCAAUCGGGAAAAGUCGAGGGAGGAAGAGAAAGAGCUCUUCUAAGGGUACCAAGGUUCGGACCCUUGAUGGCUCUUCUUCAAGUGGAACCAAGAAAGGUUUCAUUACUCCUUCUUCUGACCCAAAAGAGGCUGAAUGCUUCUAUUGCCAUGAAAAAGCUCAUUGGAAGCGGAACUGCCCAAAAUACCAGCAAGAUGUGAAGGAUGGGAAAGUUAAACCCAACCAUGCAGGUAUUUACACUAUCAUUUCUAAUAACUCACCCCAUUCUAAUUCUUGGGUCCUUGAUACCGGGUGUGGUAUUCACAUUUGUUGUGACUUGCAGGGACUAAGAAGAAGUGAGGAUGUGGAGCAAGGAAGGAUAAACUUGAUCAUGGGGAAUAGGAAAGCUAUACCUGUUACCAAGAUUGGAGUUUAUACUUUAUCGCUAAGUAGUGGGUUUAGUUUAGAUUUGAAUAAGUGUUGUUAUUCGCCAGGAAUGGCAAGAAAUAUUAUUUCCUUUCAUGCUUUGUACAAACAAGGGUUUACCUUUUCAUUUAAUAAUGAAGUUGGUUCUAUAGAUGUUUUCUAUAAUAAUGUCUUUUAUUUUAAAGCAUUACCUUGUGAUGGUGUGUAUGAAGCUGUAUCUGUUGUAGAUAACUUGGGAAAUAAUGUUUUGUGUAUUGAUUCUACUAAUAAUAACUUGGAUAAAGCAUCUUUAUGGCAUUGUCGUCUUGGACAUAUAAGCAAGAAACGCAUAGGCCAACUCCAAAAGGAUGGAGUCUUGGAGUCGUUUGACCUAAAGUCAGAUGAUAGUUGCGAAUCAUGCUUACUUGGAAAAAUGACAAAGUCACCCUUCACAGGUUCGUGUGAGAGGGGUGAAGGUUUGUUGGACCUUAUACACACGGAUGUGUGUGGACCAUUCAAACAUGCCACAAGGGAUGCUAAUCGUUAUUAUUUGACUUUUACUGAUGAUUAUAGUAGAUAUGGAUAUGUCUACUUGAUCAAGCAUAAGUCAGAGACUUUCGAGAGGUUUAAGGAAUUUAAACAGGAAGUCGAGAAUCAAUUGGGCAGGAACAUUAAGAUGCUUCGAUCCGAUCGUGGUGGUGAGUAUCUUAGUUCAGAGUUCCUCGACUAUCUAAGGGAAUGUGGGAUAGUCUCACAAUUGACACCUCCCAGGACACCACAGUUGAAUGGUGUGGCUGAGAGGCGUAAUCGAACCUUGUUAGAUAUGGUUCGUUCCAUGAUGAGUCGAGCUACGCUACCAAUCUCAUUCUGGGGGUAUGCCUUAGAGACUGCCGCCCAUAUUCUUAAUCUAGUCCCUACAAAGAAAGUUGCCAAAACUCCUCACGAGAUGUGGACUGGUAAAGUACCUAAACUAGACCACAUCAAGAUUUGGGGUUGCGAGGCUUUCGUGAGACGCGAGACUCAUGAUAAGCUCGAACCUCGAAGCGAGAGGUGUAUUUUCAUCGGUUACCCACAGCGAUCCUUUGGUUACCUCUUCUACAGACCUAGUGACAAUGUGGUCUUUGUAGCAAGAAGAGGAGUCUUUCGAGAAAGAGAGUUUAUAAGCCAAGGAGACAGUGGGAGGCAAAUUGAUCUUGAAGAAAUUCAAGAAUCAAGCGGUGAAGGAACUUCAAACUCUAGCCCUCAACUUGAGGAGGAAACUCCUGUUGAGCCAAUUGACAAAUCUGUACCUCUGAGACGUUCCACGAGAGUUAGGAGUGCACCUGAGCAUUACUAUGGAUUCCAUAUUACUGCAGAAGGUGAGACACUUAUUAGUGAUGAGACACUAGUAAGUCAAGAUGACCCUAACAGCUACGAGGAAGCCAUGGCAGGCCCCGAGUCUGCUAAAUGGAAAGAGGCUAUGGAUAGCGAGAUACAAUCCAUGUAUGACAAUCAAGUUUGGAACUUGGUUGAAAAUGUACCAGGUCGUAAGACAGUAGGGUGCAAAUGGGUCUUCAAGAAGAAGACCGACAUGGAUGGUAAAGUACACACUUAUAAGGCUAGACUGGUUGCAAAGGGCUUCUCUCAAAUUCCUGGAGUGGAUUAUGAUGAGACCUUUUCUCCGGUAGCCAAGAUUAAGUCUAUUCGGGUUCUGUUAGCCAUAGCUGCAUUUCAUGACUAUGAAAUAUGGCAGAUGGAUGUCAAAACCGCUUUCCUUAAUGGAAAGUUGGCUGAAGAUGUUUACAUGAGUCAGCCAGAGGGUUUUGUCAGCAACGAGUACCCUAAUAGAGUGUGUAAGCUUGAGAAAUCCAUUUAUGGAUUGAAGCAAGCACCUCGCAGAUGGAAUCUUUGCUUUGAUGAAAAGGUCAAGGAAUUUGGCUUUUCUAGGAGUGAAGAUGAAUCUUGUGUGUAUGUCAAGGCUAGUGGGAGUAUAGUUAGCUUUUUGGUAUUGUAUGUGGAUGACAUACUACUCAUAGGAAACGACAUUCCAACCCUGCAGGAAGUAAAGUCCUGGCUUGGGAAGUGUUUCGCUAUGAAGGACCUUGGUGAAGCUGCCUAUAUUCUAGGGAUAAGAAUCUUGAGAGAUCGGAGUAAAAGACUAAUUGGACUUAGUCAGAGUACCUACUUGGAUAAGGUGCUGAAGAGAUUCAGCAUGCAGGAUUCCAAGAAAGGAGAGUUACCCAUCCAGAGUAACACCAGAUUGAGUAAGACACAAAGCCCUAGCACUGAGGCUGAGAUAGCAGAAAUGAGUCGAACACCUUACGCUUCGGCUGUAGGAUCGAUCAUGUAUGCUAUGACGUGUACUCGACCCGAUGUAGCUUUUGCCUUGAGCAUGGUUAGCAGGUAUCAGGCGAACCCUGGCAAGGCACACUGGACUGCGGUAAAGAAUAUCCUCAAGUACCUACGGAGGACUAAGGACUGGGUCCUUACCCUCGGUGGGAGUGAUGACUUGAGAGUUGUAGGGUAUAGUGAUGCUAGCUUCCAGACUGAUAGGGAUAAUUUCCGCUCUCAGUCGGGCUGGGUCUUUACCCUAAACGGAGGAGCAAUUUCUUGGAAGAGUUCCAAGCAAGAGACAGUGGCAGAUUCUACUUGUGAAUCAGAGUAUAUUGCAGCUAGCGAAGCAGCAAAGGAGGCGAUAUGGCUGAAGAACUUCAUUGGAGACCUUGGAGUUGUACCAGCUAUUAAAGAGCCAAUGGAAAUUUUCUGUGAUAGUGAAAGUGCUGUUGCCUUAGCCAAGGAACCAAGGGAUCAUGGGAGAUCCAGACACAUCGACAGAAAAUACCAUUUCAUUAGACAUCGGAUCGAAGAAGGACUCCUCGUGGCAAAGAGGGUAUCAUCGGAUGAGAACCCAGCAGAUCCCCUCACGAAGGGACUGAGUAGGGUUAAGCAUCUCCAGCAUGCUCGGAGCAUAGGGCUGAAGGAUGAUAUAAGUUUUAGUAGUUAGAUAACCCAGAAAUUUGUAAAGUGUAAUUGACAUUUGAUGAUGAAUAAAAGGUGUUUUAUUUAUGAGUAAAGUGUUGCUAUCUCUUGUCAAUCGUUUACUAUAUUUCUUUUGCAUGUUUUGACUUCCAGAAUAAUUUUGUUUGGUGUAACAUAUUAUUCAAACCUCCACAGUCGGUCAUAUGUCGGAAGUAGGUAUGAAUCAAGACUGUCAUGAUGGGUUGUAGAGGUCUAAGGUGUUGGACAAGGCUACAACAAUCAUGAGUGCUCAUAAGUUCUGAGCAUUGGACUCAACCCACGCUCACUGGAAUCACUUCAUGGAAUUCUAUCUCGAGUGAUCGUGAGACGGUAAUAUCAUAUAAGUCUUCAAACCUAGAGAUAUGAUUUGUUACUUACAAGUUGGUUAUGCAUUGACUGUACGAAACCGCAUUGGUAACUCGAUGUUAUAAAACGUACUUUUGUGUGUAAUUCAAUGAGUGGUAGAACAAACAUAUGAGUCGAAGUUUAUCUGUUCCUUCUUGGAUUAGAAGCUGAUAUCUGGGCCCCUCGAUGAUUUUGUUUUGACCCAUGUACCGGGCCCGGUCAGAACUAAGUUGAUGUGUUCAAUUAAGUUCUAUGUCAAACAAAUCGGAAAUCGGGAAACAAAUGCUGGACAAUAAGCAAGACAAUGUUCCAUGUAUUUGUCCGGCUGAUAUCUAGAACGGAGGAUUAUAUGAUCACUUAUCUUAAAUGGCGUACCAUCAUCUUCUCAGUUCCGAGAGACCUUGAAAGAGCUACGAUUGCCGGUCGGUUCCUGAAGUACUAGAGAUAUAGUUAUUAGACUUAUCCAAGUGGGAGACUGUUGGAUAAGGUGUCUAAGUCCAUAACUAUUUCGGGCUUGUACUUGACCCGACCCGGCAUGGUCCAUUUGGGUUGCAUGGCACCAUGCAAUUGGAUAGACUAAAUGAGAGAAAUAACACUUGGAGAUUAUUAAUAUAUUAUAAGUUCUAAUAUAUUAAUAAUAUUAUUUGAUUAGUUGAUCAAAGAAUUAAUUUGGAAUUAAUUAAGUGAUCAAAGGAUAACUAAUUAAAUAUAUGGGUUGAUUAUGUAAAUCAUCCAUAUCUUGUAUAGUGGGCUAAGAGGCUCCAUGGAUUAUCAAGUUGGGUUCUACCCAUAGGAUGCUCCAUGGAUGCUCCAUGGGAGUUACAAACCCAUGGGUCAUGGAAAUGAAGAGUCAUGACACAUUAGGGUUUACAUGGUGUAACCCUAGAUGUGUCAACACUAUAUAAGAAUCAUAUUCUCCACCAAAAUCGGCUACACUAAGAAACUAGAGGGCUUGGCCGAUUUUGAGAAGUGUGUGUUAUCUCAAGAGUCUUUCCAAGAGCAUUUGGUGUUGUGUGAAGCAUUUGAGGCAUCACACUUGGGGUGCUAGGCUCACAAGGUUUCAAGGAACACAAGCAACAACAAGGUAAGUUAUUCUAUCUAUGAUUCAAGUUAAAAUUGUUCCCCAUGUAUGCUAGAUAGGAAUAUAACCUUGGAAUUCAACUUUGCAUGAUAAUUAGACAAACAUAGAUCCAAGGUUAUUAGGGUUGCAUGUACACUUAGGAAGUGUUAGAAUGCUCAAAACCCAUCAACUCUGCCCAUCAGUCUGCGGAUGGAACGCCGUGCUAAAAUGUAGUCUCGUGCCCAGUUCCUUGUGGAACUUCUGCCAAAACGGGAAGUAAAUCUGACAUCCCGAUCGGAAACAAUGGAAAAUGGGACCCCAUGGCGAGAGACAAUCUCGCGGACGUACAGGUCGGCCAACUUCUCUGCCGAUGAACUCUCCCAUAUGGCUAGGAAAUGGGCACUCUUGGUCAAUCGAUCCACGAUGACCCAUAUAGCAUCAAACCCCUUUUCCGUCUUCGACAACUUCGUGAUGAAAUCCAUCGCGAUCAGUUCCCACUUCCACAUGGGAAUCUCUAGAGGCUGCAGCUUACCGUGCGGCCUCUGAUGUUCGGCCUUGACCAUCCUACAGGUCAAGCACCUCUCAACAAACCAAGCGAUAUCUCGCUUCAUACCAGGCCACCAAUAACUCGAACUCAAAUCACAGUGCAUCUUGGUGGCUCCCGGGUGAAUACAAAACUGAGACUUAUGAGCCUCCUCCAUCACUGUCUGCCGGACCCCUUCGGACAUCGGAACCCAAACCCGACCGUAACGGGUCAACAAUCCGCGGCUAUCCUGAACAAACCGGGCGCUUUCACCCUUAAUCCUUUCCAACUUCCAGUUCUCCGGCCUCAUACCCUCAAUCUGAGCAUCCCUGACCAAACCCACCAGCGGGGAAUCCACCGUUAUCCUCAUACACUUGGCUGGGGGUAAAGGACCCAACUGAAUUACGGCUCAGAGCAUCCACAACUACGUUCGCUUUACCAGGAUGGUAAAGGAUCUCAUAAUCAUAGUCCUUGACCACAUCCAGCCACCUGCGCUGCCUCAUGUUCAGGUUCGGCUGAUUCAUGAUGUGUCUCAAACUCUUGUGAUCCUUGUAUAUAGUACAACGGACCCCGUACAGAUGGUGCCUCCAAAUCUUGAGAGCGAAGACCACCGCUCCCAACUCAAGAUCUUGCGUGGGGUAUCUCAUCUUGUGCGGCUUCAAAUGACUCGAUGCAUAAGCUAUCACUCAUCCCCUCUGCAUGAGGACUGCCCCCAAAUCUGUGAUGGACGCAUCACAAAAUACCACAAAACCCUCAACUCCCUCGGGGAGUGUCAACACCGGCUGAAUAUACUGUUGAGCCCUAGCUGCCGAACAAAACCCUGAUCCCAACCUGGUGCCCUCACCAUAUGUAGUGACAAAGAACAUGGUUUGGCAUGCGGAAUUAAAGCUUGCACAAUUGAACAUGGUGAUUUGGGUGUUUAAGAGAUAUAUUGAAUGUAUAUGGUGUUACAAAAAGGACUAGAUCUAGACUACAUAAUUAACACACACUUACACACUCACUUCUACAUCUCUCAAGCACACCUCUAUAAGUGGACAAACCCACCUUAUAUAGAGGGGUUUACAUGCCUCUCUCUCACUCUAACAAUCAAAUGGGUCUAAAGGCUAAAGCACCACAUGCAAGUGGGUUUUACAAAAGUCAAACAUUUACAAAGUCAUGAAUGAAGAGCUUUGCACCCCAACAUUCUCCCCCUCAAAGUUAGGAAUGAAUCACCCAUUUCAAAUCUUCCAAAAUCAAGCACUACGCGGUUCGAGCCUCAAAGGUGACACAUGUCGAAACGAACUUCAAUCUUCAAUUCUUCCAUGACUCUUCAAUUUGGGCUCUAGGAUGUGAGACCUUACAAACCGAGCAGCAACGAAUGAUUAAGAGUAUUCCAAACUCCAAAUAAUCACCCAAAAGUUGCGCAUAAAAACACACCCCAAAAAUCUUCAAUAAAACCAAACCCAUUUCGAAUACAUCACUUCCGAACAUCCAAUUACAUCAUCUCGUAGGCUUCAAAACUUCAAGAUCACUUCGGUCUUCAAAUCCGCGUAAUAUGAAAAAUUCAAGUUCGAAUUUCCAUAUAAAACUUCUCCCCCUUUUUAUAAUCGAAAUUUGAUUAUAAAACUCCAAAGGAAAAAGAACGUGCUAUAUUCGGAAUUUUUCAUGUCAAAACUCCCCCUUAACAUGUGGCAUAAACUUUGAGCUUCAAUCCGGAAAACCCAAAAAAUAAUCAAUUUGUUUUUCCAUUGCUGUUCAUUGAUCUUGAAGCCCUUAACAUGUGGAAUUUUUCACGGAUCGCCUUUGACAAAAUUUCUCAAAAAUGGGUAGAAAUUGUCAAUUUCAAAAUUCUGCAGUGACCCGUUGCGCCCAAAACAGCAAAAUAUGCAAAACUCUCCCCCUUUUCCAAAUCUGGGUAGAAAGCGUCAAUUUGCACAAACUGCAGGGGCCUGAAAUGCACAAUCUUCAAAUUUUAGCAAAAAAUAGUCCUUUUUCGAUUUUGGGUGAAAACUGCCAAAAAUUCGAAGUCUGAGGGACCAUUUUCGAAAUUCUGCUCUUUGUUCACAAUUCAUACGAAGAUUCCGCAAAUAUUCGAAGCUCCAAAUUUUUUUUUGAAAUCGGGUGAAAAGUGUCAAAUAUUCAGAAAUUGUGUUAAUGUUCGAAGUGCCAAAAAUUCGAAGGAUCAGGGGCCGUUUUCGAAAACUUGCCAUUUCAUCAAAUCAUACGAAGCCUUUUUCCAUUUGUCAACUAUUCAAAACAAUAAGGGCCAUUUUCAAAAAUUCUAUCUUCCUUCUUUUUAAUUCAUAUGAAGACUUUUUGACAAAACAUAUCAAGCAUACGAAGAGUGACUGUGAACAGUAAUGCACAAUGAUACCCUUCGUAUGUUAACCCAGUUCUUCGUUUUUUUUUUCAUCUAUUACCCUUCGCCUUUUGCAAUCCAUUCAUAUACCCUUCGUUCCAAAAUCAUCAAAAUCAAUAGAUCCUUCGUUCAAACACCCUUCGUAUGAAUCUUUUAACAUCUCUUCGUACAAAUCCAAGUUUUUCCCAAACCAACACCAACUUAGUCUUCGAAAAUUAGUAACCCAAACCAAUUCUUCGCUUUUUGGUGUAAACCAUCUGUUCUUACAGUUCUUCUUCACUUCGUACAUCAAUCACCAAAAACCAAUCCUUCGUUCAUUAACCAUGUAAUGCCCUGUCGUCCAAAUUGAUUUCAUUAAAAUCCAAAUAGGCUUCGCUUUUCCAGUUGAUGCCAAUGAACAAACGUGAUCAACCAUUUGAUUUUACAGUUCACUCUUCGAAUCUUAACCCAAAUCGAUCAUUAACCCUUCGUUUUUUCAGUUUAUCCCAAAACUGAUUCCACUACUUUCAUUCUUCACUUUUCAGUUUAACCCAAAACGAACGAAAUCGUUUCUUUGUUCCUUACAGUUCUUCCCAAACUCAUCGACAUCAAGAACAAACACAUCUAUUCGUUCACUACUUCAAUCGAUAUCAACUUAAUCAACACAAAUCAAGCUUGCAAAAUCACAGAAUGAACGGAAUCAACAAACCAAACUUGAUUAUCAACCAUACGAAAUCAAAAUCAUCAGACUUCUCUAUUUAUGUAAACUCGAUUUUGACUUUUUGGUUGACCCUGACAAACAACAAAACUAUUGAUCUUUAAUCCAAUUUUGGAUCAAACACCCAUUUUUAACAUAAAUCGUAACAUUCUUCAACUGUUCUUCAUCGAGUUCUUGACCGAUUUUAUCAAAAUCAAAAACUAAAUUGUUGACUUCUCAACUACAACUCGAUCAUAAUCGACUGAUAAUUAUCCAAAUCAGAUUCAGUCAAUUCAUAAGUUCAGAAUCGCAAAUCGUUGAUCAACUUUCAUAAGCGAAAAAGAAAACUCAAGAACAUUAUGAUUACAAGUCAAAAUAUGUUUGAGCUGAUUACAAGAACAUUAUGGUACAACCGAUAAAAGCGUACGUACAUAUCAAACAAAGAACAACGAAUUUUAGAAUUAAAUCACAUUGGAUGAAUUUUGGGUUCCAUCAAAGAUAUCGGAUAAAAAAAUAUGUAUGGGCUCAAAUUUAAACAUGAACAGUGACAGAUUCGUACAUUGGAUCAUAAACGAACAAAAUAUUGGGCUGUUGAUAACCACACAUAUCGAAAUUAUCAAAUAAGAGUAUGAAUUGGGCUCCAAGUUCAUUUAUGAACAGUAAGAUGUCAAAAUUUUUGGCUAAAUCAAAAUAAAUGGAUCAUAAUGAAUUUUGAGCUCAAAUCUCGAUUCAAACGAACAACUGUAAAAUCGAGUCGAACAAACAAAUAUGAGAUUGGAUCGGACUUUGAUCAACGAAAAAAUUAUUGGAUCAUAACAAAUGGGUUUUCAAAGAACAUUUGAUCCAAUGAGUCAAACGAUCAAAAAUUAAGAACGCAACGCACGAUUCAAAGAGAUUAAGAGAGAUCAUAGAGAGAGACUCACCAAAAUUGAUCAAAUUACGACAAAAUUUGCCAAACCGGGAAUCAUUCUUCAAAUAUCACCUUGAUCUUGAAGACCCGCUCUGAUACCAAUUGUUGUGACAAAAAUACUACAAGUUCUCCCCCACUUGGGGUUCGAACCCCCACCCGCUAUCCCUCAUAGUCGAUCAUGGCGCCAAAACGGCUAAGCCAAUCCAUCCCUACAAUCCCAUAUACAUCCCCCAUGGGGAUAGGAAUCAAAUCUAUCGGGAAUGACACCCCGAAAAUCUCCAACUCGCAUCCCCGGUAGACCGAAGAAAUAGAAACCCCGUGCUCUUUGGCGAUCGAAACUCGCAACGGGCACUCAAGAUCAUCCAUCGGCACACUAAACCCUCUAGUGAAAGUCUGAGAUACGAAUGACCGACUGGCCCCCGAGUCAAACAAAACCAAAGCAGGCAAAGAAUUUACUAAAAACGUACAUAAUCAUAGGUACAACCAAUAAGUACAACACAAAUACGAUAACUGAGACAGAGAAUAGAAACGUACCAGCAACCAUAUCCGGUGCUGACUUGGCCUCCUUGGUCGUGAGCUGGAAGGCACGACCCUGAGCCUUCGGAGGCUCCAACUUAACUGGCCUCCCGUCUCAAAUCAUUACAGUAGCUGGCACAGAACCCUGCACCGACUUCGCGGCGAGCUGCGGACAACUGGUCUUCACAUGACCAACCUGAUGACAAUGGUAACAAAUCCUCAUAUCUGUGGGAGGGGCGGGCUGAUGGUAGCCCUGGCAUAGUGCCCCUCCUUUCCACAUUUGUGGCACCCACUUCCUGCUCUACAAGUUCCCGAAUGAACCCUGCCACACUUUCCACAAGUGCGGCUCUGCUGACCCACACCGUGUAUCAGCGGUCUUAGCCCGCUUAGGCGCCGGCUGAGACUGUGCCGGUGCCUGACGCUGCUCCUUCAGCUGCUGCUCUAUCUCAACUCACGCUGCCUCGCGGCUUCCUGAAGGUCCCGGAGGGUAUCACAACGCUGUGUAGCCACAAACUGCCAUAUAUCCAUCUUAAGCAUACUCAGAUAACGAGUCAUCUGAGACUGUUCUGACGCAAACUCUGGGCAAAACAUAGCCCUCUCAGUGAACAUCCGGGUGAUCUCCAUCACCGACUCCCCAUCUUGUCUCAAUGUCAAAAACUCCUGAGCAAGCCACUCCCAUUCCACGCGCGGAACGUAGCGGGUGCAAAACAUAUCCCGGAACUGCUCCCAAGUAAUAGCAUCCCACUAAUCAUCAGAAUAUGAACCUGUCUUCAAUCUCCACUAGUCCUUUGCCCCGAGCCUAAGCAGUUUCAGAGCACACCUGACCUUCUGGUCAGCAGGACAUGAGCACGUGAAGAAACAGCCCUCCACGUCAGACAACCACCACAUAGCCCUGAUCGCAUCCUGUGUACCAUCAAAUGUCGGGGGCUUCGUAUUAUCGAAGUCCCGAUACUGGAAAGCCCUGCCGGCUCCUCCUCCAACCCCUGCCGCAGUUACAGCCUAAGUGGCUGCAACGACAGCUAUCUCUGCUAGAGCUGCAUAUCGCUCAACAAAAUACUCAACCAUUGCGGUCUUAAUCGACCCAAACAUCUCUGGCAGCUGUGCUCGGAACAUAGCAACAAUCUUGUCUUGCAUGAUCUCCCGGAUCCUGGCAUCCAACUCCUUGGUCCCUAUUUGUACCACGGGCUUAGGUGCUACCGGCACCUCCAACCCUCAGUCUCCCGACCCCGAUCCUGAUCUUGAUCCAGAAGCAACACGUCUCGUCACCACCAUACUGAAAUAUAUAUACAAGUCAUCAAAUAAAUAACAUAAUGUCGGGAGACCAAAACCCACAAACCCUAGGGGGUGUGAUUUCCUUGCUAAGCAUAUGGGUCCUGUGCUUUAAGUAGUACGGGCCCAUACUACCUUCCACACCUACCCAUAUUUGUCUCAAGUAACACCACAACGCCCUAACAAUAUUAUCAACAUAGAAAUGCGCUCAACCCUCACUUCUAGGGGAAUACCAACUAUCUCGCACCUAGUCUCACCACUUAUCAUGACUCACACAUCCAUGAAACUUCCAUCAUCCCCUGCCGCGCCAGUGCAUGCUAGCUGUACGUAACACUGGAACCAAUAGACUUUCGAAUAUCCAAUCCAACCCAAAGGUCGAAUCAACAUUUUCAGGCUAUAAGGUCUUUAUUAUGAACAACCGUGAUGCAUACACUAAAAAUCUACAGUUAUGAUGUCAAUUCCACAUACAAGAAACCCUAGGCUAAUAGGCAUCAUGUAACUAGGCAAAUCUAUCAUGUGAUUCCUGAAGAUCCCUAGCCUAGCACUAGCAUGCUGUUCUAACAUAUCAUAAUAUCAAAUAACUAUAUGGUAUUUUGGGGUUUACUUACAGGCUCCGGCUGAUCGUACCCUCUACAUCCUCCAUCCUUUAUUUUGAAAACCAUUUCAAAAACUUACUUUCUGAAAAUCUCCUUGAUUUGAGACUGAAUUCACACGAGAGUUCCUCCAAUUCACUCAAACCAAGGCUUUGAUACCAACUUGUAACAUCCAUAAAUUUUACGCCAAAUUUAAACUUUUCAAUCAUAAAUAAAAACCAAAUAGCAUUGUUUACAAAAAUGUUUUCGAAUCAUUAUCCAUCAUAGUGUCACAAAAUCAUAACAUAAGGAUGAGGAGUGGUACGGUCACGCCUUCGCCACUACAAGAAAAAGACCCUUUUACGACGCGCAAGCAACGACACUCGGAGAUUUAUGUUACGCAAAAGAGAGUGACGUUAAAAAAAAUGUUAUCUCUUUAAAAAAUUUAAGAAUUUAGGUUGCACAUUAUUGCGUGCCCUUAAAUUAGUGUCUCAUGUAAAAAAAUUAAAAACACGAAGGGCACUUUAUCUAAAAGGUGCGCCGUCUAUGAAUGUCGUUUUAUAUUUUUUUAAGGAACGCGCUUCUCCUUAGAGGGAAAAUGAAAUCUCCAAAUUUUUUAAACCCCCACCUUCUUCUCCCUCGUCUCCACCCCCUAAUCGAAGCUACCAGUUGAACAACCCCUAAUCCACACCACCACCUUCUCGUCUCUCCUUCUCCACCAGGUUUUCUCUCAUCUCUAUCCUCCACCUUCUGGAUUGUAAAGGCGUCAUUUUAUAAUUCUUUUACCAAACGCACAUCCAUUAUCCUCAAUUACAAAAGGCGUCCAAAUCUAGGGGUUUUUUUUCAAGAAGAAACCAAACGGGAGUGCUCUCUUCAACAUUCGAUACCUCCGCUCGCCCCACCUGCUGGCGACCUUGGUUCUUAUAUCCUCCCAGUUUUUUGCGUUCUUCUUUCAGAAAUUUAAUCGAACAAGAUCUUGUGCCAGGCAGUUAAUCUAACGAUGGCGACAUUUUGAUUUUGAUCUCAAAAUACAUCAAAUACGAGCUUAUGUUGGAACUGAUUACCUAUAUAUCUUUUCCUUUAUGGGAUAAAUACAUCGAAUACGAGUAACAACAACAAUAGUGUUCCAAUCUUGCAUUGAUAUACACACACGGAUAUCGGAGCAUCCUAAUCAGCAAUUGGACCGCUAUUAUAACAGGUGAUAUACAAUUUUUUACGUAGAAGAGCCUCUAGCUUUUGUUAGGUCCAAAAUAAACUAAACAUGGUCAUACUCUUUCCUACAGUUUACAGCUUUAGGGAUUAAUAGCAAGUCGCCCUUUAUCUGAACUAAAAACCGCUGAGGAAGUUGCAGCUGCAACAAAUUCUAAAGACGAAGCCAAUAUUGAAGAAAAUGAAUGGGAAUUUCAUCCGGAUGCAGUGGAAAAACCUUCUAAACCUGUAAGUGAAGGCGUAAUAGAAGCUGAAGAGGUGGAGUCUUAUAUUGCCAUUAGAGAAGAGCUGUACAAGAAGGCUAAAGAAUUUGAUUCAAAGAUUAUUGAUUUUGGGACUGCUAUCAGAAGACCCUACUUGCAUAAGGUUUUUAACAUUUUUUUUGAUAAUGUAUACAGAGGCAACCGGAGAUUCACUUAUUCACUUGAUCUUACUUGUGAACUUUGAAUAUGUGUGGGUCCGAAGGGCUUCAUAUGGACGGAAAAGUGAUAUAGGAUAACGAAAGGAAUAUAACUGUUAACAGUUGAUCAAAAUCAAAAGAUACAAUUGGUAUUCUUUGUUUAGGUUUUGUUACUGCUUAAUAUAUAACUUCUGCAUGUUAAUUGCCACAGAGACGACAACCUUUAGGGUUUGCGUUAAGGUUGAUUGUUACAGAGAUAUGGAAACUUUAAUGAGAAAGCUUAACUGAAGAACUUAUAAAACGACUAGAGUAUAGAGUUUCCUUGGCUGAUGAAUGGAUUAUCUCUAAUUAUGUAGCAGGUACUCCACACUCAAACAAACACUGAUAUAGUUUCGUAGGCUUUCAAGUUUCAAUAUUGUAUUCCUAUUUAACAUACUGAGUCUACUCUUGCAAAAGUUGUGGCGAAUUUUUUUUUCUUCAUGCAACUGUAUCACAAAUAUAGCUAACUGGAAAUAUUAUUAUGAUUAGGUUAUCUAGUUCUUCAUUUAGACCUCUACUUGUAUUGCCUAGUUAAAAUAUAUAACUUUUAGCACUUUUUGUGUUUAUUUGGACUGAUUAGAUGUUACAUGGUUGAGAAUUUGGAACUGCUAUCACCUUUGUAUGGUUACCUUGGUUGUUCACGGUUGUUAUCUUCUAUACAGGUUUAAGAUACAAUCAAUCACCUAUUUACUAUGGGUGAUAGUGAAACAGUUGUUGCUCAAUCAUCAGCUAUCCAAGAGCAUCCAUCAACUACAGUUAAUAGAGAUUUGGCUGCUUCUACAGGUAUCGAUACCAUGGAUGUAGACAAUGUCAUUCCUCAUGAGGAUGAUCGAGCAUCCAUCCAGGUAGUAUCUUACUGCUGCUAUAGCAACCCCCUAUGUUCUUUAGAGUUCUUGGGCAUAAACUUCCUCUUUUUGGUUCAUAUGGUGGCUUUUUUAUAUAUAUUAGUAGAAAACCAUGUUACACAUCACCCAAAAAACAAAAUGAAAAGAAACUGAACAAAAAACUAUGAGUUUUGAUUUAUGUUAUAGAUAAUAACGGGCAUUUGAUUACUUAAUAGUUUUUAGAAUCAGUCGGGAGUCUUUCCAAGAAUUCAGAAAGUUUUCAAGAAUCAAAAGCUACAGAGUCUUCUUUGCACUUUUUGAAUAGCAACUAGCAAAUCCCUUCUAUCUUAAUGUUCUUUAUAUAACUUAUUUGCUGCAUGAAAUCUUUUCUUAAUGCAUAAGAAUUUCAUGCUUUCAGACUUUACUUACAUGGUUGCUUUUUAUAUCAGGCAUCACCCGAACAUUGUUCUAUUGCUUUUUAUCAAGAGGGGUAAGAACUAAGAAUUACUUUCUUAUUUUAUCUUUUUCUGUUAUUUUUUCAAUCUGAUAAUUUAUAUAUAUUUAAAAUGACUUGUGAUAUUAAUUUGUCCAAUAACUUUUGAUGAGCAUGUGCGUAGGGGUAAAACGGGAAGAGGAAAUGCUCGGGAGAUGGGCUUUGAGAGUUUCCUUGACUUUGUUCUAGCCCUGGAAAACAAAGACACUCCAGAGGGAAUUACAUAUCUUUAAUGAUGUUUAGAUCUUAAUGGAAGAGGCUUCUUUACAACAGCUGAUAUUCACACCCUUUUCAGGUAUAACUAAUUAUUAUUAGGAAAUAGGAAAUUGAAAAUUGGAAGUAAAGGAGGGGAGCAUUUAAAGUUUAAAUGUUGCCUGAUAUACCCUUCCUACAACAAAAAAUAAAAAUGAAAAAUCUCUGCUUUUCCUACUUGUUGCACGCGAGACACGUCUGCAAGCCUCUUGACUAUGAGAUACAUAUUUUCACCAUAUAUUAGUAAUAAAAAAAUAAAAAAAUGAUUUGAUAAUUGAUUGGUACACUACACUACAGGGAUGUGCACCAAAAUUAAAUUUAUUUACUAUUAGUGGAAUUCAAGAUAUGUACAGGAGUGUUUGUUGCCUUUAUAAUUGGUACAAUGCUAACAUGGAGGACCUUGGCAUUGACAGGUUUUAAAUUAGUCUAAAUUAUAUUUAUUUACUACUAGUGGCAUUCUUAUGGAUAAAGAAAAUAAAAGGUGAUGAAUUCUAGUGUUCUGUUUGCAGGAUUAAUCCCUUGUGCUGUUCUAUUAGUGGGACUUUUCUUUGUACCAGAAUCUCCUAGAUGGCUGGUAUGUGAAGUAUCAUGAUUCAUGAAGCUGUUUAAUUUAUCUUCAAGAAAUUAUGUUUGACAUCAUGCAUGCAGGCAAAGAUUGGAAGAAAGAAAGAGUUUGAUGCAGCCCUAAGAAAACUUAGAGGGAAGGAUGCUGAUAUAUCUGAGGAGGCGGAUGAAAUCCAGGUGUUCAUUUCAAAGCUCUCAACUUUUUUUCUUAUUUUUGUUAACGAAUAAAAAUUAUAGAAUUCUUUUUAUGUGUUAUCAAUGGGGUCUUGAAUAUGUUGAUAGGAUUAUAUAGAAACACUACAAAAGCUCCCGAAGGCCAAAAUAUUCGAUUUGUUUUAGAGAAGAUAUUUGCGAUCUGUCACUGUAAGUUUAUUUUCUUGAUAACUCUUGUUGGCUACUUUAAAAAAAAGAUUUUUAUAAUUGUAGUCCGAAUCUUGUUUUGACCAUACAUGGUACUUUUUUUUUUUUUCUGUAAUUGUAGUCUGAAUCUUGUUGGCUACUUUAAAAAAAGAUUUUUCUAACUUGCUCCUGGACGUGAUUGUGCUAUUGAGUUUGAUCUUGGAAGUGGAAGCUAUAAUGUAACUUGCUAUUGCUCAUACAACUUUUGUUGGAAUGUGAGUAUCAUAAUUCAUGCAUUUUUAUAAAAGUUUAAAAUAUUAGUUUAUGUUUUUUCUAUAUAAAAGAUAAAAUAUUUUUGUUGCUAUUGUUGUAGUGUACAAAAGAAACUCAUCGCCUUGUGGACUGUGAAACUGUGUCCAAAUGGAUUAUGAAGAAAAGUGCAGAGUCUGAAAAUAUGAAUUGGUAAAGGUCUAAAUUGCCCCUUGGCAGGUAUGCUGAUCGAAUUGCUAAUGCUAAAUGGGAAGUUAAAGAACAUGGAAUGGAACGCAAAGGUGAUUAUUUUUAAUUUUAGCACCAAAUAUUUUAAAAUAUCAUUUUUUUUAUGUUAAAUCAUAACUAUAACUCAAGGUGCUAUAUCUUUUAUCUGUUGUUUGUAAUGUUGAUAUGAUAACAUUAGUUAAUAACAUAUUUAUAUAACAACUCUAUCAGUUAGCUAAAACUGAUUAUGUCAUUAAUAUAUUAAAUUUCAUAAUUAUUAUUUAUUACAUUAAUGCUUUUAAUAUGUUCUUUAGUUGCUUACACCAUCAGUUCUCAAUGGUCGAUUAGUUAAUGCCCACCAACAUCUCCUAGCACUAAGGAUAUCAGAUUAUCUUGGAAUACACCAAGUUCUGUGAUAUUUUCAAUACCAAUCAUAAGGAGGAAUUACAAUAUGGUGUUAUGGAAGGAGUCAAUCUCUUAGGGAAGUAAUGGAGCCAAAAGAAGGUAGUCUACUCUAGGUGCAGUUUGUUAUUAUUCUAUUGGUGAUUUGAAGCAUGGAGUUGAUUCCUCCUGCAAGUGAAGUUACUUAGUUGGAAUUUGAUGUACAUAGUAGAUUAGAUGCAAAUUUAUUUAUUGUAAGAAAUAGAAUUGUAUGACAUUAAAUUUAAGCAAUGGAUUCUAUUUUUUGUAUAUAAUAUUUUAUUUUCAGUUAUGAAACAUUAAAUACAAAUUUAAUUAGAAAAUAAGUAAACCUAUAAAGAUUUUUUUUAAACAUUUAAAAUUAUGAUACGCAAAAAUGUGUGUCAUCUUCAUUUAUGACAUGGCCUUUCUUGACAGGGGCUUUCUUAAUACGCAUUACGUGUCAUUAACACGCGCGGCGUAAGGUUACGACACGCGAAUGCGUGUCAUCUUCCUUUAUGACAGGGUCUUCCUUGAUACGCAUUGCGUGUCGUAAACGCACGUCGUAAUUGCGCGUCGUAAAUGAGCGUCGUAAAUGCGCGUCGUCUAUAAACGACGCGCAAAAGCGCGUCGUCUCUCUUUAUGACAGGGCCUUCCUUGACACGCAUUUGCGCGUCGUCUGAGCCUUUUACGACGCGCAAUGAGCGUCGUAAAAGGCUGUUUUUCUAGUAGUGCGCCCUAGCGGCAUAUCACACACACUCUUGUUUCCGCAGUUAUGAGUUCAUUAUGGGAUUGAUACUUUGAUAUUUUGGUUGUUUACAUGUUGUGGAUUUCAAAUUUGGGUUUUCGAUGUGAAAUGGUUUAAUUGAACAAUGUUUUNGGCCAUCGGCCUGACUGGACCGCCCUGCGGGGCCUACAGUCUAUCUGGAUCUAUCCCGAGCCUUCGGCAUGACUGGUUCGCCACGUGGGCCUACAGUCUCCCCGGACCGCUCAUAGGGUGUGUGGGCCUUCAACACAAAACAGGAUCGCCUCAACCCAACCAAAAACAAAUAACUAUGUGCGCAUAACUAUCAUAUACUGGCAUAUACAAACAUCAAGCAUAUCUAUCACUGGUCAUCAAUCAUAGAAUUCUCUCAUAACUAGAGUACCGUCCUAGCAGGUCACUAACAUACCAAUCCCUACGGAUCAUAAGAGCAUAGCAUACUGUCUACCCUGAUUCCGAUCUAACAGAUCAUAACCACAUAUAGCAUACCAUAACAAUAACAACUAAAGGGUCGGCCUUGGUGCCGUAGACCCUAUCGAUAUAGUGAGGGUAACUCACCUCAGAGAUGUCGACUCGGAAAGUAAACUCCAACUCCCGGAUCACUUGACACAAGCCCCACUACCUAUAGCACAAUAUACUCGUAAGUCCUUAACCUUAUAAGGUACUCCAUAACCUACUAGUCAACCCCUGAUCAAAGUCAAAGUCCUUAGUCAAGGUCAACAAUCCAUGUUGACCUCGACUCGUCGAGUUCCUUGAAACACAUUCCAACUCGCCGAGUCAUCAGGGUGACUCGUCGAGUUCCUUUGAUUCUCGAUGAAACUUUAAGGCCACCCGUCGAGUUCCCUCCUUGCAACUUGACGAAUACACACGCAUACAUAUCCAGGAGAAAACUCAUCCGCCUCGCCGAGUUGUUCUUCAACUCGUCGAGUCUAUGGAAAUCAUCAUCGGACUCUCCGAGUUGUUCAUCCAACUCGUCGAGUUCACAACCAUCUUUAUGUGACUCGCCGAGUCCAUUCAGUCCUUUUCCCAUACAGACCUAUUUUGAGUCAUGCAACGGCUCCAACUCACAGAUCCAAGCUUCUAGGGCAUGCUCAAAAGGGACCUUAAUCACGAGGCGAUCCUGUUUUGUGUUGAAGGCCAAGUUUCUAGGGCAUGCUCAAUAGGGACCUAUUUUGAGUCAUGCAAACUUUACGUGCAUGCAUGGCUUUAUAGGCUCCAAAUGCCAAAUCUAAGCUCUUAAUGGGGCUUCAUGCUCAAUAGGGACCUUAAUCACGAUCAAAACUGUAACUUUAUGUUUCUAGAAUCCAAAGAGGGUCCGAUCUGAAGUUACAACUUCAAAUCUAGCCCAUAGCUCAUCAUACCAACUUGAUAUUCCAAGAAAACCCUAAAACUCAACCAAUAGAGGAAAUUUAUAAGGAAAAUGACGGUUUGGGUACGUCUGGAAGAUUAUAUCUGAGAUAAGUAUUGAUUUCCACACUCUAAAUGCUCCAAUCUCCUUCUCCUCCACGUCUUCUCCUUCCAAAGAUCCUCUUUUCAAGCUUCAAACACACACAAGGCACCACACACGAAUAAGGGAUCUCAAGGACUCUUUAGAACUGUAAAGAGGUCCAAGGGAGGCUAAGGCCCCUUUAAAUAGGGGUACAAACCCCGAGAUUUAGGUUUUCAUCUGCCUGCUCCUACUCGCCGAGUCCCAAUAUGGACUCGUCGAGUAGGUCACUUAACACGGGAUCCCACCCCCGCUGCUACUCGACGAGUAGGGCAACCUACUCGUCGGGUAGAGCUUAACCCAAUACAUCUUAUUUAAAACAAUACCUGAGAAUUGGGGCAUUACACAAUAACGCGUCCUUUAGAUAAGGGAUCAUGUAGUCCUCCAUUCUCAAGAUAUCGUGUGGACAAAGACAUGGAAUAAAGUCAUACUCAUUGUCUAAUAGUUUGUUUCCCGAUUUCUGAUUUGUUUGACAUAGAAAUUAAUUAAACACAUCAAUUUAUUCCUGACCGGGCCCAACACAUAAGUCAACACAAAAUCAUCGAGGGGCCCAAUAUAUCGCUUUUAAUCCUCUUAGGAUAAAAGGAAGAGAUAAUCUUUGACUUAUAUUCUUGUAGUAUUUACUUCUUAAAUCGUACAAAAUAAUACGUUUAAUAACAUCAAGUUAUUGAUGCGUUUACACACUAUCAAUGCACAACCAACUUGUAAACAAUAACUAAUAUAUCUCGGUUUAAAGACUAUGCUAUUAUCGUCUCACAAUCAUUCAUGAUAAAUUCCAUCAAGUGAUUCAUAUGAGCUUGGGUUUAAUCUAAUACUCAAAUAUUAUUUCAGGAGCACUCAUGAACAUUGCAACAAACCUUUGCUAUGUCCAAACACUUAUACAAUCUACAAACCAAUUCAUGAUAGUCUAACCUCAUAGCCUACUUCCAAAGUAUGAUCGACUGCGGAUAAUUCGAAUAAUCCUAUUAUUCUGGAAGUCAAAACAUGAAAAAGUGAAACAAUAGUAAACAAUUUACACAAGAUAGUAACUUUACUCAUAAAAAAAAACCUCUUUAUUUAAUCAUCAAAUGUCAAUUACAUUUUAUCUAUUACAAGUUUCUAAACAAUUAUCUAACCACUGAAACUAAUAUCAUCCUUUAGACCAAUGCUCCUCACAUGCUGUAAGUGCUUAACCCUGCUUAGACCCUUUGUGAGGGGAUCUACUGGAUUCUCCUCUGACGAUACCCUCUUGAACACGAGGAGUCCCUCCUCUACCUGAUGUUUGAAGAAGUGGUAUUUUCUGUCGAUGUGUAUGGAUCUACCAUGAUCCCUUGGUUCCUUGGUUAACGCAACUGCUCCUUCGUUAUCAUAGAAAAUUUCCAUAUGCUCCUUUAUGGCUGAUACAACUCCAAGGUCUCUGAUGAAGUUCUUCAACCAUAUUGCCUCCUUCGAUGCUUCGCUCGCUGCUAUGUACUCUGAUUUGCACAUUGAAUCAUCUACAGUCUCCUGCUUGGAACUUUUCCAAGUCACUGCUCCUCCAUUCAGGGUAAAUACCUAGCCCGACUGAGAGUGGAAGUUAUUUCUGUCGGUCUGAAAACUAGCAUCACUAUACCCUAUCACUCUCAAAUUUUCACUUCCACCAAUUACAAGGACCCAAUCCUUCGUCCUUCGUAGAUACUUAAGAAUGUUCUUUACUGUUAUCCAGUGAGCUCUACCAGGGUUCCUUUGAUAUUGACUAACCAUGCUCAAAGUAAAAGCCACAUCAAAACGAGUAGACGUCAUAGCGUACAUGAUCUAGCCAACGACAAAAGCAUAUGGUACUCGACUAAUUUCCACUAUCUCGGCAUCGGUACUCGAACUUUGAGUCUUACUCAAUUUUGUAUUGCCCUGGAUUGGUAACUCCCUUUCUUGGAAUUCUCCAUGCUAAAACACUUUAUCCAAGUAAGUACUUUGACUAAGUCCUAUUAGUCUCUUACUCGUAUUUCUCAAUAUCCUUAUCCCUAGAAUAUAAGCAACCUCUCUGAGGUCCUUCAUAGCGAAACACUUCCCAAGCCAGGGCUUAACCUCUUGCAAAGUUGGGAUGUCGUUUUCUAUGAGUAGUAUGUCAUCCACAUACAAUACCAAGAAGCUAACUAUACUCCUACUAGCUUUGACAUGCACGCAGGACUCAUCCUCGCUUCUUGAAAAACCAAACUCUUUGACUUUCUCAUCGAAACAAAGAUCCAUCUGCGAGAUGCUUGUUUCAAUCCAUAAAUGGAUUUCUCAAGCUUGCACACUUAGUUUCGGUACUUUGCAUCCACAAAACCCUCUGGCUAAUUCAUGUAAACAUCCUCAGCCAACUUUCCAUUAAGGAAAGCAAUUUUGACGUCCAUCUGCCAAAUUUCAUAAUCAUGAAACACAACUAUGACUAGCAUAACUCUUAUAGAAUUGAUGUUGGUCACUGGUGAGAAGGUGUCGUGAUAGUCAACUCCCGAAGUUUGAGUGAAACCCUUCGUAGCUAGUCGUGCCUUGAAUGUGUCCACUUUCCCAUCCGUGUCGGUCUUUUUCUUGAAGAUCCACUUACACCCGACCGUCUUACUACCUGUUAUAUUGUUAACCAAGUUCCUAACUUGAUUUUCAUACAUGGACUGAAUCUCGUUGUCCAUCGUCUCUUUCCAUUUUGCAUACUCUGGGCCUGCCAUGGCUCUCUUGUAGUUGUUAGGUUCAUCCAUAUUUAUUAGUGUACUAUCACUAAUAAACAUAUCACCUCAGCAGUUAUAUGGAAACCAUAUAACACGGGCGGAUCACUAACUCUAGUGGAACGUCUAAGAGGUAAGGACUCGUCGAGUCCCACUAUGGACUCGUCGAGUUCAUCUGUCAGGGGCCAGAAAUCGAUUAUUUUCAGCUUUGAACAAUUAACCAUGACAUCAAAUACAACAUAAAAACAGCCUAGGCUCUGAUACUACUGAUGGUUUUUGAGCACUACAACAUUCCUAUGGUGUACAUGCAACCCUAAUGCUUCGUAUCUAUGUUUUUUUCAAGUUAUAUAUGCAAAUCAAAUCAUCCAAAGCAUGAACCCUAACUAGCAUAAAAAUUUGGAAAUUUGUAACAUAAAACAUAGUUAGAAGAAUACUUUUUCCUUGUAGCUUGUUGAUCUUGACCUUCAUGAGCUUAGUGCCUUAAUUCUUGCACCUCGAUUGAGUCACAAACACCAAGUAGCAAGUUGGAAGAAUAUGAGAGAGGCUAGGAGGCUCAAAAUCGUCUAGGGUAUUCUCUUAGAAGCAAGUGGUUGAUUCCAAGGUGUCAUCGGGUCUUUAUAUAGAUGUGCAAUUAGGGUAUUUGAUUGAAACCCUCAUUCUCUGCUUAGGCCUUAAGUAAUCUAGUAGAUCCUUCCAGAAGGUCUCUUAUGGACAAAAUCUAUGUGGGCUAUAUAUAGGAUUUCAUCCAUCCCUUCUUAGGGAUCCACAAGCCCAAGUUUGCAACUAGCAUAUAAUUGCAAUAUCAGUCCCCAUAAUUUAAUCAGUCUCUUUUGAUCACAAAAAUAAUUCCAAAUCAAUUCCUGAUCAAUACUAAUUAAAUAAUAUGAUUUCUCAAUCAAUAUAUCAUUCUUAUAAUAUAUUAAUAAAUCAAAAUUAACCUCUUUCUCCAUAAUUCAUCCAGUCAAGUUGCUAUGGUGAAGGCAACCCAAAUGAACCAUGCUACUAUUAGGUCAAGUACAUACCAAUUAUAGUUAUGGGCUUAGACACCUAAUCCAACACGGGCUCCUUAGAGCUUUCAGGUCUCUCCUUGUCUCGGGUACAAGUCUUGUGCUUUUAGUAGUACGGGCCCAAUACUACCUUCCACACCUACCUGUACAUUCCCCCAAGGCCAUACCUGAUACCUCUAAUUCACCAAAACAUAGAUAAAACAUGACAUACGAAACACAACACAUAUCCUAGAAUCCUUGGGGAUUUCUCAAUCCUCAUAGAACCAGAAGUCUCAAUCAACACCGCAGGUUGCCUUAUGCAUGCAAGUUAUACAUACAUAUAAUCACAUAGACUGUCAAGUGAAGUUUCUACCCUAAGACCAAAAUGAAGCAAGGAACAAGAAGUAAGGAAGAAUCCAUCGUUCUAGGGCUAUGAAAUCCUACACGUAUACAACUUUGAAAGAAUACACUUAGCAAAUAACAAAGACAACAUCGAUUUCAAGCAUUAUAUUCAUAGCAUUGAAUUCUAGCUAGUAGGCUACAAGGCAUCACACAAAUCAGACAAUUCUCAUAACUCCUGAAGGUAUCCUUAGCCCUAUUCUAGCAUGCAUUUCACACAUUAACAUACUGGUUGUAAUUCAUAAGCUUGGUUAAAUUUUUGGAAACACUUACUUGAGCUUGGCCGAUUGCGUGCAUUGCACUCUCCCUUUUUACUUAAGAAAACCGGUUUAAGAAAAAAUUUACUUUUGUUUAUUUUUUAAAAAGGGUUACCAUUUCCUUAGUUUGAGUUCUGACACACCUUCGAGUGUGGCCGAAUUUCUCAAACCAAGGCUAUGAUAGCAACUUGUAACAAUCCAAAAAUCUAGAUAAAAAUUUUCAUUUUUUUAAAAAUAGAAAUUACAAUCAUAAUUUGUUUAUGAAAAUCCAUUACAUGAUUUCAUAUCAAAAUAUCAGAGUAUCGCUAUCGAUAAAUGAGGAAAUUCUUGGGAGUGAUGUUGCGCCAUCAAGCUGGUCCAUUCCCAUCAAUACCAGAAGUACCUAAAAACACCCAAAUAAACUAUAAGCAAAAUGUAACAUCCCAAAAAUACAGGCAAAAAAUUUCAUUUUUAAAUACAUUAUUAUAACACCAGCAGUAUAAUAAGACAUCCAUAAUAUCAUGUCAUGUCAAAACUAAAGUAGAAAUAAUCAAAACAUGUUAUAAUAAAACAAUAUCAAGGUGUAAUCUCAAAGAUCUCAUGUGCGGAAAACCAUAGCGUGAUGCACUGUGAUCAAGCCGACUCCUUUCCUUUAAAAACGAGUACCUGAAACCAAAACUGUAAACCGUAAGCAUGAAGCUUAGUGAGUUACCCCAUCAUACCACAUACCAUACAACAUACAUGCUACGAAGCAUAUCUGGGUGUUGACAUACCCCUUUGGUAACUUUAACCGAUAUCCGGGGACUGUUUCACCCCUAUCACUACCACAUAAUAACAUAGCAUAACAUAUAUAAAUAUACUGUCAUGCAUAUAUGGGUGCCCGACCUACCCCUUCGGUAUCUUUCAACCGGUAACCGGGAGCUAACCUCCCCAUCGGUAUCUUUCAACCGGUAACCGGGAGCUAACUACCCCUUCGGUAUCUUUCAACCGGUAACUGGGGACUAUUUCACCCCUACCACUACCACAUAAUAACACAACAUAAUGUACUGCAAGGCAUGCAUGGGUUCUGACGAUCCCUUCGGUAUCUUUCAACCGGUAUCCGGGGACUAAUAUUUCACCCCUAAUACUACUAACUCAUAUAACAUAGCAUCCUAGAACAUAGAGCAUAUCAGAUAGUUGUAAACUAGACAAUUAUCACAAAGACAAUCAUCUCAUACAUAGUCACCUACUAGUGGGUCAGCAUUGGUGCCUUAGACUGUCACACCCCAAAACCGAGAACGGCGGAAAUGUUCUGGGGCGGAGGACGUCAUGUAUAAUAUCAACAACAAUGUAAAGUAGUAAACAAGCAACAACAUCAUCCAUUGCAUUAAUAAAAUAAUUAUUAUACAAUUGUAUUCUGUCAAAUUUUGAUAAACACUAAAGCAUAAAUCAAAAUGAAAGAUAAGUCUUGAACAAGCUCCAUCUUCCUUUCUCCUUGCAUCGGUACCUGUCUAUGAUGACCUGAGGAUACAAGUAAUUUUGAAAGCGAGUAUCAGCUUUAAAGCUGGUGAGUUCAUAAGUAUAUAAGUGUCAUUGCCUUGUUUGUGAAAAGCUGUUAUGAAGGCCAUGAAAACCUUUAAAUGAAAAUGUUGAGGUAAGUAUGAAAUCCCUAGAAAAAACCCUUAUUUUCUAUAAGUAUGAAAUGUAGUCUUCUACUAAGACCCGAAUGUUCUGUACGUAUGAAGUGUAGUCUUCUACCAAGACCCGAAUGUUUUGUAAGUAUGAAGUGUAGUCUUCUACCAAGAACCGAAUGUUCUGUUUGUAAAAUGAUAGUUUUCCCUUUGUAUUGACUAGUACUAAAAGUGCUUAGUCUAACUCAUCGUCUAUGUGAAUGCAUCACAAAAUAAAGUAAACAGGAAAAUGUACUACUGUAAGUGUUGUCACUGGGUACUAGGACCAACACAGCCUAGGUAAAUAUUAUCCCGAGGUACUAGGGUUAACACUACCUAAAAAUAAAGUAAACAGGAAAAUGUACUACUGUAAGUGUUGUCACUGGGUACUAGGACCAACACAGCCUAGGUAAAUAUUAUCCCGAGGUACUAGGGUUAACACUACCUAAAAAUAAAGUAAACAGGAAAAUGUACUACUGUAAGUGUUGUCACUGGGUACUAGGACCAACACAGCCUAGGUAAAUAUUAUCCCGAGGUACUAGGGUUAACACUACCUAAAAAUAAAGUAAACAGGAAAAUGUACUACUGUAAGUGUUGUCACUGGGUACUAGGACCAACACAACAUCGCAUUAAGCGAAAUGUAUAACCUAAUGAACAUCCGAAGAUUGUCCAAUUGUCCUCUGUAGCAGCAGCAGGUGGGUGGAAGGGUUAGUCCCAAAUCGAUCUUCCUAAUAUAAGUAGUAACCUUAGACCUCCGUAGAUGGUCAUCGACCACUGGUGCUAAUCAGUGGGGUUCGGAAUGGUGAGUCCCGCCUAGAUAUCCCAUUGAACCGGGAUAGGAAAGAUAAUUUACACAGAAAGUACUAAUAAAUUAUCCUCUUAGUUCUAAGUACAAGUAUCCAGGUAAGUGAAUACAGGAUAAUGCACCUAUGUAAAAGUGUUCCUGUAUGGCAUUCAUGUAUGUGCGUCCAUGUAACAGGUAAGUAUAUGUGAACAUAUUCAUGUAUCAGGUAAGCAUCUGUAAGUACUCAUGUAUCAGGAAAUGUACUAGUAUAGACUCAUGAAUGAACUGACUCUUGUGUGAUUCUUUGUAAUAGAAAUAAUGUUUGAUAUCUUCAAAUUAUCCCUAUGAUAAUUUACUGUAAUAUAACUGGAUGAUCAUGUAGGUUUAUACACUCUUACUACUCAAGGGUGUGGGAAACUAAAUGAAAGAUGUAAACUAUAAACUCAAUACAUAUAUAAGAAUAUAAGUGUAUAUGCAUAGUUUAGUUCAAGAAUGUAAAAAUGGUUUUGUAAGACCUCUUAUGGGUUUUGAACAAUAAUUAACAAUGACUUGAUGUCAUUUUAAUAAACAUUUCAAAGGUAAAACAUUUGGUAACAAUGUGUUUUUAAUAUGUAAAACCAUUUCAUGCAUCACAUUUUGUAGCAUGUGAAAUCCGUUAAAUGACAAACAUAGUUAUAAAAUGCAUAUCAAUGAUUCAAUAACAUGUAUGUUUCUACUUGUAUUCCCCCCAUUAAAGCAUUUAAAAUCAUUUAAAAUAUUGAUUAGGGGUAUGAACUCACUUGAUUGAAGUGGUUGAUUUGAAAUAGUCCAGAGAAGAAUCAAGCAGAACUUCGACAGGAAGAGCUGAAAACGCGGGAAAAUCUCAGGAUUCUCGGGAAUCUCGGGAAUCUCGAGAACACAAAACCUUCCUUCGGGACUUGAAGGUGAAAACCGGGGCUUUGGGAGGGUCUCGGGGGCUUAAACGCAGAGUUUCGGCGCGAGAAAGAAAGGAACUGAGCAAUGGAACUCGGAGCCCUUGAAAUCUAUUUAUAGGGGCAUUUUUGGGGUGUGCCACGUCGUGGCAAGUGAUGGCCACGUCGUGGGGAGUCAAACCUAUCCUCUUCCAUUGAUUGGACGCCCUCAGUCACUUGCCGGGUCGCGGCAAGCUUGUGCCACGUCGUGGGGCCUGACAGCAUCGGAUUUUGGGCCCCGAACUUGUAAAAUCCAUAACUUUCGCAUACGAGCUCCGUUUUCGACGUUCUUUAUAUGCACACAUAGCUAAAAAUAUGAUCUACAAAUCUCGUUUAGACUUCAAUUGCAAAUUUUGACUUUAUUUUUAAUUAUUUAUUUUUAACGGGUCGGGACACGAAAAGUCUGUUAAAAAUCCAUAACUUCUUCAUCCGGUGUCCGUUUUCGUCAGACUUUUCGCCGUUGCGCUACUAAUGUUGAGACCUUAGAUUCUCAUUUAGGUUGUUUUGGCACNUUUGGUCAAAAGUAUCUCGAGCUCUAUUUCGAGUUUUUAGCUGUCUACUGCUAUACUCGAAUCUUGGAAAAAUCAUAACUUUCUCAUACGAAGUCAGAUUUGGACGUUCUUUUUAUGUACGCUCACGGUUUGAGGUUAUCUAUAACUUUCAUUUAGAUACUUAAGGCUAAAAACUAUUGUAUUGAAACUUCGCGUUUUUCGUUUAAUCGGUGUUGUCGGUUUUGCCGAGAAUCUUCGGUUGGUCAUAACUUCUUCGUUAUAACUCGAAUUUUAGGGUUCUUUAUAUGUACUAAAACCUUGAUACGAUUCCUACUACUUUAUUUAACCCAAAUAAGAUUUUAGGAAAGUUAUAUUUUGACCUAAAUUUGAUUGGUUUUACAUUUCAUUGUCUCGAAAUAUCGGGUUGUCACAUAGACCCACCUCUACUGGAAGGUAAUUCACCUCGAAUGCAGAAGCUUCCUAAAGAAAUUCUUAUUGCUGCCCUGCCCACUUCCCGAGCUAUCAAUACCAAUCAAUAUACCAAAUUAGCAAUUGGUUCCCAUACCAAAAUCCUUAAUCCAUGCAUGGGAUAAAAUGACCAUUCUACCUAUGGCCCAGUAUGAUCCGGAAUUAUGGCCAUAACCCAAACAAAAGCCCAACACUAUAAUGUCCAUAAUACAAUCAAUGGCCCAAUUUUCUAAAUUGGGCCCAAACCUCUACGUGAGUCUUGCCAUGAGGCCCAAUCAUUCUUUCCAGUCCAAUACACCUCAUAUUCUGAUGGCCCAAUAAUAAUCCAAACAUUUAAACCCAAAAUGCUAAAACUCACUCAUGGCAUGGUCCAUGGACUAGUUUUCCAAAUUGGGCCCAAGACUUUAGUGGGCCUCUACAAAUAAAAUAUCAACCCCAAAACUGAUGGCCCAAUAGCGCCCAAAACAACAAGCCCAAAAGAUGGCCCAAACUGAAGCCUAAAAACCAAAGUCCCAUUCUGCUGAGUACGCGGGGCGUACUCAGCUUGUACGCUAAGCGUACUGGCUUAAGGGCUUGUACGCUACAUGUAGACGCUUGUACGGCCAGCGUACUCCUCCUGUUGACCAACUCUCAAUCCUAGCUCUUAAUCCAUUAAGCCAAGACGUCCAAAACCUCAAAAUGGCUUAAUAUAAGUGACUUGACCCGUAAAGUCGAAUGCUUUAAGCCUUUGCAUGGCUUAUUUAAUCCCAAACACUAAAGAUGAAUUCCAAAAGGUCAAAAUCACUCCCAAAAUGUCUUAGAACUUCUUAAUACCUUAAGACCUCAGUCCAAACUUCCAGAUCUGAUUUCAAGGGACUUCUUAAGUCAUAAAUUUUCCAACUUUAUGACUUAGCAUAACUCAAUGGGGCCUAAAUCUAAAACCUAAGUUCCAAACUUCAUUAAAUGAAUACCAAAUCAUGCAUGGAAGGUUUAUACCUCUCAAGAUCUAGACUUUAUGACUCCAUAACCUCAGUAAGGACCAAAUAAGAGGCUCAAAGGUUCUGGAGUAACUUCUACUCACAAGAACCACCUCAAAGGGACCAAAAAAACAUAACAACGUACCAUUUUGCUAGAUCUACAUGAAAAAGUUGUCAAUGUUGAGACUCUAUACCUUCAGAAGAUAGAUCUAGGUGCACAAAGCUUGGAUUCAAAAGCUCCAAGUCAAACAAUGACUCUUCAAGAAGUUCCUUCUUCCUCCUCUAGCACCAAAACACACCAAAAAUCACUUUGAAGCUCUAAAAUUACUCAAAUGGGGGCUAAGGGUCGAUUUCUAGGGUUUGGAGGGAUGGAGGAUGAAGGUAUUAGGGUUAGGUUAUGAGAUAAGGAGCUUAAAUAUGCUCCAAGACCCUAAAAUAGGGUUUUGAUCUAACUGGCGUACGCUCAACGUAAUUAUGGUACACCCGACGUACUCCAAAGAACAUUCGCGACCAUCCUGGUCAGUAUGUCCAGCGUACUCUAAGGUACGUCCAACGUAUUGCCUUCUUCACUAGUACGCCCUGCGUACUCUUUGUGUACGCCAUGCGUACUCGGCUAACCCUGAAAACCAUGAAACUUCUGAAGGCCAUAACUUCUUCGUUAUAAGCCCGAUUCCAAUGAUCCUUAUAUCCACGGAAAGGUGACGAGAAACUCUAUGCAUCCAUCAACUUAUUCUCACCUCAAAACCUUCUGAAAAAAAAAUCCAAAAUUUAUAAAGAUCUUCAACUACCACUUUACCGAUAUACCCCUUGGCUCCAAAACACGAACCGAACACCCGAAUCACUUAUAAUACAUCACCUGCACCCAAAUGGGCCUAGAUACUACCUUUUCAAAAGCCCUAAUACUUUUGAUGACCAGCCUUCAGGCCACAUCGUUAGACUAGAAGUCAAUCCGGAACAGGGCGUUACAUAAAAGCUUAGUGAGUUCCCAAAAUACAACAUAACAUAUAACCACAGAAUACCACGCUAUAUACAUAAGAUUGCCAUAGGAAACCCCUAUGGUCUUUACCUGGAAUGCCAUGGGCUACCCCCAUGGCCUGAUAUCCAAGUUCCAUGUGCUACCCCCUUGGUCUUUACUUGGAAUGCCAUGGGCUACCCCUAUGGUCUUCACACAAGUGCCACGGGCUACCCCUGGGGUCUUCAAAUAAUGAAUUCAUAACAACUAUCAAUGCACAUGUCAAACAAUGGGCCGAAAUUAGUGCCUUCGACCCAUUGAUAUAGUGAGAAGACUCACCUCAGACUGCUGAUAAAAAUACUACUCGGCUAUCGGUCCAGAUAUCUCACACUGAAUAUACACAAGUUAACCUAAUUAGAAUUAAGUCACAAACUCAAGGCAUAGGCCAAAACCCUAAUUACAAACUCCUCCAAUAAGGCCCAAAAGCCUUUCUCCUUUAAUGGGCCUAACAUCCAAGCUCCAAAACAAUUAUAGGCCAUAAGGCCCAAAAGGCCCAAACAUGCCACCUAUGGUCCAACAACAAGUUUAAAGGCCCAAAUACUCUAAUAGAUCCAGGCCCAAGGCUAAGUAGGGCCCAAAUGGAUCAAAGGCCCAACAAUAGCCUAAAACUCACUGGAAGCAUACGCCCAAUGUACAACAUAUAUACGCUUAGCGUACUGGGUUAUUUGGUGGUACACACAGUGUAAAAGCUAGUACGUCCAACGUACAAGCUGCUUUGCACAAAUAGCCAUUAAGUGCUUACUUCAUGAAGCCGCUUCGUCCGAUUCCAAAUCUUGGUCAUCAUAAAGGUUGUAGGGCAAAAAUUUUGUAACUUUAUGCCUUUGAAUGCCAUAUGGGAACCUAACACCUCGUUUUAUCCUUUAAGACUCCCUUUAAGAUCUUAAACUCAUGCAUGGUGUCAAAACAACCAUCAAGUUAACAUUUUUAUGGUUUUAACAUGCCAAAGGAACUCAAAUCAAACAUUUCUAACCUCUGGAGUUGCUCAAACUCACAAAAGAGGAUCCAUGGACCAAAAAUGGACUUAUUACCAAACCCUAACUCAAACUAGCGAAAGGAUAAGCAAGGUCUGGACUUUUUACCUCCAAAAGUUCCGCAAGAUGAAAUAGAUGCAGGAUCUAGAAGCUCAACCACGUAUAAGACUUGAUCACAACCUUCUCCUUCUUGCAAACACACUAAAAUAGCCACCAAAAUCACUUUUAAUAUCACGAAUCACACUCACUUGCAAAUUAAGGUUUAGGUAUGAUAAGAGGCAAUAGAAGUUGUUUAGGGUUAGGUCUAAAUGGCAUAAGAGUGUUAAAAUGGGGCUAAAAUUAGGAUUUUUGUCUUAGGCCACGUACGCCCCGCAUACAUUGUGCAUGUCCGAGUCCAAACCACCCUAAUAUGCUAAGCAUACACAUAUGUACACCCAACGUACGUAGGGACCUCCUUUGCAAAUAAGUUUCAUUCCAAGGGUUAAAAGGGUAACUUGCAUUCCGAAUGUUACAUAUAGAUAAUCAAAUACUUGAUUCUACCCUAAGCCCUUCAUCAACCAAGAACAUGAAAUAAAGCUAAACCAAAAAUUAUCAGGCUAUAGAAUCUUAAUUAUGUACAACUAUGAUGCAUACACUAAGCAGGUACAAUAAUGAUGUCAAUUCUAUAUAAGAAGUAAUCCUAGGGUAUCAAGCAUCAUAUAUGAGGAAAUUUUAUCACGUAAUUCCUGACGAUCCCUAGCCCACCGCUAGUAUGUUGUUGUAUCAUGAAUAACAUAUCAAAUAACAGUGUGGGUAACUUGAGGUAUGCUUUCUUACCGCGGCUGACCGUACACAUCACAUCAUGCAUUCCUUGGUUACUUUUGAAAACCAUUAAAAAAAACUUUUACAACUCCCUAGUUUGAGUUUGGAUUCACACGAAUGUUCAUCCAAUUCUCUCAAACCAAGGCUCUGAUACCAACUUGUAACACUCCUAAUAUCAUAGAAAAUUAAAAAUUUUAAAUUUCAACCAUUAACCAACAUUGUUUAUAAAAAGUGCUCAUUGCUUCAAAAGUAUUAUUCAAAAUCAUAGUUUUUCCCAAGACAUAAAAACACAAAACAGGAAGAUGUGCACGAUCACGCCUUUGCCUUCCCGCGAUUAUCAGAAGUACAUGAAAUAAUAAACUGAAAUUGUAUUUCAAAGCUUAGUGAGUUCCCCCAAAGUACCAUCAUGAAACAUAUAAAAUACAUAGAUUAACAUGAUGGGCCCACAACCUCCCAGUUGGAUUACCUUGGCCCACAACCUCCCUGUUGGAUUGCCCUGCAUACCAUAUACUGGGUCCAUAACCUCCCAACCGGGUUGACUUGGCUAGUUUGUGGAGUUUGACCUAUUUUGAGCCAAGUAUAUUUUGGAUAAUUUGGUAUUAAUUUAAGUUGGGAAAUAUUUUGGGAUAAUAGGUGUUGAGUAGAGCCGGGUGUCGGGGAAGACAUUUAUUCAGCUUGUGUUUAGACUGAGAGGUGAGUUUUCCUCACUAUACUUACAAGUCGAAGGCAUCAAGGCCGACCUAAUGGAUUGAUAUCCUGUUAGAUACUAAUUGAAGAUAUGUUGAGUAUGCGAUACAUCUGUAUGAUUAUAUGAUAGGUAUUGAUAUACAUUAGACUGGUAGAUCUGUAGGACUACAUGUGAUUAUUGGUUGUGUAAUCACCUGUUUGUUGUAUGUAUAUUAUCUAUUAUAUGUCGACAUGUUACUUUAGGGUUGAGAAUAUUGCUUUGUGCUGUCAUUCGACAGACCGUGACAAUCCAACCAGAAUGUUUUGGGCCAGAGUAAUCCAACAGGGAGGUUGUGGACACAACAUGCUAAUCUAUGUAUUUUAUAUGCUGCAUGAUGGUACUUUGGGGGAACUCACUAAGAUUUGACUUACAGUUUCAGUUUAUUGUUUUAGGUACUUUUGAUGAUCAUGGUACGAUGAAGGUGUGAUAACGCACAUCUUCCUAUUUUGUGUUAUUGUGUCUUGGGAAAAACUCUGAUUUUGAAGAAUACUUUUGAAGCAAUGACUCUUUUUUUAAACAAUGUUGGUUAGUGGUUGAAAUUUAAAUUUUUUAAAUUUCUAUGAUUUUUGUAAUGUUACAUUGGUUUGGCUUGUAACCGAUCUAAACCCCCCACAUACCCUUGUUAAUCAUAAAAGAAGAAUCCAUUUAGAACUAACUAUGUUCAAAAAUAAGAACCAUAGUGUGUUAAAUAUUCAUUACCUCAAAUGUAGGGAUCUUUUGAUGUCGAAGAACAUUAGUUAAGAUAAAUUAAAAAGGAUAUUCAACUAAACCAAAGGUCUUUUGGCCUAGCACUAUCAUAUGUUGGAAAUGUGACCCUUCCUAAUAUCAGAAAAACGUGUUAUUUCGAUUGCUUGGAUUACACUGAAAGUCAUGAUACACUUACGUAUUAAAGUAUUUCGAUGGUACAAUCAAAAUUUAAAUUGGAUAAAAUUCUGUGAGAACAACAGAGAAUGAAAAUGUUAUGAUUCUUGUGUGUACCAGAUUCAAAUGACCAAAAAGGGAUAUGACUCCUUGUCCGAAAAUUGUCAUAUUUCCAGUUACAAACUGCCACAAAACCAUCACUAAACUGACUUAGUCGGCUUAACAAACAAGAACUACAUAUUUAACAUACAAAGAAAAGCUAACAAGUCUCCUGAUACUUGUAAAAAUCAAAUGAUGUAAAAAAAUUAGAUAUCAAAAAAUCUAGUAUUAACAUAGAUUUAAUUAAACUUAUAGAUUAUCUGUUUAUAUAUCAUGGAAAUUUAUUCCCAAGGUCAUCCUUAACUCGUUAACAAGUUUUGGGUGUAACGAUAUAACAAUAUCUAAUCAUUACUCCUCUGAUAAAAUUUUGGAUUCUGUGGUCUAUAGGUUGCAUUUUUUGUUGCUAAUAGGAGUAGAAAAGCUAAAAUCAUUUGGGUCGAUUGGAUUCAUAAUCCUACUUCAACUUGCACUCUUAUGUAAUGUUUUUUUUCCUAGCUUACUGCUAGUUUUUAUAAAAUUUUAUCUUGUUCCGAAAAAACUCCUCUUAUAUAUUGGUCAACUUUGAGAUACAAUUAAAAAGGUUCUCUUGCCACAUCACACGCCAUCCACCCCAACGACCACCACACAAUAAUAUCGAUUUGGUAUAGACCAACAACUAUCUCUUUCCUCAUCUCCCUCAAAUCGGUCUUCAUUUCCUUUCUUUUCAGUUUGCUUUUUAAUAUUCAUACAUAGAGACUCAUUUUUGAGAAGUUAAGACACAUAAAUGUGUUUAAUAUUGGAAUCCCACAUGACAAAGUAGCAUCUAGGGAUGUCAAUGGGGGCAAACGGGACGGGGGUUGCAUUCCCCACCCCCACCCCCAAAANNNNNNNNNNNNNNNNNNNNNNNNNNNNNNNNNNNNNNNNNNNNNNNNNNNNNNNGCCCCCGAUUGAUUUUGGGCUACCUUAUUUGCACUAAAAGAAGUUCUUGUUUGGACUAAUAGAAACUAUAUUUUGGGUUAUAAAUAGAUAUUUAUAACAUAAUUUUACAUGUACAAACAACUUAAAACAUGUUUUAUUUUGAAGUUUUGUAUGCAAAAAUCUUUUUAUUGUUUAUUAUAUUUAUAUAAUUAAUAUAUGUCAAUUUAUAUAAUUUAUUAACGGGGCUCCCAUGGGGGUUUCGGGACGGGACUACCAACCCCUGCCCCAGCCCUUGAAAUUAAAACGGGGGUUAACCUUGCCCCUGCCCCCGUCCCCGAUUAUUUUCAACAAAUGCCCCCAUACAAGAUGGGGUCCCCGCGGGAUCGGGGUCCUACGGGACUUUUUGACAUCCAUCGUUAAGUAAAGAAUGUUUGUGACGAUGUAACUUCCUCUUGAUAUACAUAUCUUUUAUUAGAGACCGACCGAUGUCAUCCUUUAACACUGUAAAUUUUCAAACAAAGUUUUCAUUUUAAAACACAAUAAAACACAUGUCACAUUCCUUUCAAAAAUCACAAGUAUCAAUUUAUCAAUACAUUUUAAAAGUUGUUUAUCGCAAAUCCAGAUCCUCAAACAUAACUCUUUUCUCUUGUGUGUACAAUCAAACCGGUGCCUUAUCGUGAUCCUGAUAAGAACCUGAAACACAUAACACAUAACAUGGUAAGCAAGAAGCUUAGUGAGUUCCCCAAAACACCACAUACAGCUCAUUAGCCACUCGAGGCUAUAACACAGUAAGACCCUCCGGUCAAUGUAUCUCAGUGGGAUCCUCCGGUCCCAAACUCUGAUGGACCCUUCGGCCGAAUAGAAUUUUCCACCCGCGUCCAAGAUUCACAUAUACUCGACGAGUUUGGGGACUCCAACUCGUCGAGUCCCAAUGCAAAAAUGCAAAAAUUCAUAUGUAUAAUACGUAUCGGGAACCGGGCGUUAGAUAUUGGUUGUAUAAUCAUUUGUCUGCUGUAUGUAUAUUAUCUGAUAUAUGUCAACAUGUUACAUUAGGGUUGAGACUACUGCUUUGUGCUAUCAGUCAACAGAGAGUGGCAAUCCAAGCAGGAUGUUAUGGGCCAGGGUAAUCCAACCGGGAGGUUGUGGACACAACAUGCUAAUCUAUGUAUUUUAUAUGUUGCAUGAUGGUACUUUGGGAUCACUCACUAAGCUUUAGCUUAUAGGUUCAGUUUAUUGUUUCAGGUACUUCUGAUGAUCGCGGUAUGACGAAGGUAUAAUCAUGCACAUCUUCCUGCGUUGUGUUAUUGGGUCUUAGGAAAAACUCUAAUUUGAAUAAUACUUUUGAAGCAAUGACUUUUUUAAACAAUGUUGGUUAAUGGUUGAAAUUUAAUUUUUUAAAUUUCUAUGAUUUUUGGAGUGUUACAUUGGUUUUGGUUUAUAACCGAUCUAAACCCCCACACACGCUUGUUAAUCAUCAAAGAAGAAUCUAAUUAGGACUAACUGUGUUCAACAAUAACAACCAUAGGGUGUUAUAAAUCCAUUACCUCAAAUGUAGGAAUCUUUUAAUAUCGAAGAACGUUAAUCAAGAUAAAUUAAUAAUGAUCGUAACAUCCUGUUUAUUAAAUAAAUAAAUAGAUAAAAAUUUGAUGAAAGAAUAGUCGCCCUAAAUUCAUAUUAUUUAGUGGGGCGCUGGUUUUGGGGAGCCGAAUGGUAUAAUUUGGAUUAUUCGGAGGUUAAAAGUGUAAGUUCUAGAUUUAAUUUGAAAAUGAUUUUAGAAGUCAUGGUGUGUUUAGUAAUUAAUGGACUUAAAUAGAAAGGAUUUGAUGGCUUAAGGGGGUGAUUGGUAAUUUCGGGACCUAUUAUGAAACGACUUUCAGAGAGAGGGGUUAAAGGGGUAAAUUUCUGAUUCAUUUUGAAAAGAUUAAUAGAGGGAAGGCUACUGUUGUUAUUAUGGGGAGAAGUUUUAUGGGGAUUGGGGUAUAAGACCUGUCAGCCCGGUAAACCCUAAACCUAGCCAUGUGUCCCAGCCGCCGCCACCUUAUACCCCCCCCCCNNNNNNNNNNNNNNNNNNNNNNNNNNNNNNNCUCCGGCGCCGCCGCCAUCAUCCCGUUUCCGAUCAGCGAGCUGCCGAGAAGCUACUCCAUUGGACUUCUGCCACUCUUCUCUUAUCCUUCUUCAGUCGUUGCCAUGUGAGGCCUCAUCCACCACCCGCUACUUCAUCGUUGGAGUGCUACCACCACUGUCGGUGCACCAUUGUUGUCGCUGCUGUUGAGGCCAAGGAUGAAGACGGAUGUUGGGACGUCGGGAAUGAAGAAGAACAAGCCACAAGUCGCUGUAACGUUGGUUGUAGCGCUGCUGCUCCGCCACUGCCCAUUUCCGUUAAAGACAAGGUCGUCACUUGUUUCUCGUGGAUGGCUUAGUCGGAGGUGUCGUUCGUUUCCGUGUGGUGCUGUUCCUCCGUGAGCUGCUGCACUGGUGGUGCUGCCACUGUUGCCGUUAGUGUUGCUGCCACUCUCUACCGUUGUCGCCGUACGCCACCAGGUGGGUGGCAGGGUUCUUUUGCGAAUGAAAACAGUUUGUUUGUGUGUGUGUGUUGUAUGUGGUGAUGUUUGGCCUGAAUUAACGAGAACAAUCACCACCACCUUCGUGAGGUGGUAGCUGCCACCAUGUACCACCACCGGCCACCACAAGGGUGGAUGUGUAUGUGUGUGUAUUGGCAUUUAUGUUGUAAAUUGUAAUUAGUGCUAGUGUAAUCAAAAGAAAAACUCAAAACCACCACCGUGAGGUGGUGGCUGCCGCCACCAGUCGCCGUGUUGGAUGGCGGUGUGCUCUGUUUAUAUUUAGACUUUGUUUGGGUUGGACAAAAUAGACUAGACCCAUAACCACCACCGUGAGGUGGUGGCCGCCGCCGUGAGCCGUCGUUGACCACCACUACACGAGGUGGUAGUGGGUGGUGCCUGACUUAGGAACACCCUAAUUGUCUUAAUGAAACCUUAAUGGGCCUAAGGACUUAGCUUUUGGGCUUAAUUGGAUUGUAAUGGGUUGGAAACCCUAAUUAGGGUUUAGAAAACCCUAAUUUUGGAAUUAUUGGUUUGGACUUAUCGGGACCCACAUUUGGGACCAUUGGAGUGAUGACUCAAGCCCGUUUUCAUUGUAUGCUUGGACUUAAUGGAUUAAUGUAAUGACCAAAAUUCUCUAUGUUAGUGAAGUUGGUUUUCCGUUACAUAGAAUUAAGUCGUACAUGCGUCUAGGAUGUGAGAUUAGACCGGUUUAUAUAAAAAAAAAUAAUAAAUAAACAAAAACAUAUUUUUUAACAUUUUAAGAAUUUAAUAGGGAUUAAAAUAAUUUAUAAGAUUUAGUUAAUAAUUAUAAUGAGCUAAAGAUAUUUAAGUAAUAUUACGAGUUAAAUAAAUACUCAAAUUAUUAAAAAGUGGCUUAUUUUAUGUGUAAAUUAAUCAAAUUAAACGACUAUAAAGAAAUAAAAUAAAAGAAAAGGUAAAGUAUAUAUAAUAUGGCCAGGGUUAAUAAUGAAUUGAGUAUAAAAGAUCAGGGACUAUAACUGUAAAUUGGAAUUCAAUCGGUGAAUUGAAUUCUAUAAGCUCGUUACCACUGAUAAUAAAUUUGUUUUAAUUAAUUCUAUUCGAUUGCCGCAACCUAUGUUCUUCUUAUUCGUUUCCGUUACCAGGCAACUUAUUCGCCUUGCCGAUUACACCUUCUCUUUAGGGUUGCCAUAUUUGUGUCGACCAGAAAAAAAGAGAGAGAAUUGAGUGUGAGAGAGUGUCUGCGUGAGAAGGAAUGAACGAGGCUCACAUCCUACUGCUAUUAGAUCGAAACAAGGUAAGCUCUUGAUCCCGAAAACCUGUCAUGUUUUUUUUGUUCAUCAAUGGCUUAUUGUGAAUAUCUUGCUGCCAAAAUACUUGUUUUUAGAAGCCACACAAACCCGUGAACUACUUCAAUUCAUCUCUGUCAAGCCUUAGGGAUGAAGCACCCAUGUUUGAGUCGUGUCGGGCUUAGUCGAGACAACCCCAUAAGCCAUCAGAACACCAGAAUCACAUUUUGGAAUGGUGUCUUCUCUAAAGCGUAGCCUCAAGUCCCUUAGACGCUUUGUUAAGGCUUUGAAACAGAAGCAGGGGAAGCUAUAUGUGUUCUUUCGCAAUUUUAAUGCAUGCCUCUGAAUUGCUACCGGACAAUCAAAAUAGACUAAUGCUUGAUGGAAUAUGAUAGUUACAGACAUAAUGGUUGUAUAGUUUCACUAAUGACUAAUUCAUAUCUAGACUUAGCUAUUUAAAUCAAUAGAAAGAGUCUGGAUAACAUAUUUCAUGAUAAACACUUAAAGAUUAAUUCAUCGUCUUGUGUUAAUGUAUGUAAUUCCAUAAAAGUUAAGAUGUUAAAAAAAUGGAUUGCCUACGUAAUAUUGUCUAAUUAGAAGUCUACUUCACACUAGGGUGUCUUAUAAAUAUAUGAGUGUAAUUUAUAAAAGAGUUUCAGUAUUAUAAAAAGUGAUUUAAUCACUAAUUAUAUGUCAAGGAGCAUGAUAUGAAAUAGUUGAUUAAAAGCAAUUGAUUACAAAUCAGUGUCAUCGGCUAUAAGGCUUCCUUAUGGUUAGUUAACAUUACAUUAUUCAUGAUACAACUUAAUUAUACUAUAGAUUAAAAUUGUCUAUCCUUAGCUACAGUAAAUAUGCUAAGGAUUUGGCAAAAAUGAUCCUCCAUCUAUAUGGGUAUUUAUAAUUCUGGAUCAUUUCUUUUAAGAGGUUAUAAUUUGCUAUUUUCUAUAUUUUGUGUAUACGUGUCGUUCUUUUUACUGAUCAAAGGUUUGAUCGUGUGCGUGUCAUGGACACGCGUUUUUUUCCUGUGUUUAUUAUCGAUCACCCUAUUCUUUUCAUCUGCCCACCGCCCUUACUUCCAACAUAUAUUCCACCGGCUUCCUCAUUCAUUUUUUCAUUAUCCCACCCCUUCAUUGACUAACUUCACCAACUGUGUUAUUCUUUCUUUAAAGAAGCUCAUCGGUUCCUUAUAUGUUUUUUUCAGGGCCUAUGUUUGUUGGAAUCCUUACGCUUGCUGACGUCUUUUGUGAUUAAGGGAUAAUUUUGUUCCUGGUUGCAUAUUUGAGUCUCAGGCACUCACUUCCUUUCUCUUUCUCUGUUUUCUUUCUACUCAUGGCAUCUCUAAUGGCAUUCUAUUACCGUGUUUGUAGGUUUACGCUUCGAAUUGUGUGAUUUUGUAUUUUUCAUUUCCGCUUUCGCUCUUGAAGAUGAGUAGUAGAAAUCGAUUGGAUGGUGAUUACAAAUACCUCUUGUCAUAUCGAUUUGAUUGUAAGUAUCUCACCUCUAAUUUGUUUUCUUUUUUUGGACUUUGUUGUUUUUUCAAAUAACACUUCUUACCUUCUAAAGCUCGGUUUCAUACACUUCUAUCACUUUUCUGUUAUCAAAGCUUCUUGACUAUGGUAAAUAUGGAAAAUCCUGUGACAUGUAUGUUUAUGCCCACAAAGUGUUUGAGGAAAUGCCUUUUGUGUUUAGGUGCCUGAUUGUUAUUCUGUUGAGUGUAUAAUUUCACAAUAUUGCGUAAAUUUUUAUUAUUGAGGCUCAACUGUGUAACUUGAACUGUUUUAUUGUAGUCUUACGGUUCUCUCCGUUCGAGGCAACAUACGACACUCACAUUCCACUACGCUGAAGCAUGAGACUUUCCGAUUUGUUGGUCUUGCCAAGUAGAUUCAGAUAACAUUUUCUUUCCAUAUAUUCUUCUAAAAAGCAGUAAUUUAUGAAAUUCUCAUUCUACAAUCCAGAAAACUGUUAAAAAGGAGCUUGAAAAUCUCCAAAAAGAUUAAUACUUUUAUUGAUUUGGCUAUUACCAGUGCUUUUUCAAGGGAAAUUAAAACAAUCAAAGGGAAUUUUCUACAAAAUACGUAAAUAUGUUAAUAGCUGUGUGUUUUUUAUUUUUUUUUUUGAUAGCUAAUUAGCAUUGAAGUGGUAGAAUGAAUUGGUUAUUAUUUACCCAUAUACCAGAUUAUGUCAUCUCUCUAUAUGUUUGGAAUGUUUGUGGGUUUGAUAUGUUUGCUGCUACUGUCACACCACAGUUGAAAAAACAUAUUUCCCUGCUAAAGGGGUUGUGUAAUUGUGACCAUUUUACAGUUUUGAUUUCAAAAUUAUAUUAAAAAAUUUAAAUUGCAAUCAAACUCAUAACAUGUGCAUGUUUGACUGAUUGAGUUGUCCUACAUCUCAAAAAAUCAGGGAACAAUCGACGGUGUUGACAUUAAGCCAACUUCAAAUUCGUGGGUCACAGUAACUGGAGGUAAUUUUCUUUCUUGAAUGCUUUUGGUUCACCUGUCAAUUUUAGUAUUUAUUUGAAGUAUAAUUUGUGUUUUGUAAUGUAAUAAUAUACUCUCACACAGAAGUUUUUAAAGCAGUGCUAUAUAGGAAAAAAUUAUUAAACUUCUACAAAGGGCAUUAGCAAAGUUAUGGGAUAAAACUUUAAACGGCCUAAAACAUUAACAAACUGUGAAACAGGGAAGACAAAAUUCAAUGGUUUUUAAAGAUUUUUGUUUUUUGGUUGUCUACGUUAACGAUCCUGCUGUUAAAAUGUUAUGAUUAUGACUAUUUUGUCCUUCCUUUCAUUACUUUCUGAAGGUGGUAAAGAAAAGGGAUAUAAUCCAAGGGUAAAAUGGUCAAUUUACAAAUUUCACAGCUGUGAUGUUAAGUUAGAUGGCCUAGGGAUGAAACACAUUACCAAACAGUGACAUAUGAAAUUUUUGUACGACGUUAAAGUUUCAUAUCUAUAUUUCAAAAAAAAAAUUCAUUUGCAAUUUUCAUCUGUAGUUCCCUGUUUUUGACUAUUUAUUGCCUCUUUUAUAUUGUGAAAAUUAUGUUUGGGUUGUUGUUUAUGAGGUAAUUGGUAUUGAUGUCAAUACAUAACUUUCAAAAGUGUUAUCUGCCAUACAGGAGAAUUUGGGAAAACAAGCACAUAAGCAAGAAAAAAGAAGGGAAGGUCAUAAUGUAAAAAGAGAAGGUUAUGACGAUGAGAAUUUAAUUUUGCACCUUCAACUUUAGUCACUUUCAUCAUUUUUAAUGACUCAUAGUUUCUUGCCAUUCUCAGUCUAUUUUGAUUUUUAGAUAAACUUAUUUUAUUGAAAACUUUUUUGUAUUAUCAAGGAACAUCAUUCGAUAUCUCAACUGAAAAUUAUGAUAACAACAUUACUAGAUGAGGUUGUUUAUGAAUUUUUAGCUAUAUAUUUUGCUGCUAAAAAAAAGAUAAGAAUACCUUGACAUUCUGACCCUCGCGAAGCGAGGCUCACCCUCUAGUUAAUAUUAAACCAAGGUGAUUUGUAAUUUAUAAACUACGAUAGACUUAUCUAAUCAAUUAAUAUGACAUAAACUAAAUAUAGUUUAAUAUUAAUCAUGUUUAUCUUAGCCUAAACUAAAUAAAUAUAUACUUUUUGUUUAGGUAUUUGUUGAGUAAAAGAGCUACGAAUUCACGUUUUGAAGUGAUUUCACUACCGAACUAAAGGUGAGUCAAUAGACUUUUCAUAAACCCUAUAUAUAGUCGAAAACUACUUUCCGAAAAUGGCUCGAUUAGUCAAAUUAGAAUAUUAUUAAUUGUUGAUAUUAUGCCUAUAUGUGCAGUAUGAGAUAUGCCAUUGUUUUGCUUUCUGUGACAUUUACAUGCUUAGUAAAUUUGGUUUAUAUGUCUAUCUUGGUACUUGAUACGAUUAAUUGCAACUAUGAUAUGCUAUAUGAAAUGUUUGAUAUUUGACUAUGACCUUGUUGAGUAUCUUUUAGUAUAAACUAGGUUACAACCCGUGGAAACCAUGGGUAAAAAAUUUAAAAACAAAUUUAUAUUAUUAAUAAGAGUUAAGAUUGUCAAUCCUUUUGUAUUGAUUAUUUAAAAUUAAAAUUAAUACAAAUUUGUAAAAAAGUAUAUAAAUUUGAAUAUAUGUUAAAUAGAAACGCAAUCAAUCCAUCGAAAGUUAAAUAUGAAUAUAACUAAAAUGCAUCUUUGAAUAUGUGAAUGAUUUAUGAAGUGUGAGGGCAAAUCAUUAUUUUUUGUAAUGAGGGAGCAAUCAAGAAACACCAUGUGGCGUCUAUUAAAGUCUGAAAAUCAAAUAUCGAAACGAACUGAAUAUUAUGGAUUACAAUUACAAUGCUAUAUAAAGAAUAAAUUAUUUAAAAAAAAAAUGUUACAAAAAAUAGAAAAAAACACAAUUGUUAGAAGUUAAUGGGUACGAAGCAUUUAUAAAUUCCUAAAAACUUCCUUAUACACAACAUUUGAAGUUUUGUUUGUAAGUCUACCAUCCUUAUCUAAAAUUAACAAUUUCAAUCCUUCUCUACUUUGAACUCUAGAUAAGGCAACAUACUGUUGUCCAUCUGAAAAAAGGAUCCUUGAGAUACAGACCAACCUUUAAUAACGACUGGCCCUGACUUUUAUUAAUUGUCAUUGCAAAACAUACAGCCAAUGGAAAUUGUCUUCUUUGAAAUUUGAAUGGAAUUUUCUUUCCAGAUGGACUUAAAGACAUUCUUGGAAUAAAUGUUUGCUUUCCAAUAUUAGUUCCAGAUAUGAUAAUUGCCUCAAUAACACGUUUGCCCAGAGAUUUCACUUGUAGUCUAGUGUCGUUUCAUAAUCCAUUUUUCUGAUCAAUGUUUCUUAGUAACAUAACUGGAACACCGACUUUUAGAAUUAACUUGUGAUUUGGCAAACCUGAUACUUUAAGACCAUUUAAAAUAUCCUGGGAGUAUAAAUUGGGAUCAAACUGAUCAUGAACAAACUCUGAUUGGCAAAGAGUAUCUGAACUUAAAUAUUCUACUUCAUCUUCGGGAAACAAUGCUAGCAAACGAUCAUUGAUUUGUUGGACAACUUCAUUUUUUGGAGCUAGUAUAGCUCUUUCUUGAAAAUAACUCGUACCGUUGAAUUUUUCAAAGAUUGAAGGAUAUACAAACUCAAUUAAUGAACCUAUAGGAUCAUGUGGAUCAUUAAUGAGAAUAUCAUUCGGAACAUCAAUAAUCGAUUCACCAUCCUUCAAACCACCAACUUUUCCUUCUCCUAUGUCCAAAAGCCAGUUUGCAAAAUUAUGUAUUUUUUGAAUAUCAUAUGGAUCCUUUCCAACGGUUAGUCUCAUCUUUUUUGUUAAUCUAUGGACUUUGCAUUGUUGCCAUAUAUAUGAAGAGCUUAAAGAAGCAUUAACGAUAUUUUGUCUGCUACCUCCUUGAACAACAGGUAGAAUCUGUCUAAAGUUUCCUCCAAAAACAAUCGCUUUCCCUCCAAAUGGAAUAUUUGAGUUGGUAGACUUAUCAAACUUACAUACAUCUCUCAGAGCUCGAUCUAAAGCUUCAAAUGCAUGUUUGCGGACCAUAGGUGCUUCAUCCCAGAUAAUCGAUGAGCUUUUUCUUACUAAUCUGCUGAGUUCACUAUCAGGCGGUAUCUUACAAACAGAAUACUCCGUAAGAUUCAACGGAAUUAUAAACCGAGAGUGUGCUGUCCUACCUCCAGGCAAUAAUAAAUAUGCAGUACCACUUGAAGCAACAUUUAAAACUAUAUCACCAUUACAUCUAAUUGCUGCAGAUAACGUCUUCCAAAGAAAGGUUUUGCCUGUUCCACCAUAUCCAUAAACAAAAAACACACCUCCUUUAUUAUCAUUGACUAUAGUCAUGAUAUCAAGAAAAAUAUUGCUUUGCUCGUUUGUUAAUGCAUGAAACAUACUAUCAAACUCUUUCUUUAAAAGCGGUAUGUCAUACUCUAGCUCCUCCAUGAUAAAUCGAUUUGUUGAAGAAGAAACUGUAUCGAAAUCAGGGUAAGGCCUUUGUUUAUAAUUUUUAAGACUGGUGUUGUUAUGAAGUAAAAUCUGUUCGAUCUCGAACAAAGUCAGGUUUUUGAGUUGAUCCUUAUUGAGUGAUAAACCUGUAUAAAAUGAACAAUAUGUCAAAAAGAAUAUAAUAUUAAACAGUUUAAUGGUAAUAAAAAAAUUAUACCGUGCAUAUUGAUAAUAUAUAGUAUCCGUUUUUACAAAUACUGAUAGGAAAUUAUAAUACCUGGAGACUUUAAUCUACGCUGUUGGUUGUAAAGAAUACCAUCCGACAAGUGUUGCCAUGUAUUUUCCCAAACAAACUCUGGUCUACCCAAACUGUUAGACAUUAACAUCGUAGCAAAUAAGAAACGAAGAUAAAAACCAGUUCCUGAAUGACUUGCUUCCUUAAUUGCAUCAACGUAUUCUUUGUCAUCAUCUAAGAGGCCCAAAGCAUAGCAUGCAUCUCGAAAAGUAGGAAAUUCUUCACCGUUUACCGUGCGAAUUUCUUCAAAUGAUUUUGGACCUUUCACUUUAUUUAAAAGAAUCCGUAAGAAGUAGACUUCGCCAAGUUUAGGUGAAACAGAGUGAAUCCUUCCUAUUGAACGUCCAAUUUUCCUUGGCUUCCACAACUUAUCAUCAGGUUUCCAAACAAACUUUGUAGGAAAUUCAACAUAUGUAAGUUUUCGUGCAUCUUUAUUAAUUUUAUUACAUUCCAUCCAAGAUGUGAACAUAGAAGCAGCAACUGAAGGUUGUUCAAGAACAUCGUCAAUAUCAUCGUCUGCAGCAUAUAUGACUUGUUGUUGAUCAGGAAGAUAAAAAGGUAGUCGCAUCACAGAAGGAUAUCGGUAAUGGACAUCGUAUUUAAAUAUUCGCCAUGAUGCUUCACAUGCAGAUAUAUAUCUACAAUCAUAAUAAUCUUUUAUUUCAUCGACAACCUUUUCGUGAUUAGAAUCAGCGUUGAUGUCAUCAACAAUUAUAGCUCUAUCUGGACCUUUGUUUAUAUAUUUAAACAUAUACUUUAUGGAAGAUCCCUGAUUGCACCAUUCAACAUUAAUGUGUGCCUGAUAUCUUUUCAACAUAUAUUUGUUAUAUGGAACAACAUUUCUGUUGUCUAACUUGACACCUGAUUUUUCGACAAAAUAUCCAUUGUUUCUUCUCAUAUAUAAGGGAUAACCGUUGACAUCAACCGAAGAAUGAUCACAUAAUUGCUUUGGAAAAUUUUUCGAACAUUGCUUGUCAACCAUGCAUGGACAAUUCAUAUUUUCCAGCUCCAUAAGGACCAUGUAUCAUGAAUUCACUUACAAGUGAAUACAAUUCUGGAUCUUCAUUGAUAUUUGGAAUCUCAGCAGAAAUAAUCGGAUCAAUAUAUUCAACAGUAGGCCGCUUGGAGUCGGCAUGCAUAAACAAACAAAUAUGACUAUGUGGCAAACCUCUUUUUUGAAAUUCAAUUGUAUAGACCACUGCAAAUUAAUUUUAUAAAUAAGAUAAUCUUUGUACUGGAUGAAAUAUAUUUGCAAAUAACAAAAAAUAUUAAGAAACUAAAUAAUCAUUAUAAAAAAAUAUUAGAAAUAAAUACAACUUUUAAUACCUCCUUGUACAAUGUCGAAAAUUUUAUUUUCCCGUAUGUCUUUAAUCAAAGCAUCGAGAUUUAUUUUGAAUAACCUACAUAAGAUAUCAGGUCAAUCUUCUGGAUGUAGUGAAGUGUUAUGAAGAAACCUUUUAACUUUAGGCCAUUUUGGAUUACAUGUAAAGGUUAUGAAGAAAUCAUGAUAUCCAAUCCAUUUACAUAAGGACAUGGCAUCAAGGUAGUUUUACAUCAUAUAACGUGCACCACCAGUGAAUGAAGAAGGUAAGAUUACACGUUGUCCAACAUUGGAUAUAUCUUUAUUCCCUAGGUCUUGUUGAUUACGUAAAUUUUCAUAAGACUCACAUCUAAGAAUUUGUUGUUUGCUCCUUAUGAAAUGUAAUCUCUCACUUUCAAUCAUAGUAUAAGCAUCAACCAAAAACUGUUGGAACAACCUUUUUGAAUUAAUAAUUAGUGAAAAAUAUUGAUCCCUGUCUUGUAUUCUAUAAGAAAAAAAUUCUCUCAUUGUACAGUUGGGCCUCUUGCUGUUGCUUAUUGGUGUAAUACCUCGAUGUGGUAUGUCAACCCUAUAACCAUCAUCACCAUAUGGAAACAGUAGUGGAUUCUGAAAGAGGAAGGUAUGAUGGAUGUAAUUUACUAAUACGCCGUAGAGAACCUGAUGAAGUUUGAACAACAAUAUAUCUUUUAUCAAUUGAAUCACCAAUAUCUCAAAUAAUUAAAGCGGCAACCUCAGAAGCAGAUGGUAGGUUGUAUAUCCUUCCAUCUUGGUCCCUGAUUCCAAUAAGUCUCAACUUGAUAUCAACAUGAGGUUUUUGAUGAAAACAAUCCCUAACCAUUCUAUAAGACUGAACCAAGACAUUAUUUGAAUCCAACAUCAACUUCAAAUCUUGUAUAAUAUCAUUAUCAAGGACAGAAGAAUUUGAUGUAGAUCGUUGAUUCUCUCCACUACAAGUAACAUGAACAUAUAAACAUAAGAUAAAUAAAUAAUAUAAUGUUGAUGAAUAAGAUAUCUAUUAAUGUGAUAAUUGUGAAAAGUGUACCCAAAACAUGUUCGUCUAUUCGCGAUCUCAUUAUCAGUAUCGUAUAUGUACAACUGAGAGAAUUUUGGUUUUAACCCCUGUUCCGGUAAAAGGCUUCCGAUACUAUGAUAAUUUUGACCGCUAAGUCUAAAAAUGUAUGGAGCAUUUCCUCUAUUGAUUGAGGAAUCAAUCUUUCCACCCAUUGACGUAAAAGAAAACAUAGAAUUGUAAGAACGAAUGUUCUUCAUGAAGUGUUUGCUUUUAGAAUCUCCCGAUGUAAAAAGAUGAACAUAACUUGAAGGUGAAUUCUUUAAAGCUGGUAGUUCUACUUUGCCAUAACCACAACAUAAACAAUAAUUUUGAUUCGACUUUUUUUUUUUUACAUCUGAUAGAUUCAUCUUUCCAUAAUUUUGCAAAACAUGUUUGGUAUACAACAAUCUGAUCACCAUGAUCCAAAUAAUCUGUCAAUUAAGGUUGACAUAAAAAUGUUAAUCAUGUAAGUUUAUAUAAGUGAAAAAUAUUGAAUGAACAAAUGUAAAUAUUAUAUUUUUAUCAAAAUUACCUUUUGAUAUACCGUUGUAUAUGUUUUGAUCAUUUUGGCCAUCGAUUUUGUCUUGAUCGGAUCUCAGACCAAAUAUUGGAAUAGGAGUUAAAUUUGGCAUUUUUUUCUUUGCUUUAUUAUUUGGAUUAGUUAACAUGACUGAAGACGAUUUUGAUGUUAUUGUAGAUGAUUUGUCGGAUGUGUCGCCAUUUGAAAAUACAGAGAAUUGUCUAAUAUUUGUUAACGGCGAUUGACAACUAUUAUUGAAAAUAUCCAUGGCUGGGGGAAAAAUUGAAAGUAUGCAUUGUUAAAUAUGAUACAAUAAUAAUAUAUAUUAUAAAAUAAAAUGGUAAAAUAAAUGAGUUACCGUUGGAAAUGUUAGAUAACGGAGUUCUAACAUUUAAAUGUGAAGGAGGAGUUUGUAACAUUGCUUGUUUUGUUAUAUAUGCACUUGUUUUAGAUCAGAAUGUGCUUUUAUUUCGAUGUACAACUCCUUUGAAUUCAUAUACAAAAAAAUGGUUAUGAGAAAUGUAAAAUUGUUUAAUAAUUAUUUUAAUAUUAUAUAAAUAUGAAUAUUGAUAAAGAGAUUAUAUAAAAAGACGAUGAUGUAAUAAAUUUUAUUACAUAUAUUUAAAAAAAACUUAAAAAGUUUAAAAGCAAUCAAGUAUGUUACCGUUUGAAUCCAAUCUGAUGUUUGGUAACGGUGUCUGAAAACUGUUAUUUGGAAUAUCGAUGACUGAGAAAAGAAGAUUGAAAUGUACAUUAUCAAAUAUGAUACAAUAACAACAUAUAUUAUAAAGUAAUAUGGAAAAAUAUAUGAAUUACCAUUGGAAAUGUUAGAUAACGGAGUUCUAACAUUUAAAUGUGAAGGAGGAGUACGUAACAUUGGUUGUUUUGACAUAUUUGUUGUUGAUGUAGAUGUGGAUACGCUUUUAUUUCGAUGGACAACUCCUUUGAAUUUGAUUGGAAAAAAAAUCUUAUAAGAAAUGGAUAAAUUUUAAAUAAUCUUGUAAAUUUUUAAAUAGUAUAUGAAUAUUAAUAAUGAUAAAUAGAUUAUAUAAAAAAAUGUGGAUGACAGAAUUUUUAUUUUACAAAUUUAAAAUAGAAAAAAAAAGUGUAUAAGCAAUCAAGUAUGUUACCGUUUGAAUCCAAUCUGAUGUUUGGUAACGGUGAUUGAAAACUGUUAUUGGAAAUAUCCAUGACCGGGAAAAGAAGAUUGAAGGUAUACAUUAUUAAAUAUGAUAAAAUAAUAAUAUAUAUUAUAAAAUAAAAUGGUAAGAUAAAUGAGUUACCAUUUGAAAUGUUAGAUAACGAAGUUCUAACAUUUAGACGUGAAGGAGAAGUUUGGAAAUUUGAUUUUUUUGACACAUUGGCACUUGAUGUAGAUGCGGAUAGGUUUUUAUUUCAAUGCACAAUUCCUUUGAAUUUGUCUGCAAAUAAAAAAAUUGUUAUAACAAAUGGAUAAAUUUUAAAUAAUAAUGUAAUUUUUCAAAUAUUCUAUGAAUAUUAAUAUACAAAAUACAUGACACAAAAAAUGAGCAUGUAAGAAUUUUCAUUUUACAUAUUUAAAUAAAGAAUAAAGAAUAAAAGUGUAUAACCAAUUAAGUAAAUUACCAUUUCCCUUCAUUUUAAAAAGAUGUGAUGUUGAUGAAGUUGUAUGAAUUCAUUCGGUCAUAACUUUUUUUUUAUUGUCCAAGUAUAAUUUUCUUAUUUUUCUUUUUUCUGUAGCCUGAACAUGAUAGAUGUUCCUAUUUGAAUCUGUAUAAGCAUAUAUACACACAUAAAAUAGUUAUAUUCAGAUUAAAAACAUUGAUAAAGAAAGUUGUAAAAUAUAUAAUGAACGUACUGUUAUCACCUGGGUUAGUAACAUUUGUAGAAGAUGGAAUUCGACCGACUGAUGUAGUGUACAAAGGUAAUUGUUUUGUAUUAUCCAGAUAGAAAUUAUUUAAUUUUAUCUUCUUAUUAGUCUUAAAAGAGUCCAUGUUAGUAGCUGCUAUCUGAAAUGGAAAAAGAAAUAUAACUUUAUACAAAAACAUUAUAUAUUGAAAAUUAUUUUCAAAUUUAAGAAUAAAUAAAUAAAUAUUUCAAAUUUAAAAUAGUAUGCAAUAAACCCAAAGAAAAGAAAGUAUUAUGUAUUAUUGAUGUGCACAAAAGUACCCACUAAUUUUAAUAUUUAUAACCUAACAAACUUAGAAUAACUAUGCACUUAUAGGCAGUGUACCUAGUCAGAUUACAAUAUAGCUUAGGUAAGUCGGGUGUCGAUCACAGGGAACGGUGGUGAAUUAAUUUAAUAUAUUUGAUUAUAGGUUACAGGUCACAUGAAAAGAAUAAAGAAAUAGUUUAAUAAAUCUCAAACUAACAAUUAAUUAACAACUUUGGAUAAACUAACUGGAAAGCAAAUCUCUUCAGGUACUUUGGUUUAGAUAAAUUACACCUUAAAAAACAUAGACAAUUGUAUACACAAGUUCAUUUAUUCAUGUUCACCGAUUCCUAAAAUGAUUAGAUUCGCGUUCACUAUAACUAAUCCUUUAGCAAACAAGUCAAUUCAAACAGUGAUCAGUUGAUUAAACUAACAUGCUUCCUAGUGUUCAGUUCGUAUCAAGCAAGACUUGUAAAUAUAGUUAAUCAAAUUACUAAUUCAAUUUAACCUCUUGUUGAUGGUCAUCAAACAAGGCUCACACAUUAACUUACUUAUUCCCAAGUUAAUCCUAGUUUCACAUUCGUUAUUCCUAGACUUAUAAUCUCGAUGGUCAUCAAAAUCAUAAGAGACAAGCAAUCAAACAGAUGUUCAUAUAACUCAAUUUACUUAACAAUUAACAUCAAAUAAUUAUCAUUAAUACGUAAGGAUCUUUUAACAAGCUUGGCAAGAUAAAUUAAACAUAAACAAACAAUUCAAUAUAGCAAUUAGUCUAAUAAUCAAGGUUUCAUUCAAUCAUAAACACAAAGUAAAAGGUUUUUACACCCAAAUCAGAAACUAAAUACAGAAUAGUAACACAAUGGAAUGCUAAACAUGGUCACGUUAACAACCCAUAUGAUUACCGACAUGUAUCCACUCUCCAACCCUUCCGAUCUUCACUCCUGUUAGCUUAACGGCCUUCCGGCCGCCUUCUAGACCCUCAAAACGGCUUAACAGAAGUUUAAUAUCGACUAAAUUAGGUUGGAAGUCGAAUCCCCCCUUCUGGUUAGCUGAUAAUCGACUUUUAUAACCUUUGUAACCGACUUACGUACGCUGGGCGUACUAAGGGUUUAUACGCGAUUGGAGUUAUCCGAUGCCAGCCGUUACGUGGGGCAUACACAAGAAUUACGCUGGGCGUAACUCGUCUUAGCCAUUACGCUUGGCGUACAAGUAAAUUACGCGGGGUGUAAUCGUUCCUCCAGCAUUUUCCUUUCUUUUAGCCUCUAAGCCUGAUUUCCGCUUCAGUCUUUUCUUUUGUGCUUUAUCGACAACGAAUAGCUGCAAAUCAUAAUUUAAAGCAUUAUGAGUACUUUUUAGUUCUAAAAGAGAAUAAUAAAGGCCAAAAUAUUAAGAUAUAAUGCAUAAAAAUAUAUAUAAAAAUACACAUAUCCAAAUACCCCACACUUAGUCUUUGCUUGCCCCCAAGCAAAUUUUAAUUUUAUUUUACCAUUAUCGCAUUAAACAAUCCAUUUAAAACUCAACCAUUAUGCCAAGACCUCAACGCAUGCAUUUGUGUCUAAAAUUUUCCUAAAAUACCCCCCUACUUUAAAUACUCACAAUCUUCAUAAACACUUGCCCACUUUUUACGAACAAUGCUCAUUUUAUGCAACCCUCCGAAUCCAUCCGCAGAAAACCUCCUUAUCCUCAAGGUAUUUUCCUUGAUAAUUUGAUCUUUGAUUUCUUUGAAUUCACCAUCUUAUUUGAAUUGAUUUCUGGUAUCUUCAACUUUUUUGAAUUUCUUGGAAUUUUGAUCUAAUUCUUCACUUUAUUCGCUCCAAAAUUCUUCAAACUUUUCUUGCAAUUCUUUUUUUUUUUCUUUUAACAUGUACCUCACUUUUUUCACUCAAAACCUACAAGCUUAAGCAGAGGCGCUCAACCUCAACCUUUAUCGGUUAACGAUAAUAAUUUUCCUGGAUACAUUUCAGGUUUAGGCUGCUAAACAUAUUGCAUCCCUCAAACCAAGCGGGGUUAUGUUUUUGUUCCAUGAUUUCACUAAAAUAAGGGAGGCCACAAAUGCACUAUAACGUAUAUUGGCUCAACUAAACAUUUGAGUUCUCAUCGGAUCAUCUCAUACAAUAUUAGCAAAAUUUAAAUUAUCACUAGAUUUUUCUAAAUUAAACUAUUAUUUCAAGUUUUAAAAUUUUUAAAUUUCCUAAAUCUAGCAAUUUCCUAACUAUUAUUUUAUUUUUAUAAUUUACUAUUACCGACCCCCUACCCCACACUUAUUUCAUACAAUGCCCUCAUUGUAUGCUAAAACGAAUUAAGAACAUAAAAAGGGAGAAAAAGGAACAGACUCCCCUGGGUAGUUGUGGCGAGAUCGAAUGGGGCUGCUACAAGUUGCUCCAAAUAUCGCUGAAAGACUGAAAACUGAACUGCUGCUUCUGAAUUUGUCGAAAAAUAAAAUCAAGACUGCCGACUUCAAAAAAUGUGGUGCACAAUAUUGCAAGUAAAUGCAAUGUGUAGUAACCAUGACGUGGGAAAGUGUUGACCACAUCAUGUCUUCAAAAAUGACAUCCUCUUCUCGCGAUGAAAAAUCCUCCACAGCAUAGGAAAGUGUCAGCCAUGUCGUGGCAGCCGGGAUGAUACGUCUUCCUCGCGUCAAAAUAGAACUCUAUGGUGUGGGAACAGCUCAUCAUACCAUAAAAGGUAAAAUAUCGUAAAAAUGCCAAUCGUCUAAAUGAACGCUCACGAAAUCAAUAUGCACCCCACACUUAUGACAAAUUGUGGGUCUUGACUAUACUUUUCGAACUCUCACACGACUCUCUCUAGCAACAGUCGGACCUAGCUGCUAAACUUACUGCCAGCUUUCUAAGGGCGAAAAUUCUGCAGAGAUCUAAACAACCAAAGAGCAUCAACAUGGAAAACAAAAAUAGAACAUCCUAAAUUAAAGUUUAAUUACAUACCAAAUAAAAAACUAAAACUAGAAACACAAAAAUAAACUAAAAAUAACAUAAAAAUAAAAAGGAUAACUAAAUCACUCAUCAUCUCCAUCAUCAUGCUGCUGUGUCCCAGAAGUACCGGCCCCAUCAUGUCGUGGCCGGAAUGGUGGAGGGUAAGGAACCGAGUACUGAAACCCCUAGUGGGAAAAGAAUACGGUCAACGCAUCCCCAUACCACUAUUGUUGCCUGUCCACAUGUGCAACAUACUCACUAAGGUUCUGAACCCUCAUGUCAAGACAGUCAAUGCCCUGAGCUAGGUAGCGCAUAUCAAUCUUCGGCUCAGGUCCCUGUUGCGCUCCCCGAGGAGCAGGUCUACGCUGCUGGACCCGUCUCGGCUGUGGCUCGGCAGCACCCUCCUCGUCCGCCACAUCAUCUGCUCGUACNNNNNNNNNNNNNNNNNNNNNNNNNNNNNNNNNNNNNNNNNNNNNNNNNNNNNNNNNNNNNNNNNNNNNNNNNNNNNNNUGAUCUCUCGUUAACAACUGAUAUGAUCGGGCUAGUCGCGUGAUAAAAUGCCCUCUGCACAUCGGGCUAUCCUCCCGAAGUCCCCUGGCCCUCUGUCCCAAAUAUGCAGCUAAAGCAACUGGAAGGUUCAGGUGCCUCCCUGGAGUAACAAGUGCCCAUAGGAAAUACAAGUCUAUCGAAGGCACUCUCUCACUAUUCUUAUGAUGCGUGAGAGUCAUGGAAAUCAACCGGUGCAACAGUCUAUAUGUAGUAGACCGAAUCAUCCUACCCCGUGCAGUAGAUGGCGUAUAAACUCCCCCUGUAAUCUCAGCCCAAAAAGUGUGCUCAUUAUAUUCAUCUGGCCGCUCCGUGAGACAAUCAGCAAGGAAUGUCGGGAAGUGGACACUCCUCGUCUCAUCUGCUGUGUAUAUACCCACUCAAGUCGCAAGCUCUAUGACACUGCACUCCCGACUCACACCCCCCAGUCUAAAGGCAAAAGUUGUCCUAUCAUCGGGUGCCUUCCUAGGAUCAUAGGAAACUGUAGCGUAAAACUCCAACAAAAAUUCCCGAUAAACAGGCUCCUGGAUCCUGAACAAUCGUGCCCACCCCUGCCAUACGAACAAUUCCACUCCAAUCGCGUCCGAGUGCGUGUAUUGCAAAAAAAUCCUGGAUCAGUGUAGCAAGUCCAGUCCAGGUCGCCAAUUCCCAGUCGAAUGAUGGUGCUAUGUCGAUCUCCUUGGUGAGCAGCAAACUCAAACUGUUGACAUAUCGUGCCCGGGUUGCAUCGUUCAGAGUUUGCGGAAAUUGUAAGAAACGNUCAGAGUUUGGGAAAUUGUAAGAAACGGUGAUCGGUCACAUCCUCGGGUGGGUUGGUCCUUUGAGUUCUUCGGGCCAUAAUCUGCACACAUAAACACAAAACCAAACAAAAUAUAACAGCAUUAAAAAAAUUUUAAACCAAAAAAAAAUGGUGCUGGAUAUGGACUGUACGCUGGGCGUACGUCCAGGUUCCACGAAUAUGUGUUCUGCUUCCUUUUCUUGUGCUAAAGUUAUAACCCAUAUCAAAAAAUUUCAAAUUAACCAACUGCAAGCAAUAAACACAGCAGGGCAAACACAUGGGGCAUAUCGAGCUUCGUGGUCCAAGACAGUAGAAAAACGGGACCACUCUAAAAAAUAUGAACCAUUCUCCUGUUCGUUCCUUAUCUUAUCAAGAUUAGAAAGCACUACAAAAGAAAAACUUCAUUGGGGCAGUCAAGAAUCGAAGUCAACAGGGUUACGCUUAGCGUCCGUCCCCGAGCUCAAAAUGAUGGGUCUAUCACGGGAUUAAGACCAAAUUAGGUACUAGGGUUUAGUCCAUUGAUGGAAAUCGGUCUUUUUAAGUCCUAAUCAAAACAUACAAUUAUGAAAUCGGCCCUAAUUCAAGAACCCUAUAAACCCUAGAUUUCGAACAAAGGCAUUUUGCAGCUUAUUCCAUCGAUUUAAACACAAAUCCAAAACAUUGAGUAACCGAAAAACUUACCUGUGUGCUGAAUUUUACAAGAAAAGAAGCAAAAUUGAAAAUCCUUGGGAGAGCUUGCCGUCACAGUUCGUGUGUGCGAAGGAAAGGAUUUUGAAAAAGUAACAAAAAAGUCAAGGGUCAAAAGAUAUAACCUGGUCACCGAUUUACGCUGGGCGUAAAACAAGGUUACGCUGGGCGUAACUCCAACUCCAUGAAAAGUCCAUCCGCGAUCCGGGGUUUAUUACGCUUGGCGUAAUUAAAAUUACGCUGGGCGUAAUGAAGUAUUCCUUUUCUUUAACUGAAAUUUCUUUUCUUUUAACUAUUUAAUUAAGGGACUAAAAACUUAAUUAUUUUUCUUUUUAAUUUCUUCAGCAACUGAUGACUUUCCGAUGAGUAAAAAAAAUGAGACGUCAUAAUCACUUAUCUUUGUCAAGAUCAAACAACAAUGGUUGAUUAAAAACCUUUGCACGCAAGAAUUGGUUUGCGAAAACACCCACUUUCGGGACCCGUUAGAAUAUUUCCUUUGUUUUCUUUGCACCUUUAACUAAAAGCGGAACAAGAAGUGACCUAACUAGUCAAGAACAGCAAGAGUUCGGUCUUCCACUUAACCACCACAAUACGCCUUACUAUACUACGCCUCAUGGAUUGAGUUGGACAAAUCAACAAAGUAGUAAGCCAACCAGGUCAAGAAUUUCCUAAUCGCUUGGAUUCUCGAAACCCAUGCAAAAAGUAAAGUCAAGCAAUGUGUACAAUCCCAAAUUCCUGCAAUUAACAACAAGAACCUUCCCGACAAGUGAAAUGAUAUCAACGAAAACCAAACUAAAAAUAAAAACUAACUAAAAACAAAUAACGAAUAAUCAAAAAAACUAAAUUAAUGACAAGCUGUUCCCGGCAACAGCGCCAAAAACUUGAUGUGCACAAAAGUACCCACUAAUUUUAAUAUUUAUAACCUAACAAACUUAGACUAUCUAUGCACUUAUAGGCAGUGUACCUAGUCAGAUUACAGUAUAGCUUAGGUAAGUCGGGUGUCGAUCACAGGGAACGGUGGUGAAUUAAUUUAAAAUAUUUGAUUAUAGGUUACAGGUCACAUGAAAAGAAUAAAGAAAUAGUUUAAUAAAUCUCAAACUAACAAUUAAUUAACAACUUUCGAUAAACUAACAGGAAAGAAAAUCUCUUCAGGUACUUUGGUUUAGAUAAAUUACGCCUUAAAAAACAUAGACAAUUGUAUACACAACUUCAUUUAUUCAUGUUCACCGAUUCCUAAAAUGAUUAGAUUCGUGUUCACUAUAACUAAUCCUUUAGCAAACAAGUCAAUUCAAACAGUGAUCAGUUGAUUAAACUAACAUGCUUCCUAGUGUUCAGUUCGUAUCAAGCAAGACUUGUAAAUAUAGUUAAUCAAAUUACUAAUUCAAUUUAACCUCUUGUUGAUGGUCAUCAAACAAGGCUCACACAUUAACUUACUUAUUCCCAAGUUAAUCCUAGUUUUACAUUCGUUAAUCCUAGACUUCUAAUCUCGAUGGUCAUCAAAAUCAUAAGCGACAAGCAAUCAAGCAGAUGUUCAUACAACUCAAUUUACUUAAUAAUUAACAGCAAAUAAUUAUCAUUAAUACGUAAGGAUCUUUUAACAAGCUUGGCAAGAUAAAUUAAACAUAAACAAACAAUUCAAUAUAGCAAUUAGUCUAAUAAUCAAGGUUUCAUUCAAUCAUAAACGCAAAGUAAAAGGUUUUUACACCCAAAUCAGAAACUAAAUACAGAAUAGUAACACAAUGGAAUGCUAAACAUGGUCACGUUAACAACCCAUAUGAUUACCGACAUGUAUCCGCUCUCCAACCCUUCCGAUCUUCGCUCCCGUUAGCUUAACGGCCUUCCGACCACCUUCUAGACCCUCAAAACGGCUUAAAAGAAGUUUAAUAUCGACUAAAUUAGGUUGGAAGUCGAAUCCCCCCUUCUGGUUAGCUGAUAAUCGACUUUUAUAACCUUUGUAACUGACUUACGUAUGCUGGGCGUAAGUCGGAUUACGCUGGGCGUACUAAGGAUUUAUACGCGAUUGGAGUUAUCCGAUGCCAGCCAUUACGCGGGGCGUACACAAGAAUUACGCUGGGCGUAACUCGUCUUAGCCAUUACGCUUGGCGUACAAGUAAAUUACGUGGGGCAUAAUCGUUCCUCCAACAUUUUCCUUUCUUUUAGCCUCUAAGCCCGAUUUCUGCUUCAGUCUUUUCUUUUGUGCUUUAUCGACAACGAAUAGCUGCAAAUCAUAAUUUAAAGCAUUGUGAGUACUUUUUCGUUCUAAAAGAGAAUAAUAAAGGCCAAAAUAUUAAGAUAUAAUGCAUAAAAAUAUAUAUAAAAAUACACAUAUCAAUUAUGUAUUAUCAAUAUUAAUUUUUCUUCAAAAUAAGUUGAAUAUAUCAAGAUAAAAAGUAUAUUCAAACUAAGAAAAUAAACCAGAAACACACAUACAAUAUUUUUGAACAACAAAAGCAUAAAAGUACAUACAAAAAAUAUAAAGACAAAGAAUUUACCAUUAUGUCCCUAGAGUACUAAUAAUGAGAAGAACAAAGAGAAACUGAAAUAUAAAUUUAUAUAGUUGCACUCAUGAAUGACUAAAAUAACACGAAAUGUAUUAAUUGUCAAUGUGGUUGAGCGCAAAUUACCAUUAUGUCCCUGGAGUACUAAUAAUAAAAACAAAAAUUAUAAAAUCCUUAAAAUAGUUCUAUAGAUGGUAUACUGGUAAUUAAAACAAUCAGUUUUUCCACAUGCCUCUUAAAAAAUCAUUUACAACCAUAAAUAAGUUUACCAAUAUACCCGUAACACAUUAAUUUUGUAUAUGUAAUAUGUAAGAUAUGAGAUAUAUGUGGCGAGGGCAUUUUCGUCCUUUAAACAUACUUAUAACAAUUAACAAACCUCAUGAUACAUUAUAACAGUGGAUAAUGGAUCGACAUACAUAUAUACUUUUCCUUUUAAUGAAGAGGCGUGAAAUAUGCAAUUGACAGAAAUGCCCCUUCUACAAGACACACCUAUUUAAAUUGCAUAAAACCACACCGCUUAACCUAUUUAUUCAUAUUUGAUGUUAGAGUUCUAUAAUUACCAAGGUGUUUUUAUCUUUUACUUAAUAGAAAUAUGUCUCGAUCAAGUAAGUUCAGGUAUAUGUUUUUUUUAUCUAAUGCAAAUAUAAUGACAUAAUAAGUAAAAUAAGAGAAAAACUACAAAAUAUUGGGUAAAAUUAAAAAACGAGCCACACCCUUUAAACAAACCAUCAUUGGGUUAUCAAAAUCAGUAACAUGAAUGUAGUCACUAUAAAUUAUAUGCAAAUAGGUAUACAUGAGAAAUAGCUAAAAUGAAAAAUGAUAACUACCUCCACCUUAUAGUUUAUAAAAAAUAAGGCAAACACCUUAACUACAUGCAUAGAUACUCUACUCCCAAUACUAAAGAAAUUAGUCUACAAAUGGCUUUAGUUAAUAUGUUUUUGGUUUAAACCGGUUCAGAUCAAUGACAAAAAAAUAUAAUUAUAGUAAAACAUGACAGAAAUGCCCCUUAAUUCAAAAUGGGACCAAUCAAUCAAGUAAUACAAAAUACAAUCACGUAAUACCUAAGCAGAGAAAAUAUAACACAAAAAACAGAAAAAAAAUUUAUUUCUAUAAAACAUGACAGAAAUACCCCCGAACUAAAAAAAUAAAAAUAAUCAAAAUUACAUUUCUAUUCGUAUGAGUUUGACGGUACUUUUAGGUUUCUUUGUGUAAUCCGUCAAUGAAUCUGGCCUAUGAGUUUGACGGUACUUUUAGGUUUCUUUGUGUAAUCCGUCAAUGAAUCUGGCCUAUAAACAUGACCUGAACCAAUUUUUUUACUUGGUGAACCAAUUUAAUAGAAAAAAAAAUUUGUUCUAAUUACCAUUCUACCAUUUGUAACUUGGGAAUGAUUAAUUAACAUACAAAGGUGAAUUUUCUCUACCUGCUGCCUUACGUUCAAAAUGACAAAAUUGUAUUGGUAAACAUGAACCAAAAUGGACAAAGGUUUCAAUUUUGGACAAACACAGUAAAAAUAUGAACCAAAACAAUAAACAUUGAUAUAAUUUUGCGAUGGUAUUAUCUCCAAAAGAAUAAAAAAUUUCAAUUUUGCGAUGAUAUAGUUUCAAUUUUGCGAAGAAGCAACGUAAGCAGUAAACCAGAUUGCGGUGAGAGAGAGAGAGAGAGGGCCUGCCGCCUGCGAUUGGUAAUUUGUGAUGGUAUCUCUCGACCGAGAAAGGGGAGCGAUUGAUGAACAGAACCAUAUUAAGAGGAAUUAUGAUUGUCAAAUAAGUUUUUGAUCGUUCUUUUGAUCGUUGUUAUUUAGGACAAUAUCUCAUAGUGAAAUACGAAUAAGGUAUCAGUUAAAGUGUCACACACACGCAUACACAUUAAGAAGCAUAAAUAACUUUCAAUUUUGCGAUUAACACAGACAUUGAGAAGCAGGGGCUUACAUAUACACAAUGAGAAGCAGAAUUGAGAAGCAGAAACUUACCGAAGGAUUGAAGUCGUUGACACAGACUCCAAUAACUGAAGUGUCGAUGAUGCUUGAUUGUUGGAAGACAAUGCUGUAAAGAACCUUGGAAACACGAUGCUAUAAAUAAAUUAAGAAGCAGAAUUGAGAAGAAGAAACUGAAAUCGAGAUUGAAGUCUAAGAUUGAAUAUCCGAUAAAUAAUUAGUCCAUGAUUCAGAAACUUGAAAACAUAAUGCUGUAAAGAAAUAUUGAUUAUCAUAUUUUUGAAAUAUAUAUUGACAAUAAUAUGAUCAAAUCGACAUAAUAAUCAAAAUUAAAUGUAAUCGAUGUGAUUGAUAUGGAUACCAUAAUAACAUGCUCUUAAUCGGGUAAGAAAUGAUUUUGAGUUAAUGUGUACAACUGGUAGCAAAGAUAAAAAUCGGUAAUUAAAAUAGGGAGUUAUAUGGAUUCCAUAUUGGAUUCAAUAUUCAAUUUCAAAUUUCCAUAUUCCACAUCGAUUACUACGUGAAACAAUAAAAUAACAAAAACGGUAUUUUACAUUUGUAGAAUACUAAUUAAUUGCAGAAUACUGAUUUUUUGAAGUUUAUAAUUUCACUAUAAAAAACUGUAAUAACAUAACCAUUUUUAUUUUUCUGAUUUAUUUGAAGUAAUUUAGACUUAUAAUACCUGAAAUAGUGGUAUGUGUUUUAGAGUUUUGUACAAGAGCAUUGUGUUUUUUAAAAGUAUUUACAUAUCUACGGUACUUUUAAAUUUAUUUACUAAAAGAUUGUAAAAUUUUAAAAUUCAUGUGGACCUAUCCCUUUUAUACCAAAAAUAUAAGAAAUUAAUUAUGCGCCUCCCCACCGCUCAUUUUUCUCGCAUUUGUCGCUGGAAAAUGAUGGCCAACAAGAUAAUUUCAAAACAUUAUAAAAAGAUUUCUCUUUCGCUUGUUUGCUCGCUAGAAAAUGAAAACAAACAUAAACGGUCAUAAAUAAAAACAACCAAACACGAAUUAAAUAUAUUGACAGAUUUAGAUUCUUCCGGCUGCGAACUUGGUUUGCUCAUUGGAAUAUGAAUACAACCAAACAAUUUGGAAAUCGAAAAGGAAAUUGUUGGAAAUGCACCACGUUCAUAGAUCUUGUGCCAAAACAUUUCUCGUAUAUAUUUGUUUCAAACAUUGGUCGUUCAAUCAAUGUCAUAUAACUUGGAAAUUUGGAGGGGGGAGGGGUUGUUUAACAGAUGAUACCGAGGGUUAUGAAUGGGUUAGUCGGUGGCAAGGCGGAUGUAGAGGUUCAUCCGCAGUGUGGUUUGGGGAGAAUUUCAGCAGUGUUUUGGAGUUGACGAUGUCGGACGGUGAUCGUGUCAUAGGUGUAAACACUGCACAACACAACAUGUAGACUAGGUAUUACUGGCAAUGCUUGUUAUGAAAAAAAUAAAAAACCAGUAGACUUCAAUCGUUGAAGCAGGGAAAAUGUGGUUGUGGUAGGUUCAAUGGAUGUAUGCGCACUCAUGCACAGUAGGGGUUUGCAGCGGUGCUAAGGGUUGCCAAAUGGUUUUGCAAGUAAUGUGAGCAUCAAAAGACAAUUAACAUGAUUUCAUUUAUUUUAUUUAAGUACAAUUAAAUGGGAAAUAAUUUUAAAAGUACUAUAUUAUAGUAAAUAUUUUUCUUAACCGCUACCUUUUAGUAAAAAACUAUGUGUUUUAAACAGGUAUAACUGUAUAAAAAACCUAAGAGUUUGCAGAGGUUCAUGGGAUUACAUCUUAGUGGUAUGUGCUUUAAGGGUAAACACAUUUUUCUUCUUUUAGGCUAGAUUUAUUACAUCACAAGGAAUCCCGUGGCGAGGGCAUUUUCGUCCUUAGGAUAUAUAAAUUUUGUUUCCGGUACUGUUUUGUACUUUGUAGUGCUUAAGAAACGGGAAGAUAUGAUUAAGUUGUGAAUGAUCUGGAUCCAUAUCAAUGAUCCGGUACUAUUCUACCCUUUGUAAGAGAAAAACACAUAAAGUCACAAACUAUAUACCCCUGUUGUGAAAAUUACCAAUAUGUCACUAUAAAAAAAUGAGCAUUAUUUUGAACAGGUUGUUCUAAUUACCAUUCUACCCUUUGUAACUAGAGAAUGAUUAGUUAAUAUGUCAUGCAUUGUUUCCUCCUGUUGCGUGUUCAAUAUUAUAACAAUCAAUAAACAAUUUUAAUGGAAUUUAAAUGAUUGAAAUUGUAGAGAUGAACAAAAGAAUUGACAAAGGGCAAAAUUGACAUCUAAUGCAUUGUUUCUUCCUGUUGCGUGUUCAAUAUCAUGACAAAUCUCAUUUGACAGCUUCAUUACAAUUUUUGUUUCAUACAUUACCUCAAAUAAUAUACAAGCACAUUCCCAAGAAUGCAUUCACCGAUAUACCAUUUUAUUGUGAAAAUUACCAAUAUGUCCAUGUACAAAAAAUGAGUAUUAUUUUCAACAGGAUUUUAUUGAAUUUAUUCAUAUUUGAGACAUCUUUUUUAUAGAGCAAAUAUACUUAUAACACGAAAAUGAAAAGUAGAAUGGUAUAUUUUUUAAUUUUUUUGAAUUUUAUUGCAAAUAUAUUGGUAAAAAAAAUCUUUAAAAACAUAAUGGUUUCCUUCUUUUACACUAUCAAUAGACACACAUAUAUUAAAAGAAGAUUAAUCUAAUUACAGGCAUAACCCAAAAAGCAGUUUUUUACUUAAGAUAGAGAUUAGCAGCGUAAAGAAACCAAGAACUAUCAAUGUUUGAAUACUGAACACCACGAAGAGCAAAACUGUCAAACAAAAUCCCCAAAAAAAAUAAUUCAAGAAUAUUGUUGGUGCAUAAAAAGGACAAUCUAAAAUUACUUUUCAAGCUUUGGUAUUAAUAGACCUGUGUUUCCAUCCACCCUGGAAUUCAAGCGAGGUAUUUUUGUCGACGAAUUCACAUUAUCAUACUCAUCAAUAUCAAUGCUAUCUCCAACGUUUCGCUUUUUUACCAUUGUGGGCGAAUUAAACUUGAACGGACUUGUAGCUUCUAUUUGUCAUGCAUGGAAGGGGUCAAAUUAUCACUGGUUUGUUAUAUCGCGUCCUUAAAGCAAAAACCCGAAACAGCGUUAGUACGAUAAUAUUAACAAAUUAACAAAAAAAUAAUUUAUAAAAGGAAUUUAUAUAAAAUUAAAAAAUGUGGAUUUAUAUUAUAACCUUUAAUGACUUUGUUUCAUGAGAUGCUUCGUGAGAUGCGAUUUUGUAUCGUCAGCAUUUGUAGAAUUACCUCCCUGCUUCAAAAGUUUAAAUAUGUAUUAUCAUUUGUGGGAUUAAAUUUUUGUUCCAUCAAGAUUUACAAUUAAUUAGUGACGAUCAUUAAAUAAAAGUAUGCAUCAUAAUAAUUAAUUAAUUUUCAAAAAACAUAAAAAUAUAUGUAUAUAAAUACCUCAACAGCUAACUUUUUUUCCAAAACAUUGAUAAUGUUACUAUCAAGCGUAUAGCCAAGUAUCCCAAAACGAUUGUAGUUAUUGGAUACGUUAAAACUAUUAACAUCUAACACGAAUGCCAUCUUUUUAUGCACCAGACAGUUGAGGUCAUAAGGAUACAAUCUCGGAUCAUCACCAGCCUGGAAAGAAUGAGUUAUGUAAUAUUAUUAUGGUUAAAAGCACAUUAAUAUAGAUAAAAUCAAAUAGAUAAUAGAAUUUAAUAAAACAAAUAAUAUAUUUAUAGUAUGUCUGUUUGAUUUUCUCUAUGGGUUCACUUGCACGUUUUUUGACGAGUUUAUAAGCAUCUCUAUCAAACAUAGUGAGUGUGAUUGUUCCAGAUUCAUCUUGGACACGAAUAGGUAUUUUAUACCUACAAAAAAGUACGACAUAAAUAUCAUAUUAAAUAUUAAAUAUGUUUAAUGUGUAAUGUUUGUUAAUGUAUUUAAUUUGUGGGUGAACUAUUGUUAAAUUUUAAAAACCUUGGAACUGAAGAUAUCUCCUUUUUUUACACUUAGAAUUAUAACAUUCAACAACCACACUUGCAUCACCACUAUCUGGACCGCUGAAAACGUUUCUUGGUUCAACCUUCCUUCCACAUUUUGAACACGCAUCAUAAUACCAAUCAAUAUCUUGUCGGAUACCAUAAAUGGUACCAACAAUGAUAUAUUUCCCGACCUUAAAAAAUAUAAAAUACAAAAAGAAUCAUAAAAAAAAAUACAAUUAUAAUAUUAUAAUAAACGAAUAAUAGAUAACAAAAUCACAUUAAAAAAAACUAAAUUAUUCACAUACCUCUUGUGGUUCUAGCAAAUCGACAACAUUUUUAACGUUGUGAUUUGUCAAAAAGUCAUCAUAUUCAUUGCAUGAUUGAGAGCUAUCAACGGUCAAAGAAGAAGAAGGAUUUUGAAUUCCUCGUAAUCCAACCAUGUUGUUUUUUUUAUUUGAUAGAUUAAUUAUGAAAUUAGUAAAAUUAUUAAAAAGAAACAAAAAAAACAAUGAAUUAUUAAAAUAGAUUGUUACCUAUCUGUGAAUGUAACAAUUUCGGGAAGAUCAACAUUUAUGAACAUCGGUGUGUGUUUAUAAUAACUGUUAAAAUAGUUAAAAUAAUGAGCAAUAUAAAAGCCUAAAAUAACAAAGGGGUCCUUUUAUAAGAAAUGUACCGUUAUAGACAUUAAGUCUUGCAAACUGCAAAAUAACAACCACACGACCAACUUCUUUAUGUGCUUCAAGAUAAGAAAUCAAUUGGUAUGCAAUAUCUCCAAACAAUGUGACGUUAACCUGCAAACCUCUGCAAAAACAGUACGGGUUAAAUGAUAAUAUAAUAAUAAAAUUACAUAUGGCAGUUGUAACCUAAUCAAUUUAAUAUAUAAUAAUAAUAAUAAUAAUAAUAAUAAUAAUAAUAAUAAUAAUAAUAUAAGAUAUAAUAUAAGAAAAGUUAUGAUUUGUAAAGUUAGCCGAUGUUUGGAUUUGCUGACAUCACGGGAAUCAAGCUUUCCUAACGAAACAACUUCACCAAUAACAUCUACAAAAUGAUAAUACAAUAUGUCAAAAUGAUGUAAAAUUAAAGAAUUAAAUAUAAGAUGCAAUUAAAUAGGGGAAACAUUUACCAAUUGAGUUAUUAGAUGUAGCUGUUGCAGAAAUAAUGCUUUCAAACGAUACACAACAAAAGUCAUAUGUUGUUUUGGACUAAAAAGUUAGACAAUCAUUAACAGUUUUUCGUCCAUGCAAGUUUAACUUGGAGAGUACAUCACUUAUUUUAAAAAUGUAUCUGUUUGGAGCUAUAGUGGGGGAUCGGAUGUAAAUUGCUUUAUCUUCUUUCAGUUUUAAAAGUGUAUCUCUUGGGUAGACACUUGCUCGGAUUUUUGUACCCUAUUCACAUAUCGUAAGAAUAUUAUAUAUAUUGCGAAACAAUUGUAUAUUAAUUUAUAUAAAUUGGUCAACAUUGAAUCAAUUAUUUGACCAUGAAUGAUUUUAAAUAAUAUUAUUGGAAUGAGCAAAUAAACAAAAAAAAAUAAUUUUGAAUAAUGUAAUUAGAAUAGGAUAUUUUACCAUCUCAUCCAUUAAUAUCAUUUCAAGUGCUUUGACAAUACUAGGGUUAACUUUGGAUAAUGAUCUCCACAGCCGGAUAAUACACACUUUUAGUGUUUAAUCAUCCCUCAUGUUGUCUAAGUCUUUGAUCAAAGUGACAUUUCUAUCUGCCAUUGUCACUAUAAUAGAAAGACAUAACAUAUUAAGAAAAAAUAAUGGAACAAAAUUACACAAAAAAUAUAAAGACAAACAUAAUUACAAUUAUGUCCCUGGAGUAGUAGGCGGAUAAAAAGAUUCUGAAUAAUACAAUAAAUUAUUAUAAAACAUUCAAACAUAUUCAAACAAACUAUAUACCGCUGCUGUGAAAAUUACCAAUAUGUCCCUGGAGUUGUAGGCGGAUAAAAAGAUGAAAAACAAACAGGGCAUUUUCGUCCAUUGAACUUACUUAUAACAUGAAAAAUAAAAGUACAAUGCCAUUAUAUGUAAUAUUUUCGAAUUUUGUUGCACAUAUAAUUUUUUUUUUUGUACUGUACUGUUGGAAUACAUUUUUCUUUCCUUCUGUUAUUUUACUUUGUAACUAUUGGAACUAAUGUUUAUUAUGUUAUAUAAAGAUAAGCAUUGAUGGAAAGGAUACUAUUAGGGAGGAUGAUGUUGAUGAAUUGACUUCCAAUUCCAUAGUUACAGAUUAUGAAAUAUCAAGCAUAUCAGGUUCAGAACUAAAAUAGAACAAAAUUACACAGAAAGACAUAACAUAUUAAGAAAAAAUAAUGGAACAAAAUUACACAGAACAUAUAAAGACAAACAUAAUUACAAUUAUGUCCCUGUAGUAGUAGGUGGAUAAAAAGAUUCUGAAUAAUGCAAUAAAGUAUUAUAAAACAUUCAAACAUAUUCAAAUAAACUAUAUACCCCUGAUGUAAAAAUUACCAAUAUGUCCCUGGAGUAGUAGGCAGAUAAAAAGAUGAAAAACAAACAGGGACAACCUCAGUGAUUCAAGCAUAUCAGGUUCAGAAAAAACAAAAAACAGAGAAUUAGAUAAAAAGAUGAAAAUACAUUCUCCAUAUUUUACAGAUUUACAGAUUAUGAUAUAUCAAGCAUAUCAGGUUCAGAAAAACAAAAAACAUAGAAUUUGACAGCCUCAGUGAUAAAAUCGGUAAUUAUAAGUAAAACAAUAACAUACAACGUUAAUGUGGCCUAAGUCCUAAUUCAUAUAAAUCUGAUUAUUUACCAAUCGCAGGCGUACCUUCAAUAGUUCAAUGGGAUAGACUCGAAGAAGCAACGUAAGCAGUAAAGCAGAUUGCGAUGGGGGUAGAGAGAGAGAGAGAGGGCAUGCCGCCUGCGAUUGGUAAUUUGCGAUGGUAUCUCUCGACUAAGAAAGGGGAGCGAUAGAUGAACAGAACCAUAUUCAGACGAAUUAUGAUUGUCAAAUAAGUUUUUGAUCGUUCUUUUGCAAUUAACACAGACAUUGAGAAGCAGGGGAUUACAUAUACACAAUGAGAAGCAGAAUUGAGAAGAAGAAACUUACCGAAUGAUUGAAGCCGCUGAUUGAAUAUCUAAUAACUGAAGUAUGGAUGAUGCUUGAUUGUUGGAAGAUGAUGCUGUAAAGAAUGAUUCAUAUUUGUAUGCUUCAAGUAUAUAUUGAACAUAAUAAGAUCAAAUCGACCUAAUAAUCAAAUUUAAAUGUAAUUGAUAUGAUUGAUAUUGAUACAAUAAAAAGAUGCUCUUAAUCGGGCAUAUAACGAAAUUGAUUCAAUAUUCCAUUCGAUUUCCAUCCAUAUUCCAAAUUCCACAUUCAAAUUGCCAUAUUUCCAUAUCUAAUUUCCGUAUGUAAUGCUACGUGAAACCAAGCAGGGGUAAAAAUGGGAUUUAACAUUGGCAAGAAAGUGAAUUUUUGUUAGGACACGUUUCAAACAGGUUUUGUUUAUUAGAUAGGGAGAUGUUAUGAAUCUUGGUUAUGAUAAUACGAAUAUUGUAUGCUUGUACUUGAUUUACGAUCGAUUAUGUGGGGUUAUGCAUAGAGGGCAAGGGUAGGACCUAACACUUAGCAUGAAACCCUAUCCAGAUACAUUCGAGCCUCGUUAGUUGAGAAAUACCUUCUAGGAAAAGAGAUUAAUCCAUUUACGAGUUGAUCGGUCUUUCUAGAUGCCCGUGCGACACAUUGUACGCGUACACUUCGGUGUUUGCGGAUUGGAGUGAUGUUGGCCAUUCGAACGAGGCUUGUACAGACAUCACGUAGGUGUUGGGAGGUGGCGGACGAAUGCCACUGCUUGUACCAACACCAGAACGGCACCGCGAUGUACUUGUACAUUACAUAGUCGGAGUAGUGAAAGUGGAGUCUUGGGGUCGGUGUGGCAGGGGGGGGUCACGAACCACCUAAAGCACUUGGUUGUCCAGACACACAAGUAGCGAACGGGUUUUCCUUUUGGGUUAGGUAUUACUACGAGACUACCUAUGCCUAUACGAUUAUGAUACAUUUUUUUUUAUAUGAUGAUAUACGAUUACGAUAUGAUUAUGCAUGAAAUACAAUUGAUGUUACAUAAAUGAAUGAUAUGUGAAUGGAUGAUACAAAGUUGAAUGAUUGAAUUUUAUGUGAAAUAUGAUUGAUUAUUGAUUGGUAUGUGAAUUUUGUUUAUAUGAUUAAAAUAUGAAUGAUUGACCCGUUAAGGGAUGGUAUGUUUUCCCUUUGAUUGUGUACAAACUCUUAUUGGCUCACGAAGCAUUUGUUGACACUUGUUUCUUUGCUUUGUGCCUUUAUGAUUGGUACAGGUAGCUUAAGAGCUUCGCUUGGUGAGAUGGGGUCAUUUUUUGGUAGUUUAUCCUUAGAAUAAAGAUGCCACUUGGAAACGUUAUUUAUUUUUUGAUACUUAUGCUUCCACUACAAUUAAAUACUUUUGAUAUUUUGGUUUUAAAUUGAACGUAACUUGGUGGUUUGAAAUGUUUUUAAAAUAAAUAAUGUGUACACUCUUCCGUUGCAUUUUCCGUUAAAAGAUUUUAAAAAUAAAUGAAAUUUUUUCGCGAAAAAUCAUGACUUUACAAUUAAAUCCUUAAUAGAUUAAGUCCUUAACAGGUUAAGUAGGAACACUUAACCCUAAUCGUCAUUUUAUGUGAAAAACCCUAAUUGGGUUUGGGUUCUUAUUAGGUCACUUAUUGGACUGAGUUGUUGUGGGCCUUUGUGGGCCAAUUGGGAACAUAUUUAUGGACUAAGGAAAUUAUUGGUCUUUAGGAUAAGGCCCGUUGGAAAGGCUUGGGCCCAAUUUGGAAAAUUGGGCCAUAAUUAGGCCUUGAUGAUUAUGAGACUGGAUUAAAUGGUUGGGCCUUAAGAUAAGCCCAUGUAGAGGUUUGGGUCCAAUUUGGAAAAUUAGGCCAUAUGUUGGGCUUUGGUCCAUAGUUUGACUUUUGGGCUUUUGGAUUGGGCCUUGGAGUUGAAUAAAGCUAAGUCAGGGGUAAAAUAGUCUUUUACCCUAACCAUGGAAUUAUGGUUAUGUAUUGGAACCCAAUUAUUAAUUGGGUGUCGUUUUGAUGUUGAUAGUUUAGGAACCUAUCAACCAGCAGCUAAGAUUUUACCCGUGGAACUUGAGCAAUGCGAAGUGAGUCUCCUCACCAUACCAACGGGUCGAAGGCACCAAUGUCAGCCCAUUUUAUGUUAUGUGAUACACUAGCUAAAGUUGUAUUAUGUGGCAUGUUAGCUGGUUAUGUCAUAGGAAGUAUGCUAGUGGUAUAUGUGGUAUGCUUGUAUGGAAGACCAUGGGAGAGCCCAUGGCACCUGGAUGUAAGACCAUGUGGAGAGCCUAUGGCUUUCUUACUAUGUUUUAGUGUUAAUGUAGAUUCACUAUUGAUAUGUUUGGUAUGCACGUAUAUGUGGUAUGCUAGUGAUUAAGUGAUAUACUAGCUGACUAUGUGGUAUGUGGUAUGCUAGUUGUCUUUGUGAUACUUGCAUGAAAGCCCAUGGGAGAGCCCAUGGCACCUGGAUGUAAGACCAUGCGGAGAGCCCAUAACUUUCUUACUAAAGACCAUGGGAGAGCCCAUGGUAACCAGAUGUAAGACCAUGUGGAGAGCCCAUGGCUUUCCUAUUAAAGACCAUGGGAGAGCCCGUGGCAUUUAGGUGUAAGACCAUGUGGGGAGCCCAUGACAUCCUGGAGUAAGACCCUGGGGACGAGCCCACGACAUCCUUAUAUGUUUAUAUUCAUGGCUUAUAUGAUUGAUAUGACUUAUGUGGAUAUGUAGCUAAUAUAACUAAUAAAUAUUAUGAGAUUAUGUGGAUUGUAUGAGGUAUGCUCUGGGGAAUUCACUAAGCUUCGUGCUUACAGUUUUGUUUAUGGUUUCAGAUAUUUAACUUUAGGAAAGGAAGGGCUCAGCUUGACCGCAGCGUACACACCCAUGCUUUCCACAAUGAAUGAAAUGUUUUAAUUAACAAUGUUUUGGAAUGAUUGGAAUAAAUGAUAUCUAUGUUUGGGUUAUAUUAAAAAUGAAAUUGUUACCCCUGAUUUUUGGGUUGUUACAAUGAUAUUCAAUUAAAACACAGGUCUUUUGGCCUAGCACUAUCAUAUGUUGGAAAAGUGACCCUUCCUAAUGUUAGAAAAACGGGUUAUUUUGAUUGCUUGGAUACCAUUGAAAGUCAUGAUACACUUUCAAAUUGAAUUAUUUUGAUGGUACAAUCAAAAUAUCAAUUGGAUAAAAUUCAGUGACAAACAGAGAAUGAAAAUGUUAUGAUUCUUGUGUGUACCAGAUUUAAAUAACCAAAAAGGGAUAUAACUCCUUAUCUGAAAACUAUCAUAUUGACAUUUACAAACUGCCACAAAACCGUCACUAAAUUGACUUAGUCAGCUUGACAAACAAGAACCACAUAUUUAACAUACAAAGCAAAGAGAAAAAGUUUCCUAAUACUUGUAAAAAUCAAAUGAUGUAAAAAAAUUAGAUGUCACAAAAUCUAGUAUUAACAUAGAUUUAAUAAAACUGAUAGAUUACUUGUUUAUAUAUCGUAAAAAUUUAUUCCCAAGGUCAUCCUUAACUCACUAAUAAAUUUUGGGAGUAACGAUAUAACAAUAUCUAUUCGGUACUCCUUUGAUAAAAUUUUGAAUUUUGUGUGGUCAAUAAGUCGUAUUUUUGGAUUGCUAAUAGGAGUAGAAAAGCUAAAAUCAUUUGGGUCUAUGAGCUUCGUAAUCCUAUUUUAGCUUGCACUCUUAUGUAAUGCUAUUUUUCCUUGCUUCCUGCUAGUUUUUAUAAAAUUUUUUGCUGUUCCAAAAAAAAAAAAAAAAAAAAACUCCUCUAAUAUAUUGGUCGGUCGACUUUGAGAUACAAUUAAGAAGGUUCUCUAGCCACAUCACACAUCAUCCUCCCCCAAUGACCACCACACAAUAAUAUCGAUUUGGUAUAGACCAACAACUCUCUAUUUCCCCAUCUCCCUUAAAUCAAUCUUCACUUCCUUACUUUUCAGUUUGUUUUUUAAUAUUCAUACAUAGAAACUCAUGUUGGAGCAGUUAACACACAUAAAUGUCCUUAAUAUUGGAAUCCCUCACCAACAAAGUAGCAUCGUUAAGUAACUAAUAAGUUAGAGACCAUACGUACAAAUUAGCCCAAACCAUAGGGACCAUUCGUGUAAUUUACUCUUCCUCUUAAUAUACAUAUUUUUUAUUAGAGACAGACCGCUGUCAUCCUCAAUAUAAUACAUGUGUCCCCAAGUCCAUUUUGCAAUUCUUUUUGGAUUUGGCAAACUUGUAUAUACAAUUUCCUCUCUUUACUUUUCAUAUGUCAUAACCUUUGCUUUAGUUAUUGCUUUCUUCUUCCAAUUUCUUGUCACCUUGUAAAUAUUUCUUUGACCUCUCUUCUUUCCCAAUUGUCACUACUUAAUAGAAAUUCUUUAAAAGGAGUUUCUUUAUUUUGACCUUGAACCUUCUUGCUCCACCAUUCCGAUUAUUAGCUUAGCCUUUCAUCCUUGACGGAUAUGGCCUCCUGCUACAAUUACCAUGUAACAGAGCCGGCCCAAAGCAAGUUCAUCCAGUGCCUUUGAACAUGGCCCAAAAAAUCAGAGGGCCCAUUUUUUUUCAUUCUUUAAUAGGGUAUGUUCAUUUGGCCCAAAAAAUUUAGGUUAUAUCCAUCUAUAUACUCAGUUAACGAAUGCAGGAAGCAGGCAAGAGGGAGCAGGAACUCAAUUUUCGGGAAAAAGAGAACUCUUCGGUUUCUUCAUUGGUAACGCACGCAUGGAUAAUAGGAAUCAUCAUUGCUGGAACGGUAACAUCAAUUUACAUUCAUUUAUCAUUCAUUCUAUUCCAUCAAUUUACCUUCACUUCUUAUUUCUUCCUUCUUUAUCUUCUUCUUCACUGAUCAGUUUUUACAAAGAUUACCAACAAUUUUAGAAGAUUCAAAAGAAGAAAUUCAAAGCCAUCAAAUUUCGAAAUCAGAAGGUUCAAUAUCAGAAUUCAGAACAAUCAAAAUUCGAAAUAAGAAGCUUCAAAAUCUUACAGUCUUACAGUCUUACAGUUUGAGUUUCGAAAUCAAAGGUAUAAUACUAAAAUUAAACUUUAGUUUAUUGUUUCAUGGGUUUGUUUUUUCUAAUUGAGUAAUUUGAUAAUUUCAGAUUUCUUAUCGGUUCUUCUUUUUUCAUUUUCUUUAAUUCCAAAUUACUAAAUCAGGAUGAACAAUCAACAGUGAUAUCAGUUUUCAAAAAUUUGAACUUAGAAGGAACAAGGAAUUGAGGUAAAUUCUAAUUCAGAUUUCUACUUUUUAUGUUUUUUUGUUUAUGAUAAUUUCGAAUUUGUAAGAACUAAGAAGUAAUUAUGAAUUUAUGAUCUCAUCAUUUCAGAUUGCAAAUUUUCUGAUUUCCUUAGAAUCAUAUUCUUGUUUUUUUGAUUUGAAGUGUCGAUGAUAAUAAGGUAAUUUUUGGAUUUCUUAUAUGAUAUCAUUGCAGAUUUUGUGAUUUCUUUAGAAGCAUAUUCUGAUUUUUUUUCUUUGCAGUUUUGUUACAUUCUUUUGGUGAUUUGAAGUGUGGAAAAUCUGAACCAAGAAGGAAUCUAUAAAUUGGAAGUCAUAAAUAAGGUCGUUUCUUUCUUUUCUAUAACUUAUUAUGCCUCCUAAAAUAAAAAAAUAUGCAUCUGGAUAUGAAAAACGUAAGAAAAAACAAAAAAUUGAAGAAGAUAAUAAAACUCAAGCAGGAUCUAUGGAUAAGUUUAUAACAAAAAAAACACAAAACUUUACGAAAAAUGAAACACAAAAUGUUAAUGAAGCUAAUCUUGAUAAAAUGAUAAUGUUGAUGUUGAUGUUGAUGUUGAUGUUAAUGAUAAUGUUGAUGUUGAUGUUAAUGCUAAUGUUAAUGUUAAUGUUAGUGAUAAAGUUGAUUUUAAUGAUAAUCCUAAUGUUGUUGUUGAUGAUAAUGUUGAUUUUCACACUUUUGAUAUAUUUGAUCCAAGAAAUCGGGAUGCUCUUGAUUCUAGUAUGAUAAAUAUUUUAGUGUUGAAAGGUCCUAAAAGAGAUUUGUCUCUUACAAAAGGUCCUAAAGAUAAAUAUUUAAGAAGAUUUUCUGCAACAUAUUAUACUAAAACUUUACCAAAUGGGGAAAAAUGUGAUAGAGAUUGGCUUGUUUAUUCUAAAGAAAUUGAUAAAAUUUUUUGUUUUUGUUGUAAAAUAUUUCGAAAAGGGUGUCGGAAGGGUCAAUUAGCAAAUGAGGGUUUUAGGGAUUGGAUACAUCUUAACACUAGAAUUAAAGAGUAUGAAACUAGUAUGAAACAUGUUAAAACUAUAAAUACUUGGUAUGAUUUGCGUUUAAGAUUACAAAAAAAUGAAACUAUUGAUAAUGCGGCUCAAAAACAAUUAGAAAAAGAAAAAGUUCAUUAGAGACAAGUUUUGUUGAGAAUUAUUUCUAUUGUGAAAUUUCUUGCUAAACAUAAUCUAGCUUUUCGUGGUACUAAUGAGAAAUUGUAUGAAGAUAACAAUGGAAAUUUUUUAGGCUUAUUUGAAAUGUUGGCUGAAUUUGACAUGGUUUCUUAUGACCAUAUACAACGUAUUACAAAUGAAAUUGGUAUCCAUAAACAUUAUCUUGGGCAUAGGAUACAAAAUGAAUUAAUACUUUUGCUUUCUUCAGAAAUAAAGUCUAUGAUUAUUAAAAAGAUAAAAAAUGCAAAAUAUUUUUCUAUAAUACUUGAUUGUACUCCUGAUAUAAGUUACCAAGAGCAAAUGACUAUUAUUUUAAGAUGUGUAGAUGUCUUGUCAAAUGUUGUUUGCAUUGAAGAGUCUUUUUUAGGGUUUUUAGAUGUAAAUGAUACAACCGGCCAAGGACUCUUUGAUGUUUUACAAAAUGAAUUGAAUUUGCUUGAUCUUGACAUUAAUAAUAUACGUGGCCAAGGUUAUGAUAAUGGAUCAAAUAUGAAAGGAAAACAUCAAGGAGUGCAAAAAAAGCUUUUAGAUAUAAAUUCAAGGGCUUUUUAUACUCCUUGUGGUUGUCAUAGUUUGAACUUAACUUUAUGUGAUAUGGCUAAUACUUGUGGUAAAGCUAAAGGUUUUUUUUGGAACAAUACAACGUAUCUAUACAAUUUUUGCAAAUCCCACUAAGAGAUGACAAAUUUUAAAAGAUAAUGUGAAAGGGGUAACUCCUAAAUCGUUGUCAUCCACUCGUUGGGAGAGUCGUGUUGAUAGUGUUAAAGCUAUAAGAUUUCAUAUACAAAAAGCUUUACUUCAAGUAGCCAAAAAUGAUAAUGAUCCAAAAAUAACAAGUGAAGCUAAAUCCUUAGCAAAAAAUGAACUUGACAACUUUGAGUUUAUAUUGGCAUUAGUAAUUUGGUAUGAAAUGUUAAACACUAUUAAUUUAAUUAGCAAACAAUUGCAAUCAAAAGAUAUGUUUAUUGAUGUUGCUAUGGAAAAAAUAAUGGGGUUAAUUUCGUAUUUUAAGGAAUAUAAAGAAAAUGGGUUUUUAAAUGCUUUACAAACCGCAAAAGAUAUUGCCUUAGAAAUGGGGAUCGAUCCAAUAUUUCCUAAAAAACGUGAACCUAAAAUAAAAAAACAUUUUGAUGAGAUUUCAAACGACACUUCUUAUAGUUUUUCACAAUCCGCCCAAGAGAAAUUUAGAGUUAAAUAUUUUAUUUAUAUUGUUGAUCAAGCAAUUAGUUCUUUAACUACAAGGUUUGAACUAUAUCAAUAAUAUGAUAAAAUAUUUGGCUUUUUAUUUAAUUCAGAAAAAUUGCUUUCAUUAGAUGAUAUAACAUUAAAGUCUUGUUGUAUGUCUCUUGAAACUUCACUCAAGAAAGAUGAGCAAUCGGAUAUUGAUGGAAAUGACUUAUAUGUUGAAUUAAAAUUACUUUUACAUCUCUUGCCUAAGGAAAAAUUGACAGCAAUUGAUAUUCUAAAUUUUUUAAAACGUGUUGAUUGUUUUCCUAUUACAUCUAUUACAUAUAAAAUUAUGUUGACUAUUCUUGUUACUGUUGCAUCUGCAGAACAGAGUUUUCCAAAAUUGAAGAUUCUGAAGUCCUACUUAAGAUUUACAAUGACUCAAGAACGACUUAAUGGAUUGGUUUUGAUGACGAUUGAGCGUAAUAUGUUGGAUAAAGUUACUUAUGAAGAUGCUAUUGAAAAAGUUUAUUUCAACGAAUAUUAGGAGGAUGACUGUUUUCAAGUAGAAGCUAAUUUUUUUUUGUAUUAUUUUGAAUGAAAUUUUAAUUUUAUGUAUUUGCAAUAGAAAAUUAAACUAUAAUUUUUUUUUUGCUUAAAUUUUGAGAUCUUUCAAAUUUUAGAGCCUAUUUUUUGUUAAAUCGCACAUGGUCUUCAAUAUCUCAGGGCCGGCCCUGCCAUGUAGACCGAGACCCCUACUUGUAACUAACCUUUUCGGUCCUAAUAGAUACACAUGUAAAAAACUAAUAACUACUAACUAACUAUUAAUUAUUUAAUAUAAAAUACAAAUAGAACAUCAAUGAUAAAUAUUAAAAGGGUGUUGCUAAAUUGACACCCCUUAGACACCCUAUAAACACUUUUAUUAAAAGUCAAUUUAUAAUAAACUAUUCACAAUUUACUUUUUCAAAAAACAAUGCAAAUUAACUAAUAAAAAAAUCUUAAAAAUCAAAUAAGGUUUCAACAUGAGAGAAAUUAUAUUGCAAUAAGUUUGUUGUCAGGUGAGGAAUACAAUGCAUAAAUGAUUUACAAAAUCGAAAGUUCCAGACACAAGUUAAAACUUAAAACCCUAAAAGACCACACAAAUUUCAAUCGUCGACAUACCCCACCACAAAGGCACAAACAAUCAAUGAAACAAGUGUAGAUGUAGAGGCCUUUUUCACCACAAUCACCCUUCAUCGGCCAUUUCGAAGGCCACGUGAAAUGUCACUAACGUGGCCCUCUAAAUAUCCACUACUUUGUCUUUAACCCCUCCCCCCUCCCUUAUAAAACACUCCAUCCUCCUCCUUAAUCACCAUCACCAACAACCUUCUCUCCUCCCUCAAAAGUACCACCAUCUUUUCCGACAUGGCUACUUCUUCAAUCUUCAUGGCAACUCCCAUCACACUCCUCAAGAAAACUCCCACCUUCUCCGUCAAAUGUAUGUCACAAACACCUCAAAGCGGUGAACCGGAGGUUUCAAAACCAGCAACCACCCCAACACUACCACAGAUCAACAUUCCUCCUCCUCCGCCACCUGCUCCAAAGGUCAGCACGAAGUUCUCUGACGUGUUGGCGUUUAGUGGACCUGCACCGGAGAGGAUCAACGGAAGGUUAGCCAUGAUAGGGUUUGUGUCGGCGAUGGCUGUGGAACUGAGCAGCGGUCAAGACGUGUUCACCCAGAUCGGCAACGGCGGUGUUGCGGUGUUUGUCGGGACAAGUGUGGUGUUGACGUUGGCGUCGUUGGUGCCGUUGUUUAAAGGAGUGAGCGUGCAGUCGAAGUCGAGUGGACUGAUGACAUCAGAUGCAGAGCUUUGGAAUGGGCGGGUUGCGAUGUUGGGUCUGGUGGCUUUGGCUUUUACUGAAUAUGUUAAAGGCAGUGCCCUUGUCUAGAUAAUGUAGCAUAAACUUUUCUAUUACAGAAUUACAUCUAAGAUAGGCAAAUGUAUAUUCUUUUGAAUAUUUAUGUGUAUCGAUUUACCAUACAUAGUUCAAAUCAUGAAAAUCAUGUUUUUUUGAUAAUAUAGUAUAAAACAAAUAUGAUCAAUCAAAUCGAACGAUUGUGGUAUCUUUCAAUAUAAAAUUCUUUUUACAAAAAUAAACAAACAACAUACUAAGAUAAUUUUUUGAGGAAUGAACCUAGAUUAGCAAUAUAAGAGUCAAAGUCUACAAAGAUAUUGACAUCCUAGUUUCACAACUUCCUCUUUGAAUGUUGAAGGUGAUCAUUAAUUCAGACUGAAUAUGUGGCUAAGUCCAGCCUAGUCAAUUAGCCAAUUUAAGUUGACAAGUAUCCAAAAUUCAAAUAAACUACAUGGCUCAAUUUCAAAGAAAACUGAAAAAUGACUAAUGCUCACAAAAUGAUCACCGAAUCAAUUUAGGCUAUGAGGAGUGGUCACAUUCAAACCACCGGAAAAACGCUGCAAAGUCAGUGAUAUGUCAACUCCAUCACCUUCUAAACAUUGGAAACAAUUACCACUCCGUGUCAUUUAUAUUUUCAUUUUUUUUACAUUAGAUUAAAUAAAAAACAUAAUUACUAACUUAAGUAAUCAUUUUACUAAUUAAAAAAUCAACUAAACAUAUAUUAAUUUUCAAAAUUAAAUAAACAUAUAUAGUAUAUAUAGUUGAGGGUUUAACUUAAUUCAAAGAAAAGUAAGAGGGUAUAAUAAGAUUAAAAGACAUAAUUUUAGAGACCAAAUUUGUAACUUUAGUUAAAGCAAAUAUGAAUGGUCUUCUUCACAGGUCAUUGCUCAAUACCAUUUUUUUUCUUUUACUUCGAUGGAUACAAAGGAAAAGGGAAAAAAAGGGUCAAAUAAAUGACCGUUAUUGUUCUUGCUUUCUUAUCCGUCGUCUUCAUCCGUCUUUGCACCCACAUUACACCCAAACCACCGGCCUUAGGGGUGGUGGUGUUCACGUGUCCUUAGGCCGGACACAUCAGCAAGAUGUGUGAGUUAGUCCUCCCACUCCGAUUAGCCUUAAGCACUUAUUAAAAGCUAGUCUAUUUCUUGUUAGGUUGAAAUCUAAUGUUAUCAUCAAAUCUAUACAAGAUUGAGAUUGAUAUUAUAGUAACAAUCUCCCAAAGAAAAAUAAUAUAUUUAAAAGAAUAUAUAUAUANNNNNNNNUAUAUAUAUAUAUGAAUUAUGCCCCAAGAAGUACUAUGCAUGAGUAUAAGAUUACUAUUAUCUUUGGAUCCAUUAAUUGAUAACUAAGCAUACUUCAAAGUUACUAUAUGGUCGUAUGAGACCCGCGAAUAGGAAAUUGGCUGCACCCUUGGCCCGAUUCGAAGGCUAAAACCCAAAAGAACCAUGCACAUGAUUCGAACCAAGUGCUCUAAUGCUAUUUUGCCCAACUUACAUGAACUACCUCCAUACACAUACUUAAGAAACCCAUAAUCUCAUCCAGAUAGAGCAGGAAUGCCAGAGAUAAUCGGAAUAAUACCUCAAUCAAUUACAAAAAACAUCCGCAUUAUCGGUUGAAACAAGAUCCCAUACUUGAUUGAGACUGAACGGAUUCCAUCGCUACACAACUAGCUCGAGAAGACUUCCACGGAUCUCGAAAGUUGCCUAAACCUGAGUCUGCUAUGAAAUAGGUUCCCACUCCACCAUUGAGGGUAAACACACUUGAAGCCCCAAUGGACAUAGAUCAUACUAAGCUUGAUAACAGAUCAGCCUGACCACUACAUCUCGACUGACACAAUUAAACUUCCAAGUGAACUUUUAUUGAUUGAUGAACCCCACAACCAGUGGUCGAGGACACUUUAACACUUAGUCCAGAGAAUCAAGACCACAUAGAACUGAACAUACCCACUCAUGGAAAGAUCCAUCGACCAACGUCUGCCCAACUAAUAUGAAAAUAGUAAUCCAACAACAAACUGGGAAAUCCCUCAACAGCUAAAAAUACUCAACCUGAGAAUCCCGAUUCUCCUCCACUUAGGGCUUAAACUACCAUUCACUAGCGCUAAAACCAAAUCAUAAAUCAAACCAUAUUGAGGAUAUACUCCCUUCCUAACCCUGGAAGUUACGAGCCUCUUCACUCCUUCCCCGAACUCGGAAAAAAUGAAAGGGCAUAACCCUAGCCAUUGAUAAUGACGUUCCAAACCAACAAUCAACCACUUCCAACUGUAAAACCCAAGUCAAUCUUAAUCAUCGUCCCCUUCACGAGUCCCGCGACUCGAAUACCCGACCUCAAGCAAAACCCCCGAGGCCUCAAACAAAAAAGCUCCCUAGGUCUGCACCAAACAAACAAAAUCACUAACGCCACUGGGGCUCAAAACACUUACCAUAUCCAUCCGCAUGUCGGAGCAUCCACAAGCAAAAUAUUAACAGGAACAUAAACACUGCCGCGAAUCAUGGUAUCCAACCAUGCUAUCUUCACCGACCAACCCUUAGAAUCCCCAAAACCUUCCUUGAUUAGAUUAUGGAUCCUGUGCUUCAAGUAGUACUGGCCCAAUACUACCUUCCAUACCUAUCCAUACUUUCCUCAAGAAUCAUCCCAAGUCUUUUAAGUCCUAGUCAUAAAAUACUCCUGAAACUUGCUUAACAAUGAAGCAACCACGCUAAAAUACUCACCUACACUCCCUCUGCCAUCAACUGCUGAUAAACCCCUACCAAUGCCAGCUAACCACUUCAUGAAUACAAUUACACACAACCAAGCUUAAAUAAUCCUUCGAAUAAAGGGCUUAGCCCUACAACGAUUGGACUCAAACGAGAGCUGCACAAUAGGUUUGAGUCCUUCAUUCUAAGAUUAUUUAACCUUCAUAGCAUGUAAUUUUAUUAUAUUCACUUGAUGGUUAACUCCCAUCAACAUGGGUCCCACAAAGCACAAAGCAAGCAACAUUCGGGUAGAGAAGCCGACUGCGACUAAAACGCAACAAAAUCAGACAUAUCCUCAUAGAAAAUCCUCGAUCUCAAACUCCUCGCACCACGAGUGCGCCUUCACCCUGCUCUCACUCUCCCCAGAGUGGUUAAUCAUUCCUCGUGCUUACCCGCUAUACACUGCACCCACUCAUGAAACUUCCACCAACCCUACAACACUCGUGUAUGCUAGCCGUACAUAACACUGGAUCCUAUAGACAGUCGAAUAUCUGAUCCUACUCUAAGCCCUUCAUCAAACAAGAACAUGAAAUAAGGCCAAACCAAACAUUCUCAGGCUAUAGAAUCUUAGUUAUGUACAACUAUGAUGUAUACACUAAGUAACUGUAGUAGAUGAUGUCAAUUUCAUUUAAGGAAGAACCCUAGGCUAUCAGACAUCAUAUAAUCAUGCAACUUUGUCAUGCAAUUCCUGAAGAUCCCUAGCCUAUCACUACCAUGCUAUUCUAAUAUUUCACAAGAUCAAAUAAAGUGUGGUAAUUUGGGGUCUACUUACUAGCUCCGACUGAUCAUACACAUCGUAUCCUCUUUAGUUUGAAAGUUAUUUUUAAAACCUUUACUUUGAAAAUUACUUUUUUUAAAACACCUUUUCCUUAGUUUGAGACCGGAUUCACACGAGUUUUCCUCCCAUUCACUCAAACCAAGGCUCUGAUACCAACUAGUAACGUCACAAAAAUUUCAACAAAUCUAAACCUUUCAAAACAACCCAUAUGUUAACAAAAGUGAUUUGAUCCGCAGGCACUCUGCACGCCUUGAACUCCCGUAAUGAGGGAGUUCGAGCCCCAAUCUGACCCACAGUGAUCUCAGAUCGGAAAGAACAAUCCGCUCCUCCAUAUCCUCCAUGAUCCCCUCCUUGACGGUACUGAACCCGAUCUCGAACCUGAACCUCCUCGCGUAGCCAUCAUAAUCUUCAACUGAAAAUACAACAUAGAAAGAAAUUGAUAAGGAAGUUCAAAGGGAUUUCUCCCCACUGGACUCCUUAAAGCCUUCAGGUAUGUCCUUGUCUCGGGUACAAGUCUUGUGCUUUUAGUAGUACGGACCAAAUACUACCUUCCACACCUACCUGUACAUUCCCCCAAGGCCAUACCUGAUACCUCCAAUUCACCAAACCAUAGAUAAAACAUGACCUACGAAACACAGCACAUACACAUAUCUUAGAAUCUUCGGGGAUUUCUCAAUCCUCAUAGAACCAGAAACCUCAAUCAACACCGCAUGUUGCCUUAUGCAUGCAAGUUAUACAUUAAUAGAAUCAUAGAGACUGUCAAAUAAAGUUUCUACCCUAAGACCACAACCAAACAAGGAACAAGAAGUAAGGCAGAAUCCAUCGUUCUAGGGCUAUAAAAUCCUAAACAUAUACAACUUUGAAAGCAUACACUUAGCAAAUAACAACGUCAACAUCGAUUCCAAGCAUUAUAUUCAUAGCAUUGAACUCUCCUAGGCUACAAGGCAUCUCACAAAUCAGACAAUUCUCAUAACACCUAAAGGUAUCCUUAGCCCUAUUCUAGCAUGCAUUUCACACAUUAACAUACUAGUUGCAAUUCAUAAGCAUGGUUAAAUUUUUGGAAACACUUACUUGAGCUUGGCUGAUUUCGCGCAUUGCGCUCUCCCUUUUUACUUAAGAAAACCGGUUUAAGAAAAACUUGACUUUUGUUUCUUUUUUUAAAAAGGUUUACCAUUUCCUCAGUUUGAGUUGUGACACAUAGUGUGCCCGAAUUCCUCAAACCAAGGCUAUGAUACCAACUUGUAAAAGCCCAAAAAUCCAGAUAAAAAUUUUCAUUUAAAAAAAAAUAGAAAUUACAAUCAUAAUUUGUUUCUUAAAAUCCAUUACAUCAUUUCAUAUCAAAAUAUCAGAGUAUCAAUAUCAAUAAAUGAGGAAAUUCUUGGGAGUGAAUGUUGCGCCAUCUAGCUAGGCCCUUCCCCUUAGUACCGAAAGUACCUGAAAACACCUAAAUAAACUGUAAGCAAAAACUUAGCGAGUUCCCAAAAUACAACAUAACAUAUAACCACAGAAUACCACGCCACAUACAUAAGAUUGCCAUGGACAACCCCAUGGUCUUUACUUGGAAUGCCAUGGGCUACCCCAUGGUAUUUACCUAGAAUGCCAUGGGAUACCCCCAAGGUCGGAUAUCCAAGUGCCAUGUGCUACCCCAUUGGUCUUUACCUGGAAUGCCAUGGGCUACCCCCAUGCUCUAAUAUCCAAGUGUCGUGCGCUACCCCCAUGGUCUUCAUAUAAGUGCCACAGGCUACCCCCGUGGUCUUCACAUAAUGAAUUGCAUAAAAACUAUCAAUCCACAUGUCAGGCAAUGGGCCGCCAUUGGUGCCUUCGACCCAUUGAUAUAGUGAGAAGACUCACCUCAGACUGCUGAUAAAAAUACUGCUCGGCUAACGCUCUAGAUAUCUGACACUGAAUAUACACAAGUUAACCUAAUUAGAAUUAAGUCACAAACUCAAGGCCUAGGCCAAAACCCUAAGUACAAACUCCUCCAAUAAGGCCCAAAGUCUUUUUCCUUUAAUGGGCCUAACAUCCAAGAUCCAAAAAGGGGCAUAAGGCCCAAAAGGCCUAGCCAUGCCACUUAUGGUCCAACAACAAGUUCAAAGGCCCAAAUACUAUAAUAGAUCCAGGCCCAAGUCUAAGUAGAGCCCAAAUAGCUUAAAGGCCCAACAAAAGCCCAAAACUCAUUGGAAGCGUACGCCCAACGUACAUCAUCAGUACGCUUAGCAUACUGGGUUCUUUGGCGGUUAGCGUAGUGUACAAGCUAGUAUGCCCAACGUACAAGCUACUUUGCACAAAAAGCCAUUAAGUGCUUAAUUCAUGAAGCCAUUUCGUCCGAUUCCAGAUCUUGGUCAUCUUAAAGGUCCUAGGGCAUAAAGAUGGUAACUUUAUGUGUUUACAUGCCAUAUGGGAACCCAACACCUGAUUUUAUCCAUUAAGACUCCCUUUAAGAUCUUAAACUCAUGCAUGGUGCCAUAACAACCAUCAAGUUAGCAUUUUUAUGCUUUUAACAUGCCAAAGGAACUAGGAUCUAACAUUUAUAAUCUCUGGAGUUGUUCAAACUUACAAAAGAGGAUCCAUGGACCAAAAAUGGACUUAUUACCAAACCCUAACUCAAACUAGCGAAAGGAUAAGCAAGUUCUGGACUUUUUACCUCCAAAAGUUUUCCAAGAUGAAGUAGAUGCAGGAUCUAGAAGCUCAAACACGUCUAAGAGUUGAUCACAACCUUCUCCUUCUUACACACACAUUAAAAUAGCCACCAAAAUCACUUUUAAGCUCAAGAAUCACACUCACUUGCAAACUAGGGUUUAGGGACGAUAAGAGGCAAUAAAAGCUAUGUAGGGUUAGGUCCAAAUGUCAUAAGAGUGUUAAAAUAGGGUUCAUGCGCAAAAAUUAGGGUUUUUGUCAUAUGCCACGUACUCCUCGCAUACAUGGUGCAUGUACGCAUCUAAACCACCCUAGUACGCUAAGCGUACACGUAUGUACGCCCUGUUGGAUUAGUGUUUAAGUCCAUAACUAUAUUUGGUAUGUAUUUGACCAGGUUGUGCAUGGUCCUUUUAGGUUGCCUUCACCGAAGCAACUUGACUAGAGGAAUUAUAUAGAAAGAGGUGAUUAUGGUUUAUUAAUAUAUUAUAAGAUUUAUAUAUUAAAAGAGAAAUCAUGUUUGAUUAAUUAACAUUGGUCAAGAGUUAAUUAAACAUUAGUUUUGUGAUCAAAAGAAGUUAAUUGAACUUAAGGGGCUGAACUGUAAUUAUGUGAUAGUUACAAAGUUAGGCAAGGAAACCCUAAUGGAUAGGGUGGAUGAAUUCUAGGGAUAUAGCCUUAAGAAUUCGCCCAUGAUAGGGAUUCUAGAAUUAUCUUAUGGGCUGCUUGGUGGCUAAGUAACCAUAUAAGAAUAAUGAAUGAAACCCUAAUUCCUAAACCUAUAUAAAGGACCCUUGGUCAUGGGAAUUUCGGCAACUUGAACCCUAGAAGUCCUAGAGCCGAAAUUCUCCUCUUCCCUCUCUUGCUUCCUCUAAUUGCUAUUGGUGUUUGUUAUUAAUUAGAGGCACAACACUUGAGGUGCUAAAGUUGUCAAGGCUUCAAGAUCUUCAAUCAACAACGAGGUAAGCAUCUUGAUAUACUUUGCUAAGUUAAUUUCAAUUAUAUACACUAGAUCUAGGGUUUGAAAGUCUUGGAUGAAUGCACGUACAAUUAGAGAAACCUAGAUCCAAGCAUUAGGGUUUGCAUGAGCACAUAGGAUGUUCUUUUGGCUCAAACCUAUCAGUGGUAUCAGAGCUUUUGUUUGGUUUCUAUUGUAUUGAUGCCUUGCUUGUUCAUCCUCUCUUGAAAAUCGUGAUUUUGUGUUCUCUGCCUGACGAACUCGAUGAGUCCCAAUGUGGGCUCGACGAGUAGGAUGAACUCGACGAGUCCAUAAGGGCACUCAACGAGUCGGAGCGUCAGACAUAGAUUUUCGGGAUUUCUUGUUGUUUUGCUUAAUGAUAAUUACCUAAAUCGUUUUUGACUAAUAAAAUCUGAAUUUUAUUACUGCUUUAUGUUUAUCCUUUCCAAAACAAAAGAUAAUUUCCAUUUAUUUGAAUAAUAAAUUCCUUAUAUGAUAAUAAUUGAUUAUUUAAAUUAUUUGUUGAAUUAUCUUAUGAAUAAAAUUGAUUAGGUCAAAUUUAGAUAAUCAUUAAAUUAAUUGUUUAAUUUAAAUUAUUUGCUAUUUGAUCCUUUAUGUUUUGAAAAGUUCAAAACUUGUCCUCAAGUUUUGAAAUUUAAAUUUGUGAUUAAAAGUUUAAUUUAAACUAUUUAAAUUUCAAACCCUAGAAUUUUACAAGUUUAAAAUUCAACCUUAUACUUUACAAUANUUAAACGCUAGUCUUACUGUUAGUAGGCCUCAUUCACGAAGCCGAUCUAGAAGGAGGUAUAAGGUUAUGACCUAUAAAAUGGCCAUUUAAUGGGUGUCCACUCUCACCCACCACAUCCUUGAUUGGUGGAGGGUCGUUAGCCGAACGGGUAAGAUAGGGCAACCCUUUCUCAUGAAUAAGUAUAAUGAAUUAUAAAAGUAACUAAAUGUUUUACAAAAUUCCCAAUCUUAAUUACUUUAGGCAAAAGUGAAAUUGAUGCAAUUCCAUUAAAUUACAUUUUGUACCCGUGCUAAGACGUUAGUGGAGCGUGUGUGGUUAACUGGCACACUAAUUCGGUUCUAAGAAAAGGUGGUAAAGGGUGACUCAUUGUUUCUCAUUGUUCGAUGGAGCAUGUGUGGUUAACCAGCACAUCGAAUAGGUGACUGUAACAAUGAGGGCACCAUGUAUAUUUGCAUGGUUAUUCAUACCCACUUUGUGAUCCUCAGCAUCCCAGUCACAAACUAGAGGGGCAUAUCAAGAUUUAUACAUGCCAUUGAAAAGUUCAAUGAAUCUCAAAAUAUCUAGGAGUUUUCAAUACAUUUAAAACUUAAUCUCUUUUUCGUUUUUCAUGGUGGAGAAUUAGUGAAUCGUCAUUCACUUACCUUCAAAUUAUUUGCAUGUUAGAUUACGACACCCCUCUUCUAAUAUGUAAAUAAUGUUGUUGGAUCCUAGCCCUAAUUUCUCAUUUAGGUGUUUCAUUAGGGAUUCAUUUCUAAUCAAACUUUGUUCUUUUUCCUUUUCAGAUGUCGAACAACAACAAUGCUUCCGGAUCGUUCUCACUCAUGAACUUGUGUGGGAGAGUGAUCUUUGACGAGUCCAAUUUCAAUGAUUGGAUUCGCAACAUCCGAAUGGUCACUCGUUACGAGGACAAAGAGUAUGUCCUUGAUAAGAAGCUGAAGGAAAUCAACCUCAACACUGCUACUACUGAAGAGAUCGCCACCUUUAAGGCUCAUGAGCGUGAUGCCACGAAAGUCCAUUGCAUCAUGCUAGCGACCAUAACUGCAGAACUCCAAAAGUCCUAUGAGGACAUGUAUCCCUAUGAAAUUCAUCAAAACUUGUUGGACCGGUACCACCAAAGUGCAAGGCAAGAAAGGUAUGAGAUCAUCACUUCGAUGAUCACUACCAGAAUGGGUAAUGGAGAGUCCCUUACCGCCCAUCUGCAAAAGAUGCAGAGAUAUGUUGAUCACCUGCUAAAGUUGAAAGUUAACUUUGAUGAAGAGAUGGCAAUCGACAUUAUCCUUCACUCCUUACCUCCCUGCUACAACCAGUUCCGCAUGACUACCACAUGAAUAAGGAAGAGGUCACCUUGAGCAAGCUUCACGGCUUGCUAAGAACUGUUGAGAGCAAUUUCAAGGAUAAGUAUGUUGCAUCAACUCCAACUCCCACUGCUGCCCUUGUCUUGGAAAAAGGGCAAGGGAAGGGUAAGAAAAGGAAGGCUCCCUCAAAUAUCCACCACAAGGGAAAGUCCCAAGAUGUUACCUCUUCUAGUGGAACCAAGGCUGGUUCUGCUAAACCCAACUCUAACCCUAAUGAGCCAGAGUGCCACCACUGCCACAAAAUAGGGCAUUGGAAGAGAAGCCGCCCAGAAUAUCUGCAAGCUAUCUAGGAUGGGACGAUCAAGCCAUCCUUCGCAGGUAUUUACACUAUUAAAUCUAAUGAUUCAUCGCAUGCUAUUUCUUGGGUUAUUGAUACAGGAUGUGGUUUUCACAUAUGUUCUGAUUUGCAGGGACUAAGAAGAAAUAGGGAUGUGGAGCAUGGAAGAAUAAACCUAAUAAUGCGAAACAAAAGAUUGUCGCCUGCCACCAAUAUUGGAGUAUAUAUAUUCCUUAAUGCUUAGUAAUGGAUUAGGUUUUGAUUUAAACAAUUGCUGCUAUUCGCCAGAUAUGGCAAGAAACAUCAUUUCAUUUCAUGGUUUAUAUAGGCAAGGAUUUAGAUAUUCAUUUGAUAAUGAAAAGGGUUCUAUUUAUGCUUAUCUUAAUAGUGUUUUAUAUUUUGAAGCAUUGCCUUGUAAUGUAAUAUAUGAAACUGUGAUGGUUGUAGAUAACUUAGGAAAUGAUGUAUUGUGUGUUGAUUCUUCCAACAAUAUAGAUAAAGCAUGCUUGUGGCAUUGUCGUCUUGGACAUGUCAACAAGAAACGCAUAGCCCAACUCUAAAAGGAUGGAGUGUUGGAGUCAUUCGACCUUAGGGAUGAUGACGUGUGUGAGUCUUGUUUACUUGGAAAGAUGACCGAUGUGUGUGGGCACUUGUGAAAGGGGUGAGGGUUUAUUGGAUCUCAUACACACCGAUGUGUGUGGGCCCUUUAGAUUACCACAAAAGAUGCAAGCCACUUCUAUGUGACUUUUACCGAUGAUUAUAACAGAUAUGGGUAUAUCUACUUAAUCAAGCACAAGUCGGUAACCUUUGAAAGGUUCAAAGUGUUUAAAGAAGAAGUGGAGAAUCAUUUGGGCAGGAAUAUCAAGAUGCUUCGAUCCGAUCGAGGAGGAGAGUACCUAAGUCUUGAAUUCCAUGACUAUCUCAAGGAAUGCGGAAUCGUUUCACAAUUGACGUCACCUAGGACACCGCAGUUAAAUGGUGUGGCUGAGAGGCGUAAUCGAACCUUGUUGGACAUGGUUCAUUCCAUGAUGAUUCGUGCUUCACUACCUAUCUCAUUCUGGGGGUAUGCCUUAGAGACUGCCGCCCAUAUCCUUAACUUAUUCCCUACGAAGAAGGUUGCCAAAACACCUCACGAGAUGUAGACAGGGAAAGCUUCCUCGUUAGCACAUAUCAAGGUUUGGGGGUUGCGAGGCUUUCGUAAGACGAGAGACUCACGACAAGCUCGAACCUCGUAGUGAGUGGUGUAUUUUCACCAGCUACCCACAAAAGACCUUUGGAUAUCUCUUCUAUAGUCCGAGUGAGAACGUUGCCUUCAUUGCGAGGAGAGGGGUUUUCCGUGAGCGAGAACUCAUAAGCCUAGGGGACAGUAGGAGGCAAAUCGAUCUUGAAGAGAUUCAAGAGUUGAGCGAUGAAGGAACCUCCAACACCGGGGCUUACCCGAGGAGGAAACUCCGGUUGAACCGAUUGACGAGUCCUUACCUCUUAGACGUUCCGAAAGAGUUAGGUUUCAACCCCAGUUAUAUGGCUUUCAUAUUACUACAGAAGGGGAUACGUAUAUUAGUGAUAUUAUACUAAUAAAUUUGGAUGAACUUAACAGCUAUAAGGAAGCCAUUGCAGGCCCAGAGUCUGCAAAGUGGAAAGAGGCGACGGACAGUGAGAUUCUGUCCAAGUAUGACAACCAAGUUUGGAAUUUGGUUGACAAUGUACUAGGUCGUAAGAUGGUCUGGUGCAAAAUGAUCUUUAGGAAGAAGGUACUAAAACGUUUUGUGACAACCCGAAAUUUCCAUUUUGUACGAACAUUAGCUAUUCAAUAGAAGCUAGUCCAAUUUCAAUGAAUUUCAGACUUUUCUAAAUAAAUUUGUGUACAUUAGGGUUUACGUUUAAGGAGAUAUCAGGAGAGUGGAUGCUCAUGGGUUUGUGAAACUUGAGCAUUUCAAAACUUCAUAAUGUUAGAGUCCAAUUCCGGAAUAAAAAUAUUUUCUGCCAAAAUAUUUCAGGACUAUAAAUAGAUUUCUGAACUAAAUUCAUUCAUUAUUCACACUUCCAACUAGAGAAAAGCCAUUUUCUCUCUCACAGAUCUUCGGGUUUUCAUCCCAAAUCGUGAGUACACUUCUUUAGUUGUUUUAUAAUGCUUGUUAUAUGCUUAAUAACAUAGAUUACAUGUCAAAUAUGUGAGAUCCGGGAGUUUACCGCCCAAGAACGUUCUUGGGGAGUAAACUCGAAAAUAAAGCUUUAAGGCUAUCUAGUCCCAUUUCCUUGUUAGGUAACUAGCUUAGGAUAAUAUGUAGGAUCAUUUGAGACAAGAAAACAAUCCAGAACACAUAGCUUUAGGAGUUUUCGGCCCAAGAGUUUCUUGGACCGUAAACACCAAAUACAAGGGCUUAAAUGUGCCCUAAUCACUCCCAAAGGCUUUAGACUUUAACCCUAAAUUACUUCUAGCUAAUAUGGGGACAUUAACACAUCAAAAAAACCCCUAAAAGGGAGUUUACGGCCAAGAAAUGCUCUUGGGCCGUAAACACCAAUUAAGGGCACCAAAGUGUGCCUAGGGCCCCCCUUAGCAUAAAUCAAAUGCCUCGAAAGUAUUCUACUUGUGUUUGAGACUUGAAAGAAUUAAAACAUCCAUCCCAUGAGAGUUUACGGCCGUAAACUCUAAGGGAUAUGGCCUUUUGGCCGUAAACUCCUCAAAGGAGUGUUAUCUAUGCCCUAAACUACCCAAAGGAUUAAACCACCAAACUAGGCUUAUUCUAGAAAUCAUUUAGCACUUUAAAACACCCAUUACCACCAAGAUUGGAGUUCACGGCCGUAAACUCAAGGUUUUACGACCGUAAACUCCUUGUGUGGGGUUUAUUGGGUAGUAAACUCUUAUACAAAGUCCUUGGAAGCUUUAAACCCCUUUAGCUUGUCCCAUAACAACUUAGAUGCAACCAUUAGGACCUAUAACACUUAUACAAGGUGUUUACAUGUUCCUAAGUGUCCCAACUUAUUUCAUUAAGUUAUUAUUUGGCUAAUUAGUUAUAUAUAUGCUCAUUAUAUGAUAACUAGGCUCGUGCGUGUGAACAAGUCUCCGUUUGCCACCUAGCACGGUAUCCGACACUACAAUCCAAACCACUCACCACAAGUGAGUUCAUACCCCUUUAAUUAACCUUUGAAAUACUUUUAAAUGUUUUAAAUACUUUAUGGGGGGGAUACAAGUUAAAUGCUUAUAGUUAUUGCAUCAAUCACAUGUGAUUACAUUAAUCAUAUGUGAUUAAUAACUAGAAAACCAAUGAUCUUAUCACUGUUUAAACUGUUUAUCAAACUGUUUUACUUCAAACUGUUUUACAAACUCUUUUACUCAUCAAAUACUUUUAUUUAAACUUUGUUAUACUUCUUAUAAACCGCAUGCCCAUAUAUGUAUAGAUAUAUAAGCAAUGUUUAAAGGGUUUAGGAAGGUCAUCCGCCCUAUUUCCUUUUUCUCGAUUUGGAUGUGGUCUGGUGGGAUUUCGGGUAACCAUCCGAAGGUCGUUUCAAUAUUAAUUAUAUAUCAAAUGUACAUAUAUAGACAUAAAAGUACUCCUUNUAUACUAGGAGAAGAACAUAUACAACUAUACUAGAGGAAGAACAUAUACAACUAUACUAGAGGAAGAACAUAUACAACUAUACUAGAGGAAGAACAUAUACAACUAUACUAGAAAGAGAACAUAUACAACUAUACUAGAGGAAGAACAUAUACAACUAUACUAGAACAGUUCAUUACAUUACACAUACUAGAAUACGUUCAUUAUUGUGAUAUGAAUCGGGGCAUGACUUAAAUGCCAUGGCCCGAGUUGUAGCCAGAGUCUCUUGAAGGGAGAGCGUGAGUUUGCGUAUAGAUCUAUACUGGAUUGACUAUCCUACACCUUGCUGCUAGCUACAGCCGGACCUGCAGGUCUGCGGGUGCCAAACGUCAUUCCGUUAUUACGACCAUUCGUAUGUCGUUGUUACCAGUCGAUAGUAUGGUGCAAUUAGUCACAUGAUACCUUAAUAUAAAUCCGGUUUAAGGUAGUUAGUACAACAAUAGUUCCUAUAAUACAACACUACAGUACUACAAUAAUUUACCCAUUACAUAUAUUUAGUGAUUAUUUCACUUAAACAUUAAUGUACAAACUAUAUUUUGUUAAAUGAUAGUUACACUUGGGAAAUUACACACUUUUACAACAAACGAGCAUACAAAACAGUUAAGCCUUGGUAGAAGGCUACUUUAAUAGAAAAUAUAGGUUUUUCUGAGAGAUUCAAACUUUUACAAACACUUACAUACAUUUUACAAACUUACACUUGAGACACGUUCAAACGUUUUGAUAACAAACAUCGACACUAAAAUACUUAUGAACUCACCAGCUUAAUGCUGAUAAACUCUUUCAAAAUAACUUGUAUUCUCAGGUCAUCAAUAGACAGGUACUUAGGCCAGCUUUUGAGAAGAUGGAGCGCAUUCAAGACUCAUCUUAUUAUUUUGAUUUACAUUAUAUUUUGGUGUCUAAAACUGUACAGAACACGCUUGUAUUAAAAUUAUAUAUUUAAUGCAAUGGAUGAUGCUGUUUGCUUAUUUACAUUUACUGUGUUGUGAUACUUUACAUGACGUCCUCCGCCCCACAACGUUUCCGCCGUUCUUGGUUUUGGGGUGCGACACGUUUUAGUAUGGAGAAUUCAAAGAAGGCAGAGUUACCAAUCCAAAGUAAUGCGAAGUUGAGUACGACUCAAAGUCCGAGUACUGAAGUCGAGAUAGCAGAAAUGAGCUAAGUACCUUACGCUUCCGCAGUUGGCUCGAUCAUGUACGCUAUGACUUGUACUCGCCCUGAUGUGGCCUUCGCUUUGAGCAUGGUCAUUAGAUAUCUAGGGAACCCUAGAAAAGCACAUUGGACCGCAAUCAAGAAUAUUCUUAAGUACCAUCGAAGGACCAAGGAAUGGUUUCUAGUCCUCGGUGGGAGUGAUGACUUAAAGGUGCGAGGGUAUAGUGACGCCAGUUUUCAGACCGACAGGGACAACUACCGUUCGCAGUCGGGCUGGGUCUUUACCCUAAAUGGUGGAGCAGUGACUUGGAAAAGUUCCAAGCAAGAGACCGUAGCUGACUCAACAUGUGAAUCAUAGUACAUUGAAGCAAGCGAAGCGUCAAAUGAGGCAAUAUGGUUGAAGAACUUCAUUGGAGACCUUGGAGUUGUGCCGACCAUACAGGAGCCUAUUGAGAUUUUCUGUGAUAAUGAAGGAGCGGUUGCCUUGACCAAGGAACUGAGGGAUCACGGCAGAUCUCAACAUAUUGACAGAAAAUAUCACUUUAUUCGAUAUCAGAUGGAAAAAGGACUCCUCGUAGUGAAGUGCGUAUCGUCAGAAGAUAACCCAUCAGAUCUGCUUACGAAGGGACUGAGCAGGGUUAAGCACUUGCAGCAUGCUAGGAGCAUCGGGCUGAAGGACGAUAUUAGUUUAGAUUAGAUAGUUUGGAAACGUGUAAUAGAUAAAUUAUAAUUAACAUCUGAUGAUUAAAUAAAAGAGUAUUAUUUAUUAGUAAUGUUACUAUCUUAUGUUAAUUGUUUACCUAUUGUUUCAUUUUGCAUGUUUUGACUUCCUGAAUAAUAAGAAUUAUUUAAAUGGUCUACAGUUGUUCAUAUGUUGGAACUAGGUAUGAAUGAAGACUGUCAUGAAUUGGUGUGUAGAUUGUCUAAAGUGUAUUAGACAUAGCAAAAGUUUGCUACAACAUUCAUGAGUGCUUAUGAAAAGUUUUGAGCAUUGGAAUAAACCCAUGCUUGCUGGAAUCACUUCAUGGAAUUCAUCAUGAGUGAUCGCAAGACGAUAAUAUAUCAUAUGGUCUUAAAACAUAGAUAUAUGGUUUAUUGUUUUCUAAUUGGUUGUGCAUUGAUAAUGCGUAAACACAUCAGUAACUUGAUGUUAUAAAACGCAUUGUUGUGUAUGAUUUGAUUAGUGGAUAGUAAAUGCAUAUAAGUCUAAGUUCAUCUGUUCCUUUUAUCCUAAUAGGUUAAAAGUGAUAUCAGGACCCCUUGAUGAUUUGAUUUGACUUAUGUGUCGGGCCCGGUCAGGACUGAAUUGAUGUGUUCAAUUACGUUCUAUGUCAAAUGAAUCAGAGAUUAAGAAACAAACUGUUGGAUAAUAAGUAUGACUAUGUUCCAUGUAAUUGUCCGCAUGAUAUCUAGAACAAAGGAUUAUACGAUCCCUUAUCUUAAGGACAAGUUACUGAUAAGAUCAAGAGUUUUGAGAACUGUGAUUGCUAAUCGAAUCCAGAAGUUGCAUUUGCAUUUAUAGUUAUUAUCAAGGUUGUAAAAAAUUCUCGACGUUAGCUAGUCGGUGGACUGGGGUUAAGAGAUUAAUCGGGUAGGCGGAGAUUAAUCGGGGGAUUAAUGGAGACCAUUAAUUGAUAAUUUGUUGAAUUUUAAAAAAUUGAAUAUGACUAAUAUCAUAUCAAAGUCCGUAAGUACCACUAAUAUCAUAACAAAAUAGGUUGAUAUGUUUAAUACAACAUUAAUCAUGCUUGAAAUAGUUUCUAUUGAGAUAAAACUUCUUAAAAAUGUUUAAAUUUCAUCGUUUUAUACAGUUUUACUCAUUAUUUAUGCAUGGAUUAAUCGCUAGGUGCCAUCUAGUUGGUUGAGUAAUGCCUAGGGAUUAAUCGGAGAUUAAUCGGGACCUAGUCAUGAUUUUUACAAUAAUGGUUAUUAGACUUAUCCAAGUAGGGGAAUGUUGGAUUAGUGUCCAAGUCCAUAACUAUAUUUGGUAUGUAUUUGACCCAGUUAUGCAUGGUCCUUUUAGGUUGCCUUCACCAAAGCAACUUGAUUGGAGGAAUAAUAUAGAAAGAGGUGAUUAUGGUUUAUUAAUAUAUUAUAAGAUUUAUAUAUUAAAGGAGAAAUCAUGUUUGUUUAAUUAACGUUGGUCAAUAAUUAAUUAAACAUUAGUUUUGUGAUCAAAAGAAGUUAAUUGAACUUAAGGGGCUGAACUGUAAUUAUGUGAUAGUUACAAAGUUAGGCAAGGAAACCUUAAUGGAUAGGGUGGACAAAUUCUGGGGAUAAUGCCUUAAGAAUUCGUCCAUGAUAGGGAUUCUAGAAUUAUCUUAUAGGCUGCUUGGUGGCUAAGUAACCAGAUAAGGAUAAUGACUGAAACCCUAAUUCAUACACCUAUAUAAAGGACCAUUGGGCAUGGGAAUUUCGGCCACUUGAACCCUAGAAGUCCUAGAGCUGAAAUUCUCCUCUCCCCUCUCUCUCUUGCUUCCUCCAAUUGCUAUUGGUGUUUGUGAUUCAUUAGAGGCACAACACUUAAGGUGCUAAAGUUUUCAAGGCUUCAAGAUCUUCAAUCAACAACAAGGUAAACAUCUAGAUCUACUUUGCUAUGUUAAUUUCGAUUAUAUACACUAGAUCUAGGGUUUGAAAGUCUUGGAUGAAUGCAUGUACAAUUAGAGAAACCUAGAUCCAAGCAUUAGGGUUUGCAGGAGCACAUAGGGUGUUCUUUUGGCUCAAACCCAUCACGCCCAAUGUACGUAGGGACCUCCUUUACAAAUAAGUUUCAUUCCAAGGGUUAAAAGGGUAAAUACCUACAUUCCGAAUGUUACAUAUAGAUAGUAAAAUACUUGAUUCUACCCUAAGCCCUUCAUCAAACAAGAAAAUGAAAUAAAGCUAAACAAAAAUUCUCAAGCUAUACAAUCUUAGUUAUGUACAACUACGAUGCAUACACUAAGCAACUACAAUAAUGACGCUAAUUAUAUAUAAGAAGUAAUCCUAGGGUAUCAAGCAUCCUAUAUCAGGAAAUCCUUUCAUGUAAUUCCUGAAGAUCCCUAUCCUACCACUAGCAUGAUGUUAUAUCAUGAAAAACAUAUCAAGUAACCGUGUGGGUAACUUUGGGUAAAUUUUCUUGCUCUGGCUGAUCAUACACAUCGCAUCAUUCCUUGGUUACUUUUGAAAACAAUUUUUGAAAACCAUUAAAAGAAAACUUUACAGCUUCCUAGUUUGAGUUUGGAUUCACACGAAUGUUCAUCCAGUUCUCUCAAACCGAGGCUCUGUUACAAACUUGUAACACUCCAAAUAUCAUAGAAAAUUAAAAAUUUUAAAUUUCAACCAUUAACCAACAUUUUUUACAAAAAGAGUCAUUGCUUCAAAAGUAUUAUUCAAAAUCAUAGUUUUUCCUAAGACCUAAUAACACAAAAUAGGAAGAUGUGCACGAUCACGCCUUCUCCUUCCUACGAUCAUCCGAAGUACCUAAAACAAUAAACUGAAAUUGUAAGCCAAAGCUUAGUGAGUUCCUCCAAAGUACCAUCAUGGAACAUAUAAAAUACAUAGAUUAACAUGUUGGGUCCAUAACCUCCCAGUUGGAUUACCUUGGCUCACAACCUCCCUGUUGGAUUGCCCUGCAUACCACAUACUGGGUCCACUACCUACCGACUGGGUUGACUUAGAUGGUUUGUGGAGUUUGGCCUAUUUUGACCCAAGGAUAUUUUGGAUAAGUUGGUAGUUAUUUAAGUCGACCAAUAUUUUGGGAUAAUAGGUGUCGAGUAGAGCCGGUUGUCAGGGAAGAGAUUUAUUCAGCUUAUGUUCAGACUGAGAGGUGAGUUUUCCUCACUGUACUUACGGGUCGAAGGCACCAAGGCCGACCCAACGAAUUGAUAUCCUGUCUAUACUGAUUGAAGAUAUGUUGAGUAUGCGAUAGAUCUGAAUGAUUAUAUGAUAGUUAUGAUAUACGUUAGACUGGUAGAUCUAUAGGGCUACCUAUGAUUAUUGGUUGUAUAAUCAUCUGUAUGUUGUAUAUAUAUUAUAUGUUAUAUGCCGACAUGUUACAUUGGGGUUGAGACUACUGCUUUGUGUCGUCAGUCAACAGACCAUGUCAAUCCAAUUGGGAUGUUGUGGGCUAGGGUAAUUCAACCAGGAGGUUGUGGACACAAUAUGCUAAUCUGUGUAUUUUAUAUGUUGCAUGAUGGUACUUUGGUGGAACUCACUAAACUUUGUGUUAUAGUUUCAGUUUAUUUUCAGGUACUUCUGAUGAUCGCGGUACGAUGAAGGUGUGGUCAUGCACAUCUUCCUGUUUUGUGUUAUUGGGUCUUGGUGAAAACUCUGAAAGUCAUGACACACUUCAAAUUGAAGUAUUUCGAUGGUACAAUCAAAAUCUCUAUUGGAUAAAAUUUAGUGACAACAACAGAGAAUUAAAAGGUUACGAUUCUUGUGUGUACCAUAUUCAAAUACCCAAAAAGGGAUAUAACUCCUUGUUCGAAAUAAAGCUAAACCAAAAAUUCUCAAGCUAUAGAAUCUUAGUUAUGUACAACUAUGAUGCAUACACUAAGCAACUACAAUAAUGAUGCCAAUUCUAUAUAAGAAGUAAUCUUAGGGUAUCAAGCAUCAUAUAUCAAGAAAUUCUAUCAUGUAAUUCCUGAAGAUCCCUAGCCUACCACUAGCAUAUUGUUCUAUCGUGAAAAACAUAUCAAAUAAUAGUGUGGUUAACUUGGGGUAUACUUUCUUACUCCGGCUGAUCGUACACAUAUCAUCAUUCUUUGGUUACUUUUGAAAACCAUUAAAAAAACUUUUACAGCUCCCUAGUUUGAGUUUGGAUUCACACGAAUGUUCAUCCAAUUCGCUCAAACCAAGGCUCUAAUACCAACUUGUAACACUCCAAAUAUCAUAGAAAAUUAAAAAUUAAAAAUUUCAACCAUUAACCAACAUUGUUUACAAAAAGAGUCAUUGCUUCAAAAGUAUUAUUCAAAAUAAUAGUUUUUCCCAAGACCCAAUAAUACAAAGCAGGAAGAUGUGCACGAUCAUGCCUUCGCCUUCCCGCGAUCAUCAGAAGUACCUGAAACAAUAAACAGAAACUGUAAGCCGAAGCUUAGUGAGUUCCCCCAAAGUACCAUAAUGCAACAUUUAAAAUACAUAGAUUAACAAAAUGGGUCCACAACCUCCCAUUUGGAUUACCUUGGCCCACAACCUCCCCGUUGGAUUGCCUUGCAUACUACAUACUGGGUCCAUAACCUUCCGACUAGGUUGACUUGGCUAGUUUGUGGAGUUUGACCUAUUUUGACCAAAGGAUAUUUUGGAUAAUUUGGUAGUAAUUUAAGUCGGGCAAUAUUUUUGGAUAAUAGUUGUUGAGUAGAGUCGGUUUUCGGGGAAGAGAUUUAUUCAGCUUGUCUUCUUACUCAGAGGUGAGUUUUCCUCACUGUACUUAUAGGCCAAAGGCACCAAGGCCGACCCAAUGGAUUGAUAUCCUGUUAGGUACUGAUUGAUGAUUUGUUGAGUAUGCGAUAGAUCUGUAUGAUUAUAUGAUAGUUAUUGAUAUACGUUAGACAUGUAGAUCUAUAGGGCUACCUGUGAUUAUUGGUUGUAUAAUCAUAUGUCUAUUGUAUGUAUAUUAUAUGUUAUAUGUCAACAUGUUACGUUAGGGUUGAGACUACUACUUUGUGUCGUCAGUCAACAGACCAUGAGAAUCUAACCGGGAGGUUGUGAGCCAGAGUAACCCAGCCGGGAGGUUGUGGGCCCAACAUGCCAAUCUAGGUGUUUUAUAUGUUGCAUGAUGGUACUUUGGAGGAACUCACUAAGCUUUGGCUUACAAUUUCAGUUUAUCGUUUCAGGUACUUGUGAUGAUCGCAGGACGGUGAAGGUGUGAUCAUGCACAUCUUCCUGUUUUGUGUUAUUGAGACUUAGGAAAAACUCUGAUUGUGAAUAAUACUUUUGAAGCAAUGAAUCUUUUUGUAAACAAUGUUGGUUAAUGGUUGGAAUUUUUUUUUUUUUUUAAAUUUUUAUGAUUUUUGGAGUGUUACAUUGGUUUUGUCUUAUAACUGAUCCAAACCCCCACACACCCUUGUUAAUCAUCAAAGAAGAAUCCAAUUAGAACUAAUUCUAUUCAACAAUAACAACCAUAGGGUGUUAGAAAUCCAUUACCUCAAAUGUAGGGAUCUUUUGAUGUCUAAGAACAUUAAUCAAGAUAAAUUAAUAAGGAUAUUCAAUUAAACCAAAGGUCUUUUGGCCUAGCACUAUCAUAUGUUGGAAAAAUGACCCUUCCUAAUGUUAGAAAAACGGGUUAUUUCGAUUGCUUGGAUUCCACUGAAAGUCAUGAUACACUUUCAAAUUGAAGUAUUUCGGUGGUACAAUCAAAAUCUCAAUUGGAUAAAAUUUAGUGACAACAAUAGAGAAUGAAAAGGUUAUGAUUCUUGUGUGUACCAGAUUCAAAUGACCAAAAAGGGAUAUGACUCCUUGUCCGAAAACUGUCAUAUUAACAGUUACAAACUGCCACAAAGCUGUCACUAAACUUGUAACACCCCAAGUUCAGAAGUGCAAGUUCAGGGUUCUUGGUGUAAUUAAGGAAGAUCGACUCGGCGAGUCGAGUCGUGAUUUGGCCAUGUGCUAAGUGACUGACUCGGCGAGUAGGCAGCUAGACUCGACGAGUCAGUGCUGGAGUGAGAAACCCUAAUUCAUGGGGUUUGCACCCUAUAUAAGGAACCUUAAGUCCCACCCCAGCCUCUUUAGGACUCCCUCUGAUGUCCAGAAACUUUCCACAUCGAUUUCAAACCCUAAAUUGAGAGUGAGAGGGAUUUAAGUGUGUUUUGGAGCUUGAAGAAGAAGGAUACUUGAAGCAAGAGUUGGUGGGAUCAUAGAGGAGCGAAGUGGAUCUGAUUUCCUUGCUUCUUGGCAUCAGCAUCAAGGUAAAAAGUUGUUGCCUUGACUUUGUUGUGUUUAGAUGGUUCAUGAAUGAAGUUUUAGGGCCAAUUUAUCAUAUAUGAGCCUCUUUUCGAGUAUUGGGUUUAGAUCUGUGGUUGCUACUACAGAUCUAGACUGGUCCUGACUCAUGAAUCUGGAAAGUGAUAGCUUUGGGGCUUGAUUGAGAGUGUCCUUGCCUUAAAACUUCACUUUAGCUUGAGUAGAGCUUGUUGAGCCUUGCAUGCACGUAAAGUUGGAAACUUUACAUGUAGAUCUUGCCCUAGGAGUCCAGAUCUAUGUAUUGAAAGCAAUAGUUUGGCCUGUGAUCAUCUGAAUGAAGGUAUUACGUAUGGACUCGGCGAGUCUGGGAGAUGACUUGACGAGUCGGACAAAAGAUUUGGAAUGAAUCGCGUAGUAACUCGGCGAGUCACAUGGGUGUACUCGACGAGUUGGAUGAAGAUAGGCAAGAACUCGACGAGUUGGAAGAACAACUCGACGAGUCUAUUGAAGAUUGCCUUGGGCUCAACGAGUCUGUUCUUGGACUCGGCGAGUCUGGUCGAGGAGUCCUAACCUUUUCUGGUUAAGUCGUGAAUCGGUGAGUCGAAGGAUGACUCGGUGAGUUGAGCAUGAAGGGACUCAGAGUUUGUUGGACUCGGCGAGUCUUGGGGCAACUCGACGAGUUGAGUCGUAAUAUGAGAGUUUUGAGUAUGGGAACUCGAAGAGUCAACGAGUUGACUCGGCGAGUAGGGUCAACCAGGAAGGUUGACCUUGACUGAGGACUUGGACUUUAACCAAGGGUUGACCAGUUGACUUCCGGGGGUAUUUUGGUAAUUAUUGGUAUUUAUUGAUUUGGUUUUUGGUAAUGAUCAGUGGCGGAGUUCGUGCUGGUGGUUGGAGCAGCGUGAUCUUAUUCUUCAGUCGGCAGUGACAGUUGAGUUAUCCUCACUAUACUGACAGGGUCUACGGCACCAAGGCCGACCCUCCAUCGGAUGGAAAUCCGGGUAUUGUUGUUAUGUUAUUGCUAUAUGGAGAUCCUUGUUGAUGGAAAGGCGGCCGACGAACGCUCGGUGGACUCUAUAUCCUCAAGGAAUCAAUUUGGAACCCGGAAAAUCAUAUUUAUUUAGGAAUGUAGCAUAUGGUUUUAGAGGUUGUCCUAAAUGGGAGGAUGUGGAUACGGUUAGUUAAGUUUAAUAAUUAUUAUUUUAUAUAUAUAAUAUUACUGAAAUUACUAGUAUUUAAUUUAUAUUUUUUUUGCAGGUUAUAUCUGUAAUAAAUGUUGUGCAUACCCAUUGGUUUUUGGUGGUUCUACAUUUAGAUACCUGGAAAGUAGAAAUUUUUGAUUCAGCACAAGUUGCGGGUUACUUCUCAACAUACAACACUAAUGGAGAAUUCAAAAGUUUUGGAGAUAGUAUUAUCUCAGAGUUGGAUGCCAUUGAUUACUGGAGCCAUUUCCCCCAUUGGACACAGAGACAAGCAAAGGUCGAGUUUUUUGAUGUUUNGACACAGAGACAAAGCAAAGGUCGAGUUUGUUGAUGUUGUAGACGCCCCACAACAAGAAUAUAGUCUUGAAAGAGGGGAUUGUGGAGUAUUUGUAUGCAUGUUUAUGGAAAUGAUUGUUUCUGGGGGUACCAGUGGCGAUUUCAAGGACAUGUAGAGAAGCUGCAUUUCUCUAUAGAAAUAAGAUGGCAAAUGUUAUUUGGGAUACUAUAUAAGUUGAUAUUAGGAACUUUGUAUAUAUAUUAAUAUUAAAUACUUGUUUCUAGUAUGUAAUCGUGUCACUUCUGGUAGUAUGUAAUCUUGUAAUUAUCUUUUAUAUUUUUUAAACAUAAUUCACCAAAAAAUGUUACGAAACCAUACAUUCAAACAAAAUAAACAUUACAAAUAACAUGAAUACAUUACAAUAGAGUCGUCUACAUAAAAAUAAGGUUUCUUACGACUAACAAACAUUAGAUAAAACAUUGGAAAUAAAAUACUCAUCUACUUGAAAAAAACUUUAUCUUUUACCAGAUUCCAAACGUCCGUAUACUCGAAAUCAUGUCCAUCAAACUUGCAUAGGUAAUAUCCAUUCACAUCUUCAAGAAGUUCUUCAUUAUCUGCUUGAGAGCGUCGCAUUUUCUCAGGAUUGUAGCAUCGAUUGAACCAUGUGACCUUAAACUUUAAAUCCAUCCAUUUACUAACAAUAGCAGGUUUUAGUCGUUCGUGUCCUUGCCCGACUUGAUAGUUGAACAAAGCUAUGAGGCGGGACCAUUCAUCACCUACAAGGCAAUUCAGGGGAGCCAUCACUGGUAGACCCUCGUAAAUGGUAAUCCAACUUUGUAUUAGGACCAACAACUCUGUUGGCGUCCAUGGAGAUGUACAAUUUGUUGGAGAGGCUGCAUUAGAUGGAUUUGUUGCAUUCGAAGAACUUGGUACAUUGGACGCCAUUUCUUAAUUGAUCUACUAUCAACUAAAGAAUUGAAUUUCGUAUAGACACUACGUUUAAUAUAUGUACAAACAUAUGUUAUACAAAGAUAUGUCAGUAACGCGGACUGACGAGCCAGUAACGCGGACUUACGAGCCAGUAACGUGGACUGACAACGAUUAAUAUAUAUAAAUAGUUUCUUAAUGCGGACUGACGAGUCAGUAACGCGGACUUACGAGUCAGUAACGCGGACUGACAACGAUUAACAUAUAUAAAAAGUUUCUUAACGCGGACUAACGAGUCAGUAACGCGGUCUUACGAGUCAGUAACACGGACUGAAAACGAUUAAUAUAUAUCAAAAGUUUCUUAACGCGGACUGAUGAGUCAGUAACACGGACUAACAAUUACUAGACAAAACAGUUUUGCGGACUGACAAGACAGAAACACGGAUUGACAAGUCAGUAACGCGGAGUGAUCAUUGGCUUUGCGGACUCACAAGUCAGUAACGCGGACUGACAACGAAGUAACACGGACUAACAACCCCGUAACGCGGAUUGAGAACGCAGUAACGCGGACUAACAAGUCUAUAUAAAACGACAAACAACAAUGUAUCACUUCAUCUAAGGUAUUUUAGUUCAUGUGCUUUGUAUGUUUUACAANUUCAUGUGCUUGUAUGUUUUACAAUGGGUUCAAACCAAUGGACCGCUAACGAGUAUUUCCUUCUAGCUCGUGCAUAUAUUAAUGUCAAAGAGAACACCAGUUUGGAGGAUAUAAUGUUUUUCUCCCAACUAACGAAUACCUUCAACACUGACGCUGAAACCACCAUACAAAACCAUCGCAACACGCUUGAUAUAGCUACAAAAUGGUAUGAAUUGAAAACGGAAGUUGUGUUAUUAAACGAUCUUUAUAAUAAGAUUGAAGAUGAUCAUGUCAAUGAUACUGAGGAAGAGAUCUUGGAGGUGUCUAAAGAAGAAUACAAAUCCAUUAGCAACGGACAGAGUUUCGAGUUUGAAGCCCCUUGGAAUCUUUUGAAAAAUGUACCGUUUUUUUAAGUAGAACUGCAUUUUGUAUUGUUCUUGUAUUUCUUUAUUUAAAUGUAAUAUGGUAUUUAUCCUUUAUUUUAAAAAAAAAUAUUUGACCAACAAAUGUUACAAAACCAUACAUUCAAAAAACAUUAUCUGACAAACAGCUUACGCGGACUGACAAAUAAGCUACGCGUAAUGACAACACAUUUACGCGGACUGACAAGUAAGUUCUGCGGAAUAAUGUAUACUAAUUCCUUAUAAAUUUUGACAACCAUGACGAAAAUUUACAAGGUGUCGAAAGUUGUGAAAAUGAGUUCAGUCAAUCAGGUAUUAAGGAAAAGUUUCUCCAGCCUACCGACUUUUUUCCAUAAGCUGCAAAGAAGCAAUCCUACCACCUUCACGUACAUUACGAAGGAUCGGUACAAUCGUUUCCAAAUUUGUUUCGUGGCAUUGGGAUGCGUGGUAUGUAAUCCCUUAUAGUAAAUAAAUAUUUAGUUAUUUCAAGUUGGUAUAUGCCUAAUAUUCUUAUGUUGACUUACAGAUUCGUACAUUUCUCACGUCUAUGAUAUCAAUCAUAUUCGUUGGUCAAGUACCUCUAAUUGGGGCAUAUGUAACAUCCAUGUACAUUGCUUUUGCUUUAGAUGGAAAUCAUGAACCCCUUCUCAUAGUGUUUGCCUUGGGAACCAUAAAUUGUGACAAUUCAUGGUUAUGGUUCAUAAGGAGGCUUAAAGACUGUUUAGGUGACAAUACAUAAUUUGGUUUCAUAAGCCAUAUGUCUGAUUCUAUGGACUUUGCAGUCCACAGAGUCUACCCUGAUUCAUAUCAUGGCUAUUGUUGUAAAAAUAUAGCCAAGAAAAUACGCGCUUCCAUCGGAACCAAUACAGUCGUAGAACAGUGGUUCUGUAAGACGUGUAAAGCAUAUAAUUUAUCUCAAUUUUAUGCAUGUUUGAACAAUUUAAAAAAUGAGGUAAAUGGGAAUGAUCUUCAUUGGCUUGACAAUAUUCCCAUUGCAAAAUGGGUACGGGCUUGUUUUCCAAGAGUAAGUUUCAAUGUUAAAUUCAUUGACAUUCCCGAUGUUUUCAAUUGGUUUAAAACAAACACGCAUGAGUUUCCAAUAACAACAAUCAUUGAAAUGGUUCAUGACUCGAUGUAAGAAGUUUAUCUUCGACGUGCUGUUUUUGGAGGUAAUUAUAAGUUAUGACAUCAUUAAAACGGUGAAUUGAUAUGUUUAUUAUACGUUAUGACCUUAUAAUUUUUUUUAUUGAUUCAGUUGAUUUCACAGGGGAUAUCCAUAAUCUUCUAACCCCUUAUGCACUUAAGGUGAUUCAUAAAAGAUUUAUCCACUCGGAUGGUUGUAGGAUUACGCAUAUUGUUGGCGAUAGAUAUGAAGUGACUAAGUAUUCAACAACCGAAUAUGUACAACUAGACCGUGGUAUUUGUAGUUGCGGUAAAUGGCAAAAAUGCGGUAUACCUUGUGAGCAUGCUAUAGCUUCACUACACAGACUCGAAAUUGCAGAAAUCCAUCAAAUGGUAAAUUUAAAGUUAAGUACAGCGGUGUAUCGAAAUGCUUAUCAAACUGAGACGGUCUAUCCUAUUCCAACCCUUAGGCAUUGGGAAAAACCAGUCGAAAGUGUUGUGGUCUUACCUCCACGCCAAUUCAAUUGAACUUUAUUGUAUGGAUCACAACGAAUAUUAGUUUUUAUUCAGUUCUAUGUUAACCGUACUUGUAAUGGUUUGUUGGCAUUCUUUACUUUUUAAUAAAAAAAAUGUUUACCUUUAAAUAAAUAAUUGUAUUUUCAUAAUUGUAAUAUGUAUGCAUGACAACGACUAGACAAAAAAACUAUGCGAACUGACAAACGCAGUAACGCGGACUGACAAAAACCUCUACGGACUAACAACAGCUCUCUGCAGAGUGGAAGGGACUAUAUAUAGUCAUGGAUGGUCGUCGGAUUUUUCGUAUAGAGUUAUAAUUUUUUAAAUUUAAAAUGACUUCAUCUUCAUCUUUGUAUAUUUGCUCGUGCAACGAAGUUGAUUGUUUCUAUUGUGAUCCGAUCGACCCUUUUCUUGCACCAUCACCAAAUUUAAGAGAGUCAUAUAUGUCGGAGGAUACUUUGCAACAACUACAAUGGGCUGAAGAACAACAAAAAAAAAGAUAAAGACUCGUCUCGGGCUCUCACUGAACGACGUGACCUCAUUGCGGCGGAGUGCAAAGAUGUUGAGGAAAGGAUGACGAUUACAAAAAAAAAUCAAAAAUCAUGGGGAAUGGAAAAAAAAACNCUAAGAAGAAUCUCAAACUGUCUGAAAAAUGGCUUGCUGACAAGGAUGCAGAAAUGAUAGAACUUGGUAGGCAAAAGGACCGUAUGGAAGAUAAAAUAAGAAUAAGGGACGACUACAUAACAAUGGAGAAAGAAAAGUAUCCUUUGCAAUUCCCUUAAGUUAAUUACCGUUGUUGUACGUUUACUAUAUGUUUCUAGUUUGUUGAAUGUAUUAACUUCGAGUAUUAGUUAUUAUUCUACUAGUAAUUAUGCAGUAAUAUAAUCAUAAUAUUACCCAUCAUCUUUAAAAUAAACACACCAGCUCAAAGUAGACAAAUUAAUGUCCUCUAAAACAAAACAUAAUUAAUUAUAAAUACAACAUCAAUCAUUCAAAUCAAACGUUGAACAAUAGUCUUCUCUCUACGUCCCACUCGUCCAACGCGUGUCUUGUGUCCCGUGCGUCUCUAGCGUCUCCUGAGUCCCUUCUGUCCCUUUCCCUUUUCCUUUUGUGUUACUACUUGAUGUCGUAUUAGUUUUUCUAGCCUUUUUUUGUUUCUUUGGGACCAAUGUCGGACAAGUCGCUGCAUUAUGUGUUGUACUAUCACAUCUACUACACCUUCUUAUUAUAGGUUCCUCACCUUGUGACGGAAUACGAUUUCUGUUUCUCGGUCUACCAGCUUGACGUGUAUCCAUUAUCGGGGGUUUCACAACCAUCAUGUUAGCAGGAAUCUCCCAAUCACACGGUUCUGGAAGGGGGUAAACCGGCUCCUCAUACGUACUUCGGUAUGUUUCCAUUUUGUAAGCAUCUAUAGCCAGAUGUCCGAAGUUAGUUUUUUUCAAGUGCUUCAAGACCAUUAUCACAUGACCACAAGGCAACCCAGUUCCUUCCCAAUAUUUGCAUGUACAAGUCUCUUGCCUCAGAUCAACUAUGCCACCAUGUUUGAAAUCAUGAACUUCAUAAAGUGCAUCUGAAACACCAGAAAUGGACCAUCCUGUCGUACGCUCUUCAUUUUUACUAACUACUUUUUCAGCCCACUCGGUUAGCACUGUUGAACGUUUCCCUAUAAAGAAGAUAUAUAUAAUUAACUAAUUAUUCGACCUAAUUAAAGACAAAAUAAAAUUCAUACCUCCUUCGAUGCGACGCUUGUAACACCAUUCCUGUGAAAGACGUCGGAAGAACUCAAGAAGGGGUAUUAUAGGCAUCUUCCUUGCAUCUACAGAUAAAGCAUUCAUGAACUCUGCACUGUUCGAGGUCAUGUAAUCGUAACGUUUCGAUGGCGAAUAUGCUCUAGUCCAUUUAACACAGGGAAUUUCACUUAGAUACGCUGCUACUUGCGGCCUAGUAGAACUAAAUAUAUACCACAAUUCUUCAAAAACAUUUCUUUUGUAAGCUUUCACAAGCCUCCAAAACAACCCUUUUGUUUUAUCAUUUUUCCCAAACUUGUGUACUAUGUUUCCUAGUGUGACAUCCCCAAAAUCUUGGCCAGAAAAGACCGAUUUCAUUGAUGCUUUUUAAAAUAAUUUCAGAGUAAAUCCUUUUGAUUUUAAAAGAGAUGCGGAAUUUGUUCCCAAAAACAAAACAUGAUAAAAUAGAUCUUUUAUCAAAACAUUUCAUAAAGAAAUAUAAUUUCAUUUCAUAAUCAAAACCGGGAUGUCAUGUUCCGAUACAGACCAUAAAGCAUAAACGAUAACAUUACAAGUCAUUCAACAAAUAUUAUACAUAUGCAGACUUGUAAACAAAACAACUUGAUGAUUCAUCCAUCUUAUGCCCUUACGCCACUUCCUGUAAUACAAGUAAACUGAGUGGGUCAGGCUUGGGAGCCUGGUGAGCAUAUAGGGUUUUCAACCCACAAUAAAUAAUUAUAUUUAAUUCAACAAUCAACAAUAACCCGAUUACCCAUUCCCGUUUUCCUUACUUUACGUCCCUAAAACAACAUCUAUUAUAAGGGACCUAAUCUAGGAGUUUCAUCGGGACAAACAUUACUGCAAAGGGGCUUCCUUAGCAAUAAAUAUCCUAAAGGCAACCAUGAGGGGGAUAUAGUUCACCGGUGAACACGUCGUUCACAAGACCUACAGGUUAUGAGCCUACUAGUGUUCCACAGGACUGUCUAGAAUAGUCCGUGGUCGUCAUCCAUACUCUGCUGAAUGACUAGAAUAACACCAACAACAUCGAGGCCUCUCAUCUGUUUAUUACACACCAACUAUCUACCCAUGUUCUACCCAACAUAUUAGUAGAUAAAAAUAUACAUUUGUAUACAUAGUUUAAAACCUGUAUAGCAUGCUCAAUCAAUACAUUUUUCCACAUAACAGAUGAGGUACACACACAUAACACGUAUUUCAUAGAGAAUAAAUCAGAUCUAUGAGAUAGAAGAAAGUGAAUAUACAUCCACACAUAUAGUCAACAAAGUAUACACGUAACACGUAUUUCGUAUAAAAUACUUCAUAAUAAUGUGUUAGAAGAAAAUGACUACACACUCACUUGAUCAGAAGAUGAUCGGGCAACACUACGACUUGUAGAAGUAGUGUUUCUCCGUAGAUCUGGAAGAUCUUCACAUAAACCGGGCUCCUCGCGGGCAGGUCUUCGGCUCUGAAAUCUCACUUCUCGGGAUUCUCGGGACUUCGGAUCUUGCUUCGGGGCUCGCGAAUAAUAUUGGGGCUUCGGGGUAUGAUUGGCAAGCAAAUCGAGGCAAAAACUAGAGAGAAGAAAGAGUUUGAACUAGAGAAAAUGGUUGAUCUCGCAUUCUAUUUAUAGGCUGCUGGGUCUAGGAUUAUGCCGGGCGUAAUUUCCAGGUACGCUGGGCGUACUAAGUACACUGGGCGUAAUUAGGUUACGUUGGGCGUACUUUGACGUCACUGCAUGCGUCAAUUGGUGGCACUCGAGUAUUGGUCAGACAAGUUGCACCCCUCUGAGUACGCUGGGCGUACUCAAAUUACGCUGGGCGUAAUUUGACUCGUCAAACUUCUAAAUUGCGUAACUUUGGCAUACGAGCUCCGUUUUCGACGUUCUUUAUAUCAACGCGUAGGUUAGACCAUACUCUACAACUUUCAUUUAGACUCAAUUUUUACUUUUAUUUUUAUUAUUUAUUUUUAGUAGGCCGGGACAGGAAAACUUCGUUAUAAAUUCAUAACUUCUUCGUUCGACGUCCGUUCUCGCCUAACUUUUCAUCGUUUCACUACUAACAACGAGAUAUUCGAUUCUCGUUUAGAUUGUUCUGGCUAAAAACCGCUCGAUCUCAAAUCGAGUAUUCGGGCUGCAUACUGCCAAGUCGAAACUUCAGANGAAAAUCAUAUUCCUCAUACGAAGUCAGAUUUGGGCGUUCUAUAUAUAUUUAGAAACCUAGUUUCAACUACUACAACAUUAUCCAAAGAUAUCGAGUUUAUUUUACACUUCAUUUUGACGCUAAUUUUUAUUCUUAAUUCAAUUAAAUUAUAAUAAUUAAGAAAACACACACAUAAUUCACAUAAUUCACAAAUAAUACAUUUUUAUUAUUUCAGAUUGGGUUACAAAGGUUAACCUAGACUAUUACAUUGCUAAAAAUGGCAAGCCCAUAAUCACGGGCGUUACAAUUUUCUCCACCUUAGAAUGAUUCCGUCCCUGGAAUCACACAUCAACAAAUAAAUGCGGAUAGCGACCCAUCAUGUCACUCUCCGUCUCCCAGGUGAGAUACGACCCAUUCGUGUGUUUCCAACGGACAAGCACUAACUCAACCAUCUUACGUCGCAAUUUCUUAGUCUUCCGGUCAACGAUUGCUUCUGGUUCUUCAAUCAAUCUUUUGUUUUCAUCAAUUAUUAACUCUGAAAGUGGAAUCAUGUCGGGAACUUCUCCCGUGAACUUCCUCAAGUAACACAUAUGAAAAGUGUUAUGAAUUCCAUUCAGUUCUUCGAGUAGUUCGAGCUUGUAAGCUUGGUUCCUAAUUCUCUGAAGAACUUUAAACGGUCCAAUAAACCUUGGACUUAACUUUCCCCUUUUACCACAUCUUAUAAGUCCCUUCCACGGCGAGACUUUAAGCAAAACCGAAUCUCCAACUUCAAAAGUCAUCGGUCUUCGCUUUUUGUCAGCAUAGCUCUUUUGACGGUCGUGAGCUGCUAACAUUCUUUCCCUAAUUAUUUUCAACUUUUCAGCCGUUUGAUGGACUAUCUCUGGUCCCAUAAACUGCUUUUCCCCAGCCUCAAGCCAACAAGACUGCGUACGACACUUCUGUCCGUACAAAGCUUGAUAAGGUGCCAUCUUAAUGCUCGAGUGGAAACUAUUAUUAUAGGAAAAUUCUACCAAUGGUAAAUGUUCAUCCCAAUUACCUAGGAAUUCCAAGGUACAUGCUCUCAGCAUAUCUUCAAGUGUUUGUAUCGUUCUUUCACUCUGACCAUCAGUCUGCGGAUGGUAAGCUGUGCUUAAACACAACUUGGUACCCAAUUCCUCUUGUAGACUUUUCCAAAACCGUGAGGUGAAACGACUAUCACGAUCCGACACAAUUGUUAACGGAACACCGUGAAGCCUCACAAUUUCCUUCACGUAAGAAUUCGCAAGCUUUUCCAUAGACCAUUUCUCAUUGGCUGCUAUGAAAUGCGCACUCUUAGUGAAUCGAUCAACGACCACCCAAAUCAUGUCGUGACCAUUCUUUGUUCUGGGCAGUUUAGUGACAAAAUCCAUAGCAAUGUCUUCCCACUUACCCAUAGGCACAGGCAAUGGUUCUAAACUCCCGUACGGUUUCUGAUGUUGUGUCUUGACUCUCGCACAAGUCACACACUCGGCCACAUACUUUGCAACAUCAAGCUUCAUCGUCGGCCACCAGUAGUAGGGUUUCAGGUCCCUAUACAUUUUAGUGCUACCCGGAUGAAUCGAGUACAUGGUCUUGUGAGCUUCUUCCAUCAGAAGAUCUCUGACUCCUCCUGUCUUAGGUAUCCAAAUCCGAUCUUGGAACACCUUCAGUCCAUGACUGUUUACACCGAACACCAACGUUUUGCCCAAACGUUCCUCCUUUCUGUCAUUCUUCUCAGAAGCUUCGCUCUGAGCUUUCUUUAUACUUUCCAAAAUAGUUGAGACAACUUCAAUUCUCAACGCUCUUGGCCUUUUCCUUUCGGGAUUGACUUUCCGACUGAGAGCAUCAGCAACAACAUUAGCUUUACCGGGGUGGUAAAGUAUCUCGCAGUCAUAGUCUUUAAGUAAUUCUAGCCAGCGUCGUUGCCUCAUAUUCAAUUCUUUCUGAUUAAAGAGGUAUUGGAGACUCUUAUGAUCAGUGAAAAGUUUGCACUUCGUGCCAUAGAGGUAAUGCCUCCAUAUUUUCAGAGCGAAAACUACCGCUGCCAACUCCAAAUCAUGAGUCGGGUAAUUCUUUUCAUGCUCUUUCAGCUGUCGAGACGCAUAUGCUAUCACCUUUUCUCUUUGGGUCAAAACACAACCCAAUCCAACACCAGACGCAUCGCUAUAAACAGCGAAGUCUUCAACUCCAUCGGGUAGAGAAAGUAUCGGUGCCUCGCAUAGCUUCUUCUUUAACUUCUCGAAUGCUUCUUUAUGCUUCUCACUCCAAGCAUAAGUAGCUCCUUUGUGGGUCAAAGCUGUCAAUGGAGUAGCAAUCGAAGAAAAGCCUUGGAUAAACCUUCAAUAAUAUCCGGCUAAUCCCAAAAAGCUUCGAAUCUCCGUGGGACUUUUCGGUUGUUCCCACUUCAUCACAGCUUCGAUCUUCGCUGGAUCAACCAUUAUCCCUUCUUGGUUGACCACGUGACCCAAGAAUUGUACUUCUCGAAUCCAAAAAUCACAUCUGGAGAACUUUGCAUACAACUUAUCCUUCUUUAAAACUUCUAACACUUCUCGCAAGUGUCUGCCAUGCUCCUCCUGGCUUUUCGAGUAAAUCAGAAUGUCGUCUAUGAACACUAUNGAACGGAUUACAAACCCUGUUCAUUAAAUCCAUGAAUGCUGCUGGAGCAUUGGUUAGUCCAAACGACAUAACCAAAAACUCGUAGUGCCCAUAUCAUGUUCUGAAUGCAGUCUUCUCUAUAUCCUGCUCUCUUACUUUUAGCUGAUGAUAUCCUGACCUCAGGUCGAUUUUUGAAAAAUAACUUGAACCUUGUAGUUGAUCGAACAGGUCAUCAAUCCUCGGCAACGAAUAUCUAUUCUUUAUUGUUGCCUUGUUCAGUUCUCUGUAAUCGAUGCACAUCCUCAUACUUCCAUAUUUCUUUUGACGAAUAACAUCGGAGCUCCCCAGGCCGAUGAACUAGGUCUUAUGAAACCUUUGUCCAAUAACUCCUGAAGUUGCAUCAUCCGCUCCUUCAUCUCCAUCGGUGCUAGUCGGUAAGGUGCUUUUGCUAUAGGCGUCGUUCCCGGCAACAAGUCGAUACGAAAUUCUACUUGUCGAUCAGAAGGUAAUCCAGGAAGAUCUUCGGGAAAUACUUCCGGAUAAUCACAUACGACAGGAAUAUUCUGCAUCACCUUUUUUUCCUUCUUAGCAUCGAUCACGAAUGCUAAAUAUGAUGUACACCCCUUGGUCAAACAUUUUCUGGCUUUCAUUAGAGAAAUGAUUCCAGAAUUUACUCUGCGUUUAUCUCCAUACACCAUAAACGAUUCCUUCCCAGGCGGGUUCACUUUCACUAUUUUCUUCUUGCAUAAAAUUUCGGCAUCAUUGGCGCUAAGCCAAUCCAUUCCCAAAAUGAUGUCGAAACUGUUAAGUUCGAUAUAAAGGAGUAGUUUUCUACCAAAUUCAUGCGAUAUAAAGGAGUAGUUGGCUCCAGAAUCAAAUAAAAUUUGGGCAGACGAUUUGUUUACGAGAAAGGUACCUGAACGACAUCAGCUUCAUCUUUAGCAGCUUCCAGUGUCAUCUGGAAUGCUCUCGCCUUCGGCUUUGGCGAAAUGUUGGGUUUUGUUGCCUCCUUCUUCUUCGGACAAUCUCUUGAUAUGUGCCCUUCCUCACCACAACCAUAACAAACAUUCUUGGUGAGGGUGCAGUCGUUGGCAUAAUGCCCUGGCUUUCCACAUUUCAAGCAUGUGGCUUCCCCGCCGCACUUCCCAUGAUGCUUCUUCUUGCAUUUGUCGCACCAUUUCGCUUCGCCUCCUCCACCCCCUCUCGAACUAGACUUCGAGAAUUUACCCUUUUUGCUGGACCCUGAAGAUCCCUCGAACUUCCUCUUUUCACCAACCUCUGACCUUUCCAGACCUUUUUCCCUGAUCUGGGUCUCAACAUUUCUAGCAGCCCAGAUGGCGGCUUUCAAUGUGGUUGCUUGCUUAACCAUUAGACCAUAGUCCGCUGGUAGUCCAAGGGCAAACUUGUUGACCUUAGAGAGUUCUGUAGGCACCAAAUAUGGGAUAAACUUCAUCUUUUCUGUGAAACUUGCAGCGUAUUCAGUAACGCUCAAUUUCCCUUUCUUCAAAUUCUGAAACUCAUUACUGAUUUCCAGAAGGUCCUGCUCGGAGCAGUAUUGCAGUUUUAGUUGUUCCACAAAGUCUUCCCAAGACAUUUUGCUUGCUUCUCCCUUGGGCAUAGAGUCAGCUAACAGCUUCCACCAACUCAACACGCCAGAUUUUAGCAGAGGGAUCGCAAGAGCGGUCUUCUGCCUGUUGCUGCAUUCGCAACUUUCAAACAUAGUCUCCAUUUCGGAGAUCCAGUCCAUAACUUGCACCGGCGUCGGGCUUCCGGAUAGACAUGGUGGUUUGGAUGCCAUGAAAUCCUUAUACUUGCACCCACGACCAUCAUUUCCUCCAUACUGGUUAUUGCGUCUAACCACUGGUUGUUCGUCUUGACCAAUGAUCCCACUAAAGUUUUCUCCUUCAGACUGCCCUCCAUUCUCCUCGGGCUCUUCCGCUUGAAUUGACGGUUCUUCACGAUUCUGCCUAAGCAGGCGUCUUGUUUCUUCCAUCUGACGAUCCAACAUCAUUUGAAUCAUCAUUUGUACACCAGCCAUUGUUAUCGGCUCAGGUGCAUCAGCUACGACAGGUACUUGUUGAAUUACAGGCGGUUGAUUCCUGUUUUCAUCAGCAUUUCCAACUCCGCUUCUUGUUCUCACCAUUUUUGAUCUACACACCGAAUAAUUUCACCUUAUUACUCCAAACGAUUACAUGCUAGUUCUAAUAUCGUAUACAUACGCUUAGAAUCCUAAACACAUAAACCUUCAGAUCCGGUUGGCAACAAACCGUAGAUCCGAACAAAUAAUAUCAUAUAUGGCAACAUAUAACAUUUAGCACAUAAAAGCAUUUUAGGCAACUUUCCUAAAAUAAACUAGUGCUCGUGUCUAAAAUUUAUCAGACACACAUCUCACAAUCUCCACUUAGCAUACUAAGUUUAAGUCUAGAAAUCCUACAAAUUCCUAGUUCGCUUAAACUAAUGCUCUGAUACCAACUGUGACAUCCCCAAAAUCUCGGCCAGAAAAGACCGAUUUCAUUUAUGCUUUUUAAAACAAUUUCAGAGUAAAUCCUUUUGAUUUUAAAAGAGAUGCGGAAUUUGUUCCCAAAAACAAAACAUGAUAAAAUAGAUCUUUUAUCAAAACAUUUCAUAAAGAAAUAUAAUUUCAUUUCAUAAUCAAAAAUCGGGAUGUCAUGUUCCGAUACAGACCAUAAAGCAUAAACGAUAACAUUACAAGUCAUUCAACAAAUAUAUACAUAUACAGACUUGUAAACAAAACAACUUGAUGAUUCAUCCAUCUUAUGCCCUUGCGCCACUUCCUGUAAUACAAAUAAACUGAGUGGGUCAGGCUUGGGAGCCUGGUGAGCAUAUAGGGUUUUCAACCCACAAUAAAUAAUUAUAUUUAAUUCAACAAUCAACAAUAACCCGAUUACCCAUUCCCGUUUUCCUCACUUUACGUCCCUAAAACAACAUCUAUUAUAAGGGACCUAAUCUAGGAUUUUCAUCAGGACGGACAUUACUGCAAAGGGGCUUCCUUAGCAAUAAAUAUCCUAAAGGCAACCAUGAGGGGGAUAGAGUACACCGGUGAACACGUCGUUCACAACACCUACAGGUUAUGAGCCUGCUAGUGUUCCAUAGGACUGUCUAAAAUAGUCCGUGGUCGUCAUCCAUACUCUGUUGAAUGACUAGAAUAACACCAACAUCAAGGCCUCUCAUCUGUUUAUUACACACCAAUUAUCUACCCAUGUUCUACCCAACAUAUUAGUAGAUAAAAAUAUACAUUUUUAUACAAAGUUUAAAACCUGUAUAGCAUGCUCGAUCAAUACAUUUUUCCACAUAACAGAUGAGGUACACACACAUAACACGUAUUUCAUAGAGAAUAAAUCAGAUCUAUGAGAUAGAAGAAAGUGAAUAUACAUCCACACAUAUAGUCAACAAAGUAUACACGUAACACGUAUUUCGUAUAAAAUACUUCAUAAUAAUGUGUUAGAAGAAAAUGACUACACACUCACUUGAUCAGAAGAUGAUCGGGCAACACUACGACUUGUAGAAGUAGUGUUUCUCCGUAGAUCUGGAAGAUCUUCACAUAAACCGGGCUCCUCGCGGGCAGGUCUUCGGCUCUGAAAUCUCACUUCUCGGGAUUCUCGGGACUUCGGAUCUUGCUUCGGGGCUCGGGAAUAAUACCGGGACUUCGGGGUAUGAUUGGCACGCAAAUCGAGGCAAAAACUAGAGAGAAGAAAGAGUUUGAACAAGAGAAAAUGGUUGAUCUCGCAUUCUAUUUAUUGGCUGUUGGGUCUGGGAUUACGUUGGGCGUAAUUUCCAGGUACGCUGGGCGUACUCAAUACACUGGGCGUAAUUAGGUUACGUUGGGCGUACUUUGACGUCACUGCGUGCGUCAAUUGGUGGCACUCGAGUAUUGGUCAGACAAGUUGCACCCCUCUGAGUAUGCUGGACGUAAUUUGACUCAUCAAACUUCUAAAUUGCGUAACUUUCGCAUACGAGCUCUGUUUUCGACGUUCUUUAUAUCCACGCGUAGGUCAGACCAUACUCUACAACUUUCAUUUAGACUCCAUCGGCUAAUUUUGACUUUUAUUUUUAUUAUUUAUUUUUAGUAGGCCGGGACAGGAAAACUUCGUUAUAAAUUCAUAACUUCUUUGUCCGACGUCCGUUCUCGCCUAACUUUUUAUCGUUUCGCUACUAACAACGAGAUCUUCAAUUCUCAUUUAGAUUGUUUCGGCUAAAAACCGCUCGAUCUCAAAUCGAGUAUUUGGGCUGCAUACUGCCAAGUCGAAACUUCAGAAAAUCAUAACUUCCUCAUACGAAGUCAAAUUUGGGCGUUCUAUAUAUAUUCUGAAACCUCGUUUCAACUACUACAACAUUAUCCAAAGAUAUCGAGUUUAUUUUACACUUCAUUUUGAUGCUUAUUUUUAUUCUUAAUUCAAUUAAAUUAUAAUUAAGAAAACACACACAUAAUUCACAUAAUUCACAAAUAAUACAUUUUUAUUAUUUCAGAUUGCAUUACAAAGGUUAACCUAGACUAUUACAUUGCUAAAAAUGGCAAGCCCAGAAACACAGACGUUACACCUAGUAUAUGAAAAGCACACAAGCCAUGAUGAGCAUGUGGAAAAACAUUUUCAAUACUAACGCGAAUUGUAUCGGCCCUAUCAGUUACAAAAGUCAAUUCUUGACAAUCACUAACACAUUCAUACAACUUUUCAAGAAACCAUGUCCACGUAAGACCACUUUUUUUUUUCAUAUUCCGUGCGUAAGGGGCAGUAUCUGGUUGUUCCCAUCCAUAGCUACUCCAUGCAAUAUGGUUCCCUUAAAAGCACCCUUCAAAUGGGCACCAUCCAUAAUUAUAACUUUACGACAAAAACUUUUGAACGCUCGUAUCUGCAAUAUAUAAAAAUGGAACACAUAAACACUCUAUAAUUUGUUUACAAAAAUUAUAUAUUAAAUAACAACAAGUUUUUUGUAUUUACCGUGCUCCCAAUGGCAUAAAAACAACACUCGAAACAAUCUUCAGAAUCUGUUUGAAUAUACGCAACUGUACCGGGAUUAUGCCUCUUCAAAUUGUGAAAAUAAAUAGGAAGUUUGGCAAAACAUUCUUCAGAGGAUCCCAACAACAGUUUCAUAGCAUAUUGUUUUGCACGCCAAGCUUGUUUGUAAUCUACGUUGAUUUCCAGCAAAGCAUUCAAAUCCCUUGAUAUUUCAUUAGGCCUCCAAACCUUGGAACGAGUUUUUCCCAUAAUCUCAUGCAAUAUAGUACCCAUGACUUUUUUAUUAGCAUGCUUAUGAUUAGGGUGUAUCUGUAAUGACGAACAUGUGUACACGUUGUUGAAAGUCCUGAUUUCAAAUUCAUCAGUGAGAUCAAGGCGUUUUGCAUACAAACGCCAACUACAGUUCUCAAUUUCACAAUAUACCUCAUAACGAUUUUUGUUAGAAUGUUUGGUCUUAAACUGAAACUUUUCUCUUGUUGCUUUAAGAAUCAAUGCAAAAAUUAGUUGUUGUUUGUUGUCAUAUGUUUGACGAACAAACAUAUCAUCAUUUGGACCUAAACUGUGAAAUGGUCCGGGUUCAACAAUAGGAUCAGGACAAUCAGGUAUGGGAGACAUACCGUAAAAAAUGUCUGAAGCUUUUUUCCCGUAUGUGAACUCAUCUUCUGACCAUCCUUCAUUUGACUCUUCACUGUCUGAGAAAGUUUUGUUAGUCAAUCUUCUAAACCCAUAUAAAUUUUUUUCUUCAACCGUAUUCAGUGCCACCGUUUCUUCUUCUGGACAAUCUUCAACAUUAUCAGAUACAAUGUUAUCAACAUUGUAUGGUACAACUUUCUCAGCUGCUUCUGUCUGUUCGACCAAUCCCUGAAACACCUCUAAAUACAAAUGCACAAUCUCCUUCGUUUCAGAAAUUACAUUUCUGAGUUGAUUAACAUCUGCUUCAUCUAAAAUAUUCAUCACAUACCCAUGAACCGGGUGUUGAAAUGACAAUGAUAUAUUACUAUUGAACACCUUAGCCUUACUUUUGACCAAAUCAAACAAUAUUCGAAAAUCAAAAUUAGGCGGAGGCAGUAAACCCAAGUUGUUUAACUUUGGUCUAACGUAGGUGUUAAUCGCAUUACUUAUCUGCAAAAAACCUCCAGUACAUAAAAUAACAAAACUCAUAUUUGGUUUUGAAAAUCAAAUGAAAACGAACUGAUCUAUCGACCAAAAUAAAACAAACAUAUGAAAAAGAAACUUUUGUAUCAAAAAACUCUUCAAAAUCCGCUCCAACCACCCAUUCCACGGAGGCAUUACUCUCUCCGCAGAGACCCAUUCCGCGGAGCAUGAUUAAAAAGGCUAACAACCUAUUGUUCGACCACUUCGCAGAGAUGACUUCAUUCCGCGGAGGUCCGCGGAGGGUCCUCCGCGGAAUGCAUGUCUAUAGCUGGAAUUUUUUUUUUGUGUCUAAAUUUUUAAAUUUCCCCCUUUUUUCGUCUAUAGCCUAUAUUUUCUCUAAAUGAUUUACAUAUUGAAAGUUCAGAAACAAGUUAAAACUUAAACCCUAAAAGAGCGUACAAAUUUCAAUCGUCAACAUACCCCACCACAAAGGCACAAAUAAUCAAAGAAACAAAUGUAGAUGUAGAGGCCUUUUUCACCACAAUCACCCUUCAUCGGCCAUUUCGAAGGCCACGUGAAAUGUCACUAACGUGGCCCUAUAAAUAUCCACUACUUUGUCUUUAACCUUUCCCCCCUCUCAUAUAAAACCCUCCAUCCUCCUCCUUUACCACCAUCACCAACUACCUUCUCUCCUCCAUCAAAAGUAUCCCCAUCUUUUCCGACAUGGCUGCUUCUUCAAUCUUCAUGGCAACUCCCAUCACACUCCUCAAGAAAACUCCCACCUUCUCCGUCAAAUGUAUGUCACAAACACCUCAAAGCGGUGAACCGGGGGUUUCAAAACCAGCAACCACCCCAACACCACCACAGAUCAACAUUCCUCCUCCUCCGCCACCUGCUCCAAAGGUCAGCACGAAGUUCUCUGACGUGUUGGCGUUUAGUGGACCUGCACCGGAGAGGAUCAACGGAAGGUUAGCCAUGAUAGGGUUUGUGUCGGCGAUGGCUGUGGAACUGAGCAGCGGUCAAGACGUGUUCACCCAGAUCGGCAACGGCGGUGUUGCGGUGUUUGUCGGGACAAGUGUGGUGUUGACGUUGGCGUCGUUGGUGCCGUUGUUUAAAGGAGUGAGCGUGCAGUCGAAGUCGAGUGGACUGAUGACAUCAGAUGCAGAGCUUUGGAAUGGGCGGGUUGCGAUGUUGGGUCUGGUGGCUUUGGCUUUUACUGAAUAUGUUAAAGGCAGUGCCCUUGUCUAGAUAAUGUAUCAUAAACUUUUCUAUUACAGAAUUACAUCUAAGAUAGACAAAUGUAUAUUGUUUUGAAUAUUUAUGUUUAUCGAUUUACCAUACAUAGUUCAAAUCAUAAAAAGCAUGUUUUUUGAUAAUAUAGUAUAAAACAAAUAUAAUAUCAAUCAAAUUGAACGAUGUUGUGGUAUCUUUCAAUAUAAAAUUCUCUUUAUAAAAAUAAACAAACAACGUACUAAGAUAAAUUUUAGAGGAAUGAACUUAGAUUAGCAAUAUAAGAGUCAAAGUCUACAAAUUAAGGUAUUGAAAUCCUAGUUUCACAACUUCCUCUUUGAAUGUUGAACUGAGGUGAUCUUCAUUAAUUCAGACUGAAUAAGUGACUUAGUCCAGCCUAGUCAAUUAGCUAAUUUAAGAUGACAAGUAUCCAAAAUUCAAAAACAUUAUAGAGCUCAAUUUCAAACAAAAGUGACAAAUGACUAAUGCUCACAAAACGAUCACCGAAUCAUUCAAAGCAUUUACUAAAAGCCAGUCUAAUUCUUAUUGGUUUGAAAUCUAAUUUUAUCAUCAACUGUAUACAAGAUUGAGAUUGAUAUCAGAGUAAUAAUCUCUAAAAGCAAAAUAAUGUAUUCAAAAGAAUAUAUAUACAAAAUGAAUUAUGUCCCAAGCAGUACUGUGCAUGAGUAUAAGAUUACUAUUAUGUUGGGAUCCAUUAAUUGAUAACUAAGCACACUUCCAAAUUUACUAUAUGGAAUUUAGUUAAGGAUUAAUGUCAAGUGGGGUGCAUCCACCCCACUCAAAGGCCUUGUAUAUGUUACGGUCCCAAGUGAUAUUUUAUAAGGGUCUUUUUGUAGUUUUUCUUUUCCUAAUAUAUUAACAUUUUUUUUUGAUAUUUUUGGAACUUUUUAUUUUCUGAGAAAAGUAUACAAAAUAAUGUAUAUACAAGCUUACUUGAAGAUAUGAUCGUUUAUGAGGUUAUUCAAGACUUAUUCUCUUGAAGUAUCUAUUCCUAGCUAGAUAUGAACAAAUGUGUUUGCAUUUAUCCUUUUUUGCCCUUUGUCAAUUCUUGACUAAUAAGGUAAUGGUAGUUCUUGGUGAGGGAUUCACCUCUGUAUUGAUUCUUCAUUCUAUUUAAAUGUUUGGAUUCACCUCUGUAUUGAUUCUUCAUUCUAUUUAAAUGUUUGGAUUCACCUCUGUAUUGAUUCUUCAUUCUAUUUAAAUGUUUGGAUUCACCUCUGUAUUGAUUCUUCAUUCUAUUUAAAUGUUUGGAUUCAACAAUGUCUAGUUGAGUAGUUCUUUAAAAGCACAUUCUACCAUAUGCAUCUUUAUGUCAAUAUUAAUUGGGGAUUCCAUAAACUGAAACUCUUGGAGCUCAAUAGUGUAGUUGAAAAACUUUUGUUGAGCCCACCACUUACAUGAAAUAGGAGACUUUUUUCAAUAAACUAAGUGGUUCCUUCUUUAUGGAUCAUCUUUUCGUUUCUCCUUUUGAAAGGUCCCCUGGUGAUACUUUUAUGUGUUAAUGAAACUCAGUCCUUAUGGCAUGCUUUUUGGAUAUGAUAGUACGUGACUAUCAAGAGCUUAUUUCUACUCAGUAUAGUCAUACUCUCAUAAGUCUCUCAAGAUUUUACACUCAGAAGCAUCGUUAGAUUGUAUGGCUACCUACCUUGUACUAUAAGCAUGUUUAUUAACAUUUAGGGAUUUAUUUAGAAGGAUAUCAUUUUUCAUAUUUUUUGUCUAACACCAGAUCUUUUUUCUCAGCUCAAUUGUUUCAAGUAAAACUAAGUGUCUUCUUGAUUCGACAACAAACCAUUGGUCAUCUUUCCGAUUUCAAGUAUUUUGCAUAUCCUCUCAAAACUUCUUUAUUUUUUAACACAAAUUCAAAAACUAUUAGGUAUCGGGAUUUUAAGGCUUCUUUAUUUUCACCCUCAAUUAGAUUCAUAUUUUUCAUUGCCUUGCAGAUUUCCUUUUUAGUUUGAGUCUAUUUAUCACGAGCCUGAAGUCAUUUUCUUCCCCUACCCUUGUUAGUUUUGGCUAUUGCUAGUGCACGUACUUCAUUGGCUAAAUGAGAAGACACCUCGAUAAUGGUGGAUGACUUGGUGAAAUUUAUAGGUUGUUCCUUAGGCUAUCCAAAGUGGAGGUAGAAGAAGACGCAUGAUGCUGAAUGGACAUCCAAGUCAUGCGUGAACACUGCCCGAUGGCUUGGCUAUGGAGUCUCCAUGAAGACGAUGCAUUCGAUUGGUUUAGAAUCUGGUCCCUCAUAUUUUCUCUCCUCCUUUUUGUCCCUUCACUACCAACCCACCGGUAAACACCAUUUCCACAACCUAAUGGGUUGAUUGUGGAAUGGUAAACUACCUAUGUGGCGCUGAGUUAGAAGGUGUUUUGGAUAUAACCACUCCCCACAACCUUAGCAUUAGAACAUCCUGAUGCUCCACAUGAACUAAGAACAUCACUUAAUCUUCAUUAAAUACUUUGGGGUUGUACUCAUAAAGUAAAAUAUCUCCCCCCUUAGACAUAUCAUCAUUUUCCUCAUCUGAUGACCAAGGAAUUUGUGGAGAUAUAUGUGACUUUGGAUUAAAGGGGGUUAUAUUGGUCAUCCUUUUUAGACAACUUUUUAAAUUAAUCAAUCCAAGCUCCUAUACCGACGACAUUUUCUGGAAUCUCUUUAGAUGGGGAUGAUGGUUCAUUAAGCGACGACAUUUUCUAACCGUGUACCGACGACAAGUCGUCACAGACAAGUCAGGAUAGGUCAAAAAAGUCGUCGGCAUAGGUGUCGUCGGGAUAGGUACCCCAUAUACCGACGACAUGACGUUGGUACAAGUACCGUCUGGAAUGAUUUUCGAGAAAAAAAAUAAAGUUUUAUUAAUUACUUGUGGCGACGACAUGUCGUCGGGACAGGUGCCACCUAUAGCGACGCCAUUUUGUCGCCACAUGUUUUCCACAAAUAUCAAUCAAAUACCUAUAGUGGCGACUAGUCGUUAGGAUAGCCACUGGGUGUUUUUUUUUUUUUUUUUUUUUUUUUUUUUUUUUUUUUUAGUUUUUACAGAUUUUGUACAUUUACCAUUCGUGCAUUUUUAACAAAUCCAAACAUUUUGCAGCAUAUAUCAAAUAAGAUACAAUAACUGGGUACCAUUGUUUAAAUUCAAAACAUCAAAUUCAAGUUUAAUAUUACAUACCGAAUUAGAUAAAAUAAGUAGUUAACAUUGUUCAAAAUAACACAAAACAUAAACAUCAUUAUAUUCUUUUUUUUUUCUUCUUCUUCUUCUUCCAUCCUCUCGGGUUCACAUUUUGUUGAGAGGUAUUUCCUUGUGAUGUACUUCCUUCUGUGUUGGAAUUGAAUAGAAAACUAGCAAACGGUGGUGGUUGUGUAACAUCCCAAAAAUUUUAACAAAUAUGAACUUUUCAAAACAACCCAUUUAUUAACAAAAGUGUUUACAAAAACAUGAUUUAAAAUUAGAGUCUCCCAAGAUCCACUUUGUUCUAAAACCGAGGAUGCGUACGGUCACGCCUUUGCCUUGCCAUGAAUCAUUUGAAGAAACUGAAACCAUAAACAAAUCGUAAGCAAGAAUCUUAGUGAGUUCCUCCAAAAUACCACCGCACAAACAGAUAGCACAUAAAUAACGACAACAUGUACUAGGUCCACAACUAAAAGACUGGAUUACCCCUGAGCCUAUAAUAUGAAUCUGGCUUGCCUAUUGGGCCCACAACUCAUAUCUGGUUUGCUCUUGAGCCCACAACAUAAGUCAGACUUGCCCCUGGGGCUCACAACUUAUGUCAGGCUUGCUCCCAACUCAAUCAGUCAUCGGACUAGAAUACCAAUGUUCAGCCCUGUGACAACCUGAAAUUUCCAUUCUGAACAAACCAUAUCAAUCCAAUAGAAGUUAGAACAGUUACAAUGAAAUUCCAGACUUUGGGCAUAAGUUUGACAGUUUUUCAGGAUUUACACUUAAGGAGAUAUCAGGAGAGUGGAUGCACUAGGGUUUUGUGCAACACUGUUAUUCCAAAACUCUAGGAUAUUAGGGUUCAAUUCCGGAAUAAAAAUAUUUUCUGCCAAAAAUCUCAGGACUAUAUAUAGAAAUCUGAGCCAUAUUCAUUCAUUAGUUACAUUUCCAACUAGAGAAAAGCCAAAUUCUCUCUCACGGAUCUUCAGGUUUUUAUCCCAAAUCGUGAGUACUUCUAUCUAGUUGUAUUAUAUAGCUUAGAUUGUUUUUUAUAACAUCAAAAUCGGAUCAAAACCCCAAGAUUUGGGAGUUUACCGCCCAAGAACACUUGGAGAGUAAACUCCUUUUUAAGGGCCAAAAGUGUGCCCAAUGUCCCUCAAAGCCUUGGGAAUGAACCUAGAAGCUACCAUUACAUGUUUAAGACCACAAAACAAUUAAGAAUCAUGGCUAGAAGUGAGUUCACGGCCAAGGAAGUUCUUCGUCCGUGAACUCCAUUUUUAUGUGCCAAAAUGCCCUAAAAGCCUUCCUUAAGCCAAGAGACUAAUUUAGACAUGUACCUAGAUGAGUUUAGGACUAGCAAACACCUUUAGAACACCAAGAGUAAGGUGUUCACGGCCCAAGAAGUUCUAGGGUCGUGAACUCCAAACAAUGGUGCCAAAUGGUGCUAUAAACUCUCCUAAAGCCUUGGACAAUUUCCUUGCUUCAUUCUUAGAUAAAUUAGGGACUUGAAAACACCACAAACACCCUCCUAAGGGAGAUUACGGCCGUAAUCUCCAUGGGAUAUGGUCCAUGGCGCGUGAACUCCUCAAAGGAGUUAAAAGGAAGCCCAAACACUUGUUUAAGCCUAGAAGCACUUCACCACUUAAGUUGUAAUAAUGUUAGGCUUCAUUUAGUGACCCUAUAGAGAGUUUACGGCCAAGAGUUUACUCCCCUAGGCCGUAAACUCCAACACAUAUGGUCUUUUGACCAUAAACUCCCAUAAGAGGUCUUGCACUCCUUUGUUGCAACCCAUUAGCCUCCUAGCACUUGACCAAAGUGUUUUCCUCACAUUAGGAUGUUUAUACAUGUUUAAUUAGUGUUAUAAUCACUAAUUGUUUAUAUACAUAUGUCUUCAUAUGUAAUUAGGACCAUUGUGUGUGUCUAAAGUCUUCACUUGACACCUAGCAGUCCUACCUCUUCAGUUCAUCCGUAUCACCCACAACAGGUGAGUUUAUACCUNGGGGAUACAAGUAGAAUUAUGCUAAUUAUUAUAUCAAUCACAGGUGAUUAAUAAGCAGCAUUCAAAUGAUUAGCUACUCAUUAGCCGUUUUACCAAACCGUUUCCUUCAAAUGUUUUUCAUAAACACCUUAUGUGUUUAAAACUCCUUAUUACACUGUACCUUUUAUUCUGUAUGUUUCAAUUCAAACUUAUUUACAAUUGUGUUUCAAACAAAUGUUUCUUUAUACUAAACUAUUUUGUCAAACCCAUGCCUUCAAAACCGUUUUAUAGAUUGACAUCAAGUCGAUCUUUUCUUAGAUAAUAAUUAUGUUCAAAGGUUUUACAAAACUUAUUUUAUGUUUUUAUAUUAUAAAUUGGAUGCCUAUAUAUGCAUAGUUAUAUAAUAAAUGUUGAAAGGACUUAGGAAGGCUAUCCACCCUAUUUCCUUUUCCUCGAUUUGGAUGUGGUCUGGUGGGAUAUCAGGUACCCGUCCGAAGGUUGUUUAAAUAUUAAUUAUAUAUCAUGUGUACGUAUAUAGUCAUAAAAGUCCUUCCAGCUCAGCCAAUGCCCUUGGGUAGCAAGGGUAUAUUUAACAUCCCCCUCUUGCACGUAUCACAAUAUUAUCCGCUUUGGGCCACUCGGCACGAGGACUUCCCAGGGGGUCACCCGUCCUGGUACUACUCCCGCCCGAGCACGCUUAACUACAGAGUUCUUAUGGGAUUUGCUGCCCUCACGGCUUUAAAACGCGUUGUGCUAGGGAAUGUAUCCACACCCCUUAUAAGGAAUGCUUAGAUCUCCUUCCCAGCCGAUGUGGGAUCAGAUCUAACCCACUUUCACCCCCCAUUAUAGGGUUCGACGUCCCCGUCGAACACAUCGACCCAUGCCCUGGCUCUGAUACCAAUUGUGACAUCCCCUAAUUUCUCGGCCAGAAAAUACCGAUUUAAUUUAUGCUUUUUAAAAUAAAAUCAGAGAAAUCUUUUUAAAAGAUGUUGCGGAAUUGGUCCCCAAACAACAUAUGAUAAAAGUUUAUCAAAAUCCUUCAUUAAGAAGGUAUAUAUUUUCCAUAUAUAUCAAAACCUCGGGAUUUCAUGUUCCGAUACAGAUCAAAAGCAUAAACAAGACAUUAUAAGCCUUUCAACAGUUAUUUACAACUACUGGCCUAUAAUCCAAAAAUUCUCUCGUCGUCCUCCGACUAUGCUCAGGGUCCACUACCUGUAAUCAUAAAAACUGAGUGGGUCAGGCUUGGGAGUCUGGUGAGCAUAUAGGGGUUUCAACCCACAAUAAUAAUAUACUUAUUAAGUUCACCAAUCAACAAUAACCCUGAUUACCCAUUCCCGUUGUCCUCACUUUACGUCCCUAAACACCUAUCACAAGGGACCUAGCCUAAGGAUUAUCAUCGGGAUGGACACUACUGCUAAGGGGUUUCCUCAGCCAUACAUGUCCUUAAGGCAACCAUGAGGGGGAUGAAGUACGCCAAUGAACAUUUAAUUCAUCAACACCUACAAGUUGCGAACCUGCUAGUGUUCGACUGGACUAUCUAGAAAGUCUGUGGUCGUCAUCUAUACUCCGCUAGAUGACUACAACAACAACAACAACAACAUCGAGGCCUCUCACCUUUUUAACACACAUCAACUAUUUCAUCUACCCAUGUUCUACCCAACAUAUUUUGUAGAUAAAAAGAAUAUACAGUUUGAAACUUGUAUAAAACAUCAAAUCAAUAGUCACCUUAGUUAAACAAUUACUAUAUUUACACAUAACACGUAUUUCAAGGUAAAUACUUCAUAUCUAUGUGUAAAUUGAAAGUAACUACACACUCACAUAUUUUGAUGAACAUCGGGCAACAAUUCAUUUCCUAAAACGAUCGUUUCUAAUAAAACCGGGAGUUUUAUUGAGAAACUGGGCUCUGCAAAAGUCGGGGUUUGAAACCGAAAAGAUAAAUUUUCCGGGCUUCACGGGCACUUCGUGGAGUAUUCCGGGCUUUACAAUCGAUACCGGGGCUUUGCGGGAUGUUAAGAUGAAGAAAAUAUGGGUUUAGGGGUUAAAUAUGGCAAAAUUUCAAAGUUACCUGGGAGGUCUCGCACCCUUCUAUUUAUAGGGGCGAGGCUUCUGAUCCAACGGAUAGAAAGAGGACACGCGUCGCAGAUCCGAAGGCUCGCAGGGAAGCCUCGCACGUGGCUGCGCAUGGCUCGCACCUGUGAGGGGCUCGCUGGCAGCUUGUGAUUGGACCGAGGUCUAGGGUCCGAAGUAGAGGGUUCGUGGCAUGUUGCGAGGGCUCGGUCUCGUGCAUGAGGGUACGUGUCACCUUCUCAGUGGACCACUUCGGAUAAGGCCAUGUGCUCGGAUGACUCAGCAGCUCGGGUGACUCAACAGCUCGGAUGACUCAGCAGGACACAUGGCACUUUUUCAGCGAGGGUGACGUGGCAACUCGUGACUAUGCGAAUUUUCUCGAUUUUCGCGCCAAAACUUCUAAAAUCCAUAACUUUCGCAUACGAGCUCCGUUUUUGACGUUCUUUAUAUGCACGCGUAGCUAAAAUUACGCUCUACAACUUCCGUUUAGACUUCGUCGGCUAAUUUUGAAUUUAAAUUUUAUAUUAUUAUUUUUAACAGACCGGGACAGGAAAUCCGUUAAAAAUUCAUAACUUCUUCAUCCGACGUCCGUUUUCAUCAGAAUUUUUACCGUUGUGCUCCUAAUGACGAGACCUUCAAUUCUCGUUUAGGUUGUGUCGGCUAAAAAUCGCUCGAUCUAAAAUUCGAGUUUUUUAGCUGUCUACUGCUAAGCUGAAACUUCGAAAAAUCAUAACUUCCUCAUACGAAGUCAGAUUUGGGCGUUCCUUUUAUCGAACUUCUCAGUUUAACGACUACUACGACUUUCAUUUAGAUUACUAAGGCUAAAAAGUAGUUUAUCGAAAACUCACUUUUUACAACAUUCAGCACCGUGCCGGUUUUGUCGCGAAACUUCGACAUGUCAUAACUUCUUCGUUAUAACUCGGAUUUUGGUAUUCUUUAUAUCCCCGAAAUCCUUGUUUCGACCACUACAAAUUUAUGUAAAGAUAUCGGGCUUAUCUCCCACUUUAAUUUUGACGCUUAUUUUUAUUCUUAACUAAUUAAGCCCUAAUAAUUAAGCAUAAAACACAUAAUUCAUAUAAUAUUCACAUAAUUCCUUUUCAUUUCUUCAAAAUGAGUUACAAAGGUUAACCUAGACUAUCAACUCAAUAUAAAUGCCUAGGAUAGAAACAUGAGUGUUACAAAUUGUAUCAAGACAUGUUAUAUGGACGUGUUGAACUUCCGUGUCCAUUUCUCCUUCUGCUGUUUGUUCUUCUAAAGAAUGAGGAAAGAUAUCCAAGUCUAGCAUAUGCAGAGAACUAGCAACAAGUAGAUCUAAGUCGUCCAAGUUGUUGGCAAUUUCGACUGGACUCGUCGGGUCUAGGAAAGUGACUCGGUGAGUCAGAUCAUAUUUCACCAUUUCCACUGUGUUUUCCGAGUCGGCUCCUUCCAGUAGCUUUUCUAUCUCCUCCAAGUCCUUGUUAACAUCUCCAUCCUCUCCAGAAGGUAGCAAAAGCUUGCUUGGAUCUUCUUCUUGCAAAAGUGCAAGUUCUUUUUGUAGUAUCUCAUCAUCCAAAUCGAUAAAUGAGAUAUCUUCUUUUCCUUCCUCUUCUUGCUUGGCUUCUGGUAAAGCUCUAAAUAUUGCUGACUCGUCUCCUACCCUUAAUGUUAGUGUAGACUCGCAUACAUCAAUUAAAGCACAUGCGGUGUUUAAAAAUGACCUCCCCAAAAUAAUCGGAAUUUCGGGGUCUUCUUCCAUAUCAAGCACCACAAAGUCUACUGGAAAUAUGAACUUGUCGAUUUUAAUAAGAAGAUCCUCACAAACGCCUCUUGGAUGAAUUGUUGUCUUGUCUGCCAAAUGGAUCUUCAUGUUUACCGGCCUUGGCUCCGAUAAAUUCAGUUUCUUGAAGAAAGAGAAAGACAUUAGGUUAAUGCUUGCACCUGAGUCGGUCAACGCUUGAGUGACAAAUGCAUUUCCAAAUUGGCACGGAAUUAUGAUACUCCCCGGAUCGCCCUUCUUUUCGAGUAACUCACUCAAUAUUAUUUCCGUGACUUCAGCCAAAUAUUUCCUAGCAGCAAAGAGACCCUUUAGUAAGUUGAAGUACUUGGGUGUUUUAAGCAUCGUUUCUACAAAUGGCACAUUGACUUGUAGGGAUUUAACAUGCUCCAUAAAAGCUCAAUAAGCUUCAACUUUUUCAACUGGCAUGGCUUUGAUUGGGAAUGGCAAAGGGGGAUUAUAUGGCUUUAAGGGAAUGACGGUUUUGUCAUUAACGCAUGGACUCGUCGAGUCCAUUAGAGGGACUCGGCGAGUCUUGUCGGGCUUAGCUGGAGCCGACUCUUCUGCCUUUUCUGUCUUCCUAUUGGAGAUCCUCUGUGCAUGUGUGAAAAUUUCUUCAUUGCUGGAAGUUACUGCACUCACAUUCUCCAUUCUCGGAUUGUUUUCGGUGUUACUUGGAAGUUGACCCGGUCUUCUUUCGUUCACUUGAUGUGAAAGUUGUCCCAGCUGUUUCUCAAUGUUGAGAAUGGAUGCCUGCUCAUUCCUUAGCAUAUUUCUGGUCUCGUGUAUUGCAGCAUCGUGAUCAUUGUGUCUCUUUUCGGACACGGCUAUGAAUCUAGUGAACAAUUCUUCUAAAUCGGCUUUCUUUUCCAUUACCGGUUCUUCCUUUUGAUAAAAUACCCUCUCCUUCUGCUUGUAUUUCUCCUCCUUAUCCUUCUUGUAUUCUUCGUAUGGGAGCCAUUCCUUCUUCGGUUUCCCCCAAUUCUCGUCGUAUCUAUCGCCACUUGAGUAGAACACUUGAGCCUUCUUGUUUCCAUUUUCAUCCAAAUCACAAUCCUUUGUGAGAUGGGGCCCUCUACAAUUCUCACAUCCAACAUGAAUAGCAUGGAUUGUUUGAUCCAUUUUUGUCAUCCUUCUAUCUAGACUAUCGAGCUUAGCUAUCAUCGCCGCCAUGCUAUCAUUUGCCGAGUUCACUACCCCCCGACUUACUUCAUUUAUUGGAUUGUGGUAUUCUCUAGAAUGCUUAGAGAAUUCUUCAAUUAACUCCUUGAUUACCGGGGGCGCCUUCUUCGUGAGCGGGCCUUGUGAAUCGAGCAAUUGCCUUGUGGUGACAUUGACUCCAUCAUAGAAAAUGGAGACCUCUUGUUGGAUAUUGAGGUCAUGGUGUGGGCAAUUUCUAAGCAAGCUCUUGUACCUUUCCCAAGCUUCAUAAAGAGAUUCUCCGGGUUGUUGCUCGAAGUUGGCAAUGGCUUUCUUUAGUUUAGCUAUUUUGGAGGGCGGGCAAAAGUGGUCUAUGAACUCUUCUUUCAUCUUGGCCCAUGUGGUGACCGAUCCGGGAGGAAGUGACUUGAGCCAAUCCUUUGCAUCACCCUUGAACGUGACUGGAAGCAUGCGAAGUAGUUGGGUCUCGCGAGGCAUAUUUGGUACAUUGAAGUAGUCAGCCACAUCAUUUACUUCAUCCAAGUGCUUGUAGGCGUCUUCGUGGUCCUUCCCAUAAAAAGGAAUCUCCUUGAGUUGAGCGAGAAUAUGGCCUUUUAGUUCGAACGUAGUGGUUGCGGGAAUUGCGGGUUGCACAAGUCCCGAGCCGGUGUCAUCGCGCAUCCUUUUCUUCCAUUACCCCAUGGGGACUUCAUCGAUAUUAGCCAUAGCGAUAGCUAAAUCGUCUUCAAACUCGGAUUCUUGCUCGUAUGUGGGUUCUUCUUCUUCCUCGGUCUCGUACUCGAUGUCUUCUUGAAUUGGGUCUCUGAUUGUCAAAGAGGCACUGGAUGCUCCUGAUUUGCUGCUCCUUGUCUUGCUGAAAACGGACUUGAGGUUUUUGAGUGGUAAGUUCUUUGAAGAAGCGGAUUCUCCAACGGUUUUGCCUUUGCUCCUCCUUAGUGCGGAUUCCGGGUCUUCAAGAGGAGGGACCAGAGGUGUAUCAGAUCCUCAGGUCAUGAAACAACUGUAAACAAAACAAAAAACGCGUAAAAAGAACAAAAAAUAAAUAAAAAUUAAAACUGUGAAUCAGCGAUGUACUCGCCGAGUCGGCACGAGUGCACUAGGCGAGUCUGGUCAAAACAUAGAAAAAUUUUUCUAGUUACUUUAAAAACGGAUUUUUAUUAAAACUUAUACUACUUACUAAAUUACCUUUUAAAUAACUUUGUGUAAGAUAAAUCCCACACAAAUGAUCGAUUAAAUUAGAAUUUAACGUUAAUUUUAGAACCGUUCCCCAGCAACGGCGCCAAAAACUUGAUGUGUGCAAACUCACUUAGUUUUAAACCUACUUUUAAUUUUAAAAUAAACACACAAAGGCAGUGGACCUAUCAAUUGUGGUAUAGUUAAAUAAGUAGGGUAUCGAACACAGGGAACGGCAAAUUAAAACUAAAAACUAAUUCUAUCUAAAUUAAUUAAUAAGUAGGAGGUUUUCUCUAGUUUUUCAAGACUAGAAACUUACUAACUAUUACUUAUUCUAAAACUUAGAAAAACAAAGAAUUAACUAGAUUCAAUAAUGGGAAGGAACUUCUGUUUAGUUCAACUCAAUUGAUCCUAUGGUUGAUAUCAAGGUAAUGGUGCAAUGGAUUAACUCUUUUGUUGGUUACCGAUUCAAGUGAUUAGAUUUGCGUUCACUACACUAAUCCUUAGCAAAUAAACUAACUUAAACAGUGGCCAGUUGUCUAAUUUAAUUAAAUUCACUAGAUUAAUUAUUCGGGUUAAUUUAGACUUGCAAUAGUUAACUAAUUUGGUCCUUUAAUUAACUUNUUUGUUGAUGGUCAUCACAAGCUCACACAUGAAUUUACUCAAUUUUCUUAUUAAUUCUAGUUUCAUGUUCAUUAAUCCUAGACAUAUGACAAAGUGGUCACAUAGCAUAUGAGGUUGAUAAUCAAUAGAUGUUCAUGCUAUUCAAUUACCUUCCUAUUAAUAGAAAAUUAAUUAUCAUUCACACACAAGGUUCUUUAGCAAGCUAAAAUAACAAAAAUCACUAACUUUAAAUUAAUCCUACCAAUAAUCAAACCAUAGUAUCAAUUUUGUAUCCCCAAACAGAAGUUUAAGAGUUUUAGCUCAUGAUUGAAGUAAAUUACAGCAAACAAACAGAUUUUAAUUGUUUAACCAUUAUGAAAAAUAAAAAAUUAAGUAGAAUGAUGAAAUUUGCCUCAAAUCUCCUUCGGAAUUGGAUUCUAGCUUGUAUCUUCGUCCUCUAGGUUUUUUCUGACUCUUCAAUCGCAGCUAACCUCUCCAGAAUCGUUCCAGAAUUCCUCCCCAUCGUUCUCAGAAGUUAUCUUUAUAUAUGCAAAACGACUCGUCGAGUCAGAUGCCGACUCGUCGAGCCCAUCUCUAAGUCCCCGUAUGCGAUAAGUCUCUAGGUCUCCGAGUCUUUAUCUUCUCGAAUAUUCGCUUGGGCUCGCCGAGUAGUUGACCCUACUCACCGAGUAUGUGUUGUUUUUAGUGUUUUUCUUCUUUGUUCGAUUCCCGAGCUCUCAACCGCUUCUCCUGCUUCCUUUUGCUUCCGAGCUUCACUUUUGGACUGAAAACAUAAUUCAAACACUUUUAAGUACCUUUUGUCCAUGAAAUGCAAUAAUUUAGCUAAUAAAUGAAUAAAAAUCUACACUUAAUAUGAACUAAAUAUGCACAUAUCACUUUCCUUAGAUUCAUAGUCUCUCCAACCAAAAUUCCUAGAUAAUUGAAUGGGAUGGAUGAAGGUUCACAUCCAAGAGGAGCUGCCCAAUUUAUUACUUCCAUGUGGGUAGCUCCUAUCCCAUACACCUUCGAUUUCCUAAAGUUCACCUUUAGCCCCGAUGAUACACAGAAGCACCUUAAUAUCCGGGCCAAGUUUGCAAUAUUUCGCCUUGACCAUUAGCCUAUAAACAGUGUGUCAUCUGCAUAGAAUAAAUGAGACAAACAUUGAUUAGAUUGUGAAAAUUUGAUGCCUUCGAAGAUUCCUUUUUCCACAACUGUCUUCAUCGCCUGAUUUAAUCCUUCAAUCACAAUGAUAAAAAGAAAUGGGGAGAGUGGAUCUCCCUGUCUGACACCUUUUGACAUAGAGAACUCCUUGGUCGGACUGUCGUUGAUCGACUGGGAAGGAGAACUAAGCAUUCCUUAUAAGGGGUGUGGAUACCUUCCCUAUCACAACGCGUUUGAAAACCGUGAGGGAAGCAGAUCCCAUAGGAACUCUGCAGUUAAGCGUGCUUGGGCGCGAGUAGUACCAGGAUGGGUGACCCCCUGGGAAGUCCUCGUGCCGAGUGGCCCAAGACGAACAAUAUUGUGAUACGUGCCAGAGGGGAAUGUUACAAAUGGUAUCAGAGCCAGCGCACAGUUCGAUGUGUUCGACGAGGACGUCGAACCCUAUAAUGGGGGGUGAAAGUGGGUUAGAUUUGAUCCCACAUCGGCUGGGAAGGAGAACUAAGCAUUCCUUAUAAGGGGUGUGGAUACCUUCCCUAUCACAACGCGUUUUAAAGCCGUGAGGGCAGCAGAUCCCAUAAGAACUCUGCAGUUAAGCGUGCUCGGGCGGGAGUAGUACCAGGAUGGGUGACCCCCUGGGAAGUCCUCGUGCCGAGUGGCCCAAGGCGGAAAAUAUUGUGAUAUGUGCCAGAGGGGGAUGUUACAGUAUAUAGCCAUGUUCAUACGUACCAGUUAAAUUACUAGUAAGCUAUUGACUAUCCUACACCUUGCUGCUUGCUACAGCCGGACGUCAUUUCUUUCUACAUAUAGAUCAGUUAAGUCUUGGUAGAAGACUCCCUGUUAUAGUAGUAGGAAUCAUAGGGAUUUCUAGAGUUUUUCAAACGUUUACAGUUGUUUUACAUACAUUUUCAAUACUUACGAUUUACAUACAUUUUCAAUACUUACAAAUUCUUACAUACAAAUUCUUACAUACAAAUUAAGACACUAAAAUACUUAUGAUCUCACCAGCUUCAAAGUUGAUACUCGCUUUCAAAAUUACUUGUAUCCUCAGGUCAAACAUAGACAGGUACCGAUGCAAGGUUUAGAGAAGAUGGAGCUCGUUCAAGACUCAUCUUUCAUUUUGAUUUAUGCCUUAGUGUUUAUCAAAAUUUGACAGAACACAGUUGUAUAAUAAUUAUAUUAUUAAUGCAAUGGAUGAUGUUGCUGCUUGUUUACUACUUUUCAUUGUUGUGAUAUUGUACAUGACGUCCUCCGCCCCAGAACGUUUCCGCGGUUCUUGGUUUUGGGGUGUGACAAGCCCUCAGUAAGAGUCUAGCAUACCAACUGGUCCUCAGAUCAUAUCUGGAAUGCUACUAAUCCCCCAGUAUGAGUCUGGCAUGCCCCAUCCGAGACUCAACUCAUAUCUGGAUUUCUCCGAUACCCUCAACCCCUUAGUACGAGUCUGGCAUACCAAUCGGGUCCUCAGCUCGUAUCUUGAAUGCACCUGAGCCCUUAGUAUGCGUAUGGCAUGCCCUAAUCAGCUCUUAGCUCAUAUAUGGAAUGCUCCAGGGUUUGUUGGCUACAGAACGAAGCAGUACAACCUCAACCCAACACAAUAUGUCGACAAAUAACCAACAUAUACAGAUAAUCAUGCACACAUAAUCAUAGGUACUCCUAUAGAUCUACCAUACUAACAUAUCGGCAACUAGCAUACUCAUGCAGAUCUAUUCCAUACUCAGAAUAUUAGUGAAUUGUAGGAUAACAAACCAAUACACCGGCAUUGGUGCCUUCGACUCGUAAAUAUAGUGAGGAAAAAUCACAUCGCACUGCUGAACAUAAAGACGAUCCAUGGUUGAUGGCUGCCAGAUCCCCGAACCGCCAAUAUCAAGACAACACCCCAUCACAGCUGAUCCCAUGAAUAAUUUCUGACUACAGAACCACUAUGAUCCACGUGCUAUCAAAUACUACAAUGACAACCCAUCAAUAGACCUGGCAAUGGAGCGGGUUUGGAGCGAAUCAGCCUUGAUCCAAACCCUUUUAACAAAUUUCAAAAUCCGAUCCAAACCCGCUCCGUAACCCACAGGGUUUUAAAUAAUCAGACCCAUACCUUUAUCCGCCGAAUCAACGAAUAUUCAAGCCCGCCCCAUAACCCAAAGUUUUUUUAAAUAAUCAAACACAUUUUAAUAAACUCCUAAAAUAAAAUUUCUUAAAUAAGAAACUGUAUACUAUAUCUUAAUACUUAAAAUAACAUUUUUUUAAAUAAAAAAAAUUGAUUUAGAAAAGGACAUUACAUACUCGAAGAAUUUCAAUCGGAAUUAAAAAUCACUAUUGCAACAACUUUGAAUUGAUUUAUGACUGUUGGUUGUAGUGAUAGCGAAUUGCAAUUGCCAUCUUUUUUCAUGUUAAAAAUUGAUUUAUUGAAUUAGAAAUGGAUAUGAUGAUUUCUUGAUGCAAAUAAAUUAAAUGACAUUAUGAUUCUUGAUAGAAAUCUAUAAGUUUAGAAUCUGAAUUAUCGAUUCCUAUGUAAAAGCAUUUUUUUUCUUUGGCCUUUGCAUUUUGGACUUUUGAUUGGUAUUAAAAUUAAACGUUAAGAAGUAUAAAAUAUAAAUAUAUAAUUCUAAAUUUAUAUGGGGCGAGUUAUAAAUGGAGCGGAUCGGUGAUGAUCCAUACCUGACCCAUUUAAUAAAAGGGCUAGUGGGAAUGGAUCGUUAACGGGUAAACGAAUCAAAAACUACACUCCAAACCCAUAUAAUUCUUACGAGUUUGGAUCGGAUUAGGGUCAAAACCCACUUCAUUGCCAGGUCUACCCAUCAACCUUUAGCCCCUGACUCACGUUAUGAGUGAAAAUUAGGGUAAAAGACCUUUUUAUCCUUCUUAAGCUUGGCCCGAAGCCAAGGCCCAACUAAAUGGUUAAUGGCCCAAAAUCCAAAAUAGACUUCUAAGGCCCAAAUAUGGCCCAAUUUUCCAAAUUGGGCCCAAUUCCUUUCUUGGGCCUUCAGCUAAGAAAGUCCAUCAAAACAAAAGCCCAAACCAUAAAAUCUAGAUGGCCUAACAUGGCCCAAGACAAUCCGAGCCCAAAACCGGAGCCAAAAAUGAAGGCCCAAUAGUACCGCAUACGCGGGGAGUACUCCAAAGGCACACUUAGCGUACAUGAGGCUGCGUAGAAUCCACCAUUGGGGUGGCAGAUUGGGUAUGCGGGGCGUACACCUCCCUACGCGGGGCGUACCCUCUUAAAACUCAAUUUCUUCAUAACUGCUUAAUGGCUUAGCAUUUGAGCUCAUACUUCAGAUCCAAGGUCCAGAGCCAUACUAUGGCCAUAAAAUUCCCAACUUUAUGAAUUUCCACGUCCAAAAAGUCCUUAAUGAAAGGUCUUAAUGGAUUAAUACUUUCUACAAGAAGUAUGGAGAAAAACUAGCUAAGGUGAUCUCACUUUUAUGGCUUAGAACCCCUCUUAGGGUCUGAAAGGACAGCCCAAAAUGACCAAAACCAAACAUGCAUAACAAUGGGACUUUUGGGACAAAAAGAACAUCAUAAUGCUACCAAAAUGAGAUCCAAGCAAACAAAGCAUAAAGGUAGAAACUUUUUACCUUCUGGAGCUUCCCAAGAAGAUGAUGAUCCAAGAUCCACAAGCUUGCUUCAACUACUAAUCUCCUUGAUGCAACUCCUUCUUCCUUAAGAACACAAAGAACACACUUUUAGCUCAAAACACUCUCUUAUUGGGUUAGGGUUGCCAAAAAUGACUCAAGGGUGUGGAGGCUGAAAAGAUGAGGCUAAAUGAUCUAUAAAGGUGAUUAAAUACCCCACAAACCCUAAAACUUAGGGUUUUUUCUAACAAGAGUACACCCAUCGUACAUAUGAGUACGCCCAACAUACUAGGGUACACCCUAGUAUGCUUAGCGUAUGCACAUGUACGCUUAGCGUACCACUCCUUCUCCCAAAAUUACGAUUUUUCCAAUAGGGCUUCUUGCGACCACUUCCUUCCAAAACAAGGACCAAAAUGGUAUACUCUAAAGCCAAGAGAUGAAUUUGAAAAUGCCUGAAAACUGGGGCAUUACAGGUUGGGAGUUCGGAAUACAUGUCGCCAAUGAUGCAUUAUAUUGUUGCAAGUAUUCUUGCAUUUGUUGUGCAUUAGAUUGGGAUUGAGAUUGGAAAGAUGUGGAAGUUGAAGCACAUUUAUUUGGAAUUAGACCGAAGUUGGUGACUGGUCUCCUACCCACUACGCGAGCCUGCCCUUGUCUCGUCCUGAGGGCACGUGCAAGCCAUUCUUCCUCAUCUACUUCUUCACCUUACCCGACCCCGCUUUGCAUUUUCUCGUAUUUAUCUUGAAUCUUCUUCUAAAAUAAACAAGAUAAUAAACAUACGAUAAUUAAAACAAACAACUAAACUUAAACAUUAAAAUAAUAAUAAUAUACCUUAGACAUAAACUAUAAUUAAUAAUAAUAACAUAUUUAACUAACGUAUUAAUUUCGCUUAUGACUUACCUAAUCUUGUUGUGCUCGACUUGUACACCAACCCUAGCCUUCUUUGUAGCGCAUUUGUCUCCAACCCUCAAUAUGUUGCGGCUUCAGUCCUAGUUUUUCCUGUAAUAUGUAAAAAACAAUAAAUAUAUUUAUACGAGUGAUAGUAACAUUUUUAAAUAAUACUAAUAUACUUUAUUACUUUUAAAUGACGUCGUUGAGCAUACGACCUACAUCCAUGAGAACUUGUGUCCGGAAGUUUAAUUCGACCUAGUAACUUUAUUUUUGGCCGAUGUGUGUAUAUAUUCAUCAGUAAAAAACAACAUGCCAAUCGUCUUAUUCUAAGCUUUGGCAGACCAAUCAAUCUGUGGAUGUUUUUUUGUCCUUUCCACAUCCGCAUAUCCACCAGCUUUUUCAAAAUGAUUUUCCAUGUCAUGCUUGCAAUCUCGAUAAGCUUUUUGCAUACUAUCUUGGGUACCCGCUCGAACGGGUUCCCACAACUCUGUGCCCUAGUGCAUAUCGGGAUCAAAAUAAGUCUGCAAAAAAUACAUAUUUGAUUAGUAAUAAGAAAUAUUUAAUAAGUGUAAAAUUCAAUACAUAUAAAAUAUUUUGUAUAUACUUACUUCUAGCUCGAGAUAUAAAUUAUCUUCGUACUUGGUAGAAACAUGGCGCCAAGAAUGAUAAUGCAACAGUACCUCUGAUCCCACCAGAUUUGAGAUCAAUCUAACAAAUAAGUGUCUGUUGUCCCGCACGAAUCGAUACGUCCUCCUGGAGGUAUCAAGGCUCACAACCAAAGGAUUACUACCUUUAUCUUCAUACUCAUCGUACAAUUUUAAGUUUCUCCAUCUGCCAUGUACAUUCACAUUCUUCACUUUUGUUACAUUUACACAUAGAAUUGGAAAUUUAGAAAUUUAAAUCCAAUACUUAAUAUUUUCAUGUAACUUACAUGAUUGGCAACCCGAUGGUAAACCAUGUGUGACCAUGUGUGGGGCUCUAUCACCACUGUCUCCUCCAUGUUACCUCAUGACUUCUGCCAUUUAUUUAACAAAUAUUAUAAACAUUCAAAAUCUAUAAUAAAGCUACUUAUAAAUAGGCAAAAUUUAAAAACUUAACACAUAUUAUAAACAAUCAGGAUAUAUAAUAACCGUAACAUACCAUCAAUGAGAAUCAUCACUAGAACAAUAUAACAUCAUCAUCGUUAUCAUAGUCUUUGUUAUUUAUUUCUUCUUCUGAAGAGUACGUAUCCCCACCAUCAUCGUCAUCGUUAAUUGUCACACCCCUGAACCAGACGACGGAAACGUCUGGGGGCUCGUGUGACUAACAAUUGAAUUAUCAUCACAAUGAAUAUACAUGAAACAUUACACAUUCAUCACCAACAUUACAUAUUACAACCAGCAUUGUUCACAGCAAGUACAUUGUUAAAGAUUACAUAAAUUCAAAGUAUUAAUAGUAAGAUAGGUGAUGUUACACAAAAUAAAUCGAUACACUUGAAAAUCUUCCUGCUUAACGAUUACCUGAGAAUACCAGUUAUUUUGAAAAACGGUCAACAUAUAUAAUGUUGGUGAGUUCAUAAGUAUGUGUGAAUAAAAGUCUUUGCAUCUUUUGUAAAAACCUAGAAAAUCUGAUAUUUUCUGUAAAAUGUCUUAAAAUGAUGUGAAAAUCAAGUAUAAAUGCAUGUGUGAAUUUCAUAGCAAUAACAUAUAUGAUUUCAGUUUAAAUUUCUUUGUAUUUUAAGUAAGUGAUAAAUGAAUAAUAGUAUUUCCCUAGAAAAUCUGAGUAUUUCCUGAUUUAUAAUAAUGUCGAGGUUCUUGUAUCAUUAAUUAAGUUGUUUCGUAUUGACACAAUCGAAGGGUUAAUCUUCGAAAUGUCAAAUUGGUAUUGGAUCUCUAUAUGAGCAGUUAUAACCAUGUAUGAUAAUGACUAGGUUGUCUUUCUUGGCAUUUUCCAAACGUCGGUAUUUGCUCAAGGUUUUGUCGCCCAAGACUGGCCUAGUCUAGUUGUAGCGAACAACUAAGGCGUGGGGGGUCACCCCAUAUAGAUCUAUACACAAACUCCCGCUCUCCCUCCAGGAAACUCUGGUUAUAACUACAGACUACGAUUGUACACUCAGAGGUGUCAACCGACAUGUCUCACUAGAUUCUCAACUUUUCAUACCAUGUUUAAUGUUUACGUGAAUGUUGUAUGUUUUCAAAUCCAAAGGUAUAUAUAUAAGUAUACGAACUUUAGGGCUGGCAAUUGUUGACACGAUACGCGACACGACAUGAAAUAAAUGGGUUUGGGUUGAGUUUUUCAACCCGCCAACCCGCUAACCCGUCAACCCACCAACCCGUUUAUUAAACGGGUCAUAUAUGGGUUUCUCAAAAAAUAAACGGGUUGACCCGCCAACCCGUUUAUAUUCUUAAUAAAAAAAUUAUUAUAUUUUUAAAUGUAUUUAUGUAUCAAGUAUUAAUAUUUAAUAUGUAUUAUAUAAUAUAUACCAUUUAUUCAUAGACCAUUUGAUUGUUUUGACAUUAUUACUCGUGGUGGAUGGUCUAAGGUCAUAAGUCGUAACCUAUAAGACUAAGUCUGUAACAUGUUUCUAUGAAUGUUUUUAAUUUUCAUUUGGAUGUUUAAGACUUAAAUAUCUAAAAUUUAGACCCACGAACCCAAAUCUGACCCACGAACCCGCCAACUUGUCAACCCGUAUAAAUAAAUGGGUUGGUGGGUCAUAUAUAGGUUUAAGUUCCAAACCCGCCAACCCGUGACCUGUAUAUUUAAAUGGGUCGUCAUUGGGUUGGCAUAUUUUGACCCGCCAACCCGCCAACCCGCGACACGCCAACUCGAACACAACACGAUUGCCACGCCUAACGAACUUCAAGAAUUAUGUAAAGGUAUAGUUACAAUCUACUAAGCAUGUGAAUUUCAGUCCAAGCCCAACUAGCAUGUAAAUGGACCACAAAGGUCCAAUGACAUGUAAGAAGGUAAUUUAGACCCAAUAGGCAUGUAAGUGGACCACCAAGGCCCAACAAACAUGUAACCUAUAGCUCAGGCCCAAAUUAACAUGUAAAUGGGUCGCAAGGCCCAAUAAACAGGUCAUUGAAAAUAUUGGGCUCAAUAUAUACUUGAAUGGGCCCUUAAGGCCCAUUGGCCAUGUAAUGUGAAUAUUAGGUCCAAUAAAAUUAUUAUCGAUGUAUUUCGUCAAUUCGUUAUUAUUUCAUGGUUUGCUUUAGCUCGAUGUUUACCGAAUUAAAUAUAAAAGUCCCCUUUUUGUAUAAACGACGUUCUUGGCCAAUAAGACUAAAAUUUUGAAUUAAGGCCCAAAGUUUUGUAAAAAUUAACACUUUAGUCCAUAAUGUAUAAAAAUUUGUAAUUUUGCCCCAAAUGUUUAGAAAUUUACGGAUCUAGUCCAAAAAAUUAUAUUUUGACAUUUAUGGCCCAGUUUCGCAGAAUAUUACAUUUUCAGACCCUUGUUUGUAAAAAUGACACUUUUGACCCAGUUUUUAUAAAAGUUACAUUUUUGGUCCAAUUUAGAAAUAUAUGUUAUUUUUACCCCUAAAUUUGGUUUAUUUACAUUUAUGACUAAAACUUUGGUCAAAUAACAUUUUUAAUCCCAAAACUUCCAUUUUUUCGCAAAUUUGGCCCCAAAACCGUGAGGCCCAAAUAUUCAGCCCAUUAGGCUAAAAUUUACGUUUUUGGCCCUUUGGAAAGCAUGUUUAUCAUAAAAAUCCCUUUUUAUACAAACAGGACCUGUUUGGUCCUUUAAAAACCGUAAAUGUCACUUUUUUCCCUUAUCUUUUGUUUUCUUGACAGUUUUGACCCUUAACAAGGUUUUUGCUUUAAAUUUUUGUAUCUUAAACAUAUAAACACUUUUAACUUGAUAAUAUGAUGUAUAAGGUGUUUUAGUGUUGGAUUAAUGUCUAAGUUUAUAACUAUAAUUGGUAAGACUUGACCCGAUCCGGCAUGGUCCAUUUGGGUUGCAUGGCAUCAUGCACUUGGAUAGACUAUAAUGAGAGAAAUAAGACACUUAUGGUUAUUAAUAUAUUAUAAGUUCUAGUAUAUUAAUAAUAAGAAUAAUAAGAUUAUUUAAUUAGUAUUGAUCAAGAAUUAAUCUAGGAUUAAUUAAGUGAUCAAAAGAAGACUAAUUAAAUAUAUGGGUUGAUUGUGUAAAUCAUCCAUACUUAUAUAGUGGGCUAAUGCUCCAUGGAUAAUCAAGUUGGGCUAAAACCCAUAGGAUGGUCCAUGGAUGCUCCAUGGUGUAUUUGAACCCAUGGAUCCAAGGAAAUGGAAAGUCAUGACAAUUAGGGUUUACCCUAAUUGUAACACUAUAUAAAGAUCUUAUUAUUGACCAAAAUCGGCCACUAGAAUCAUUCUAGAGAAGGGCUAGCCGAUUUCAUGUAGUGUAGAUUUCUCUCAAGUUAUUCCAAGUGUAUUUGGUGUUGUGUGAACCAUUUGAGGUGUCACACUUGGGGCACUAGACACUCAAGCUUCAUGAAGACUUUCUACAUCAAAGAAGUAUGUAUUCUAUCUUGUUACAUUCAUUGUUUUGUAUGCUAGAUUAGGAUAAUACCUUGGAAGUUCUUAUUUGCAUGUAUAAUAGAGAAAACAUAGAUCCAAGGUAUUUAGGGUUGCAUGUACACUUAGGAGUGUUAGAAUGCUCAAAACCCAACAGUGGUAUCAGAGCCUAGGCUUGUUUUCUUGUUAUACUUGCAAAAGAAGCUGAAAAAUCGAGUUUUGAUGCUGUCUGCCCAGCAGACUCGCCGAGUCCAUGAAUGGACUCGCCGAGUCCAAGGCAAAAUGCAUCCAACUCGCCGAGUUGGUUCGUGCACUCGACGAGUUGGACCCCCAGACAGCAUAAAUUCGACUUUUUUGGCUGGAAUUGGACUAGGAACAUUACCCUAAGAUGUUUUUGGACUUAUAAACUUGUUUUUGAUGUGGUAAUGUUCAUGCUAAUCCAAUUUCAAAGAUAAUUGUCAAUAGAUUCAUGUUUUGUAUUAGUUUAAGGUUUAGACUAAUUACAUGAAAAAGUUUGAUUUGAAUUAUCUUGUUCUUAUGAGUUGCUUAGAUUAAUAGAAAAGUUGAGUGAAAUAGUUGUUUUCAAUCCAAAUUAAUCUAAGAGUUGAUUCUAAAAUGUGUUUUUGUAACUUGUCCUCAAGUUAUAUGAAAAGUCACAUUUAAGUUUCAUAAAACUCAUAAAAGUUGGCAAAGGUUACAAAAUGAAGAGUCUAGUUCUAAUUAAAUGGUUUUAUGACUCCAUAACUUGUCCUCAAGUUAUGGAGGACCAAGAGUCUCUUCAUUAAAUAAUAAAUAAAAAAAAAAAGUAACCUUAAUUAAUUCCAUAAGUUAUAAAAUAAAGAAAAGUUAAUUCUUUUAUUAGUUUAAAGUCUUCCAUAACUUGUCCUCAAGUUAUGGAACUUGAAGAGUUUUUGGAUUAAAACUACUUUAAACACAUAAGUUAUGGAAUUAAUUAGUUUUGAAUAGUUUCAAAACUUGCCCUCAAGUUUUGGAAUUUGAAAAGUUUUCACUUAUGAAUACUUUAAUUCCAAGUUAGCCCUUAGAAUUUUAAAAGUUAAAAUUCAACCCUUAUACUUUAUAAUAUUAUAAGUUAAUAAUAUAUAUAUGUAUAAGAGUAAAGUCAGUCUUACCGCUAGUACGCCUCAUUCACGAAGCCGGUCUAUAAGGUGGGUAUAAGGUUGUUGCCUAUAAAAUGGCAACUUAAUGGGUGUCCACUCUCACCCACCGCUUGCUUGACUGGUGGAGGGUCGUUAGCCGAACGGGUUUGACAGGACUAGAAUUCUCCCUUCAUUAAAAGUAUUAAUGAUAAUACUAAGUAACUAAACUCUUAAUAAUACCCAAUCUUAGUUACUUAGGAAAAAUGUGAAUAAGGUGCUAAUCCAUGAAAUUACACUUUGCACUUUGUUUAAGUCGGUUAGUGGAGCGUGUGUGGUUAACCGGCACACUAACUCGUAUUUAACAAGGUAGGCAAAGGGUAACUUAAUGUUUAUCAUAGUAUCGAUGGAGCGUGUGUGGUUAACCGGCACAUCGAUUGAGGGGUAAACACUUAAGGGUACCAAGUAAUUUGCAUGGUUACUUCACACCUUGUUUUGUGAUCCUCGGCAUCCCAGUCACAAAACCUGAAGGGCACACUCGAGAUUGAAACAUGCCAUUGAACAGUUCAAUGAAUCUCAAAGAUCUAGGAGUUUCAAAACCAAUUAAAACCUAAUAAUACAUUUCGUUUAUCUUGGUGGAAAUUGGUGAAUCGUCAUUCACCUACCUUCAAAUAUUUUAUAGCUUGGAUUACGGCAUACCUCUUCUAAGUUAUAAAAUAGUUUGUUGGGUCCUAGCCUUAAUAUUUCAUAUUGGGUGUCAUAUUAAGGACUUUAAAUCAACUAUCUUGAAUAUCUCCCAAAAGAUGUCUGGUUUAGACACCUAUGAUCUUCCCAAAUCUCUUGAAACAAGGUUUCCUAAUGAAGAUGAUGUCCCAUGGAUAUCAUACUUCUUCACCUCUUCAAAUUAUUCUCCCUAACCCACAAGUUCUUGAAAAGUUUAAGGUCACUCAGGCCCUAUUGGCAAGGCAAGGUCUAGGUGUGAUCACAUCUUGGAGAUGUAGUCACAUAUUGACAAGCCGGGAGAGUUGGGUGUCAAAGUCUUGAGAAAGUUGGUGGUUCAAUCACUUUCUAAGUCACAUAGUGAGUUCCUUUGGGACACCUAUGAAACAGACUAUGACAAGACCCUUAAUGAUCUUAUCUAUUUGAUAAGAUCAACUUCCUAAAACUUUAUGGACAUUGACAAUGAUAACAUUGGAUAUCUAGUAAAGCUCUCUCUUCCCAGUGGAAAGGGAUCAGCCAUAGUCAACUGGGUUGACCAAAAUGGUAAAGAGAAAAGCUAAGUCUGUGAUAGUCCCGUGUACCAUUAUCAAAGGGUCCAUAUGUUUAUAUUGCCAAAGGAAGGGGGAUUGGUUGCGAAGCUGCCAAAUUUACCUAAAGAUGUUAAAGUCAAUAAGUUUGACUCUACUUCAUGUAAAGUCCACUAUCUAACUCUGUUAAGUUUCUAUUCUGAGAUUCCUGAUACAUGAUGUGACUGGGUCACAUGGUGAUGUUUUAAGAAUCGGAGCAUAUCCUCGAGUGUCUGGAUGGUGCACUCACUCUGACCAUCCGUCUGUGGGUGGUAGGCAGUGCUCAUAUCUAGCUGUGUUCCCAUUGCCUUCUGAAGAUAUUGCCAGAAACUUGAAGUGAAUCUGCUAUAUCGAUUUGAGAUAAUAGAUAUUGGCACUCCAUGGAGUCUCACAACCUCCUUGAUGUAGAUUCGGGUCAGCUUUUCCAUCUUGUAAGAUUCUUUUAUUGGUAGGAAAUGAGCGGAUUUUGUUAAUCUAUCCACGAUUACCCAAAUAGCAUCCAAUCCGUCUGCUAUCUUUGGCAAUUUUGUCACAAAGUCCAUGGUAAUCCUCUCCGAUUUCCACUUGGGUAUCACUGGUUGUUGCAGUAGUCCCGAGGGCUUUUGGUAUUCCACUUUCACUUUGGCACAAGUAAAACACUUGCCCACGAAAGUGGCUAUCUCUGCCUUCAUAUUAGGCCACCAAUAUUGUUGCUUGAUAUCCAAAUACACCUUAUCUGACGCCGGAUGAAUAGAAUAUCGCGUCUUGUGGGCUUCAUGCAUGACUACUUCUUUGAAUCCCUUAAAUUUGGGAACCCAGAUUCUAUUCAUGAAGUAGUGAGUUCCAUCGUCUUUAACUUCGAGCACCUUCUCCAUUCCACGUAGUGAGUCACUAGCGACAUUCUCUGGCUUCAAUGGUUCCAAUUGGUCUUCCUUGAUCUGUGAGGCUAGAUGAGAUUGGAUGGUGAUUGAUAGAGUUUUCACACGACGACUUGAAUACUCCUUUUGGAUCAAGGCAUCGGCUACCACGUUAGCCUUGCCUGGAUGAUAUUUGAUCUCACACUCAUAAUCAUUUAACAGCUCAACCCAUCUCCACUGCCUCAUGUUUAGUUCCUUUUGAUUUAGAAUGUGCUGGAGGCUCUUGUGGUCUGUAAAGAUGGUGCACUUGGUACCAUAUAGGUAGUGCCUCCAAAUUUUCAAGGAGAAGACCACCUCCCCCAAUUCGAGAUGUUGAGUAGUAUAAUUUACUUCAUGUGUUUUCAAUUUUCUAGAUGCAUAUGCAAUUACCUUCCCGCGUUGCAUAAGGACACAACCUAAACCAUGAUUCGAAGCAUCAUAGUAAAUUAUGAAGUCUUUAAUUCCCUUCGGUAAGGAUAACAAUGGAGCACUACAGAGGGCUUGCUUCAAGGUUUGGAAGGCGAUCUCUUGCUUCUCAGUCCAGUUGAAAGGUACGCCUUUCUGUGUCAAUGUGGUGAGGGGUUUGGCUAUCUUAGAAAAGUUCUGAAUGAAUCUUCGGUAGUAGCCCACAAGACCCAAAAAUUGGCGAAUUUAUGUUGGCGUUGUUGGAAUUUCCCAGUUUUUGAUUGCUUUGAUCUUUGAAAGAUCCAUGUGUAUUCCUUCCUAACUAACUACAUGGCUUGGAAAGUUUACACUGCGGAGCCAGAACUCACACUUGGAGAGUUUCGUAUACAACUUUUCAGCUCGAAGGGUCUUCAAGAUCUGUUGGAGAUGUUGACUAUGCUCUUCUUUGCUUCGAGAGUAUAUGAGGAUAUCAUCGAUGAAAACGAUCAGGAAUUUGUCAAGGAAUGGGCGGAAGACUCGAUUCAUGAGGUCCAUAAAUGCAGUGGGGGCAUUUGUUAGACCGAAGGGCAUCACGACGAAUUCGUAAUAACCGUAACGGGUUUGGAAAGCAGACUUAGGAAUGUCCUCAUCUCGGACCUUGAGUUGAUGAUAACUGGAUCUUAGAUCUAUCUUUGAAAAGUAACUAGCCCCUUGAAGCUGGUCAAAUAGAUCAUCGAUUCGUGGAAGUGGAUACCGGUUUUUGAUGGUGAGCUUAUUUAGUUCCCUAUAAUCAAUGCACAUCCUGAAGGAUUCGUCUUUCUUUUUAACGAAAAGAAUCGGAGCUCCCCAUGGAGAGAAGCUUGGUCUUAUGAAUCCUUUAUUCAAGAGUUCACUUAGUUGGCUUGACAAUUCAUGCAUUUCAGCGGGAGCCAACCUAUAGGGUGAUUUGGCUAUUGAAGUGGCUCUAGGCACUAGGUCGAUUCAGAAUUCGAUUUGUCGUUCUGGGGGUAUUCCUGGAAGCUCUUCUAGAAACACAUCCGGGAAGUCACAUGCCACUGGGAUGUUUUGAAUGUUCGCUUCCUCUUUGGUAUUAUCCACCACAUGAGCAAGGAAUGUGUAGUUCUUCUUUUGUAGACACUUUUGUGCCUUGAUACACGAGAUAAGGUAAAGGUUUGCACCGGGUUUAUCUCCGUAGAUUAUUAGGGUUUCGUGAUUAGAAAGAUGAAAGUGAAUGACCUUCUCGUGACACAUAAUAUCGGCAUGAUGGGGGCUUAACCAAUCCAUGCCGAUGAUGACAUCAAAACUCCUAAUAUUUACUGGCAUCAAAUUUAUUUGGAAAAAGUGGUUGUUUAGUGUUAACGUACAUCCUAUAUAGAUAUCUUUGGUUGUUUCAGUGUUCCCAUUAUCCAUUUCCACCGUGAAGGAUUCGUUGAGCUUCUGGGGUUGUUGAUUUAGAAAGUAUUUGAAUUUAUUACUAACGAAACUUCGCUCCGCCCCACUAUCAAAUAAGAUGCAUGCAUACGAGUUGUUAAGUAGGAACGUACCGAUGAUAACAGCUGGGUCCUACACUGCUUCAUCCUAACCCAUUGUCAACACUCUCCCUGCUGCUCCUGCCCCUUGAUUGUUUGCGUUGGGGAAAUUUCUCCUGAAAUUCCCGGUUUUCCCACAUACGUAACAGGUAUAAUUGGCCCCAACAUUGGUGUUGUUGUUAUUGUUGUUGUUGUUGGUGUUGUUGUUGUUGUUGUUUUUUGGCAUCUGGUUUUGUUGAAGCUGAGUCCUGCAAUACUUUGUUGUAUGGCGUUUCUGGUUGAACCUUGCGCAAAUCAUCUCUCUGUAUUCCCCAUGAUGGUGGAAGUUGCAUUUGUUACACUUGGCGAGAUUUCCUGAAUACUGCUUUGGAGCAUUUGGCGUGGAUGAGGCUGGAGCAUGGGGUGUGGUGGUAGCUUGAGUUACAGCAUGGACAGUCACAGUUUGUUGCUUCUUAGAUGAUUCUGAGUUAUGUUUUCCAUUUCUCUUGUUGUUUAUCCCUUUCUUUCUCUCUUCUUCCUUCUUAACCUCCGCUUCCACUGUUUUGGCACGCUUCUUAUUUCCAUGAUCAUACGAUUUCUUGUCCAGUCUCUUGGCGCUAUCAAACAUCUCAGGGUUUUGCUGCAAUAACAUUCCCUUAGAUAGGUGCAGUCAAUCCCUAGAUAAACCUAUCAAUCUUUUUCCCUUCUAAGGUGAUCAUUCCGGGACACAAAAGAGAUAGCUCACUAAACCUAGAUAUGUAUGCGGUUAUAUUGGAGUUUUGAACUGUGAGGUUCCACAACUCUUGUUCCAUCUUCUGAAUUUCACCUCCAAGACAGUAUUCUGCCAACAUCAUUUCCUUAAGCUCUUCCCAGAGCAUCGCGUUCGCUACCGGGAGUGUCAUGGCCUCUACAUGCCCAUUCCACCAGGAGAUGGCUUGAUCAAUGAAUUUGCAGGUUGCGAACAUGACCUUACACUCAUCUGGGCACCCACAGAUUUCAAAAAUGGAUUCUACUUUCUCGAUCCAUCGCUUCAGGGCUAUUACGCCUCCUGUCCCAUUAAAGGUUCGAGGUUUGGCAUUGGUGAAGUCCUUGUAGGUGCAUGUUCGUGUGGCUCCAUGGAUUGUUCCUUGAUUUGUGCUUCCGUUUCCCUGUCGGUUGCCUUCUCUAUUGUUUCCAUUGCGAAUCUGCACAAGUGUUGUAGUGACCGCAACAGACAAUGUUGCCUGGAAUGCAACCGAGAUUAUUUUCGGCGGGUUUGGUGUUGCGUUGUUUCCACGAUUGGGCCUUUGAGGCAUCUUUCUGUCAUGGAACGGAAAGAUGUAGAGUGACUAUUGUUUUGCGAGUUUGGAAUCCCCUAGGCUAGGUGUAUCGAGUGUGUAUUUAAGUAAUUUCAUACAUUAACAUAAAAUAGGGAAGUAAAACACAUAGCAGAUGACAACAUCAUGAUAAAACGUAAAGCAUUUUCAUUAAUACUAAUUGUUUUGAUACAUGAACAUUUGCCAGAAGGCAUACAGUACAUAGGGAAAUAUAAAAUAUGGCAGCAUUACAACCCUAUGAGCAGUGUGAUCACUUAAACAUAGAGUCGAUAGUACAUAGCAUAGUACACAUAAGGGAAACCUAAUAGUAUUAAGAGAUACUACUGGUCCUGAUCAUACUGAGAAGUGCCUAAUGGUGGUGGUGAAAUCAUAUCCCAAAAUGUUAUGCUAAUAACUGAUCCAUCUCGGUCAUCUCUCCGAUGACCUCAUCUUUUUCCUACUCAGUUUGCAUGGCUCGUGCCUCCAUAGCAAAUAGUUGUUGUCGAAGUGUGGCAACCUCCGCUUCCAGAGACCGAUCCUCAUCAACGGGGUUCCCUAGUGGACCAGGGUGGUCCUGGUGUGCCUCAUUGGUAGGUGGUUCGACGGGGGCUUCAUUUUUGUCCCCAUCCUCCUCCAUGUCUUCGUCAGUCCUAUCAAACUCAUAGUCUGUAUUAGUGUACUCGUCGGGCCCAAUGGUAGGGGCUCCUCCUUGUUCCUCCUCGGGAUUCUCCUCAAGCAUCCCAUGUGCCACUAGGGAUUGAUAAAAAUGGACUCCUUGCUGAGCGUCGUCCAUGGUGACUGCAUGAGGGCGUAUGAAUAAGUCAUGUUUUGAUUAUUCCUAUAGUAUAUUUUACUUAUUUAGGUUUGGUUUCCCUAGAGUUGUUGGAGAGUGAGGUAGGCUUUUGGAUUCAUUUCCCGCUAUGAUUACUCCCAAACACAAUUUGGUCAUAUUCUGAAUAAAUAUAGUUGAUCAGGCUAUAUUUAUCCCUAAUAGGACUACAUAACUGCCCAUGUUUAAUUAUAAUGUUCAAUAUCCUCCAAAAGCUUUUAUUAAAUAUUGUUAGGUUAUUAUCCUAAUAUGCGCAUAUAAGUAUGAAAUUUUUGUUUUGUUCACAGUUAUUUAGUCCCAUUGUGUUUAUAGUUGCAUAUCAUGUAUGGUUAGAUAUGCUAGUUCACUAUAAACAUUGCUUUGAUACCAACCUGUCACACCCCCGACCCAGACGGUGGAAACGUCUAGGGGCUCCUGUGACUAACAAUUGAAUUAUCAUCACAAUGGAUAUACAUGAAACAUAACACAUUCAUCACUAACAUUACAUAUUACAACCAGCAUUGUUCACAUCAAGUACAUUGUUAAAGAUUACAUAAAUUCAAAGUAUUAAUAGUAAGAUAGGUGAUGUGACACAAAAUAAAUCCAUACACACUUGAAAAUCUUCCUGCUUAACAAUUACCUGAGAAUACAAGUUAUUUUGAAAAAUGGUCAACAUAUAUAAUGUUGGUGAGUUCAUAAGUAUGUUUGAAUAAAAGUCUUUGCAUCUUUUGUAAAAACCCAGAAAAUCCGAUAUUUUCUGUAAAAUGUCUGAAAAUGAUGUGAAAAUCAAGUAUAAAUUCAUGUGUGAAUUUCAUAGCAGUAACAUAUAUGAUUUCAGUUUAAAUUUCUUUGUAUUGUAAGUAAGUGAUAAUUGAAUAAUAGUCUUUACCCAGAAAAUCCGAUAUUUCCUGAUUUAUAAUAAUGUCAAGGUUCUUGUAUCAUUAAUUAAGUUGUUUCGUAUUGACAAAAUCGAAGGGUUAAUCUUCGAAAUGUUAAAUUGGUAUUGGAUCUCUAUAUGAGUUGUUAUAACCAUGCAUGAUAAUGACUAGGUUGGCUGUCUUGGCAUUUUCCAAACGCCUGUAUUUGCUCAAGGUUUUGUCACCCUAGACUGGCCUAGUCUAGUUGUAGCCAACAACUAAGGCGUGGGGGGUCACCCCAUAUAGAUCUAUACACAAACUCCCGCUCUCCCUCCAGGAAACUCUGGUUAUAACUACAGACUACGAUUGUACACUCAGAGGUGUCAACCGACAUGUCUCACUAGAUUCUCAACUUUUCAUACCAUGUUUAAUGUUUACGUGAAUGUUGUAUGUUUUCAAAUCCAAAGGUAUAUAUAUAAGUAUACGAACUUUAGGGCUGGCAAUUGUUGACACGAUACGCGACACGACAUGAAAUAAAUGGGUUUGGGUUGAGUUUUUCAACCCGCCAACCCGCUAACCCGUCAACCCACCAACCCGUUUAUUAAACGGGUCAUAUAUGGGUUUCUCAAAAAAUAAACGGGUUGACCCGCCAANUGUAAGUGGACCACCAAGGCCCAACAAACAUGUAACCUAUAGCUCAGGCCCAAAUUAACAUGUAAAUGGGUCGCAAGGCCCAAUAAACAGGUCAUGGAAAAUAUUGGGCUCAAUAUAUACUUGAAUGGGCCCUUAAGGCCCAUUGGCCAUGUAAUGUGAAUAUUAGGUCCAAUAAAAUUGCUAUCAAUGUAUUUCGUCAAUUCGUUAUUAUUUUGUGGUUUGCUUUAGCUCGAUGUUUACCGAAUUAAAUAUAAAAGUCCUCUUUUUGUAUAAACGACGUUCUUGGCCAAGAAGCCUAAAAUUUUGAAUUAAGGCCCAAAGUUUUGUAAAAAUUAACACUUUAGUCCAUAAUUUAUAAAAAUUUGUAAUUUCGCCCCAAAUGUUUAGAAAUUUACGGAUCUAGUCCAAAAAAUUAUAUUUUGAUAUUUAUGGCCCAGUUUCGUAGAAUAUUACACUUUCAGACUCUUGUUUGUAAAAAUGACACUUUUGACCCAAUUUUUAUAAAAGUUACAUUUUUGGUCCAAUUUAGAAAUAUAUGUUAUUUUUUCCCCUAAAUAUGGUUUAUUUACAUUUAUGACUCAAACUUUGGUCAAAUAACAUUUUUAAUCCCAAAACUUCCAUUUUUUUGCAAAUUUGGGCCCAAAACCGUGAGGCCCAAAUAUUCAGCCCAUUAAGCUAAAACUUACGUUUUUGGCCCUUUGGAAAGCAUGUUUAUCAUAAAAAUCCCUUUAUAUACAAGUAGAACCUGUUUGGUCCUUUAAAAACCACUUUUUGCCCUUAUCUUUUGUUUUCUUGACAAUUUUGACUCUUAACAACGUUUUUGCUUUAAAUUUUUGUAUCUUAAACAUAUAAACACUUUUAACUUGAUAAUAUGAUGUAUAAGGUGUCUUAGUUCAUGGGUUUUUUACUUAAUGUUGCUUAAGAUGUCGAGACAUGCUAAGAUCUAACAUAUUUUUUACAAAAUAGACUAAGAAAUCACACACGACAUGCAUAUAACACAUAGAUCUACACAUUUUACUUGUAUUCUCCCCCAAAACUAAUAUGAAAACCAAAAACAAGGGGGUAAGAACUCACCUUUGCUUCGAUGUUUCGGUUUUGAAGAAGAAAUGGAAGAAGUUGAUGUGAUUUUUUGCUCUAGCAAGCUCCUUGAGUAGAUUUCGAGCUUAAGAAGUUUCCAAGAGUCUGACCAUGGAAUAAAGCUAUGUAACAAGGAAUUUUUUGAUGUUAAAAUAAAAGGAGAUGUUUGUGUUUGAUAACAACUUACCAAAGAUUGAAAAUGCUUGAUGAAGAUCCUUAAAACUCAAGCAAAAUUUUGAGAUCCUUGGAGAAAGGAGGAUGAUCUUUGAGAGUGUUUGGAGAGGAUUUGAAAGAGUGUGUGUGUGUGUGUGUGUGUGGUUUGCCUCUCGGCCGUGAGUAGAAGAAGAAGGGGGAAAGAGAAGAUGUGAUGGAUACUUAGGAGUAUAAGCUUUGUAUUUGCUUAAUGGGUAAUUAGCUUGGAGAACCACCAUGUAAUUAUCAUGUGUCAAUGCAUGGUAAUUCUCUUAUUUUCCUUUUUUUACAUGUAUAUGAAUGUACAUAUCUAAUGGGCCGAGAAAAAGAAAGAAUGGAGGGGCUUUGGCCUCUUUUUGAUUUGGUUCGAGUUUAUGAGGCCCAUAGAAAGAGGCUUUCGGCCCAUUGGGCCUUUAGGUGUGUUCACGGCCCAUUUCGAAAGAAGAAAGGGUGUUUAUGGCCCAUUACGGCUAAUUAAUUCAUUAAUGGCCUAAUAAGGCCCAUUAAGGAUAAACCAAUUUAUUUUGGACCCAAAAUGGCCCAAAAUGCUAAGUUUCACGGAAGUGGGUCCAAUUAGUGCCCAUUUAAGGGUCCUAAGCCCAAAAUAGUUAAAUUGGAACCUCAUUGGUCCAUUAGGCCCAAUAAGGAAAUCCUAGUCCAAUAUGGACUUAAAUCGGGAUUCUUAGGGUUUUCAAACUCUUUGUUGAACAUGAGAGGUGAAUUUAAAUGAGCAUUGCGUGAUAUUUACUUAAAGUAUAUGUUUUACACUAGUUGAAUGAUUACACGAGAAUAGAGUUUUCUAGCAAAAAUGCUAGUUGUGACAUUAAUGAAAUCGUGAUUAUUUAUAGUAGGAGCAACAUUCCUCAUAGCAACCACACUUGAUUUACCAACUUCACCUAAAGUCAUCUGCAUAGGCAAGGUGCUUAAGUUUACAAACAAGGUAAAAUCAGUUGAUCGAGUUUUGUUCACGACAUCUAUCUCAUUAACAACACUGAUACUUGGAUGAUCCUAAAGUUUUGAUGAUGAACCUCUUCCACAAAUAUCCGUUUAUUGUUUUGAGUAUGAUCUUUGAGAUAAAACACUUGUUUAGCUUGUGUGGAUAAGAUGUAUUAUUGAUCAUCAUACCUUCUUUUAUUGACAUACCAUCCAUGACUGGUAUCUAUAACGACCAUAUUAUUUAUAGUCUUUAAACAUCCAUUACGUAAUGACACAUUGAACCAUUUACCACGACAGAGUAAAAUUGAGUUACCAUAUAAAUAAUGCGAAUCUAGGAUCUCCUCUAAUUGUCCAUAGAAUGGUCUACCAUCUUCUUGUUGGAUUAGUGUCUAAUUCCAUAACUAUAUUUGGUAUGUACUUGACCCAAUUGGCAUGGUCCAUUUGGGUUGCAUGACAUCAUGCAUUUGGAUAGACUAAAAUGAGAGAAUAACACUUAAGGUUUAUUAAUAUAUUAUAAGUUCUAAUAUAUUAAUAAGAUUAUUUAAUUAGUAUUGAUCAAGAAUUAAUUUGGAACUAAUUAAGUGAUCAAAUGGAGACUAAUUAAAUAUAUGGGUUGAUUGUGUAAAUCAUCCAUACUUGUAUAGUGGGCUAAUGCCCCAUGGAUUAUCAAGUUGGGCUAAAACCCAUAGGAUGCUCCAUGGUGUGUUUGUACCCAUGGAUCAUGGAAAUGAAAAGCCAUGAAAAUUAGGGUUUACAUGGUGUAACCCUAAUUGUGACACACUAUAUAAGUAUCUUAUUCUUCCCAAAAAAAGAGCUAUAAAGGAAUGGUGAGGGCUAGCCGAUUUCAUGAAGUGUCUAAUUUCUCUCAAGUUAUUCUAAGUGUAUUUGGUGUUGUGUGAACCAUCUGAGGUGUCACACUUGGGGAACUAGGCUCUUAAGCUCCGUGGAAUCAAGCUACACCAAAAGGAAUGUCUUCUAACUUGUAUUAUUCCUCAUGAAUCAAUAUUUUGUAUGCUAGUUAGGAUAAUACCUUGGAAUAUUAAUAUUUGCAUGUAUAAUAGAGAAAACAUAGAUCCAAGAUAUUUAGGGUUGCAUGUACACAUAGGAGUGUUAGAAUGCUCAAAACCAUUCACUUCUCCAAAUUUAACAACACCACUAUUUUUAGUAGUGUGUCAGAGAUCACGAAUACUCACAACAAAACGAACACCGACAAUAUGUAUUAUGUUGGUCAUAGACAAUUCUUGAAUAUGAACCAUAGAUGGAGGGAGAGUCUAUUGUUUGAUGGUCCACCCGAUACAAGACCGUAUCCUAGACGAUUUAGUAAUUUAACUAUAUUAAAGUAAUGUAACGUCUGUGUUUCUGGGCUUGCCAUUUUUAGCAAUGUANNNNNNNNNNNNNNNNNNNNNNNNNNNNNNNNNNNNNNNNNNNNNNNNNNNNNNNNNNNNNNNNNNNNNNNNNNNNNNNNNNNNNNNNNNNNNNNNNNNNGACGAAGGUGGACCGGUAUGCGAAGGGACUCCCAUGGGAGUAUGACGUGCCAGUACGUCAGGCACAUACUUUAGAGGCAGCUAUCUGGGCUACCAAGUCUGUUGAGAACAUGAUAAAGGGGAGAACCACCAACAAGGUUGAGGUUGGUGAGAAGAGGAAGUUUGAGGGAACAUCUGGUUCCGGUAAGAAAAGCAAAUUUUCGAAAUCUGAUUCGAAAAGGUUUGGUGGGGGUAAAGGAGGGGAAGCGAAGUGGUGUGAAAAGUGUAAGAAAAAGCAUUUCGGGAAAUGUAGCGAGGAUGUAACUUGCUACAAGUGUGGAAAGGUUGGACAUUUUGCCAAUGAAUGUCCGAACAACAAAAGGAUGUGUUUUGGUUGUAAUGAAGAGGGGCAUAUUUUGAAAGACUGUCCGAAGAAGAAGGAGGCAGCUAAGCCCAACAUUCCACCAAAGCCGAAGGCGAGAGCCUUCCAGAUGACACUUGAGGCUGCGAAAGAUGAAGCUGAUGUCGCUUCAGGUACCUUUCUCGUAAACGAAUUACCUGCUCAUAUAUUGUUUGAUUCUGGAGCCAACUACUCCUUUAUUUCGCAUGAGUUUGGUAGAAAGCUAGCUUUGCCUAUUGAUAGACUAGAUGAUGCUUUAUUAGUCGAAGUAGCUAGUGGCAAGUUUGUACCUGUUAGUCAUCGUAUGAAAAGCAUCUUAAUUGAUCUGAAUGGGAAUAAGUUUCACGAGGAAUUAUUGCCUAUCGAACUAAAUGGUUUCGACAUCGUGUUGGGAAUGGAUUGGCUUAGCGCCAAUGAUGCCGAAAUUUUGUGCAAGAAGAAGAUAGUUAAAGUAAACCCGCCUGGGAAAGAUUCGUUUAUGGUGUAUGGGGACAAACGCAGAGUGAAUUCUGGAAUCAUUUCUCUAAUGAAAGCCAGAAAGUGUUUGACCAAGGGAUGUACAUCAUAUUUAGCAUUCGUGAUUGAUGCUAAGAAGGAAAAGAAGGUGAUGCAGAGUAUUCCAGUGGUGUGUGAUUAUCCGGAAGUAUUUCCCGAGGAUCUUCCUGGAUUACCACCUGAUAGACAAGUGGAGUUCAGAAUAGACUUGUUACCAGGAACCACGCCAAUAGCAAAAGCACCUUAUCGAUUAGCACCGACGGAGAUGAAGGAGCUGAUGAUGCAACUUCAGGAGUUAUUGGACAAAGGUUUCAUUAGACCUAGUUCAUCGCCCUGGGGAGCUCCGGUGUUAUUUGUAAAGAAGAAAGAUGGAAGUAUGAGAAUGUGCAUCGAUUACAGAGAGCUGAACAAGGCAACAAUAAAGAAUAGAUAUCCGUUGCCGAGGAUUGAUGACCUGUUUGAUCAAUUGCAAGGUUCGAGCUAUUUCUCGAAGAUCGAUCUUAGGUCAGGAUAUCAUCAGCUGAAAGUAAGAGAGCAAGAUAUCGAGAAGACUGCAUUCAGAACUAGAUAUGGACACUACGAGUUCUUGGUUAUGUCGUUUGGACUAACCAAUGCUCCAGCAGCGUUCAUGGAUUUGAUGAAUAGGGUUUGUAAUCCUUUCCUUGAUAAAUCCGUGAUAGUGUUCAUAGACGACAUUCUGAUCUACUCGAAAAGCCAGGAGGAGCAUGGCAGACACUUGCGAGAAGUGUUAGAAGUUUUGAAGAAGGAGAAGCUUUAUGCGAAGUUCUCCAAAUGUGAUUUUUGGAUUCGUGAGGUCCAAUUCUUGGGUCACGUGGUCAACCAAGAAGGGAUAAUGGUUGAUCCAGCGAAGAUCGAAGCUGUGACGAAGUGGGAACAACCGAAAAGUCCCACGGAGAUUCGAAGCUUUUUAGGAUUAGCCGGAUAUUACCGAAGGUUUAUCCAAGGCUUUUCUUCGAUUGCUACUCCAUUAACAGCUUUGACCCACAAAGGAGCUACUUAUGCUUGGAGUGAGAAGCAUAAAGAAGCAUUCGAGAAGUUAAAGAAGAAGCUAUGCGAGGCACCGAUACUUUCUCUACCCGAUGGAGUUGAAGACUUCGCUGUUUAUAGCGAUGCGUCUGGUGUUGGAUUGGGUUGUGUUUUGACCCAAAGAGAAAAGGUGAUAGCAUAUGCGUCUCGACAGCUGAAAGAGCAUGAAAAGAAUUACCCGACUCAUGAUUUGGAGUUGGCAGCGGUAGUUUUCGCUCUGAAAAUAUGGAGGCAUUACCUCUAUGGCACGAAGUGCAAACUUUUCACUGAUCAUAAGAGUCUCCAAUACCUCUUUAAUCAGAAAGAAUUGAAUAUGAGGCAACGACGCUGGCUAGAAUUACUUAAAGACUACGACUGCGAGAUACUUUACCACCCCGGUAAAGCUAAUGUUGUUGCUGAUGCUCUCAGUCGGAAAGUCAAUCUUGAAAGGAAGAGGCCAAGAGCGUUGAGAAUUGAAGUUGUCUCGACUAUUGUGGAAAGUAUAAAGAAAGCUCAAGAGGAAGCUUCUGAGAAAAAUGACCGAAAGGAGGAACGUUUGGGUAAAACGUUGGUGUUUGGUACUAACGGUCAUGGACUGAAGGUAUUCCAAGAUCGUAUUUGGGUACCUAAGUCAGGAGGAAUUAGGGAUCUUCUGAUGGAAGAAGCUCACAAAACCAUGUACUCAAUUCAUCCGGGUAGCACUAAAAUGUAUAGGGACCUGAAACCCUACUACUGGUGGCCGACGAUGAAGCUUGAUGUUGCAAAGUAUGUGGCCGAGUGUGUGACUUGUGCGAGAGUCAAGACACAACAUCAGAAACCUUACGGGAGUUUAGAACCAUUGCCUGUGCCUAUGGGUAAGUGGGAAGACAUUGCUAUGGAUUUUGUCACUAAACUGCCCAGAACAAAGAAUGGUCACGACAUGAUUUGGGUGGUCGUUGAUCGAUUCACUAAGAGUGCGCAUUUCAUAGCGGCCAGGGAGAAAUGGUCUAUGGAAAAGCUUGCGAAUUCUUACGUGAAGGAAAUUGUGAGGCUUCACGGUGUUCCGUUAACGAUUGUAUCGGAUCGUGAUAGCCGUUUCACCUCAAGGUUUUGGAAAAGUCUACAAGAGGAAAUGGGUACCAAGUUAUGUUUAAGCACAGCUUACCAUCCGCAGACUGAUGGUCAGAGUGAAAGAACAAUACAAACACUUGAAGAUAUGCUGAGAGCAUGUACCUUGGAAUUCCUAGGUAAUUGGGAUGAACAUUUACCGUUGGUAGAAUUUUCCUAUAAUAAUAGUUUUCACUCGAGCAUUAAGAUGGCACCUUAUCAAGCUUUGUAUGGACAGAAGUGUCGUACGCCGUCUUGUUGGCUUGAGGCUGGGGAAAAGCAGUUUAUGGGACCGGAGAUGGUUCAUCAAACUGCUGAAAAGUUGAAAAUAAUUAGGGAAAGAAUGUUAGCAGCUCAAGAUCGUCAAAAGAGCUAUGCUGACAAGAAGCGAAGACCGAUGACUUUUGAGGUUGGAGAUUCGGUUUUGCUUAAAGUCUCGCCGUGGAAGGGACUUAUAAGAUUUGGUAAAAGGGGAAAGUUGAGUCCAAGGUUUAUUGGACCGUUUAAAGUCCUUCAGAGGAUUGGGAAUCAAGCUUACAAGCUCGAAUUACCCGAAGAACUGAAUGGAAUUCACAACACCUUUCAUGUGUGUUAUUUGAGGAAGUUCACGGGAGAAGUUCCCGAUAUAAUUCCAAUUUCUGAAUUGAGAAUUGAUGAGAACAAAAGGUUGAUUGAAGAACCAGAGGCAAUUGUUGACCGAAAGACUAAGAAGUUGCGACGCAAAAUGGUUGGGUUAGUGCUUGUCCGAUGGAAACACACGAAUGGGCCGAAUCUCACCUGGGAGACGGAGAGUGACAUGUUGAGUCGCUAUCCGCAUUUGUUUGUUGAUGUGUGAUUCCGGGGACGGAAUCAUUCUAAGGUGGAGAGAAUUGUAACGCCUGUGUUUCCGGGCUUGCCAUUUUUAGCAAUGUAAUAGUCUAGGUUAACCUUUGUAACCCGUUUUGAAAUAAUAAGAUUGUAUUAUUUGAGUAUUAUGUGUUUUGUGCUUAAUUGCUUAAUUAUGUGGUUUGAUUAAUUAAGAAUAAAAAUAAGCGUCAAAAUUUAAGUGUAAAAUAAACUUAAUAUCUUUGGUUAAUGUUGUAGUAGUUGAAACGAGGUUUCCGAAUAUAUAUAGAACGCCCAAAUCUGACUUCGUAUGAGGAAGUUAUGAUUUAUCGAAGUUCCGGCUUAGCGAUAUACAGCCUGUUUUACUCGAUUUGAGAUCGAGCGGUUGUUAGCCGAAGCAAUCUAAAUGAGAAUCGAAGAUCUCAUUGUUGGUAUUGAAACGAUAAAAAGUUAGGCGAGAACGGACGUCAAACGAAGAAGUUAUGAAUUUAUAACGAAAGUUUCUGUCCCGGCCUAUUAAAAAUAAUUAAUAAAAAUAAAGUCAAAAUUAGCCGACGGAGUCUAAACGAAAGUCGUAGAGCGUGGUCUCACCUUCGCGUGGAUAUAAAGAACGUCGAAAACGGAGUUCGUAUGAAGAAGUUAUGAAUUUCCGAAGUUUAUUAAUCAUUUUGUAUUUAUUUUUAAUUCAAAAUUCGGAAGCAUUAUCCGAAGGAGUCACCGAUCUGAUCCGAGGUACGCCCCGCGUACUCGAGUACGCCCCGCGUACUCCGAGGGAUGUCGACACUCGCACUCGAGCACUUCGGAUACGUAAGCAAUGACGUUUUGGGCAGUACGCCCCGCGUAACGCAGUACGCCCCGCGUACUCCGAGGCUCCAGCCUCCUAUAAAUAGGAUGCGAGGGUUCCGGGUAUUUUUGCCAAUUCCCUCUCGUUUUCGUGUCGAAGCUCUGUGCAAAAACCCCCGAAGCUACCCCGAAGUCCCGGUAUCAUACUCUAGCCCCGAGGCAAGUCCCGAGAUCCUGAAGAUCCCGAAAAGUGCGGUUCCCGAGUCGAAGCUCUGCCCGCGAGAAGUUCGAUUUUCGAGAAGAUCUUCCAGAUCUGCUGUGGAUUACUACUUCUAUAAGCCGUAGUGCUGUCCGAUCAUCUUCUGAUCAAGUGAGUGUGUAGUUAUUUCUUCUAAUACAAUAAUACGAAGUAUUUUAUAUAAAAAUACGUGCUAUGUGUAUAUAUUUUGUUGUUAUAUAUGUGAAUGUAUACCCACUCUCUUCUAUCUUAUAGAUCUGAUUAUUUCUCAAUGAAAUACGUGUUAUGUGUGUGUGCCUCAUCUGUUAUGUGAAAAAUGUUUUGAUUGAGCAUGCUAUACAGGUUUUGAAACUACGUAUAAAAAUGUAUAUUUUAUCUACUAAUAUGUUGGGUAGAAUAUGGGUAGAUAGUUGGUGUGUAAUAAACAGAUGAGAGGCCUCGAUGUUGUUUUGAUCCAGUCAUCUAGCGGAAUUUAGAUGACGACCACGGACUUUUCUAGACAGUCCAGUGGAACGCUAGCAGGCUCAUAACCUGUAGGUGUUAAUGAACUUGGGUGUUCAUUCGCUGUAUUCCAUCCCCCCCAUGGUUGCCUUAUUUGACUUAUAUUGCUGAGGAACCCCCGAAGCAUGUGUAGUCGCCCCGAUGAAAUAUUCUUUGACUAGGUCCCUUGUGUUAGUUAUUUUAGGGACAUAAAGUGAGAAUAACGGGAAUGGGUAACUGGGUUAUUGUUGGAUGAUAAUAAUUAAUUAAAUUAUUUAUUGUGGGUUGAAAACCCUAUAUGCUCACCAGGCUCCCAAGCCUGACCCACUCAGUUGAUUUAUUUUACAGGAAGUGGCGCAAGAGCUUAAGAUGGGCGAACAUCAAGUUGUUUUGUUUACAAGUCUGUAUAUGUAUAUAUUUGUUGAAAGACUUGUAAUGCUAUCGUUUAUGCUUUAUGAUCUGUAUCGGAACAUGACAUCCCGACUUUUGAUUAUGAAAUGAAAUCAUAUUUCUUUAUGAAAUGUUUUGAUAAAUAUCUAUUUUAUCAUGUUUUGUUUUUGGGAACAAAUUCCGCAUCUCUUUUAAAAAUUAAAAGGAUUUACUCUGAAAAUUAUUUUAAAAAGCAUAAAUGAAAUCGGUCUUUUCUGGCCGAGAUUUUGGGGAUGUCACAAGUAAGUAGCUCGUCUCUCUGAUAAUAUGUAUUAUGUUGGUCAUAGAUGAUUCUUGAAUAUGAACCAUAGCUAGAGGGAUAGCCUAUUGUUUGAUAGUCCACCUAACACAAGACCGCGUCUUAGACAAUUCAGUAAUGUAACUAUAUUAAAGUAAGUAGCUCGUCUCUCUGAUAAUAUUCCAGGGGAAUAUCCUAAUCAUGGGGCUAAAAAAGAAAGCAUGAACAUGAAAGCAAAAAGGCAGAGUUGAAUCGGAUGAAACAAAGUAUCUUAUUUGAGCUUGAGUAUUGGUCUUCCCUCCACCUAAAACAUAAUUUUGAUGUUCUACAUGUUUUGAAAAAUAUGAAUGAGAGUGUGUAUAAUACUACACUGAUGAACGAUAAAAGAAAAUACAUAAAAGAAGUAAGAAUUGACUUGAAAAAUACGGUCAUUCGACCAGAUCAAUGGCCAAAAGAGAAAGUCAAGAAGAAGAAGACAGUACACCAUUCUAUGGUCCCUUGGUUGAUGCAUCUCUCAUUUGGACUCCUUCAACCCAUAACAUUUUCAACUCAGCCACCAAAGGCCUCAAGUAAACAUCAAUGUCCUUUGUAGGUGAUCUAGGGCCAGGAAUCAACAAAGUUAGCAUGAAAGAAGAGUCCUUCAUACAUAUCCAUGGUGGUGUAUUGUAGUUAGUAAAUAUAACCAUCCAAAUAAUAUAAGUAUUAUUAAAGUUGUUGAACGGAUUAAAGCCAUCAGCAGCUGAACCUAGACGAAUAUUUCUAUAUUCUUUAGCAAACUCUCGAUAUCUCUUAUCAAAUUAUUUCCAUGACUUCUCGUCAACCGGAUGACGCAUCUUACCAUCCAUUGAGCAUCCAGUAUUAUGACAACUAAUAUAUUUACCAGUGAAUCUGGAACUAUACAUUCGUCGAAGCCUUGAGUCAAAGGAAACUACCACAAUGCUUUUUGUGGUACUCUCUUCCCAUUUUGUUGUUGUGUCCACCCAUUUGCUUGCAUUACAAAUUCGGGCAAUUUUACAUGGAAUCAUUCUCCUUCCAAAACGAAGCACAAUCAUAUUUACAAGUAUGGAUGGAUUGAUAUCAAACCCUAUCUUUCUCAACUUAUUCUUAGCUUCAUAGUGUGAAGUUGCUCUUCGGGAAUGAAACUCUUAGUAACUCUACAAGUUGGUUAAAAAAAAUAUUUGUCCAUUUAUUUAUCACUUUAGUAUGCAACAACUUUGCCAGAAAGUUUAUGUAACGUCCCAAAAAUUAAGACUAAAAGUUUUUAAUUUUAAAUUAAUUAAAACCAUUAUCCAAACAACAUCUUAGAAAUCAUAGUGCAUCAAAGUGUAUCAAUAACAUCCAUGUACAUCAGCAAGAUAUAAAAAUGCAGAACGACGUGGUGGGUGCAUUGCAAUCAUCCCGUGUAACGCCCGUAAACUCGGGCUAGUCAAUUUAGAGACAAUGUGCGUCAAAAAUGACUUUUUGAUGGGAGAUUGUUUACAAGAAACAAUCUUAACCAAGUUAUAUUAUAUGUCACAAAGGUUCCUUAUAUAUAAAGAACGCCAAAAUCCGAGUUAUAACGAAGAAGUUACGACCUUUCGAAGUUCUACGACAAAACCAACACGGCACCGUGUAACGUAAAAAGUGAAAUCUUGAUAAAUUACUUUUUAGCCUUAGGGAUCUAAAUGAAAGUUGUUUUAUACAUUAAAUUGAGAGCAUGCAUAAAAAGAACGUCAAAAUCUGACUUUGUAUGAGGAAGUGAUGAUUUUUCUAAGAUUUCGCACAGAGUAUACAACCUGGAAUUCGAAUGUCAGAUCGAGUGAUUUUUAGCCAACACAACCUAAAUUAUAAUUGAAUAUCUCAUUAAUAGGAGUUCAACGAUAAAAAGACAGUUAAAAACGGAGUCUGUAUGCAGAAGUUAUGAAUUUUACACGGUCGUUAACAAAAUAAUAUUUUCAUACUGUUAUAUUUAAAAUUGGUUGAGAAUUAGCCGAUUCAAUCUAAAGGAAAGUUGUAGAUCUUGUCAAUACCUAUGUGUGGAUAUAAAGAACGUAAAAAACGGAGCUCGUAUGCGAAAGUUAUGAAUUUUUUAAAAUUUGUUGUUUUACCUGCGUCCAGCGCCACGUGUCAGCACCAGGCGAAGCCUUAGUGCCUACACAAGGCCACGACGUGGAUUAUAAGUCUAUGAUGUUGAUUUCCCCAGAUAACCUAUAAAUAGAGGUGGAAAUAAUCCAUUUCCUUCACACCUUCACCCUUCUUUCUGUCUCAACACUCCCAAUCUCUCCCUCCUAAUCCCUAGCAACUUCUAAGUGCUAGAGGCGAGUCCCGGAGCGCCAAAAGGGUCCGAGAAGAAGAGUUUUCGUCUCAAAAUUUCCGCCCCCUCAGAGCCCGGUUCCUAGCCAAACCCCCAGGAAGUGAGUUAUGCUUACACUACUUUAAGUAUACUUAUGUUUAAGUUUAUUAUCGUUAUUAUGAACUUAUAAACAAGAUUUAUCAGUGAUUCCAAGUCGUUAUACUAAUUGAUCUACUUACGGGGAUGAUAUAUAGGUUGUGAUUUAGUGAGGUGUUUAAAGUGGGAUUUCAAAACAGUAUACUUCGUAUACGAAACGGAACUUACCUCCGAUAUGAUCCUACAUGGUUGUUCCUUACUUGAUAGAUCAUGAAAGUAGACUUUGAGUUAAUGAUGAAUCUAGACUAAUAAUUAGUCGUGCGUAAAGAUUAGACUAAAACUUAGCGAUAAUAAUGCUAGGUUUCAUCGAAGGAAAAUAGAAUCAUGAGAAGCAAAGUGCUUCCCGAGUUUGGAAUUAUCACUUUGAUAAGUGAGUGCAUAGUUACUUUCAUCUUACACAUAGAUAUGAAGUAUAUUAUAUAAAUUACAUGCUAUGUGUUCAUAUUAUAUGUUUACUUUAUAUCUAUGCUAGAUGAAUGAUCCUAUACAUGUUUUGAAUGAUUUAAACUGUAUAUAUAUUUUUUGUAUCUAUAAAAUCUAUUGGGUAAAACAUGGGUAGAUGAAUGAUAAGGGAUGAAAGUUGAUAUAGAGGAACAUUGGCAGUUAUAGACAUAGUGUCCUAUAGGUGAACAUUGACAACAAUGGACUUAGUGCCCUAUAGAUGAGCAUUGGCAGCCGUGCCACCACCUGUAGAUGUUUUGAUCUACGAUGUACUCUAAACAUCAUAGCAGCUGCGCUCAAAGGGUAGUAUCGGCAGCUGCGUGUAACGCAUGUGUUUCUAGGCUUGUCAUUAAUAUUGAUGUAAUAGUGUAGGUUAACCAUUGUAACCUGUUUCGAAAUAAUAGAAGUGUAUUAUUUGAGUAUUAUGUGUUUUGUACUUAAUUGUGUGUCUUAAUUAAAUUAAGUAUGAAAAUAAGCAUCAAAAUUAAAUGUUACAUAAAGCUGAUAUCUAUGGAUAAUUUUGUAGUAGUUGAAACGAGGUUUCUGAAUAUAUAUAGAAUGCUGAAAUCCGAGUUAUAACGAAGAAGUUAUGAUCUGUCGAAGUUUCGCGACAUAAAUCGGCACGACGAUGAAUGACGUAAAAAGUGAAUUUAUGUUAGAUUUAUCUUUAGUCCUAGUGAUCUAAACGAAAGUUGUAGAGUUCGUUAAACCGAUAGCGUGCAUAAAAAGAUCGACCAAAUCUGACUUCGUAUGAGUAAGUUAUGAUUUUCCGAAGUUUCGACUUAGCAGUGUGCAGCCCGAAUACUCGAUUUGAGAUCGAGCGGUUUUUAGUCGAAACAAUCUAAACGAGAAUCGAAGAUCUCGUCAAUGGUAGAGCAACGGUAAAAAGAUAAAUGAAAACGGACGUCAGAUGAAGAAGUUAUGAAUUUAUAACAGAGUUUUCCUAUCCCGGCCUACUAAAAAUAAAUAAUAAUAAAAUAAAUUCAAAAUCAGCCGACAGAGUCUAAACGAAAGUUGUAGAGUGUAGUCUCACCUACGCAUGGAUAUAAAGAACGUCGAAAACGGAAUUCAUAUGAAGAAGAUAUGAAUUUCUGAAGGAUUUAUAUGAUUAAUAUUUAUUAAUUAAUCUUUAAUUCGAAUGUAUAUCCGAAGGAGUCACCGACCUGAUCCACACUAUGCCCAGCGUACACCGAAGCGUGACCCACCUCGCACUCGAGUGCUCCGAUGACACAUGCAGUGACGAAUCCGAAGCGUACGCCCCGCGUACUGAGCAUUACGCCUAGCGUAAUGCGAGGCUUCAGCCACUAUAAAAGGGCAUGCGAGGGCAGCCAAUCCUUUUGCUCAAUUUCUUUUCUCUCUCUCUUGUUUUCCAUCGUUUUGCGUUCAACUUAUACCCCGAAUCCCCAGUAUCAUUCCCGAGCCCCGAAGCAAGUCCCGAAGCCCCGAAGAUCCCGAGGAGUAGAGUUCCCGAGCCGAAGCUCUACCCGCGAGAAGCCAAUUUUUGUGAAGAUCUUCCAGAUCUAUCAAAGAAUACUACUUCUACAAGUCGUAGUGCUAUCUGUUCAUCUUCUAAUCAAGUGAGUGUGUUGUUACUUUCUUCUAACGCAUAAUUACGAAGUAUUUUAUAUGAAAUACGUGUUAUGUCUAUAUUUUGUGUUGGAUAAGGUGUCUAAGUCCAUAACUAUUUCUGGUAUGUACUUGACCCGACCCGGCAUGGUCCAUUUGGGUUGCAUGGCAUCAUCCAUUUGGAUAGACUAUAUGAGAGAAUUAACACUUGUGGUUUAUUAAUAUAUUAUAAGUUCAAAUAUAUUAAUAGUAUUAUUUAAUUAGUAUUGAUCAAGAAUUAAUCUAGAAUUAAUUAAGUGAUCAAAUGGUGACUAAUUAAAUAUAUGAGUUGAUUAUGUAAAUCCUCCAUAACUUAUAUAGUGGACUAAAGGGCUCCAUUGAUAAUCAAGUUGGGUUUGUUGGAUUAUUGUCUAAGUCCAUAAACUAUUUUGGUAUGUACUUGACCCGAUGGUGUAUGGUCAUUUUGGGUUGCCUUCACCAAAGCAACUUGAUAGGAUGAAUUAUAAAGAGAAAGGAUUAAAUAUGAUUUAUUAAUAUAUUAUGAUAAUACUAUAUUAAAGGAGAAAUCAUAUUGUUUAAUUAAUAUUAGUCAAGAAUUAAUUGAUAAUUAAUUUUGUGACUAAAAGAGAUUAAUUAAACUUAAGGGACUAGAACUGUCAAUUGUAUGAUAGUUGAAUAUUGAGCUAAUGGACUCCAUAUUAAAGGAGUGGAUGAAUUCUAUGGGGAAACCCAUUAGAAAUCGUCCUAGGCCUUUAAGGAAGGAGCCCAUGGGUUACUUAGGGCUUAAGCAUCCAAAUUAGGGUUUCCUUGUUAGAUAACCCUAAUAGCCUCACUAUUUAAGGACCCUUUGGGCACCAAAAACGUAGGCAACUGAAUCCUAGGGGUUUCUACACGUUUUUGGGUGUUUCUUCUCUUCUCCUAUUCAUCCUCUUGCUCUUGGUGUUUGUGAACCAUUAGAGGAGUGACAUUUGUGACUCUAAGCUUUCUAAAGUCAUUACAAAGGAGGAUUUGAGAUUGUUAUUGCUACAUAACAAUCAAGGUAUGAUCUAAACCCUAAUUCAUAUCUUAUACUGAUUAUCAUAUACUAGAUCCAAGCAUUAGGGUUUGUAUGAGCACAUAGGAUGUUCUUAUAGCUAAAACCCAUCAGUGGUAUCAGAGCCUUGAUUGGUUUCUAUUGUAUUGAUGCCUUGUUAAUUUGUUCAUGCUUGAAAAAUUCGAUUUUGUGAGUCUGCCUAAUGAACUCGGCGAGUCCCAUUGUGGACUCGGCGAGUAGGCCCCUACUCGGCGGGUCCAUAGGGGUACUCGGCGAGUUCGAGCGUCAGAAAGAGGGGACUUCGAGAUUUCUUGCUGAUUUACUCAUGGAUACUUGCCUUAUCUGUUUUAGAUCAUUAAAAUCCGAUUUUAAACAUAUUUAUGAGUAUAUCCUUGAUUAAACAAAAGAUAAUUACCAAUUGAUUAGAUAAUAACUUCCUUAUAUGAUAAAGUUUGAUUAUUUGUAUUAAUUGGGUAACUUAUUUUGCAAGAAAUUGAAAUUAGGUCAAAUAUAGAUAAUGAUGAGAUUAAUUGUUUAAUUUAUAUUAUUUGUUAUUUGAUCCUUGUGUUAUGAAAAGUUUCAAUUUUCCCCUUUAGGUUUUAUAGUUUAAAUUUGAACUCAAAAGUUUNUAGGGUUUCAUGUACACCACAGGAACGAUGUUUCAUAAACUUGACGAGUUCCAUAGACUCGAUGAGUUAAGUGUCCUGGUGCCGGGAUUUUCGAUUUUCUGGCCAAAUUUUAAUGAGGAUAACUGUGAAAACUCGUUUUUCUUUCCUAAAUUCAAAUCUUUAAGAUCGGUAUGGAUAUCCUUAUCAGAUUUGGUGGAUUUAGUUAAAUAUGGAUGAUAUAGGAUUAUUUUGAUUCAAAUAUUUAACCUAGUAAGUUUGAAAAGUUUCAAAUUACACCCUUUAGGUUUUAUAGUUUAAAUUUGAACUUAAAAGUUUUAGUUUUGAAAUUUAAAUAGUUAAACCCUAAUAUUUUGAAAAGUUUUAAAAUUUGUCCUUAAAUUUUGGAAUUUAAAAUUUAAUUAAAAGGUAUUACUUUUGCAAUAUUAAUUUCUAAAACCCUAGUGUUUUGAAAAGUUCAUAUUACACCCUUAUGGUUUUAUUAAAUUAAUUAAGUGCUUAAUUAAGAGAGAGAAUUAAUAAAUCCAUAACAAUAUGGUUUAAGAUUAAUCAAAUUAAAAGUGUAAUUUAUUAAUAGAUUAAACCACCUAAUAUUUUUAAAGUGUAAAAUACACCAUUAUACUAUAUAUAAAAUUAAAAGUCUAAUAUAUUAUAUAUGUAUAAGUAAAGAGUCUGUCUUAUCGUUAGUAAGCCUUAUUCACGAAGUUGGUCUUUAAGGGGUGUUUAAGGAAGCGGCAUGUAAAAUGACCGUCAUUGGAUAUCCACUCUUACCCACCGCACCAUUAACUAGUGGAGGGUCAUUAGCCGAAUGGGUAGGAUAGGACAUAACCUUCCAUUAUAAGUAUAAUGAAAUACGAAGUAACUAAACGUUUAUAUAAAUUCUCAAAUCUUAGUUACUGUAGGAAAAAUGUGAAUUUGGUGCUAAUCCAUGAAAUUGCACAUUGCACCUUGUUGGUCGUUAGUGGAGCGUGUGUGGUUAACAGAACACUAAUAUGGGACCAAUGAAGGAUGGCAAUGGGUUUCUCGUAAUAUUAUCAUUGAUCAAUGGAGCGUGUGUGGUUAACCGGCACAUUGAUUGGGUGGUGAUCGACAUCGAGAGUAUCAAGCUAAUUUGCAUGGUUAUUCACACCUUGUUUGUGAUCCUCGGCGUCCCAGUCACAAACUUGAAAGGCAUAAUCGAGAUUAAACAUGCCAUUGAAAAGUUUAAUGAAUCUCAAAAGAUCUAGGGCUUUCAAUUCAUUAAUAACCUAAUUUUCAUUUUUGUUUUUCAUGGUGGAAAUUGGUAAAUCGUCAUUUACCUACCUUCAAAUAUUUUGCGACUGGAUUACGGCAUCCCUCUUCCGAAUUGUAGAAUAUUGUGUUGGAUCCUAGCCUUAAUAUUCCCUUUGGGUGUUAUAUUAAGGAUUGAAUCAACUAACUUGAACUUCUCCCAUUUUGUAGAUGUCUAAAUCUAACAACUAUGGUAUUCCACAAUCCUUUGGAAAAAGUCUUCCACAUGAAGAUGAUGUUCCACGAUUCGAUCGAGGAACAAGAGAUCAUGCUUCACUUCAUCCUCCUCCUCCCGUUGUUCUCCCUAACCCACAAGAUCGAAGAAUUGAAAGGUUCAAUGUCACUAAAGCCCUAUUGGAAAUGAAACAUGAAGAUAAUGUUGGGUGCGUCAUUCCCCGAUAAGUUGGCUGUGAACUGGGUUCUGCAGUCGCUCCCUGAAUCAUAUAAUGAGUUCAAGAGAAUGUAUUAUAUGAUGGAUCAUGACGAUAACCUCAUUGACCUAACUUACAUGCUCAUUGCUGCUGAAUCAGAAAUAAUUUGGCAAAGCAAUGGAGCGGUUUUGUUGGGAAAGUCAACCAACCAUGCUUUCGAGGACGUUCUAGGAGAACCGACCUGCGUUUGCUGCCAAGAGAAAGGGCGUUGGAUACAAGUUUGCCCUAAGAGCCUGAAGAAUCCAAAAGAUGGGAGAGUCAAAGAGUAUGGUUGUGCUUCAGGUAAAAAUCCACUAUCUAACUCCAUUAAGUUCUUAUUCGUUGAUUCUUAAUACAUGAUGUGAUAAGAUUGCAUUUGAAUGUUUUGCAGGAUCAGUGAAAAGAGAGGAAGCUUGAUGGAAAAGCAAGAUAAGUCUAAUCACAAAGAAAUGGAUCUCGAUCGCAUGGACUUGAAGAUUAGAUUUUGAGCUUAGAAAGUUAUGAUAGAGUUGUUAGGAAUAUUAGACUACAUAGUUUUUCAGUUAAUUUUGCAUUGUAAGGAAAAAUGUUUUCCGCUGCUUUUAUGAAUAAAAUAAAUUUUGAUUUGACUCAUUUAUUUAUUUAUUUCCUUGCAAUGAAAUCGUUAUGAAAAAUUGAUGUUUGCAUAUUUCUACAACGAAUGGAUGUGAUUCUUAAUUAUGUUAAUUAUGGAAAGGUCAAGAAUUUACCAAAUAGGAAAAGUUUCUCAUCGCCCAAGUUUCAAUUGGAUAGAGACUUGGGUCAUGCAACUUGGUUGCACGAUGAAUGAGAAAUUUCAUAUGUGGAAAUAAGACUAAUUCGUUGACAAAGUGUCAAGUGAAGAACUAGGAGAUCGAGUACACAAAGUUGUGUGUUGAUCAAGUCCACCGCAAGAGUAACGAAGAUAUUCGUCAUGAUUUACUAGAGGUUUAGUAAAAAUGAUUAUACUUAUAAGAUUAAGUGUAAUUCUGAAUUGAUUGAAAAAGGUUUAAAUCAAUAGCAUAACGAAUAAGAAGAAUCAAGUAGACAGAAAGAUAAAAGUCUCUCUAUUCUAAGAAGAAGGGAGAGUAUCUUUAUGCUUUAUGAUAUGUCUUAAUGAUUAAGAACCAUAUCUCAAUUGAUCCUCUAAGUAAGUCUUAGUACAAUUGUAUGUCUGAGAAGAGGAAUCAAGAAUUAAAGAAAUGGUUAAAAUCAAGAAGUCAAUCGUAUUUCGUUCCAAACAAGUCUUAGAGUUAAGAUUGUGACAUAGAGUGACAAGUAUUAGGAAGGUUUAUGACAAUCAUCAAAUGUAGAAUUUGGAAAAGGGUUUUCUUAUUCUUGCACAUUUGAAAUUCGUAAGUUGUGAUGUCUUGGAUUAGACAAAGACCAACGAGGACCAAUUUGUGAAGUGUUUUGUCUUGAUAAAAGCUACACUAACUCUUGAAUAUUUGGUUGUCGAGAAAUGUUUAUUGACAAGAGAAUCUUAUAUGUCAAGGAGUCAGUGGGAGUCUUAAUGGUCUUGAAAAGGUUUCAAUAACAAAUCAAAAUAAACCUUAUCAAUCAUCACUAGCACACGAGUUGAGGUUUACAACCUAUCGUGUUGACAUUAUCUUGUUUCUGUGCCGUUCCAAUCGAGUUAAUUAUGCAUGUGAGUUCUAUGAGUUCUCAUUUGAAUGCAUAAAAGGCAAGGACCUUGAUCAAUGGAAAGUACAUUGAUAGGAAAGGGUGAGCUGCUUAACUACUUGGAAGACAUGGUGGGCAGCCGUGUUACCAUAAGGCAAGAAAUCAAGAUUAAGAGUUCGGUCCAUAUAAGUUUGAAUUUGUCAUAAACUUUGGUUUUAACAAAUUCACAUGGAUAGGAACACAUACACUAUUAAAAUCUAAGUGUCAUAAGAUUCCCUCCUUCAUGGAAAUGACUGUGAGGUAAUGCUUUCACUAAAAGAGAUUUUAAGAAGAUAGUAAUUGUGAAAAUUGGAUUCUCGAAUUCGAUUAUGGUUACAGUAUCCCUUUCCAUGAUUCGAAUUGUAAGAUUUGGCAAUUAGUCUGAAUUGUUUAGACACACAUAUGAGCUAUCUAAGGGAAAGGUGUAUAAGCUUAGAUAAAGGAUUAUCAAAGCAUUAGUUAUUAGAAACAUGAACUUAAGAAAUUCAAUAGGUAUUGUUCUUCUGAAAGUUAAGUUGUUUCUAAAUACAUGUCAAAGCUAGUGGGAGCAUAAGUGUUAUGUUUAUAAUAAUCAUCAUGAUAGUGGGAGCAUAAAUGUUAUGAUUAUGUGAUUAUUAAGGCAAGUAUUGCAAGUUAGCAAUAUUAAUUAUAGAAAACAAGAGUUAUACUUUGCAAAGUCACAAUGGUUAAAAGGUUGUUUUGCUAUAAUUAAGGGAGAGAAUAUUAUGCUUCAUUUCAAAACUAAAGGCUUAGGUUGUGGAAUGUUAAUUAUUUUAGUCAAGGAUACAUAGUAUUCUUAAAUUUCGAUUAUGAUUACGACAUUUCUCUUCAUAGUUCGAAUUGUGAGAACAUAGCACAUAAAAUAUUAUGGCAGAAGACUGAUAAAGUAUCAAAUCUUUAUGCAUCGUGUCCCAUGCGCUUCGGGUAUAGGAUCGAUUGCAAAUGCUAUAAUAUUUGACCAUUCCAAAAUUUUCCAAAUGUCUAGCGCAUUUAGAGGGAAAAGGACAAGAAUAGGUUUUGACUAAGAUAAUUAAACAACUAUCAAAGGACAAUCCAAAGUUCGCCAAGGAUUGGUCACUUAUGAGUAGUUGGAAGUAUAGUAUUGAAUAGACCAUAUCGACAUUAUUAUGAAUAGAAAAGAUUCUAUUAAGAAUGAGUUGUCAUAUGGAAAAUAUGGAAACGUUUCCAUAUUGGGAGUCGGAUAUUGAGAAUCUAUGUCUAGAUUAGAAAUUUUAUGCAAAAGGAUGUUCAAAGGAAUGUCCUUUGAGUGAGAGACAUCACAUCUAAGGAAUUGUCUUGUAACAAUCUCCAAUAGACAGCUUUGUAAUUCAUUGGCAAUAGUCAUUGUGACUUUGGUGCAGUGACAUUAUGAAAGGAUGAUUGCAUAAAAUAUUAGAAUCUAACAUAUUCCAUAAGUGGCAAGAAUUUGAUAUUCUUUCACUUGUGAAAAGGAUUGGGAGUUAUGAAAUGAUUAUGAUUGGAAAUGUGUUCAUUUGAUCUAUUUCACAAAGUAAGAACCAUAGAUAAACACUGUGUGCAUGCUAAGAGCAUGGGACAAGUGUUGUAAUAAUUUAAGUAAGAAGUUUAUUACCCGAAACAAGAAAUAAUGAGUAAUCGAUAUGGUGAUAAUAAAAGGUGUUUUAUUUAUACUCAAGGUUUGAGGCCAUAUGGGACUAGUAUUAUUCUUGUGUUUCACUUUGCAUGUUUUGACUUCCUAAAUAAUUUAAAUUGGUUUAGAACAGUUAAAUUAUUCGAACGGGCCCUAGUCGUUCAUAUGUUGGAAGUAGGUAUGAAUGAAGACUGUCAUGAAUUGGUGUGUGGAUUGUCUAAAGAGCAUUAGACAUAAGCAAAUGUUUGCUGCAACGUUCAUGAGUGCUUAUAAAUAUGAUUUGAGCAUUGCAUUAAACCCACGCUCACUUGGAUCACUUCAUGGAUUUUAUCACGAGUGAUUGGUGAGACGAUAAUAUCUUAUAUUCUUGAAACCGAGAUGUGUGAGUUGUAUCUUGCGAGUUGGUUGCACAUUGAUAAUACGUAAACGCACCAGUAACUUGGUGUUAUAAAACAUAUUGUUGUGUGUGAUUCGGUGAGUAAGUGCAAUCGAACAUUGAGUCAAAGUUUAUCCGUUCCUUUUAUCAAAAGUAGGAUAAAAACGAUUUCUGUGGGCCCCUCGAUUAUUUAGUGAUGGCACCUAAGCGCUUGGCCAAGCCGGGACUAAAUUGAUGUGUUCAAUUGUAGUCUAUUGUUAGUCGUCAUAAAUCUGAAUUCGGGAAACAACACAUAGACAGAGAGAAUGUUUUAGAUCCAUGUCUCAGUCUAUACGAUAUCUAGAAUGGAGGAAUAUAUGAUCCCUUAUCUAAAGGAUACGCGAAUAUGAUAAGAUCAGAGUUGACAGCGGCUUUAGAAAGCUACGAUUGCAGAUCAGGAUCUGAAGUCAUACGCAUAAUAGUUAUUAGACUUAUCCAAGUGGGAGACUGUUGGAUUAGUGUCUAAGUCCAUAAACUAUUUUGGUAUGUACUUGACCCGAUGGUGUAUGGUCCUUUUGGGUUGUCUUCACCAAAGCAACUUGAUAGGAUGAAUUAUAGAGAGAAAGGAUUAAAUAUGAUUUAUUAAUAUAAUAUGAGAAUAAUAUAUUAAAGGAGAAAUCAUAUUGUUUCAUUAAUAUUAGUCAAGAAUUAAUUGAUAAUUAAUUUUAUGACUAAAAGAGAUUAAUUAAACUUAAGGGACUAGAACUGUCAAUUGUAUGAUAGGUGAAUAUUGAGCUAAUGGACUCCAUAUUAAAGGAGUAGACAAAUUCUAUGGGGAAACCCAUUAGAAAUCGUCCUAGGCCUUUAAGGAAGGAGCCCAUGGGUUGCUUAGGGCUUAAGCAUCCAAAUUAGGUUUUCCUUGUUAGAUAACCCUAAUAGCCUCACUAUUUAAGGACCCCUUGGGCACCAAAAACGUGGGCAACUGACUCCUAGGGGUUUCUACACAUUUUUGGGUGUUUCUUCUCUUCUCCUAUUCAUCCUCUUGCUCUUGGUGUUUGUGAACCAUUAGAGGAGUGACAUUUGUGACUCUAAGCUUUCUAAAGUCAUUAUAAAGGAGGAUUUGAGAUUGUUAUUGCUACAUAACAAUCAAGGUAUGAUGUAAACCCUAAUUCAUAUGUUAUAUUGAUUAUCAUAUACUAGAUAUAGGGUUUAUAGUCUUGGAUGAGUUGCAUGUACAAUAGAGAAACCUAGAUCCAAGCAUUAGGGUUUUUAUGAGCACAUAGGAUGUUUUUAUAGCUAAAACCCAUCAGGGUUAAACCCAUUGGAUGCUCCAUGGAGGCUCCAUGGGAGUUACAAACCCAUGGGUAAUGGAAAUGAAGAGUCAUGUCACAUUAGGGUUUACAUGGCGUAACCCUAGAUGUGACACACUAUAUAAAGAACAUCAUACUCCCUAAAAUCGGCUACACAUAGUGACAAGAGGGCUUGCCUGAUUUUUUGAGUGUUACACGUUCUCUCAAAGUUGUUCCAAAGCAUUUGGUGUUGUAUGAAGCAUUUGAGGAAUCACACUUAGGGUGCUAGGCUCUCAAGGUUUCAAGGAAUCAUAACAACAACAAGGUAUGUGUUUCUAGCUAUCUUUUAUAUUAUAAAGUUCCCCAUGUAUGCUAGAUAGGUUUAUGAACCUUGGAAAAAAGUAAUUUGCAUGUAUCUUAUACAAACAUAGAUCCAAGGUUCUCUAGGGUUGCAUGUACACUUAGGAGUGUUAGAAUUGCUCAAAACCCUUCGAUGGUAUCAGAGACUAGGCUUGCUUGUUUGAUAUUUGAUGCAAAAUAGUGAAAAAAGUCGAUUUUUUGUUGUCUGCCUGCUGAAAUCGCCAAGUCCAUGGGGGGACUUGCCGAGUUCAUGUGUAAAAUCAUCCUACUCGUCGAGUAGGUUCAUGCACUCGACGAGUAGGAGCCUCAGAAUGCAGUUUUUUGACUUUUGCUGCUGGAAAUGGACUAGAAACGUUACCCUAAACUGUUUGGGUGUUAUUAAACAUGUUUUAGAUGGUGUAAUGGUUGUUCUAAUCCAUUUAUAAUGACUAAUAUCAAAAUUCCAUGAUUUUAUGUUUUCUUGAAAAUUUGAUAUUCAUAUUCAUGUUCUUAUGAGUUUAGAUGAUCAUAGGAAUUAUGUGUAACUUCUUGAUAGUUUUAAUUCUUAAUCAUUAUGUGUUUUAAUGGAAUCCAUAAUUUGUCCUCAAGUUAUGAAUUACCAAAAGUUUUAUCUUUGAAUGUCCAUUGAAGAAACACAUAGGUUACAUAAAAUGAAGAUUUACUCAUUUUAAUGAACCAAUUAAUCUCAUAAGUUAUGGAUUGAAGAGUUUUGUUAAGUUACAAAACUUUCCCUCAAAUUUUGGAACUUGUAAAGUCACCUAAUUAACUUUAGUUCCAACCCCUAGAAUUUAAAAUGUUAAAAUUCAACACUUAUACUUUAUAAUAUUAUAAGUUUAAUAUAUAUAUAUAUAUAUAUAUAUAUNNNNNNNNNNNNNNNNNNNNNNNNNNNNNNNNNNNNNNNNNNNNNNNNNNNNNNNNNNNNNNNNNNNNNNNNNNNNNNNNNNNNNNNNNNNNNNNNNNNNNNNNNNNNNNNNNNNNNNNNNNNNNNNNNNNNNNNNNNNNNNNNNNNNNNNNNNNNNNNNNNNNNNNNNNNNNNNNNNNNNNNNNNNNNNNNNNNNNNNNNNNNNNNNNNNNNNNNNNNNNNNNNNNNNNNNNNNNNNNNNNNNNNNNNNNNNNNNNNNNNNNNNNNNNNNNNNNNNNNNNNNNNNNNNNNNNNNNNNNNNNNNNNNNNNNNNNNNNNNNNNNNNNNNNNNNNNNNNNNNNNNNNNNNNNNNNNNNNNNNNNNNNNNNNNNNNNNNNNNNNNNNNNNNNNNNNNNNNNNNNNNNNNNNNNNNNNNNNNNNNNNNNNNNNNNNNNNNNNNNNNNNNNNNNNNNNNNNNNNNNNNNNNNNNNNNNNNNNNNNNNNNNNNNNNNNNNNNNNNNNNNNNNNNNNNNNNNNNNNNNNNNNNNNNNNNNNNNNNNNNNNNNNNNNNNNNNNNNNNNNNNNNNNNNNNNNNNNNNNNNNNNNNNNNNNNNNNNNNNNNNNNNNNNNNNNNNNNNNNNNNNNNNNNNNNNNNNNNNNNNNNNNNNNNNNNNNNNNNNNNNNNNNNNNNNNNNNNNNNNNNNNNNNNNNNNNNNNNNNNNNNNNNNNNNNNNNNNNNNNNNNNNNNNNNNNNNNNNNNNNNNNNNNNNNNNNNNNNNNNNNNNNNNNNNNNNNNNNNNNNNNNNNNNNNNNNNNNNNNNNNNNNNNNNNNNNNNNNNNNNNNNNNNNNNNNNNNNNNNNNNNNNNNNNNNNNNNNNNNNNNNNNNNNNNNNNNNNNNNNNNNNNNNNNNNNNNNNNNNNNNNNNNNNNNNNNNNNNNNNNNNNNNNNNNNNNNNNNNNNNNNNNNNNNNNNNNNNNNNNNNNNNNNNNNNNNNNNNNNNNNNNNNNNNNNNNNNNNNNNNNNNNNNNNNNNNNNNNNNNNNNNNNNNNNNNNNNNNNNNCUCCUGGAAGAAUCGCGGGGCCACCCCGACUCAACUCGCCGAGUCUGAAGAACAACUCGACGAGUCCCAGUUAAUCUUCAAGCUACUCGCCGAGUCUGUUCAUCGGACUCGGCGAGUCCAUGCCAUGCAACCGCUCAAACUGCUUUCUAAGGUCAGAACUGCUCCGACCAUUCAUAGGUCUGGCCUUCCUAGACUGAUUCAUCACGUAAGGUCCUCAUUUCGGUGCUCAUAAUACACCCCAUGACUCAUAAUUUACAUUUUGACCUAAGGCAUAAGGAUUCCAAUCCAAAACCUCCAUUGAUUCCUGAAAUGCUCAGGCAUGGGACAUUCUGGACUUCCAAAGAUCUCAAUACAGGGUUCCAAUCGUUUGGGGGACUAAAGUAACACUCAAUCUAGCCACAAAAGGGUUCAAUAAAUCCUAAAUCCAUAUACACAUCAACAUAGAAGAAUGUAACUCGAAAUAUUACCUGAAUAACGUGCUCUCUGUGUCCCCAAUCCACAGAACGUGGCUCUUCCUGUUGUUCCCUUAACCAAGCCUCUUCUUCCUUGCAAAACCACACUUCCAAAAUCAACAAUGGUCUUCAACCUUGCUCCAGACGCUCACAAUCGAAUUAGGGUUUCUCUCAGAGGACUAGGGUGAACAAUGACGGCCAUAAAGUCCCUCAUAUACGUCCCAAACCUGAACGGUUAGGGUUUUCGCUAAAUAGCGCAGACUCGCCGAGUCCAUAUCCGGACUCGUCGAGUCCAGUCGCGAACCCGCAACCAGAUCCGCGAUCCUACUCGGCGAGUCUAGGCUCCAACUCGCCGAGUCCCCUCUUAAAACACCCAAAAUCAUAAAUAUAACAAUACCUGAAAUUCCAGGCUGUUACAGUAAUCGGGUUAUUGUUGGUUGGUAAAAGUAAAUACAAUUAUUUAUUGCGGGUUGAAAACACUAUAUGCUCACCAGGCUCCCAAGCCUGACCCACUCAGUUUAUUUGUAUUACAGGUAGUGGCGCGAGGGCAUAAGAUGGACGAAUCAUCAAGUUAUUUUGUUUAUUAGACCAGUUGUUAUAUGUAACUAUUGUAUGGUCUAUCUUUUGUUGUUUAUGCUUUUGUGUCUGUAUCGGAACAUGACAUCUCGAGUUUUGAUUUUAUAGUGAAAAUACAUUUCUUUAUGAAAUGCUUUGGUAAAUAUUAUUUUAUCAUACUUUGUUUUUGGGAACAAAUUUCGCAACUCUUUUAAAUCAAAAGGAUUUACUCUUAAAUUAUUUUAAAAAGCAUAAAUGAAACUGGUCUUUUAUGGCCGUGAUUUUGGGGAUGUCACAGUGGGUAUCAGAGCAUUAGUUUAAGCGAACUAGGAAUUUGUAAGAUUUCUAGACUUAAACUUAGAAUGCUAAGUGGAGAUUGUGAGAAGUGUGUCUGUUAUAUUAUGGACACGAGCACUAGUAUAUUUUAGGAAGUUGCCUAAAAUGCUCUUAGGUGCUAAAUGUUAUAUGUUGCCAUAUAUGAUAUUAUUUGUUUGGAUCUAUGGUCUGUUGCCGACCGGAUCAUGAAACCUUAUGUGUGUAGGAUUCUAAGCAUACGUCUACGACAUUAGAACUAGCAUGUAAACGUUUCGGAGUGAUAUGGAAGAUCGUAAUAUCUAUCAUGAAUAAAGAUCUAAAUUUCACCUUAUUCGGUGUAUUGAUCAAGAAUGGCAAGAACAAGAAGCAGUGAUGGAAAUGCAAACAAGAACAGGAAUCAACCGCCUCUAAUUGAACAAGUAAUUGUUGAAACUGCUGCACCAGAGCAAAUCACUCUGGCUGGGGUGCAAGCCAUGAUUCGGGCUAUGUUAGCCGAACAAAAGGAAGAAAUGCGACAGAUGUUGCAUGAAAAUAGGGACGAACCAAUCAUACCCAUUGAGGAACCCAAACUGAUUCCCGAACAAUCGGAGGAAGGAAACAAUAGUCGCGUUGUGAGUCAAGUUGGGAGUCAAGGAGAACGAAGGAACGACCCGGAAAGGGGAAACAAAAAGGAUGGGAGAAUGUAUAAGAAUUUCUUGGGCGCCAAGCCGCCAAGUCUUUCUGGGAACCUAAAGCCCAUUGAGAUUAUGGAUUAGAUCUCCGAAAUGAAGAUGGUAUUUGAAAGUUGCGACUGUAUCAACAAACAGAAGACUGUCUUUGCAGUUAGACAACUGAAGACCGGAGUCUUGAGCUGGUGGAAGUUGUUGGCAGAUAUUAUGUCAUGAGGAGAAGCCCUGAAAAUGUCAUGAGAGGAGUUCUUAGAACAACUAAGGGCGCAGUAGUGUUCAGAGAUAGAUCUGAUUGAUCUGAACAAUGAGUUCCAAAACUUAAAGAAGGGGAGGAUGAGCAUAAAUGACUAUGCUAUCGCAUUCACUGAUAAAAUGAGGUUAUUUCCAUACCUAGUGCGAAUGAAACUCUCCAAGAUUGAGAGGUUCGCUAAUGGACUACCUUCCGACUUUUGCCCGAUAGUCAAGAUGGCAACUACUCUAAAAAUAGUUGUUUGUGCGGCUAAGAAUGUGGAGACCCAGCAGAAGGAAAAGGGUCUGGAAAGAAUAGAGGUUGGUGAGAAAAGGAAGUUGGAUGGACCUUUAGGGUCCAACAAGAAAAUCAAGUUUUCGAAGUCUAGUUCGAGAGGAGGAGGAGGAAGAGAAGCCAAAUGGUACGACAAAUGUAAGAAGAAGCAUCAUGGAAAAUGUGAAGUAGUAGCCACAUGUUUUAAAUGUGGAAAGCCAGGGCACUAUGCCAAUGAAUGCACUCUCACCAAGAAAGUUUGUUAUGGCUAUGGUGAGGAGGGGCACAUCUCGAGAGAUUGUUCGAAGAAGAAGGAGGCAUCAAAACCCAAUAUUCCCCCAAAGCCGAAGGCGAGAGCAUUCCAGAUGACACUGGAAGCUGCAAAAUAUGAAGCUGAUGUCGCUUCAGGUACCUUUCUCGUAAACAAAUUGCAUGCCCAAAUUUUAUUUGAUUCUGGAGCCAACUACUCCUUUAUUUCGCAUGAAUUUGGUAGAAACUAGCUUCUCCUGUCGAUAGACUAGAUAAUGCUUUAUUAGUCGAAGUUGCUAGUAGCAAAUUUCUACCUAUUAGCCAUCGUAUGAAAAACAUCUUAAUUCACUUGAAUGGGAAUAAGUUCCAUGAGGAAUUAUUGCCUAUCGAACUAAACAAUUUCGACAUCGUGCUGGGAAUGGAUUGGCUUAGCGCCAAUGACGCCGAAAUAUUGUGCAAGAAGAAGAUUGUAAAGGUAAAUCCGCCAGGNGCAAGAAGAAGAUAGUAAAAGUAAACCCACCAGUGAAAGAGUCAUUUAUGGUGUAUGGGGACAAACGCAGAGUAAAUUCUAGAAUCAUUUAUCUAAUGAAAGCCAGAAAGUGUUUGGCCAAAGGAUGUACAUCAUAUUUGGCAUUUGUGAUAGAUUCUAAGAAGGAGAAAAAGGUGAUGCAAAGCAUUCCUAUCGUAUGUGAUUAUCGGGAAGUAUUUCCCAAAGAUCUUCCCGGAUUACCGCCUGAUAGAAAUUUGGAGUUCAUAAUAGACUUGUUACCAGGGACGACGCCUAUAGCAAAAGCACCUAAUCGAUUAGCACCAUCAGAGAUGAAGGAGCUAAUGAUGCAACUUCAGGAGUUAUUGGGCAAAGGUUUAAUUAGACCUAGUUUAUCACCCUGGGGAGCUCCGAUGUUAUUCGUGAAGAAGAAAGAUGGAAGUAUGAGAAUGUGCAUCGAUUAUAGAGAGCUGAACAAGGCAACAAUAAAGAAUAGAUAUCCGUUGCUGAGGAUUGAUGACUUGUUCGAUCAACUACAAGGUUCAAGUUAUUUUUCAAAGAUCGACCAAAGGUCAAGAUAUCAUCAGCUGAAGGUGAAAGAGCAGAUAUAGAGAAGACUGCAUUCAGAACACGAUAUGGACACUAAGAGUUUUUGGUUAUAUCAUUUGGACUAACCAAUGCUCCAGCAUCAUUCAUGGAUUUAAUGAUCAUGGUUUGUAAUCCGUUCCUAGAUAAAUCUGUGAUAGUGUUCAUAGAUGACAUUCUGAUUUAUUUGAAAAGCGAAGAGGAGCAUGGCAUACACUUGCGAGAAGUGUUAGAAGUCUUGAAGAAGGAGAAGUUGUAUACAAAUUUCUCCAAAUGUGAUUUCUGGAUUCGAGAAGUCCAAUUCUUGGGUCACGUGAUCAACUAAAAAGGGAUAAUGGUUGAUCCAGCAAAGAUUGAAGCUGUAAUGAAGUGGGAACAACCGAAAAGUCCCACGGAGAUCCGAAGCUUUUUAGGAUUAGCCAGAUAUUACCGAAGGUUUAUCCAAGGCUUUUCUACGAUCGCUACUCCAUUAACAGCGUUCACCCACAAAGGAGUUACUUAUGCUUGGAAUGAUAAGCAUAAAGAAGAAUUCGAGAGGCUAAAGAAGAAGCUAUAUGAGGCAGCGAUUCUUUCUCUACCCGAUGGAGUUGAAGACUUCGCUGUUUAUAGCAAUGCGUCUGGUGUUGGCUUGGGUUGUGUUUUAACCCAAAGGGAAAAGGUGAUCGCAUAUGCAUCUCGACAGUUGAAGGAGCAUGAAAAGAACUACCCGACUCAUGAUUUGGAGUUGGAAACGGUAGUUUUCGCUCUGAGAAUAUGGAGGCAUUACCUCUAUGGCACGAAGUGCAACUUUUCACUGAUCAUAAGAGUCUCCAAUAUCUCUUUAGUCAGAAAUAAUUAAAUAUGAGGCAAUGAAGUUGGCUUGAAUUACUUAAGGAUGUACGACUGCGAGAUACUUUACCACCCUGGUAAGGCUAAUGUUGUUGCUGAUGUUCUCAGUCGGGAAGUCAAUCUUGAAAGAAAAAGGCCAAGAGCGUUGAGAAUAGAAGUUGUCUCAACAAUUGUGGAGAGUAUAAAGAAAGCUAAAGAGGAAGCUUUUGUGAAGAAUGAUCGAAAAGAAGAACUUUAGGGAAAAAUGUUGGUGUUCGGUAUAAACAGUCAUGGACUGAAGGUGUUCCAAGAUCGGAUUUGGAUACCUAAGACAAGAGGAGUCAGAGAUCUUAUGAUGGAAGAAGCUCAUAAGUCCAUGUACUCAAUUCAUCCCGGUAGUACUAAAAUGUAUAGGGACCUAAAACCCUACUACUGGCGGCCGACGAUGAAGCUUGAUGUUGAAAAGUAUGUAGCCGUGUGUGUGACUUGUGUGAGAGUCAAGACACAACAUCAGAAACCGUAUGGGAGUUUAGAACCUUUGCCUGUGCCUAUGGGUAAGUGGGAAGACAUUGCUAUGGAUUUUAUCACUAAACUGCCCAGAACGAAAAGUGGUCACAACAUGAUUUGGGUGAUCGUUGAUCGAUUCACUAAGAGUGCGCAUUUCAUAGCAUCCAAUGAGAAAUGGUCUAUGGAAAAGCGUGCGAAUUCUUUUGUGAAGGAAGUUGUGAGGCUUCACGGUGUUCCGUUAACGAUUGUGUCAUAUCGUGAUAGCCAUUUCACCUCGCGAUUUUGGAGAAGUCUACAAGAGGAAUUGGGUAGCAAGUUGUGUUUGAGUACAUCUUACCAUCCACAGACUGAUGGUCAGAGCGAACGGACGAUACAAACACUUGAAGAUAUGCUGAGAGCAUCUACCCUAGAAUUCCAAGGUACUUGGGAUGAACAUUUACCUUUGAUGAAAUUUUCCUACAAUAAUAGUUUCCACUAGAGCCUAAAGAUGGCACCUUGUCAAGCUUUGUAUGGACAGAAGUUUCGUACGCCGUCUUAUUGGCUUGAGGCUGGAGAAAAGAAGUUUAUGGGACCCGAGAUGGUUCAUCAAAUUGCUGAAAACCUGAAAAUAAUUUAGGAAAGAAUGUUAGUAGCUCAGGAUCGUCAAAAGUGCUAUGCUGACAAAUAGCGAAGACCGAUGACUUUUGAAGUUGGAAAUUCGGUUUUGCUUAAAGUCUCGCCAUGGAAGGGACUUAUAAGAUUUUGUAAAUGGGCAAAGUUUAGUCCAAGGUUUAUUGGACCUUUUAAAGUUCUUGAGAGGAUUGAGAACCAAGCUUACAAGAAUGAAUUGCCAGAAGAACUGCAUGGUAUUCAUAACACUUUCCAUGUGUGUUAUUUGAGGAAGUUUACUAGAGAACUUCCCGACAUGAUUCCACUUUCGGAGUUGAGAAUCAAUGAGAACAAAAGGUUGAUUGAAGAACCAGAGGCAAUCGUUCACUGAAAGACUAAGAAGUUGGGACGCAAGAUGGUCGAGUUUGUGCUUGUCCGAUGGAAACACACGAAUAGGCCAAAUCUCACCUGGGAGACGGAGAGUGACAUGAUCAGUCACUACCCGCAUUUGUUUGUUGAUGUGUGAUUCCGAGGACGGAAUCAUUCUAAGGUGGAGAGAAAUGUAACACCUGUGUUUCUGGGCUUGUCAUUAAUAUUGAUGUAAUAGUCCAGGUUAACCAUUGUAACCCGUUUCGAAAUAAUAGAAGUGUAUUAUUUGAGUAUUAUGUGUUUUGUGCUUAAUUGUGUGUCUCAAUUGAGUUAAGUAUGAAAAUAAGCGUCAAAAUUAAAUGUUAGAUAAAGCCGAUAUUUAUGUAUAAUGCUCUAGUAGUUGAAACGAGGUUUCCGAAUAUACAUAGAAUGCCGAAAUCCGAGUUAUAAGGAAGAAGUUAUGAUAUGUCGAAGUUUCGCGACAGAAACCGGCACGACGCUGAAUGACGUAAAAAGUGAAUUUACGUUAGAGUGAUACUUAGCCCUAGUGAUCUAAACGAAUGUUGUAGAUUUCGUUAAAUUGAGAGCGUGCAUAAAAAAAUCGCCCAAAUCUGACUUCGUAUGAGGAAGUUAUGAUUUUCCGAAGUUUCAACUUAUCAGUGUGCAGCCCGAAUACUCGAUUUGAGAUCAAGCGGUUUUUAGCCGAAACAAUCUAAACGAGAAUUGAAGAUCUCGUUAAUGGUAGUGCAAUGGUAAAAAGACAGAUGAAAACGGACGUCGGAUGAAGAAGUUAUGAAUUUAUAACGGGGUUUUUCUGUCCCGGCCUACUAAAAAUAAAUAAUAAAAAAAUAAUAUCAAAAUCAGCCGACGGAGUCUAAACGAAAGUUGUAGAGCGUAGUCUCACCUACGCGUGGAUAUAAAGAAAGUCGAAACGGAGUUCAUAUGAAGAAGAUAUGAAUUUCCGAAGUUUUUAAAUGAUUAACAUUUAUUAAUUAAUCUUUAAUUCGGAUGUAUAUCCGAAGGAGACACCGAUCUAGUCCGCACUACGCCCAGCGUAGUUGAGUACGACCAGCGUACACCGAAGUGUGACCCGCCUUACACUCAAGAGCUCCGAUAACGCAUGCAGUGACGAAUCCGAAGUGUACACCCCGCGUACUGAGCAUUACGCCCAGCGUAAUGUGAGGCUUCAGCCUCUAUAAAAGGGCUUGCGAGGGCAGCCAAUGCUUUUGCUCAAUUUAUUUUCUCUCUCUCCCGUUUUGCAUCGUUUUGCAUACAAAUUAUACCCCGAAACCCCGAUAUCAUUCCCGAGCCCCGAAGCAUGUCCUGAAGCCCCGAAGAUCCCGAGGAGUAGUGUUCCCGAGCCGAAGCUCUGCCUGCAAGAAGCCAAUUUUUUUGAAGAUCUUCCAGAUCUACCGAAGAAUACUACUUCUACAAGUCGUAGUGUUGUCCGAUCAUCUUCUGAUCAAGUGAGUAUGUAGUUACUUUCAUCUAAUGCAUAAUUACGAAGUAUUUUAUACGAAAUACGUGUUAUGUGUAUAUUUGUUGUUAUAUGUGUGAAUGUAUAUUCACUUUCUUCUAUCUCGUACAUAUGACUAAUUCUCUAUGAAAUAUGUGUUAUGUGUAUCUGUCUCAUCUGUUGUUUGGAAUAUGUAUUGAAUGAGAAUGUUAUACAGGUUUUAAACUAAGUAUAAAAAUAUAUAUUUUUAUCUACUAAUAUGUUGGGUAGACCAUGGGUAGAUGGUUGAUGUGUGAUAAACAGAUGAGAGGCCUCGAUGUUGCUGUUGAUCUAGUUAUUCAGCGGACUAUGGAUAAUGACCACAGACUCUUUCGAGACAGUCAUGUGGAACGCUGUGACAUCCUCAAAAUCACGGCCAAAAAAGACCGUUUUAAUUUAUGCUUUUAAAAUAAUUUGAGAGUAAAUCCUUUGAUUUAAAAGAGUUGCGGAAUUUGUUCCCAAAACAAAAUAUGAUAAAAUAAAGUUUUUCAAAGCAUUUCAUCAAGAGAUGCAUCUUCAUUAUAUAACAAUAUUCGGGAUGUCAUGUUCCCAUAAACAGACCAAAAAUAUAAACAACAAAAGAUAGAUCAUACAACAGUUACAUAUAACAAUUGGUCUAGUAUCAAAAGAUCUUGAUAAGUCAUCCAACUUAUGCUCUCGCGCCACUACCUAUAAUACAAAUAAACUGAGUGGGUCAGGCUUGGGAGCCUGGUGAGCAUAUAGGGUUUUCAACCCGAAAUAAAUAAUUAUAUUUAAUUUCACCAACCAACAAUAACCCAAUUACCCAUUCCCGUUAUCCUCACUUUACGUCCCUAAAACAACAUCUAUCUCAAGGGAUCUAAUAUAGGAUUUUCAUCGGGACAGACACUGCACAGGGGUUACCUCAAUAGUAGAUGUCCUAAAGGCAACCAUGAGGGGGAUAGAGUACACCGGUGAACACAUCGUUCACAACACCUAGCUAGCGUUCCACAGGACUGUCUAGAAAGAGUCUGUGGUUGUUAUCCAUACUCCGCUGAAUAACUAGAUCAACAACAACAACAUCGAGGCCUCUCAUUUGUUUAUCACACAUCAACUAUCUACCCAUGUUCUACCCAACAUAUUAGUAGAUAAAAAUAUAUAUUUUUAUACAUAGUUUAAAACAUGUAUAGCAUUCUCAUUCAAUACAUAUUCCAAUCAACAGAUGAGACACAUACACAUAGCACGUAUUUCCUAGAGAAUAAAUUAUAUCUCUGAGAUAGAAGAAAGUGAAUAUACAUUCACACAUAUAACAAAAAAUAUACACAUAACACGUAUUUUGUAUAAAAUACUUCAUAAUUAUGCAUUAGAAGAAAGUAACUACACACUCACUUGAUCAGAAGAUGAUCGGACAACACUACAGCUCUAAGAGUAGUAUUCUUCGGUGAAACUGGGUUCACUUCACUCACCAGGCUUCUUGCGGGCAGAGCUUCAGCUCGGAAACUCUUUUCUUCGAGGGAUCUUCGAGCUUCAGGACUUGCUUCGGUUGUCGGGAUGAUACCGGGGCUUCGGGGGUACUUUUUCACGUAAAUCGAGGUAAUAUGAGUGAGAGAGAAGAGAUUUGGCAACCACAAACGGUUGCCCCUUCAAAUCUAUUUAUAGGGCUAUUUUCUCAUUUUCCACGUCGUGGGCACUUCUUCCACGUCGUGAGCUUGGUCGUCAUUGCAUGCGUCAUCGUCCACUUGCUCUGCCAGGCUCCAGAAGGCGUCAGAAGCCAUGCCACGUCGUGGUCUCUGACGGUUUUGGUGUUUCGCACCCCGAACUUCAGAAAUCCAUAACUUUCGCAUACUUACUCCGUUUUCGACGUUCUUUAUAUCGACGUGUAGGUAAAAACAAGAUCUACAACUUUCAUUUAGACUUUGUAUGCUAAUUUUGACUUUAUUUUUAAUAUAUUAAUAAUAUACUAUUGUUAGUAGGCCGGGACAGGAAAACCCCGUUAGAAAUUCAUAACUCCUUCAUCUGACGUCCAUUUUCGACUGUCUUUUCACCGUUGGAGUACAAUCGAUGAGAUCUUUGAUUCUCGUUUAGAUUGUUUCGUCUAAAUAUCGCUCGAUCUCGUAUUCGAACUUCGGGCUAUACACUGCUAAACAAAAACUUCGAAAAAUCAUAACUUCCUCAUACGAAGUCAGAUUUGGGCCUUCUUUUUAUGCACGCUCUCAGUUUAACGAACUCUACAACAUUACUUUAGAUCGCUAAGUCCAAAUAUUUUUCUAAUGUAAACUCACUAUUUACGUCUCGCUGUGUCGUACCGGUUCUGUCGCGAAACUUCGACAAGUCAUAACUUCUUCGUUAUAACUCGGAUUUCGGCAUUCUUUAUAUAUUCAGAAACCUCGUUUCAACUACUACAACAUUAUCCAUAGAUAUUGGGUUGAUCUAACAUUUCAUUUUGACGUUUAUUUUUAUUCUUAAUUAAAUUAAGACAUACAAUUAAGCACAAAAACACAUAAUACUCAAAUAAUACACUUCUAUUAUUUCAAAACGGGUUACAAAGGUUAACCUAGACUAUUAUAUCAACAUUAAUGACAACCCCAGAAACACCGUCAUUACAAUUCUCUCCACCUUAGAAUGAUUCCGUCCCCGGAAUCACACAUCAACAAACAAAUGUGGGUAGCGACUCAUCAUGUCACUCUCCGUCUCCCAAGUGAGAUUUGGCCCAUUCGUGUGUUUCCAUCGGACAAGCACAAACUCAACCACAUUGCGUCGCAACUUCUUAGUCUUUCGGUCAAAGAUUGCCUCUGGUUCUUCAAUCAAUCUUUUGUUCUCAUCGAUUCUCAACUCCAAAAGUGGAAUCAUGUCGGGAACUUCUCUCGUGAACUUCAUCAAAUAACACACAUGGAAAUUUUUAUGAAUUCCAUUCAGUUCUUCUGGUAGUUCGAGCUUGUAAGCUUGGUUCCCAAUCCUCUAAAGAACUUUAAACGGUCCAAUAAACCUUGGACUCAACCUUCCCCUUUUACCAAAUCUUAUAAGUCCCUUCGACGGCGAGACUUUAAGCAAAACCGAAUCUCCAACUUCAAAAGUCAUCGGUCUUCGCUUGUUGUCAGCAUAGCUCUUUUGACGAUCUUGAGCUGCUAACAUUCUCUCCCUAAUUAUUUUCAACUUUUCAGCAGUUUGAUGGACUAUCUCUAGUCCCAUAAACUGCUUUUCUCCAGCCUCAAGCCAACAAGACGGCGUACGACACUUCUUUCCAUACAAAGCUUGAUAAGGUGUCAUCUUUAUGCUCGAGUGGAAACUAUUAUUGUAGGAAAAUUCUACAAAAGGUAAAUGUUCAUUCCAAUUACCUUAGAAUUCCAGGGUACAUGCUCUCAUCAUAUCUUCAAGUGUUUGUAUUGUUCGUUCGCUCUGAGCAUCAGUCUGUGGAUGGUAAGUUGUACUCAAACACAACUUGGUACCCAAUUCCUCUUGUAGACUUCUCCAAAAUCGCGAGGUAAAGCGGCUGUCACGAUCUGACAAAAUCGUUAACGGAACACCGUGAAGCCUCACAACUUCCUUCACAUAAGAAUUCGCACGCUUUUCCAUAGACCAUUUCUCAUUGGAUGCUAUGAAAUACGCACUCUUAGUGAAUCGAUCAACGACCACCCAAAUCAUGUCGUGACCACUUUUCAUUUUGGGCAGUUUAGUGAUAAAAUCCAUAGCAAUGUCUUCCCAAAUACCCAUAGGCACAGGCAAAGGUUCUAAACUCCCGUAUGGUUUCUAAUGUUGUGUCUUGACUCUCGCACAAGUCACACACUUGGAAACAUACUUUGCAACAUUAAGCUUCAUCGUCGGCCAACAGUUGUAGGGUUUCAGGUCCCUAUACAUCUUAGUGUCGCCGGGAUGAAUUAAGUACAUGGUUUUGUAAGCUUCUUCCAUCAGAAUUUCUCUGACUCCUCUUGUCUUAGGUAUCUAAAUCCGAUCUUGGAACACCUUCAGUGCAUGACUGUUUACACCGAACACUAACGUUUUGCCCAAACAUUCUCCCUUUCGGUCAUUCUUCUCAGAAGCUUCCUCUUGAACUUUCUUUAUACUUUCCAUUAUUGUCGAGACAACUUCAAUUCUCAACGCUCUUGGCCUCUUCCUUUCAAGAUUGACUUUCCGACUGAGAGCAUUAGCAACAACAUUUGCUUUGCUGGGGUGGUAAAGUAUCUCACAGUCAUAGUCCUUAAGUAACUCUAGCCAGCGUCGUUGCCUCAUAUUCAAUUCCUUCUGAUUAAAGAGAUAUUGGAGACUCUUAUGAUCAGUGAAAAGUUGGCACUUCGUGCCAUAGAGGUAAUGUCUCCAUAUCUUUAGAGAGAAAACUACCGCCGCCAACUCCAAGUCAUGAGUCGGGUAGUUCUUUUCAUGCUCUUUCAACUGUCGAAAUGCAUAUGCGAACACCUUUUCCCUUUGGUUCAAAAUACAACCCAACCCAACACCUGACGCGUCGCUAUAAAAACAAAGUCUUCAACUCCAUCGAGUAGAGAAUGUAUCGGUGCCUCGCAUAGUUUCUUCUUUAGCUUCUCGAAUGCUUCUUUAUGCUUAUCACUCCAAGCAUAAGUAGCUCCUUUGUGGGUCAAAGCUGUUAAUGGAGUAGCGAUCAAAGAAAAGCCUUGGAUAAACCUUCGGUAAUAUCCGACUAAUCCCAAAAAGCUUCAGAUCUCCGUGGGACUUUUCAGUUGUUCCCAGUUCAUUACAGCUUCAAUCUUUGCUGGAUCAACCAUUAUUCCUUCUUGGUUGAUCACAUGACCCAAGAAUUGGACUUCUCGAAUCCAAAAAUCACAUUUGAAGAACUUAGCAUAUAGCUUCUCCUUAUUCUAGACUUCUAACACUUCUCGCAAGUAUCUACCAUGCGCCUCUUGGCUUUUCGAAUAAAUCAGAAUGUCAUCUACAAACACUAUCACUGAUUUAUCAAGGAACGGAUUAGAAACCCUGAUCGUUAAAUCUACGAAUGUUGUUGGAGAAUUGGUUAGUCCAAACGACAUAACCAAAAACUCAUAGUGUCCGUAUCGUGUUCUGAAUGCAGUCUUCUCUAUAUCCUGCUCUCUUACUUUCAGGUGAUGAUAUCCUGACCUAAGAUCGAUCUUUGAGAAAUAGCUCGAACCUUGUAGUUGAUCAAACAGGUCAUCAAUCCUCGGCAACAUAUAUCUAUUCUUUAUUGUUGCCUUUUUCAGAUCUCUGUAAACGAUGCACAUUCUCAUACUUCCAUCUUUCUUCUUUACGAAUAACACCGGAGCUCCCCAGGGUGAUGAACUAGGUCUAAUGAAACCUUUGUCCAAUAACUCCUGAAGUUGCAUCAUCAGCUCCUUCAUCUCCGUCGGUGCUAAUCGGUAAGGUGCUUUUGCNNNNNNNNNNNNNNNNNNNNNNNNNNNNNNNNNNNNNNNNNNNNNNNNNNNNNNNNNNNNNNNNNNNNNNNNNNNNNNNNNNNNNNNNNNNNNNNNNNNNNNNNNNNNNNNNNNNNNNNNNNNNNNNNNNNNNNNNNNNNNNNNNNNNNNNNNNNNNNNNNNNNNNNNNNNNNNNNNNNNNNNNNNNNNNNNNNNNNNNNNNNNNNNNNNNNNNNNNNNNNNNNNNNNNNNNNNNNNNNNNNNNNNNNNNNNNNNUCUUUCCCAGGUGGGUUUACUUUGACUAUCUUCUUCUUGCACAAUAUCUCAGCAUCAUUGGCGCUAAGCCAAUCCAUUCCAAGCACGAUGUCAAAACCUUUAAGUUCAAUAGGCAAUAAUUUCUCGUGAAACUUAUUCUCAUUCAAAUCAAUUAAGAUGUUUUUCAUACGAUGACUAACAGGUACAAACUUGCCACUAGCAACUUCGACUAAUAAAGCAUUAUCUAGUCUAUCGACAGGCAAAGCUAGUUUUCUACCAAAUUCAUGUGAAAUAAAGGAGUAGUUGGCUCAAGACUCAAAUAAAAUUUGGGCAGGCAAUUCGUUAACGAGAAAGGUACCUGAAGCGACAUCAGCUUCAUCUUUAGCAGCUUCCAGUGUCAUCUGGAAGGCUCUCGCCUUCGGCUUUGGCGGAAUGUUGGGUCUUGCUGCCUCCUUUUUGGGGCAGUCCCUAGACACGUGUCCCUCCUCACCACAACCAUAACAAACUUUCUUGGUGAGAGUGCAUUCGUUGGCAUAGUGCCCUGGCUUUCCACAUUUAAAACAUGUGGCCACUACCUCACAUUUUCCAUGAUGCUUCUUCUUACAUUUGUCGCACCAUUUUGCUUCGCCUCCUCCUCCUCUCGAACUAGACUUCGAGAACUUUUUUUUCUUGUUGGACCUGAAGGUCCUUCGAACUUCCUCUUUUCACCAACCUCUAUCCUUUCCAGACCCUUUUCCUUCUGUUGGGCCUCCACAUUCUUAGCUGCUCGAACAACUUUUUUCAGAGUGGUUGCCAUCUUGACUGUCGGACCUAAUUCGGUAGGUAGUCCAUUAGCAAACCUCUCAAUCUUGGAGAGUUCCGUUGGCACCAGGUACGAAAAUAACUUUAUUUUCUCAGUGAAUGCAGUAGGAUAGUCGUCUACGCUCAUUCUCCCCUUCUUCAAGUUUUGGAAAUCAUUGUUCAAAUCAAUCAGAUCUAUCUUUGAACAGUACUGCACCCUUAGUUGUUCCAAGAAAUCCUCCCAUGACAUUUUCAGGGCUUCUCCUCAUUGCAUAGUAUCUGCCAACAGCUUCCAAAAACUCAAGACACCAGUCUUCAGUUGUCUAAAUGCAAAGACAGUCUUCUUUUUGUUGCUACAGUCGCAACUUUCAAAUACCAUCUCCAUUUCGGAGAUCCAAUCCAUAAUCUCAACAGGCUUCAGGCUUCCAGAAAGACUUGGCGGCUUGGCGCCCAAGAAAUUCUUGUACAUUCGCCCAUCCUUGUUGUUUCUCCUUUCCGGGUCGUUCCUUCGUUCUCCUUGAGUCCCAACUUGACUCAUAAUGCGACUAUUGUUUCCGUCCUCCGAUUGUUUGGGAAUCAGUUCAGGUUCCUCAAUAGGUAUGAUUGGUUCAUCCCUAUUUUCAUGUAACAUUUGUUGCAUUUCUUCCCUUUAUUCGGCUAACAUAGCCUGAACCAUGGCUUGCACCCCAGCCAUUGUUAUUGGUUCUGGUGCUGCUGCUACAACAGGUAUUUGCUCAAUCACUGGUGGUUGAUUCCUGUUUUCAUCUGCAUUUCCAACGCCACUCCUGGUUCUUACCAUUUUUUAUCUACACACCGAAUAAGGUGAAAUUCGAUCCUCAUCCAUGAUAGAUAAUUAAAUCAUCCUUAUCACUCCGAAACAUUUACAUGUUAGUUCUAAUACCGACGUCAUACGCUUAGAAUCUUACACACAUAAGGUUUCAAGAUCCGGUCGGCAGUAUACCAUAGAUCCGAACAAAUAAUAUCAUAUAUGGCAACAUAUAACAUUUAGCACAUAAAAGCAUUUUAGGCAGCUUCCUAAAAUAUACUAGUGCUCGUGUCUAUAAUAUAAUAGACACACAUCUCACAAUCUCCACUUAGCAUUCUAAUUUUAAGUCUAGAAAUCCUACAAAUUCCUAGUUCGCUUAAACUAAUGCUCUGAUACCAACUGUGACAUCCCCAAAAUCACGGCCAGAAAAGACCGUCUUAAUUUAUGCUUUUACACUAAUUUCAGAGUAAAUCCUUUGAUUUAAAAGAGUUGCGGAAUUUGUUUCCAAAACAAAAUAUGAUAAAAUAAAGUUUAUCAAAGCAUUUCAUUAAGAGAUACAUUUUCAUUAUAUAACAAUGUUCGGGAUGUCAUGUUCAGAUAAACAGACCAAAAGCAUAAACAACAAAAGAUAGACCAUACAACAGUUACAUAUAACAAAUGGUCUAAUAUCAAAAGAUCUUGAUAUGUCAUCCAACUUAUGCUAUCACGCCAAUACCUGUAAUACAAAUAAACUGAGUGGGUCUGGCUUGGGAACCUGGUGAGCAUAUAGGGUUUUCAACCUGCAAUAAAUAAUUACAUUUAAUUUCACCAACCAACAAUAACCCGAUUACCCAUUCCCGUUAUCCUCACUUUACGUCCCUAAAACAAUAUCUAUCUCAAGGGACCUAAUCAAGGAUUUUCAGCGGGACGGACAUUACUGCAAAGGGGUUUCCUCAACAGUAGAUGUCCUAAAGGCAACCAUGAGGGGGAUAGAGUACACCGGUGAAUACAUCGUUCACAACACCUACAGGUUAUGAGCCUGCUAGCGUUCCACAGGACUGACUAGAAAGAGUCUGUGGUCGUUAUCCAUACUCCGCUGAAUAACUAGAUCAACAACAACAACAUCGAGGCCUCUCAUCUGUUUAUCACACAUCAACUAUCUACCCAUGUUCUACCCAACAUAUUAGCAUAUAAAAAUAUAUAUUUUUAUACAUAGUUUAAAAACUAUAUAGCAUUCUCAUUCAAUACAUAUUCCAAUCAAUAGAUGAGACAUAUACACAUCGCACGUAUUUCAUAGAGAAUAAAUCAUAUCUAAGAGAUAGAAGAAAGUGAAUAUACAUUCACACAUAUAACAACAAAAUAUACACAUAACACGUAUUCUGUAUAAAAUACUUCAGAAUUAUGCGUUAGAAGAAAGUAACUACACACUCACUUGAUCAGAAGAUGCUCGGACAGCACUACAGCUCUAAGAGUAGUAUUCUUCGGUGAAACUGGGUUCACUUCACUCAUCGGACUUCUUAUGGGCAGAGCUUCGGCUCGGAAACUCUUUUCUUCGCGGGAUCUUCGAGCUUCUGGACUUGCUGCGGGUGUCGGGAUGAUACCGGGGCUUCGGGGGUACUUCUUUGCAUGUAAAUUGAGGUAAGAUGAGUGAGAGAGAAGAGAUUUGGCAACCACAAACGGCUGCCCCUUCAAAUCUAUUUAUAGGGCUGUUUUCUCAUUUUCCAUGUCGUGGGCACUUCUNUUCACAUCGUUACAUCAUCGCAAGUUGGGUCUGGUAGACUCCAGGAGUCGUCAAAAGACAUGCCACGUCGUGACCACUGAUUUCACAUCGUGGUCUCUGACAGUCUUGGAGUUUCGCGCCCCGAACUUCAGAAAUUCAUAACUUUAACAUACGAACUCCGUUUUCGACGUUCUUUAUAUCGACGCGUAGGUAAAAACAAGGUCCACAACUGUUAUUUAGACUUUGUAGGCUUAUUUUGACUUUAUUUUUAAUAUAUUAAUAAUAUACUAUUUUUAGUAGGCCGGGACAGGAAAACUCCGUUAGAAAUUCAUAACUCCUUCAUCUGACGUCUGUUUUCGACUGUCUUUUCACCGUUGGACUACUAUCGAUGAGAUCUUCGAUUCUCGUUUAGGUUGUUUCGGCUAAAUAUCGCUCAAUUUCAUAUUCGAACUUCGGGCUGUACACUGCUAAACCGAAACUUCGAAAAAUCAUAACUUCCUCAUACGAAGUCAGAUUUGCACAUUCUUUUUAUGCAUGCUCUCGGUUUAACGAACUCUACAACAUUCCUUUAGAUCACUAAGUCCAAAUAUUGCUCUAAUGUAAACUCACUAUUUACGUCUCGCUGUUUCGUACCGGUUCUGUCGCGAAACUUUGACAUGUUAUAACUUCUUCUUUAUAACUUGUAUUUCGGCAUUCUUUAUAUAUUCGGAAACCUCGUUUAAACUUCUACAACAUUAUCCAUAGAUAUCGACUUUAUCUAACAUUUCAUUUUGACGCUUAUUUUUAUUCUUAAUUAAAUUAAGACACACAAUUAAGCACAAAACACAUAAUACUCAAAUAAUACACUUCUGUUAUUUCAAAACGGGUUACAAAGAUUAACCUAGACUAUUAUAUCAACAUUAAUGACAAGCCCAUAAACACAGUCAUUACAAACGCUAGCAGGCUCAUAACCUGUAGGUGUUGUGAACGAUGUGUUUACCGGUGUACUCUAUCCCCCUCAUGGUUGCUUUUAGGACAUCUACUGUUGAGGAAACCCUUAGCAGUAAUGUCCGUACCGAUGAAAAUCCUAGAUUAGGUCCCUUGAGAUAGAUGUUGUUUUAGGGACGUAAAGUGAGGAUAACGGGAAUGGGUAAUCGGGUUAUUGUUGGUUGGUAAAAGUAAAUAUAAUAAUUUAUUGCGAGUUGAAAACCCUAUAUGCUCACCAGGCUCCCAAGCCUGACCCACUCAGUUUAUUUGUAUUACUAGUAGUGUCGCGAGGGCAUAAGAUGGAUGAAUCAUCAAGUUAUUUUAUUUAUUAGACCAGUUAUUAUAUGUAACUGUUGUAUGGUCUAUCUUUUGUAGUUUAUGCUUUUGUGUCUGUAUCGGAACAUGACAUCCCGAGUUUUGAUUUUAUAAUGAAAAUACAUUUUGUUAUGAAAUGCUUUGGUAAAUAUUAUUUUAUCAUGCUUUUUUUGGAACAAAUUCUGCAACAAUUUAAAAUCAAAAGGAUUUACUCUGAAAUUAUUUAAAAAAACAUAAAUGAAACUGGUCUUUUCUGACUGUGAUUUUGGGGAUGUCACACUGCGCCUAAUCGAGAACAUCAUAAUCCUGGCAGCUACGCCCAAAGGACAAUAUUAGCACUUGCGCCUAAUAGAGAAUAUUAUAAUUCUGGUAGUUGCGUCUAAAUGAUAAUGUUGGUAGUUGUGCUUAAUAGAUAACGUUGACAACUGUGUCAUUAGGAAAACGGUGGACUGCGUGCCUAUUCCUUAGGAAAAUCCUUAGGAAUGAAUGAGUUAAUGAUAAAUGAUUCUUAGGAUACAUCCUUAAGAAAUAACGAAGAUAAUGGGGAUGGAUAAUUGGGUUAAUUUUUUAAUGAUUAAACAUAAUUAUAUUAUUGUGGGUUGAAAACCCUAUGUACUCACUAGGUUUCCCAAUAUGACCCACUCAAGUUUAUUUGGAUCACAGGUGUCUAUACGAAGCUACUUUACACUGAGAGAUUAAGGAGACGUAAAUCACUAGUGUAAAUGAAUGGAAGGUCUGUUUAUGCUUAUAUUUAUGUAUUAACGAUGACGUCCUAAAGUUUUAAAAAGAAAUGAAAUACAUUUCUUCGAAAAUGCUUUGAUAACACAUUUAUCAUGUUUUUCUGGGAACAAAUUCCGCAACAUUUUUAUAAAAAGGGUACUCUCAUUUUUAAAUAAAGCAUAAACAAAUCGGUCUUUUCUGGCUGUGAAAAUGGGGAUGUCACAAUUGGUAUCAGAGCAUUAGUUUAAGAGAACUAAGAAUAAGGGUUUAUUUCUAGACUUAAACUUAGAAUGCUAAGCGAUGAUUAUGAGUUGAGUGUGUGAUGUUGCGCAUAAAAAAACACAAAGAUAACCAAGAAUGAACCUGUUGAUUCUAAAAGAAUAGCCAGGACAAUCUCUUCAAAACCACGUUGAUUCUACGAAUACUGUGGGAUUGGCUUCAAAAACUGGGUUAACACGCACAAAAUUUGGGAGAAAACUGAAAGUUCAUAAAAUUGAUGAUCGACCAUCCAAAUUACAUAAAAAACAGUUAAAUAAAAAGCAUAAAUUAAAAUGAAACCCUAAAAGUCCAUGGGCGAAAUACAAACCCAAAAAUUAAGGAAAAAUAACAAAAUUGUUCAUAACUCCAUUUAGAAAGCGAUUUCUGGACUCAAAAUGGGUAAGUCCCUUUCGGGGACUUAUCUAGAUGUGCUCCUUGCUCCAAGCUUCGACUUGACUGGUCGUAGGCCCAAAACGGAGACUCGUAGCCAAAGUUAUGGCCAUUUCCGUGAAGCCCCUUUAAUCACACGAUCGUGGGCCUCUAGGAAUGCAAUGGCCCGAUCCUCCACACUAGGGCCCGCAUCUGUGUGUCUAAUAUAUUUUAGGUAGUACACCUGAAUAGACACAGCCACUAUCUUAUUUUGGGAGGAUGCCUAAAAUGCUUUUAUGUGCUAAAUGAUUUGUGAUACUUUAUGAUGCUAUUGUUCGAUCAGAUAUAUGGUAUGUUGCCCACCGGAUCCAGAAACUUUAUGUGUUUAGAUUUCAAAAUGUUUAAUUACAGUAUUAGAACUGGCAUGUAACUUUUCGGAGUGAUAAGAAGAUUUACAUGUGGAUCGUAAAUAAAACCUUUCCUAUCUUAAUUAUCAUCAUUACACAUCAAACGUCUGAUUUGGUGUAUAGAUCAACAUGUUGAGAACUCGAAGCGGAUUAGGAGACGCUAAUGGAAAUGUUGAUCAACGGCCUAUGAUUUAACGUGCACUAAAGGUAGCAGCUACACCAUAGCCAAUCACAAUGGCAAGAGUCCAAGCAAUGAUUCAGGCUAUGAUAGCCAAACAAAGGGAGGAGAUGAGGCAAAUGUUGCUUAAUAGGGAUGAACCUACCAUGCUCAUUGAAUAACUAGAACUAAAUGAUGAACAGUUAGAGAAGGGAAUUACAGUAGAACCGUUGGUCAAGCUGAACUGCCAGUGGUUAGGAGGAAUAACCAAGAGGAAGGGAUCAAGAGAAAUAGAUGCAAGUAUAAGGAUUUCACAACUUGCAAACCAUAGAUUUUCACUGGGAAAGAGGAUCCAAAUCGGAGUUACAGACCGGAUCUCGGAGAUGGAUUUGGCUUUCAUAACAUGUAGAUUCAAAGGAAAGCUAAAAACCAUAUAUGCAGUGCGUCAGUUGAUGGGUGGAGUUGUUCACUAGUGGAACACUUUGGGAAAGAUCAUGAGUCCUAAUGAGCUGCUGCAACUGACGUGGGCAGAGUUCCUAGUGCAUUUCAAACGAAAGUUUUGCUCGGCCCAAAAUCUGUUGGAGCUAGAGAACCAAUUCCUAACAUUGAAGAAGGGCAUCAUGCCUAUUGACGAAUACAGCAAUGCCUUCACCGACAAGAUGGAAUUUUCUUUGCGCAUCGUCCCUGGCGAACUAACUAAAGUCGAUAAGUAUACAAAGGGACUACCAUGGGAAUAUGUUGUGCUAGUACGCCAGGCACCUACCAUCGAGGCGACUAUCUGGGCUGCUAAGUCUGUUGAAGAAAUGAUCAAGAGUAGGGCCACCAACAACGUCGAAGUUGGUGAAAGAGAAAGUUUGAAGGAUCUUCAAUGUCCAAUGAGAGGAGAAAAUGCUCGAAGUCUGGUUCGAAGAAGUUUGAAGGAGGAGGAGGUGAAGCAAGAUGGUGUGAUAAGUGCAAGAAGAAACACUUUGGAAAAUAUGGCAAGAAGGUGACUUGUUUCAAGUGUGGAAAGUCUGGGCAUUAUGCCGAUGAGUGUAUAUUCAACAAAAGGGUGUAUUACGGAUGUAAUGAAGAAGGGAAUUCAAGCUGGACUGCCCAAAGAGGGAAGGAGCUACAAAGCAAAAUGCACCGCCAAAGCCGAAGGCAAAAACAUUCCAUAUGAUCCUUAAUGAAGCAGAUGAUAAUGCAAGGAAUCAAGAAUGAGGACUGAUACCCGAAGAUCAAGUUAUGAAGUAGCCAUGCAGAUAGUAUCAGGAGGUGUAGCCUAUUAGAGGCAUAUUAUAGGUUGAACUUUAACAUCCAUGUAAUCAUUUCAAGAAGUAAUAUAAGCCUUGGUUUUGUUAUCUGGUGCGUUAAGUUGUUAUGUGAUUUUCAAGUAUGGUGACUUGGAAAACUGCGAGACAAUACUUGGGACAAGUAUGAGUAUAUGUGAAUGGUAGUAGAGGCCUAUACUACCAGAAGCACAGGACUCGCACUUGGAUUAGGGAAAGUCACAAGGUUACCAAGGCACUAGUAAUUGAUUCUUUUUUGUUCAUGUUUGUCGUCACCAUCGUUUCGGUAAUGACUAAGAAGAUGAUUGUUAGUCCAACCCUAGUGGUCAUAUCAAAUCGAGUCCGACUAAGAUGAAUAUGUUGCGUGGUUCAAAAAACCAAGGUCGAUGUUGCAUCUGACUUAAGCCAGACGAUUGAAGUGAAAGAUAAUCGAACCGAUCAAUAGAAGUAUCGUAACCUUUGUUAAGGUAAGAAGCUUGUAGCUAGAAGUGCUACAUGCUAGAAUAUGAUUAUAUCACAUUAGAACAUGAAGGAAGGUAUAUUUUGUUCUAUAGUUUGACUCUAAAAGACCUAAGUCUAAGUGUUGCAUCAUACGAUAAGAGGUCAUUACAACAUGACCCAUCGGUUUAUUGUGGUAAUCAAAUAACUUCUCUUAAUAUAAGUAUGUUUAACAAGAAGUAGGAGUCUCUGAUUUGGAUCGAUUUUGUAACUCGAAGGUUACGAUUGGAAGUCCAACAUAGGAUAAAGAACGGGUGCAAGAUUGAGUACCUCCUGCGGUCAAGAAGUCCAAGAGUUUGAUACUCAUUCGAAGGAACAUAAAAGUUACGAUUAUUACCUAAUAUGAAGAGAUAACAUAAGGAUUCAUUAUACAAGCCCUAUUUUGUUGAUUAUUCUGGGACGUAAUCAUCCUAAGGAGGAGAUAACUGUAACGCCCGCAGAUUCAGGCUAGUCAAUUAGAGAUAUUGAGCGUCAAAAAUGACAUUUUUAUGGGAGUUUAUUUAGAAGAAAUAAUCUUAACCUAGUAAUAGUAUAUGUCACAAGGGUUCCGUACAUAUAAAGAACGCCGAAAUCCGAGUUAUAACGAAGAAGUUACGACCCGACGAAGUUCUACAGCAAAACCGGCACGACACCGCGUAACAUAAAAAGUGAAUUUUUGAUAAAUUACUUUUUAGCCUUAGAGAUAUAAAUGAAAGUUAUAAUAUAGGUUAAACCGAUAGCAUGCAUAAAAAGAACGUCAAUAUCUAACUUCGUAUGAGGAAGUUAUGAUUUUUCUAAGAUUUCGCAAAGUAGUAUACAACCCGGAAUUCGAAUUUCAGAUCGAGCGAUUUUUAGCCAACACAACCUAAAUGAAAAUUGAAUAUCUCAUUAAUAGGAGUUCAACGAUAAAAAGACAUUAAAAAUGGAGUUCGAAUGUACAAGUUAUGAAUUUUACACGGUCAUUAACAAUGUAAUCUUCUCAUACUAGUAAAUUUAAAAUCGGUCGAGAGUUAGCUGUUUGAGUCAAAAGGAGAGUUGUAGAUCAUGUCAAUACCUAUGCGUGGAUAUAAAUAAUGUCAAAAAUGGAGCUCGUAUGCAAAAGUUAUGAAUUUUUGAAAAUUGGUUGUUUUACCUGCGUCCAGCACCACGUGUCAGCACCAAGCGAAGCCAUGGUGCCUACGCAAGGCCACGACGUGGAUUGGCUCCAGAUAGCCUAUAAAUAGAGGCGGAAAUCAUCCGUUUUCUUCACACCUUCACCCUUCUUUCUCUCUCAACGCUCCUAAUCUCUCCCUCCCAAUCCCUAGCAACUUCUAAGUGCUCCGAGAAGAAGAUCUUUCGGCUCAGAAGUUCCACCCCCGCAUAGCCCGGUUCCUAGCCAAACCCACGGUAAGUUAGUUAUGAUUACCCUACUUUAAGUAUAACUUAUGUUUGAGUUUAUUAUCAUUAUUAUGAACUUAUAAACAAGAUUUAUCAAUGAUUCCAAGUAGUUAUAUUGAUUGAUCUACUUAUGGGGAUAAUGUCUAGGCUGUGAUUUUGUGAGGUGUUUAAAGUGGGGUUUCCAAAUAGUAUACUUCGUAUACCAAACGAACCCUACCUCUGAUAUGAUCCUACCUGGUUGCUCUUUACAUGAUAGAUCAUGAAAGUAGACUUUGAGUUAAUGAUGAAUCUAGACUAAUAAUUAGUUGCAAUAAAGAUUAGACUAAAACUUAGCGAUAAUAAUGUUAGGUUUCGUCGAAGGAAGAUAGAAUCGUUAGAAGUGAAGCGUUUCUCGACUUUGGAAUUAUCACUUUGAAAAGUGAGUGCAUAGUUACUUUCAUCUUACACAUUGAUAUGAAGUAUUUUAUAUAAAUUACGCGCUAUGUGUGCAUGUUAUCUGUUUACUUGAUAUAUAUGAUAAAUGAACGAUCUUAUACAUGUACUCUAAACAUCCUAGUAGCUGUGCUCAAAGUGUAGUAUCGGUAGCUGUGCCGUCACACCCCCAAACCAGAACGACGGAAACGUUCAGGGGCGGAGGACGUCAUGUAUAGUAUCAUAACAAUGCAUAAUAGUAAAACAAGCAACAACAUCAUCCAUUGAAUUAAUGAUAGAAUUUAUACAUGUGUGUUCUUUGUAAAGUUGUAAGACACCAAAAAUAUAUAAUCAAAAUAAAGACGAGUCUUGAAUACGCUCUGUCUCCUCAAAACCUGGUCAUCGAUACAUGUCUACUGGUGACCUAAGAAUACAAGUUAUUUUGAAAGAGUAGAUCAACAUUUAAGCUGGUGAGUUCAUAAGUAUAUUAGUGUCAAAAAUUUUCAUCUGUUUCAUGAAAAUGUUUGUAAGUAUUUAGAUGUAAAUGUUUGUAUGCUUCCAAGAAAAUCCUAUAUUUUCUACUAAAAUGAAAAGUAGUCUUCUUCCAAGACUCAACUGUUUUGUAUGUUUGUUUUCUCGUAAAAAUUGAUGUAAGAUGUAUGUUUGUACUUGUAAUAGUAUAAAUGUGGGUUUUCCAUAUUUUUUUAAAACUUUCUAUACACGAAAAAUAGUAUGCAUUUCUUACGUGAGAAUAUCACUGUGUGAAUAUGAUGGAAAAAUGACGAUAUUCAGUAGUGUUGUAUAAAAUAUCUACUGAAGCACUAACUACCUUAAAGCAAAUUGUUAAUUAAGGUAAAACGUGAUGAGGUUAUAACCAUGCUUGAUUGACUUGUAUAAAACACAACGAUCAAAAUACAUCGAAAUGGUAUGACAUUUGUCACUUGUAGACCUGUAGGUCCCAUUGUAGCUAGCAACAAGGUUUAGGAUGGUCAAUCCAGUAUAGAUCUAUACACAAACUCACGCUCUCCCUCCAAGAGACUCUGGUUACAAAGCGUGACACAACAAGUAUAUUGAUAUGCCAUGAAGUAGUGGCUCACAUUAAUGUUAUCUUGUUCUAGUUAUAGUAUGUAUGUUCCUUUCUGUUCUAGUUAUAGUAUGUAUGUUCCAAUCUGUUCUAGUUAUAGUAAGUAGUAAUACUCUAAACUAUACCUAUUAUAGUUUACUAGUAUGAUUGUUUGACUGUUACUAAUUUGCAGAAAAGUCUCAAUUACUCACAUAAGCAACUAACUUAAGUAUGUAACUUAAAAAUGGGUUUAAUAUUCAUAUAUGUAUUUAAUAAGCAUAACUAUGAUUUUGCUGACAUUCGAACUAGUGAUCCUACCCUAAGCCCACAACCAAACAAAGAAACAGGAGUUAAGGUAUCUCGCAGUAGUCCUAAGCCCGUUAAAGCAUACUUACACGUAAACAGAUAGACGAAUAUGAUUUGAUAUAAAAGAAGUUUAUAAAAGAUUUAAAAGAGUUUUAACAAGUUUUGAGUAUAAGAAAUCCCUUUGGAUGUUGUUUUCACAUGUAAAUGGUUAACAAAAUUUAAUUGUGUUCUACUUGUUAUCCCCCAUAAAAGCAUUUAAAAGGUAUUUAAAAGUGUAUUGUAGGGGUAUGAACUCAUAUGUAGUGAGUGAUUCGAAUGAAAGAUCGAUAUAGGAUGAUAAGUAUGCCAAGUGAAGUAUCGAGCACAAACGGGUCCUAUUAAGCAUAUAAUAACACAUAUAUGUAUACAAUUAGUAUAUAUAACAACUAAAAUGUAAGGGAAACAACCUUAGGAACUAGGAAACACUUUGAAUGAAGUGUUAGCAUCACAAAUGAUUGGCUGAAAGGUGUUCACGACUAAACAAGGGGUGUUCACGGCCUUAGGAGGGUACAUGUCCAUAGAACGCAUGAUGUGUUCACGGACCAAGGUUGAUCUUAUGAAGGUUUCACGGUCCUAUGAUGCAUCUAUGAAGGGUUCAUGGCCCUAUGAAGGGUUCACGGUCGUGAACUCUUGAAGAUCUUGCAAAUAAGUGUUUGUUUCAUGGGUGGAAUCAAGUGUUUCUAAGGGACAACAAGAUGAUGGAUGAGAUACUUAUGUUUUGGAAGCCUUUAGAAGUGUUCACAGUUGAAGAUAGUUGAGAGAGAAGUGGUGUUCACGGCUAGGGUUUAAAGAAAUGAAGAAAAAUGAGCCAACUCCUUAUAUAUAAGACUUGUUCACGGCCAAGGAUGGGUACACGGCCAUGAACCUAGAUGUGGCCGUGAACUCCUUUUGGUGGUGUUUCCGGCUCGAUUGCAACUCAAUGAACUCAAGCUAACACUUCCUAACUCACAAUCCUUGAGUGUACUAGGCUUAGAAAUUCUCAAACAUACCCUUAACACAACAUAAAGGUAACAGAAACAAGUCUGACUUUAGAUUGAAUUGAUUGACUUUACAAGAUAGAAAUUCCAGGUUGUCGCAUGUGCCUAAUAGAAAACAUCAUAACCCUGGCAGCUACGCCCAAAGGACAAUAUCGACUGUUGUGCCUAAUAGAAAAUAUCAUAAUUCUGGCAGCUGCUCCUAAAUGAUAAUAUUGGCAGCUAUGCUUAAUAGAUAAUGAUGAUAUAUGGUCCAUUAGCAUGGCCUAGACUGCUCUAGCGCGCCAUAUGAUGCGACAUCGGCUCCGACCACCUGCUCUAAGGAGAUGCUUCUGCACCAGAGAUAGAUCUGUGAGGUCACAACAAACAAGACCGUUAGAGCUGCCCCAAAGACUGUGCCCUGGGAGAGAGCUCCGACGGUCAAGUUAGAUCAUUUGGUAGAUCUGAGAUGGAUCUCUUUAGCUAGAGAGGAUCAUCCUUGUGUUGGUGGUGUUGUAUGGUGGUUGACGGCGGCGGGUGCCGGCUGAGCCACCCGGCCAAAGUAUAGGGCGGCGGCUGAGCCAAGGGGAAGAUCCUAAUGGUGGCAGAACCACCUAGGAAAGAGUCCUCCUUCAUGAAGGAGGCACUAUUCUAUUUAUAGGGGGACAACUAGGUCAAGGGGAAUUAGGUCAGGCCUUGGGCCAACCCAAUUCAGGCCCAGCUAGCAAGGAGCUGGGUAAGGCCGCCCGGAGGCGCCGCGCGGGACUUANUGACGGGCGCGUACCAGGAAAGGACGGCAAGGGUGCGCCAGGAAAGGGAGCGUCAGGUCGGGCCUGCAAGAGAUUCCCCAGCAAGGCUGGCAAGGGAGUCCCCAACAAGGUUGUCAAGGGAAUGCCAGGAGAGGCUGGCAGGAGCGCGCCAGGCCAAGAUGGCGCGCUAGAGCAGUGUAGGCCAUGCUAAUGGACCAUAUAUCAUUAGAUAACAUUGACAGCUGUGUCAGUAGGAAAAUGAUGGACUUUAUGCCUAUUCUUUAGGAAAAUCCUUAGGAAUGAAUGAGUGAAUGAUAAAUGAUUCUUAGGAUAGAUCCUUAAGAAAUAACGAAGAUAAUGGGGAUGGAUAAUUGGGUUGAUUGUUUAAUGACUAAACAUAAUUAUACUAUUGUGGGUUGAAAAACAUAUGUACUCACUAGGUUUCUGAACCUGACCCACUCAAGUUUAUUUGUGUGACAGGUGUCGAUACGAAGCUACUUUACACUGAGAGAUUAAGGAGAUGUAGAUCACUAGUUAAAAUGAAUGUAAGGUCUGUUUAUGCUUAUGUUUCUGUAUUGACGAUGACAUUCCAAAGUUUUAAAAGAAAUAAAAUACAUUUCUUCGGAAAUGAUUUGAUAACACAUUUAUCAUGUUUUUCUGGGAACAAAUUUCACAACAUUUUUCUGGCAUCGGGCCUCGCCCGGUAUACAAAUAACAUAUAAGCACAUGCAUAAAAAUCACUUAAACACAUGCAUAAAAAUCACAAUGAUAAAUAGCAUACAAUAUAAUCAUUACGCCCCGCCCGGUAAUCAUAUAAACACAUAACACAUGCAAGAGUAACACAUACAACUAGUAAGGAAACUCACCUCAAGCUGCAAAAUCACUCGGAUAAAAUCUCAAUCUGUUGGUCCGGAAGAUCCUCGCGCUAACCUCAUAAUAUAAAUAUCCAAUUAAUAAUUGGAUCUCGACCCAUAAUAACCAAUCUAAGUUCCUUUUCCAAUAUCCAGGGUAAAAGAUUGUUUUACCCUUUUUCUUACAUGGCCCAAAACCAAGGCCCAAUCCAUUGCUCAAAAGGGCUAAAUUCCAAAAUGGCAUCCAUAGGCCCAAUAAGGCCCAACUUCCAAAUUGGGCUGAAAAUCAUCAUGGACCUAAUCCCAUGAAAGUCCAUAGUCUAUCCAUGACCCAAAGUCAAAAUUCUAAUGACCUAACAAGGCCCAAAUCUUAAAAACCCAAAAUAUGGCCAAAACCCAGGGAAGUCAAACCAAAAGUCAACCUACUGUACGCUUAGCAUACUCCUUCCAGGGCAAGUAUGUGCAUCGUACCAACUGGGUAUGCCCAACGUACUCCCCAGAUUAUCAACCCAACCCAUUAAUAACUUAAUUGGUUAAGCCAACAUGCUAAACUCUCAGAUCUGGUUCUAAAUGGCGACUUACUAUGUAAAGUUGACAACUUUACACCCAUGCAUGAAUUAAUGGGGCCCAACACUAAAAAAGAAGCUUAAUAAGACUCUUAACACUUGCAUGGAAUAAUAUCUUACAUAAAGUUUGCAUUUUUAUGGGCAAAGGACCUCAAAUCAGCGAAGAUCUAACAUCCAUAGCUUCUGGAGUGGACCAUAACUUCAUAUAUGACUUAAAAGACCCAAAAACGCAUAAAUAUCACCAUAAAAUGGAUCUAGCACAAAGGACCAUCCAGAUGAGAGAUUUUUACCUCAAAAGGCUUGCUAAGGUGAAGAUAACUCUAGAUCUACAAGAUUAAGCUACUCCCAAGAAACCUCGAAGUGUUCCUCGUUUUCUUCUUCUUCACCACAAAACACCAACAAACUCACUUUCAAGCUCAAAUCUGACCAAAUACACUUAGGGUUUCGAUAUUGUGACAUAGGGUGAUGGAGGCUGAUCAAUAAAAUGUCCAAAGGUGGUUUAAGAUGUUUAAGUAGGCUGCAAACCCUAAAAAUUAGGGUUUGCCCCUGCUCUACGUAUGUCAUGCAUACUCUACGUACGCCCCACAUACGUGGGUGAAUCUUGCGUCCAGAAAAUAGAUAGUAUGAUAAGCGUACUCAUAGAGUAUGCCCUGUGUACUAGCUAUGGACCAAAAUGAUAAGGAUUUUGCAUUAAGGGGUUAGAAAGAAACUUACCAAAUUACGAAUGUUACAAUUCACUUUAAUCAGAAUUUGUCCUUGAAGUAUGCUGCUCCAAACAACUUUGGGUAGUGCUCUCUCAUCUCGUCCUCCGGCUCCCACGUCCAUUCUGAACCCUUUCGAUGCUGCCACUGAACUUUCACCAAUUCAACAACCUUGUACCUCAAGGCUUCGUCUUCCUGUCAAGAAUUGUUACCGGUCUCUCGAUAUAAUUCAUGCGAUCAUCCACUUAAAUAUCCUCUAAUAGAACCACCACGGAAUCAUCAAUUAAACAUUUUUGUAACUGAGAGACAUGAAAUAUGCUAUGGAUCAUACUAAGAUCCUCGGGAAGAUACAAGCGAUAAGCAACCCGAACCACCCGUGUGAUAAGUCCAUUUUAUGAAUGUACUAAAUUGUCAUAAAUCUGUUGAAUUGAUGUAUAAUUGUCCAAGAAUGGCACUACAUUGCUGAGUUAUUGAACUUCAUAUGCAGGUCAAUAUAUUGUACUAAAAGUGGGUGGAACCUACAAGUAAAACGGAUUGUUAAAGGAAUGAAGAAACGUUGCUGGGAAAAUUGACCAUUCUUCAAUGUUUUGGUCUAAUCUCAAGUUCUGGAGCUCCGAUUGACAUGAGUAUAGAAGUUCUGGAAACUAGACAAGAUUUUCUACAACUUUCGUGUUUUGUGCUUCUGCUAGUUAUGUCGUUUUGACUACCAAAACUUGCACAGAAGAUGAAGGACACCUCCAGACAUCUAAGACGUCCAGGUCAAACAGCCAACAUCUGGUCGUUAUUUCAGAGCAGAAAAGAAGGAAGAACCCCGUCAGCAUCUAACAUGGAAUCUAAGAUGUCCCCUAGGAUGUCUUGGCAUUUUAGGGACGUCCCGUGUUGGAACGGUGUGUUUAGGAAAGUUUAGAAAACAAGGCACGACGUCCUAGAACGCAUCUAAGACGUCUCCUAAGACGUUUGACGUUUUUGGCCAUUUUUUAGUAUAUUUCAAGGACGUACAAAGAUCGCUUGGGCGUUAUACACGACGUCUAAGAUGUCUCCUAGGACGUCCAACGUCCCACAUCGCCCAAUUUCAUUAUUUUUUAUCCCACACUAUAAAUAGGAGCCUAUUUCGUUGGUUAAAAUUCGGAUUCAAAGCAAGAUUCGAUUCAAUUCAUCAUCAAGCUAUAAGUGAAGAUCAUUUCAUUGGUUAAUUUUCAUCAAUUCUUUAUUUUCCAGAAUUAUUUCUUCUUCCCCAAGGUUUAUUUGUUCUACACUUCGAUAAUCAUUAGGCUACAUUUGUUUGAUGAUUCUACGUUUGUUUAUGAAUUCUAUAAUGGAUUUUAUUCAUUUUAAUCAAGUUAUUUGUCUUAUGAACUCAAUGGAAGGCUAAAUCAUUAGGGUUACUUCCGGGGAUGUUUAGGACUUUUUGAUGAACACACUUGAUUAUUACUUGAUUCUAGUUAAUUUCAAUUGUUGUUUUAUGCUUCAUGUGAUGAUCUUUUGGUAAUGAUAAUUGAAAUUGGGUUGUAUGAAUUGUUUGAUGUCAUAAUUAAGAUAGUCUAUUGUCAAUUCAUCAUUUGUUCCAAGUUCACAUAGUUUAGGAAUAAAGACAAGUGAUUGAAUCAACAUAUAUUAUUCCAACUUAUGAUAUUGAAUCUUAAUGCGGUAAUAGGUACUUGUAAGAUAUUUUAUUGCUAGUCCACUAAUUGUUCUUAAUCCAUUGAGGCAUAAAGGAGUAAGACAACUAGUUAAAUGAACAUUUAGUAUGCCCAAACUAUGUAUUACAAGUUAAUAAAUCCCAAUUGUAUCUAAGUAAUUGAAUUAGGAUUUAAGGGAAGAAAGUGUGUGAAUUUAAACUGUCCAUAACUGAACCGGGAGUACUCUAGUUUUCUCAUUGAGAUUUUCGUUGUAAUUAAUAAAUUUCCAUGCUUUUUGUUUGAUCUUUGCGUUAAAUUCUUUUUCGUGACAAUUGCUAGUAGCUUUUUUUCGUUGACUAUUUUAACACAAAGUUUGACAACAAACUCCCUGUAGAUUCGACCCUUACUUACCCUAGCUAUCUAGUGGUUUUGAGGUUAUUUUUGAUUGAUACAACGACAUCAAUCAUAAUUUGGCGCCUUUGUCGGGGAGAUUGUGCGCUUGAGCUAUUGUUUUUAAGUAGUUAUAGCCUUUUACUUUCAUUUUCAAUUCUCGUUUGUAGUUCACAUUUUGUUUUAUUUGUGUUGUGCAGGCACACUGGUGCAUGCAUACAAGACAUAGCAGACGCUCUUCACCGCUUGCAUUUGAUCCGGAAAUCGAACGAACAGCUCGCUCAAAUCGGGUCGCCAGAAGGAACAUCAACACUAUGAGUGUAGAUAAUGUUGUCGUGGAAGAUGUGGUUGAAGGGCAUGAGGAAGAAGCCAACAAUCCUCCACCACUAGUUCCACCACCAGCUCCUCAAUUCCCAAACAACAACAAUGGGAAUAACAACAAUGCCGGUGCACCAAUCAUCCAACCAGUGCAACCAUAACUGAAUAGAAACAACCGUGGCCAAAAUGGUGGAAACGGAGGAAAUUGGGCAUAGAAUAUGGGAGGCAAUGUAGGAAACCACACUGGUGGUAAUGUUAGAAAUCAUAACCAAAAUCCUAGAAAUGUUGGUCCUCAAUUCGGUAAUGGUGGUAAUGGUGGUAACGAGGAUGAUUGGGAUUUUGACGAUGGAAGUUACAACGGACUUGGUUGGAAUCAUAACCACAACGGUGGUAAUAGGCGGAAUCAAGGAAAUCGGGGUGGAAACGGGUACUAAAACAAUAACUGGAACAACCUGAAUUUCCCUAAUGGUGGCAACAAUUACUACAAUGAUGGGUUCGGAAAUCAAGGCUUUGGGAAUCAAUAUCGAAGGAAUCCAAAUGGUGGAUUCAACAAUGCGAAUGGAGGAUACUAAAAUGAAGGUAAUCAAUUCCCUCAUCUUUACUUUCUGCAGCCUAAUAGACAAUCUGUGGCGUCUCAUUUUCAGCCGAGAGAGUAUGAUGAUGCUUCACCCAUACUCUUCGCAGAAGUAAAUGAGCAUCAUGUAGAAGUAAGACCACAACUAAUUAGUGUCUUACCCGUCUUUAGAGGCCAUAAAACUAAUGAUCCAUACAAUCACCUCUAUGAGUUCCUUGCAAUUGCUAACGCGAAUACUCCGCGAGGAACUAAUAGAGAUUCAUUUAGACUUCUCUUAUUUCCGUUCACUUUAAAAGAAAAAGCUAAGUAUUGGUUCACUUCUCUUGCCCCCAUAGUAUCACUACUUGGGAGCAAUUAAAAACUAAAUUUUUGCAAGAGUUUUACCCAGCUAGUAAAACAACGGAAAUAAGAAAAGCCAUAGAAGAUUUUGCACAAAAACCCAAAGAAGAAUUUCAUGAUGCAUUUGAACGCCUCAAGGAAUUGUUCCGUUCAUGUCCCUAUCAUGAAUUUCCCCGUUGGCAACUGGUAGGUUUCUUUUAUGAUGGAGUCGAUACUGCCAAUCAAAGCAUGAUUAAUGCCUCGUCCGGCGGCAUUAUUAUGAUACAAGAUAGUGAAGACGCUUGGCGAUUCUUAGAGUAGUUGAGUCAUGGUUCAAAAACCAAUUACUCAGCUAAGAAACGGGACAAUCCAGUUUCAUCUGUUGCUUCAGUUGGACUAGACAAAAAACUGGAAAAAUGAAGUCAAAUCUGAUAUUAAUUCUUUAAAUAAAAUUUUUGACUUACUACUCUCUAGUCUAGGCAAAAAGAAAGGUGUGUUUUUUCGCAGGGACAGAAGAUAUGUGUAAGCUGUGGAGAUUCAUGACACAUUGCAGAUGAGUGCAUGAGAAUUCAAGAGGAAAUCAAUCAAGUGCAUGGUUAUGGUCAAUUCCAAAAUAAUCCACGAUCAUUCAAUCGGAACUACAUCCAAGGCGGGAACUACAACAACAUUGGGAUUUUCAACAACAACAACCGUCAAGGGAAUUACCAAAACCAAAAUCAGCCAAAACAGUUCCAGCAGUCCAACUUUAACCAAGGUGGAACAUCAAAGAAGGAGGAAAAUGAUGGCAACAAGUUGGACAAAAUCAUGGAGUUCAUAACCUAAACAUAUCAGAAAACCGACACUAACUCCAAGUCUAUAGCUGCUAUUGAGAAGCAAAUUGCUCAACUGGCGGAGCAAAUUGGGAAAAGAGAAGAUGGCAAGUUUCCAAGCACCACAACAGUGAACCCAUCUCAUACCCAGAGACCCCGAAAAGAGCAUCAAGUGAACGAGGUAAUUACCUUGUGUAGUGGAAAAAAGGUUGACAACAAGGUAAGUGCUUCUACAUUAGAUAAUGACAGUGACACUGAAGUCAUCUUUGAUGAAAAAGAAGAGUUUGAGAAAGAUUUUAAAUCCGAAAAACAAAAAGAAGAUAAGGUUAAAAAUGACUCUAAAGUUGGGGAGCAUGGUGUGGAGGUUAAUACCGCACCAUACCCUUCGGCUUUAGAGAAGCCGGCAUCCUUCCCUUUUGGGAAGCGAGGGCUAAAAAUGGAAGACAUGUGAGAUCUAUUUAGUCAAGUUAAAAUAAAUAUCCCAUUAGUCAAACUUAUUAAGGAGGUACCUUCUUAUGCUAAAUUUUUGAAGGAUUUGUGUGUUCAAAAACGCAAACUCCAAGCAUACCUCCCUAAAAAGAUUGAUUUAGUCAAGCAUGCGAGUUCGAUAAUAUCAAAUAAACUUCCACCCAAGCUUAAGGAUCAUGGAGCACCUUUAAUUUUUGUUACGCUAGGUAACAUUAAUAUAAAAAAGGCGCUCCUUGAUCUUGGAGCUAGUGUUAAUAUAAUCCCGGGAAAUUUUUUUGAUCAACAUGACUUAGGCACUUUGGAACAAACUGAUAUUAUUUUACGAUUGGCCGAUAAGUCAACAAAAAUUCCUUGGGGAAUAUUAUCAGAUGUUAUUAUUAAGGUGGGAGAUUUCUAUUACCCAGUUGAUUUUCUUAUGCUUGACACCGUGAGCACUUAUAAAGAAAGUCAACCUUCUAUUAUUUUAGGUCGUCCGUUAUUGACAGCAAUAAAUGCACAAAUUAAUUGUAGAACGGGUGCAAUGGAUAUCUCUUUUGGAAAUAGGAAACUUAGAAUUGAUAUUUUUAAUACGUUUCCUAACUCACCAUCAGAUUAUGAAUGUUAUCAUGUGGAUGUGGUUGAUGACUUAGUGCAUCAAUUCACUCUUAAAAUCUUACACCCUGAUCCAUUGGAGUUUUUUCUUUCUAAUGACAGGGACGAAGUUUUAGAGUUGGAUGACAUCAAGAUGGUUGAGGAGGCAUUUGAAAAUGUUAUUGAGCAAGAGAGGCCACCAUGGAGUUAUCAAGUUGAAAAAUUGCCAACAAGUUUUUCGGACCCACUUAAGCCAUCUUUGGAGGAGCCACCCAGUCUUGAACUCAAAACUCUUCCUUCACAUCAUAGAUACUCUUUUUUAGGAUCUAAGGAGAACUUACCAAUUACCAUAUCUUUUGAUUUGACAUGUCCACAGGAGGAAGCAUUACUGAAGGUGCUUUCGAAGUACAAGGGAGCAAUUGGAUGGACCAUAGCAGACUUGAAGGGAAUUAUUCCAGCCACAUGUAUGCAUUGAAUCAUCACUGAAGCUAGAGAAAAGCCAUCCCGAGAUGCACAACGAAGGCUCAACCCGAAUCUGCGAGAAGUUGUUAAAAAGGAGGUGUUGAAAUGGCUUGAUGCGGGUAUUAUCUACCCAAUAUUUGAUAGUGAUUGGGUGAGCCCGACACAGACAGUGCCAAAGAAGUCGGGCGUUACAGUGGUAGAUACAGAAGAUGGAGAGAAGAUCUCAACAAGAUCGGUCACCAGAUGGAGAGUUUGCAUCGACUAUCGCAAACUCAAUGCUGCAACAUCAAAUGACCAUUUCCCUCUCCCUUUUAUUGAUCAAAUAAUUGAGAAAUUGUAUGGUAAAAAGUUUUAUUGUUUUUUGGAUGGAUACUCGGGGUAUAAUCAAAUUGCCAUCCACCCCGAGUAUCAAUCCAAAAUGACAUUCACGUGUCCAUAUGGCACCUUUGCUUUCCGAAGGAUGCCAUUCGGCUUGUGUAAUGCCCCUGCCACAUUUUAAAGAUGUAUGAUGGCUAUUUUUUUAGACGUGGUGGGGGAUGCAUUAGAAAUUUUCAUGGAUGAUUUUUCUAUUUUUGGAUCAUCUUUUGAGACAUGCUUAGACCAAUUAGAAAAAGUUUUGAAACGUUGUAUUGACUCUAAUUUGGUUUUAAGUUGGGAGAAGAGUCAUUUCAUGAUAAAAUAGGGAAUUGUACUUGGCCAUGUUGUCUCCGAGCAUGGCUUUGAAGUCGACCGGGCCAUAGUACAAAUUAUUUCUACUCUUCUCCCACCAACUUCAGUAAAAGGCGCCCGUUCUUUUCUUGUACAUGCCGGCUUUUAUCGAAGAUUUAUCAAGGAUUUUAGUGCAAUGUCAAAACCUCUUUGUAAUUUACUUUUAAAAGAUGCACCAUUUUCCUUUGAUAAAGCAUGUCUUGAAUCUUUUACCACAUUAAAGAACAAACUUGUUGAAGCUCCUAUCUUGCAAUCACCCGAUUGGACUUUACAUUUUGAAAUUAUGUGUGAUCCAAGUGAUUACGCGGUAGGGGCAAUUUUGGGACAACGGGUGAAUAAAAAACCCAUUGCAAUUUGUUAUGCGAGCAAAAAAAUUUCGGAUGCACAAUUGAAUUACACUACUACCGAAAAAGAGUUGCUUGCGGUCGUGUUUGCACUUGAAAAUUUUAGAUCUUACAUAUGGGGAUCUAAAGUUGUAAUUUUUACCGACCAUAGUGCCAUUCACCACCUCUUGGAAAAGAAGGAUGCCAAACCACGUCUCAUAAGAUGGAUCCUUCUUCUUCAAGAGUUUAAUCUUGAAAUUCAGGACAAAAAGGGUUCUGAAAAUGUUGUGGUGGAUCAUUUAUAUAGAAUAACUAAUAAUGAUAACUCAACGAAAGUUAUUCAAGAAAACUUUCCAGAUGAGCAUAGUCUUGUUGUCAAAACUAUACCAUGGUUUGCUAAUUUAAUUAAUUACUUUGCGACAGGGGAAACUCCAUUGUAUUGGAAUGCUCAACAAAUGAGGUUCUUCCACUCUCAAACAAAAUACUACAUAUGGGAGGACCCAUAUAUUUUCAAAAUUGGAGCAGAUCAAGUGAAUAGGAGAUGUGUACCACAUACAGAGCAAGAAGACAUUCUUCGACACUGCCAUUCAUAUACAUGUGGAGGGCAUUUUAGUGCCAAAAGGCAGGGCAUCGGGUUCUACAAAGCGGUUUUUUCUGGCCCUCUAUUUUUAAAGAUGCACAUACAUUCGUUAAAGCUUGUAUUCGUUGCCAACAAGUUGGGGGGAUCUCAAGACGGGACAUGAUGCCAAUGACCCCAAUUUUAGUAGUUGAAAUCUUUGAUGUAUGGGGCAUUGAUUUCAUGGGUCUGUUCCCCACUUCUUUUGGCAAUCUAUACAUUCUUGUAGCCGUUGAUUAUGUAUCAAAAUGGCUCGAAACCGAGGAUACACACACGAAUGACCAUAGUGUUGUUUGUAAAUUUGUUAAAAAGAACAUAUUUUCUACACACGGAAUCCCUCGAACUAUUAUUAGUGAUGGGGGCUCCCAUUUUAAAAAUUGGCAUUUUGCAAAGUUACUUAAACACUAUAGUGUCACACAUAUGAUAGCUACUCCAUAUCACCCACAAACAAAUGGACAAGUAGAAGUGUCAAAUAGGGAAAUAAAACGAAUCUUGGAGAAGACUGUUCAUCCCGACCGAAAAGAUUGGUCAUUAAGAUUAGAUGAUGUGUUAUGGGCAUAUCGAACAACCUAUACGACGCCCAUUGGAAUGUCUCCGUAUCGGCUUGUUUAUGGAAAGCCAUGCCAUCUCCCGGUGGAGUUAGAACACCGUGCCAUGUGGGCCAUAAAAAAUGCUAACUUUGAAUUGAGUGAUGCAGGUAUAGAAAGGAAACUCCAAAUUGUUGAAUUGGAAGAGAUUCGAAAAGAAGCUUACGAAAGCUCAAGGAUCUAUAAAGAAAAGACGAAGGCAUUUCAUGACCGACAUAUUGUCCGAAAACAAUUCGUUAAAGAACAAUUGGUGUGGCUAUUCAACUCUCGUCUCAAACUCUUCCUCAGAAAGCUUCGGAGUAAAUGGAAUGGACCUUUUGUGGUGAAAAAUGUGGCGGAUCAUGGAUCUAUUGAAAUCAAGGACACGAAAGGCAGUGAACCAUUCAAGGUAAAUGGACAAAGACUCAAACCUUAUAUUCGAAUGGUAAAUGGUGAAACAACAUUCGUUGAGAAAACAACGCUCAAGGCAACACAAUAUUUAGAAACAACUUAGUCGAGGUAAACCGUCCGGCUGAAGACAUAAAACUUACCGCUUUUCGGGAGGCAACCCGUGGUUUGGUGUGUUUUUACUUCUAUUCUUCUUUUGGUGUGUUUUAAUUCUUUUCGUAUCGAGGACAAUCCAAGGUUUAAAGUUGGGGAGGGGGUAUUUAAUUUUUGUUUAAAAUUAAAUAAUAUUCGAAAAAUACUCAAAAAACAGCAAAAAAAAAUAGCCUCAGGCAUCCUAGGGGUGUCUUAGACGUUGUCUAAGACGCCGUCGGGCUGUCACUUCUUUUCCCCCCGAUGAAAACCCUUCGCGAAAAUUAAAAAAAUACCCUUAAUGUGUAUGACGUCCUAGGACGCGUCUAAGACGCCGGCUAGGACGUCGACGUGUUUUUCAACCGUUUUAUGCCGUUUUCUGCAUUAUUGUUGGUAUCUUUCUUCUCCAAACUGCCAUAGCCGAAAACCCACUUGUUCUUGCUUAUUUCCUUUGAUUUCUUGGCCAAAACUCAACCAAAAUUCGUGGUUUUUGUUGCAAUCUUCAAGAAAUCAAGUAAGAAACAUCACAUUGCAAGAUUUACACACUCUAAUCACUUAUUUGGGGCCGAUUUCAAAACCCACAAAAACUAGGGUUUCGAAAUUUUGACUUAUUUUGAGAUUUUACUUCAAGUUCUUGGUUCUUCUUCACUAGAAACACAAUUUCAACAAGGUAUAUGCUUCAAAACUCCAUCUUUUAGUUGAAUUUCAGAAUUUUUGCAUGUAUGUUCAUAUAUGUUUGAAAUUUUGAAAAAGAUGAAGAAUAUGAUAUAUAUUGGUAUGAAUUCUUGUGAAUUAGUGUUUGUAGUUGUUAGAAGUAUGUUCCAAACAAGUUGCAUGUGUUGAUUCGAGAAAUUUCUAAAAAUUGAAUUUUUGUUGUUAGUUGUUAAAAAAUAAUAAUAAUAAAUAAAAGCACAUAUAAUGUUGGAAAAUCAUUCUUAUGUUUAUAUUUGUGUUUGAAUUAAAAAUUCAAGUUUUUAGAAAAUUUCAGAAUGACACUGAAUUUUGACAUUGCAUUGUUAGUCUGAAUAUUUGCCUGUUACAGUUCUGUUCUGGUUUUAGUUAGAACUUGUCAGUUGAAGUUAACUUUUGGUUUAACUGUGUUUUUACUGAUUGGAUAAAUUUUUGAAAAAUAUUUAGUUACUAAAAACAUAACAGGACUUAAAACGGUUAUUUAUUUAGACUGGAUUUAUUUUAACUUUGUUUGGAACAACUUGCCAACUGAAUUAUUUGUUUUAUUUUUGUGACAUUUGAUAUGUUUAAUGGCAAGUUUUGUUUUGUGGUUUUGUGUAUGAAUUAUUUUGCAGAUGCCAGCAAAGAGAUCAAGGGUAGCAUCAUCAAGCAGUGCAUCUAGACAACCAGCUAGACAGUCGGAGCCAAAUGUACAUGUGGCUUUCAACCCACAGUAUCAGACAUUGCAUGAGCAUCUAGAUGACAUUCGUCCAACAGUUUAUGAGGCAACUCAUCCGAAUAUGGGUUUUAUUGUAGAGUACAUGGUGGAGCGACCGAGCUUCACUAGGUAUAAUAUUGUGGAGACGUUUGAUCGCUAUGGAUGGGGUGGAGUGCUAGACUUCAAUCCCACGCAGAUUUAUGUUGAUAUAGUGCAGGAAUGGAUGAGGAAACUUCGACGUGUCGAGGUGCCUGGUAGGCCGGAGGAGUUGCCGCUGAUUGGGACGGUCCGUACUCAUGAUAUAGUGAUAACUGUGCAGGGUAUUCGGGACAUGUUUCAUGUAGAUACUGGCUGUCAUUUUCAUUAUCUUGAGAAUCAUCUGACUGAGUAUAGAUGUAUUGACACGAGGGGGUAACCCUGGGGUUAGUAUGACUGAAGUAUACCGUAUAGUGUUCCAUGAGGGGACGAGGGCAUACGACAGAUUCCGCGAAUUGGUGCCUUUAGCAAAGGCAUUACAUAACAUUAUCACGAAAAAUGUGAACCCAAGGAAUAGUGAUCCUAGGGCGGUGAGGCCACAUGACUUAUAUGUAUUAUAUGGAUUGAUGAUAGGAUCUAUCUUUAUCUCUUAUGCAUAUAAUGCUAUGUGCAACAUAUGGUCCUGUUUUGAUAUCCAGCACAGAGUCACUACCCCCCAUGUUGCCCUGAUAUCGACAUAUGUUGCCUUGCUACUUCUUUUAGACACAUCUCAUUUCAUGUUGAAAAUGGGAGACAUAUUCUGAGGGAUUCUACCACAAAUCCGACAUACACGGCACCACUCGGAGUGGGGGAUGAGGAGCCAUUCGUUGGUGAUUUUUAGGGGGAUCAGUAGCAGCAAUAGGCAUAAGCAGCAGGUCGGGGAUAGAACAUGCAGGCAGCUUGGGAGGACUUUGUGGGGAGGCAGAACAUGCAUAACCAGGAGGUGCAGGCUUGGAUGGGGAGAACGGAUAUAUGGUUGAAGGGUGUCGAUACGACACUAGCUGAUAUUACUGAGCAGAUGCGACAGAUUGGCAUUACAUCUAGCAACACUUAUAGUGUUGCCACUCGUCAGUUGUACCAACAGGAGUACUAUGCAGAUGCUGCCUACACAUAGAGUCGUGUCCAGUAUGAACCGAUGGACAUUGAUCAACCACAGUAUCGAUACCGAGCUCCAGCUCCGUUCUUCUACCGAUCCGGGAAUCUGAGCAACUAUCCACCGCCAUCCGAGCAUGAGCAUUAUCAGCCACCACCAGCUACAGAGGACUCUACUCGCUUUGAGGAUUUAGUUGGAUCGAUCUUUGGGUAUCCUCCACCAUACCCACGUUAUCCUCCACAGUCGCCCCCACAUUGAACUUUGGUGAGAUCCUCUUUUGAUUUUUAUUUUUAUGGUUGUUUGAUGAAGACUUUUUUUAUUUUUAUUUUUAUUUUUCGUUUGCUUUUCAUGUCUUUAUUUGGGAUGAAUGUACUAUUAUUAAACUCAUUAUUAUUAUUACUCUCUCUUGGGUUGGUUCCAUUAAAUAUGUGAUGAGUUAGUAGCAUCUCUAUAUCUUGAACGUAACUCAUCAAAAUGGAAAAUGAUAGGAGUUUCGUAAAUUGAGUCAUAAUAUUUAUUUAAUAUUGAUUUUGUGGAUUGCUCAACCGAUUUGGGAAUAUUUAUAUUUAGUUAAAAAAUUGUUAUGUGAAAUACCCAAGUGUUUGAAAAAUGACGGUUUUUAGCUCGAGCCUACGAUCUUUCAAUUGAGGACCCAACCGAACAAUAUGUGUCAUCACGCUCUGAGUACUUGGUCUUACUUACUCUUGCGCCUUUGGGGUUGGGAGGGGACUAUUAUUGUUUUCACACAAUAAAAAAGCAUCAAAAGACAUUGAAGAACUUCCAAGUAUCUAUAUUCAAGCUCAAGUCAAAUACCAAAAUGAUCAAAUCCGAUGAAGCCAUCAAAGAACUUGAAGAAUGCAAAAUCAAGAUAAAUAUGAAGAAAAGUUCAAGUUGAAGACAUUGUGUGAAAUAAUGUGUGACCCCUCGAUAGCGGGAGCGUAUGGGUUGGUCCAUUAAGUGUUACCGACCGCGCUAACUAUGUUAGUGAACCUUGAAAAAAGGGACUUUGGCAAUGAGUUCAACUGAUUACUCAUGAGGGUGAUUAUUGGAAAGGGUUCAAAAAGUGGAGGGUUUCAAACAACAAAGUAAAAUAAGCAUAACAUGUGUUUUGAGUUUAAAAGUCUGGAUAAGAAAAUAAUAAUCCCCAUAAUCAAUAUAUUGUGCUAUUGGAAAUGUUGUGAUAAAAAGUACAGAAUUCAUGAUUCCAUUGAGUUUUUCUUAGGAUAAGAGAGUAAAGACUACGCUGAUUAUUUCAGGCCAAUCUCGGGACGAGUUUGGAAUAAAGUUGGGGAGGUUUGAUAAGUCCAUUUUAUGAAUGUACUAAAUUGUUAUAAAUCUGUUGAAUUGAUGUAUAAUUGUCCAAGAAUGGCACUACUUUGAUGAGUUGUUGAACUUCAUAUACAGGUCAAUAUAUUGUACUAAAAGUGGGCGGAACCUGCAAGUAAAACAGUGCUAAAGGAAUGAAGAAACGUUGCUGGGAAAACUGACCAUGCUUCAAUGUUUUGGUCAUAACUGAAGUUCCGCAGCUCUAAUUGACAUGAGUAAAGAAGUUCUGGAAACUAGACAAGAUUUUCUACAACUUUUGUGUUUUGUGUUUCUGCUAGUUAUGUCGUUUUGACCACCAAAACUUAAACGAAAGAUGAAGGAUGCCUCCAGGCGUCUAAGACAUCCCCUAGGACGUCCACAUCAAACGGUCAGCAUCUGGCCGUUAUUUCAAAGCAGAAAAGAAGGAAGAACCCCCGUCAGCGUCUUACAUGGCGUCAAAGAUGUCCCCUAGGACAUCUUGGCAUUUUGGGGAUGUCCCGUGUUGGAACGGUGUGUUUCGGAAAGUUUAGAAAACAAGGCAGGACGUCCUAGAACGUGUCUAAGACGUCUCCUAAUACGUUUGACGUUUUUGGCCAUUUUUUAGUGUAUUUCAAGGACGACAGAUGGCAUGCAAGGACGUACAAAGAACGCCUGGGCGUUAUACACGACAUCUAAGAUGUCUGCUAGGACGUCCAACAUCCCACAUCCCCCAAUUUCAUUAUUUUUUAUCUCACACUAUAAAUACGAGCCUAUGAAUUCGUUUUUAGGGUUACCACCUCCGAUUUUCAGAGUUUUUCAUGUGUUUUUGAGGCUUCUAAAACACUUGGAAACAUUUGAAAACACAAAUCCAUUCCAUUAAAAUCCGGAUUCAAAGCAAGACUCAAUUCAAUUCAUCAUCAAGCUAUAAGUGAAGAUCAUUUCAUUGGUUAAUCUUCAUCAAUUCUUUAUUUUCCAGAAUUAUUUCUUCUUCCCCAAGGUUUAUUUUUUCUAUAAUUUGAUAAUCAUUAGGCUACAUUUGUUUGAUGAUUCUACAUUUGUUUAUGAAUUCUAUUAUGCAUUUUAUUCAUUUCAAUCAAGUUAUUUGUUUUAUGAACUCAAUGGAAGGCUAAAUCAUUAGGGUUACUUCUGGGGAUGUUUAGGACUUUUUGAUGAACAUAAUUGAUUAUUACUUGAUUUUAGUUAAUUCAAUUGUUGUUUUAUGCUUCAUGUGAUGAUCUUUUAGUAAUGAUAAUUGAAAUUGGGUUGUAUGAAUUGUUUGAUGUCAUAAUUAAGAUAGUCUAUUGUCAAUUCAUCAUUUGUUCCAAGUUCACUUAGUUUAGGAAUAAAGACAAGUGACUGAAUCAACAUAUAUUAUUCCAACUUAUGAUAUUGAAUCUUAAUGCGGUAAUAGGUAGUUGUAUGAUAUUUUAUAGCUAGUCCACUAAUUGUUCUUAAUCCAUUUAGGCAUAAAGGAGUAAGACAACUAGUUAAAUGAAAAUUUAGUGUGCCCAAACUAUGUAUUACAAGUUAAUAAACCCCAAUUGUAUCUAAGUAAUUGAAUUAGGAUUUAAGGGAAGAAAGUGUGUGAAUUUAAACUAUCCAUAACUGAACCGGAAGUACUCUAGUUUUCUCAUUGAAAUUUUCGUUUUAAUUAAUAAAUUUCCAAGCUUUUUGUUUGAUCUUUGCUUUAAUUUUUUUUCGUGACAAUUUCUAGUAGUUUGUUUUUUUUCGUUGACUAUUUUAACACAAAAUUUGACGACAAACUCCUUGCGGAUUCGACCCUUACUUACCCUAGCUAUCUAGUGGUUUUGAGAUUAUUCUUGACUGAUACAACGACAUUGAUCAUCGUGCCAAAACCCUAAAGAGACCGAUGUGCCUGGGGCCCAAUUUGCUCUUCUUCCUGAAUCGGAUGACACCUUUCCAAUGUGACAAGUUCAGGGGGACCAUAUCCCUAACCUGAAACUCUAAAUCUGAUUGGUGCUUGUCGGCAUAGCUCUUCUUCCGGCUCUAAGCUGUCUGGAGCCUACUCCAAACUGCUGAAUCAACUUGGUAGUCUUGAGUACCGCUUUGGUACUCCCCAUUAGUAGCUGACCGUCCUCACCCCAACAUAUCAUGGUACUGCAUUUCUUUCUAUAGAGCAUCUCAAAAGGAGGUCGAUUAAUGUUGGCGUGAUUACUAUUGUUAUACAAAAACUAUUGGAUUAGGUGUCUAAGACCAUAACUAUUUUGGUAUGUACUUGACCCGAUUGUGAGCAUGGUCCUUUUGGGUUGCCUUCACCAUAGCAACUGAUGGGAUGAAUUAAGGAGAAAAAGGAUUAAUUAUGAUUUAUUAAUAUAUUAUAUGAAUAAUAUAUUAAAAGAGAAAUCAUAUUGUUUAAUUAAUAUUAGUCAAUAAUUCAUUUUGUGGCUAAAAGAGAUUAAUUAAAUAAAGGGGACUGAUAUUGCAAUUAUAUGAUAGUUGCAAAUUGGGCUAUGGAUUCCUAAUGGAAAUCGGAUUGGACAAAAUCUAUGGGAAGCCCAUAUGGAUUUCGUCCAAGGGCUUUCCAAGGGAACUCCAUGGGUUGCUUAAGGCGUAAGCAGUGAGAUUAGGGUUUCCUGAUUCAAAACCCUAAUAGCCUAAGUAUAAAAGGAACCCUUGGCAAGCCAAAAACGUCCCUAACCUUAUAAGAGAAACCCUAGGACGUUUUUGGUGCCUCCUCCCUCUCUCCUUGUUCAUCUUGUUACAUAUGGUGUUUGUGACUCCAUUAGAGGUGCAACAUUUGAGGCACUAGGCUUUCAGAAGUCAAUUACAAGAAGGAUUCGGAUUGUUAUUGCAACAUAACAAUCAAGGUAAGAUCUAAAAUCUAUCCUUUUGUCAAUUUUGAUUAUUGUAUACUAGAGUUAGGGUUUAUGAGCUUUGGAUGAUUAUUACGUAUAUCAGACAAACUAGAUCCAAAGCUUUAGGGUUUGCAUGUACACCAUAGGAUUGACGUAGUGCUCAAAACCCAUCAAAAACUACGCCAAAGGGAUAUAUGUAUCCCAACUCCCACCAAAAUCCAGAACACACGCCCGAAGCAUAUCCUCCAAGGUAUGAAUAGUCCUCUCGCUCUGACCAUCAGUAUGUGGGUGGAAAGUCGUACUGAAAUGCAGAUGAGUACCCAGCUCGUCGUGGAACCUCUUCCAAAAUCUGGAAGUAAACCGGACGUUCCUGUCUAAAACCACAAAACGGGCACACCAUGAAGUGCCACUACCUCCCUGAUGUAUACCUCAGCUAACUUCUCUGAGGAGAUACUAUCUUGAGUCGGAAUAAAAUGUGUGAACUUGGUCAAUCAAUCCACGAUGACCCAAAUCGAAUCCACUCUAUGUUCACUCUAAGGCAACAUCGUAAUGAAAUCCAUGGUAAUCUCCUCCCAUUUUCAAACAGUGAUAUCUAACGGUUACAUCUUGUCGUGAGGCCACUGAUGCUCGGCCUUGACUUUCCUUCAAGUCAAGCAUCUCUCCACGUACCAAGCUACAUCCCGCUUCAUACAGGGCCACCAAUAAUCAGGAUGAAGAUCAAUAUACAUCUUCGUCGUGGUGGGAUGAAUGGAGAAUCUCAAUUUGUGUGCCUCCUCCAUCAGAACUUGACGCACACCAGCCCAAUCGGAACCCACACUCUUCGAUGGAGAUUCAAUAACCCUUGGUUUUCAUAAUAAAAGGAAGCCACCUGACUCACUGUGCGCUCACUCUUCCCAUCACAACCUCAACCUGAGCCUCUCAAAUCUACUCUAAAAGUGGAGUGAUCACAGUCAUCCUGAAACAAAUAUCCUUGAACGGAGCCGCGAUCGCCUUGCUGCUAAGAGCAUCGGCCACCACAUUAUCCUUCCCCGUAUGGUAAAGGAUCUCACAAUCAUAAUCCUUCACCACAUCCAACCAUUGGCACUGCCUCAUGUUCAUAUUUGGCUGAUCCAUCAGAUACCUCAAGCUCUUGUGAUAUGUCUAUAUAGUACAGCGGGCCCCAUAGAGGUAAUGUCAUCAAAUCUUGAGGGCAAAAACCAUAGCCCCAACUCUAAAUCAUGCAUCGGAUAAUUCGUCUCAUGAUGCUUCACUUACCUUGAAGCGUAAGCGAUCACGUGACCCCUCUGCAUCAGAACUACACCUAAACCUGUGAUCGACGCAUCAUAAUAAACCAUGAAAUCUUCAACACCCUCCGGCAGGGUCAAAAUAGAUGCCUCACACAAUCUUUAUCUUAGGGUCUCAAAAGUUGCAUGUUGGUCGGGCGCCCAGCGAAAAGUGACAAUCUUCUUCGUCAACCGAUUUAGAGGAACCGCUAUCUUGGAGAAAUCCUAAAUGAACCUCCGAUAAUAGCCUUCCAACUAAGGAAACUCCAAAUCUUAGAUGGAGACCUCGGUACCUCCCACCUCAUCACGGCCUCGACCUUGGCCGGAUCGACCAGAAUACUGUUUUGGUUGACAAGGUGCCCUUGAAACUGCACCUCGUGCAACUAGAACUCGCACUUGGAGAACUUUGCAAAAAGUCUCUCCCUCCUCAAAGUUUCCAAUACCUCCCUGAAGUGCUCCUCAUGUAGCUCCUGGGUCUUGGAAUAGACCAGGAUAUCAUCAAUGAAUAGGGCAUUUUGUAUAAUCAAUUGUUGAUGUUAUUGAAAAUAAUGAUGUUAUUGAAACAUAUGCAUGGCAUGUAUUCCCAAUAAUUAUAUUUAAUUAAUUGGUUGUUGUGCAUGUUAUUAUAUUGGGAACAAAUUAGAAAGUGGUCCAUGUGGUAGUACAUGAUAUGUAUGGGGACCAUUUGUAGUUAAUAGUCAAUGGGUAUUUUUAUAAUGGAAAAAUGGGACCUUUGAACCCAUUAUAGAACCAUAUCCAUGACUAUAUAACAAAUUCACAUGCAUGCACAUUAUUCCAAAUUUUUCCAUGCAUAAAUAUUCAAACCCAUUGGUCAUGAGUUUACUUAAAAAGGCAACAUACUUUCAUAAGUGAGUAAAAUAUCAUUUCAUGUCAACAAUUUACUUACAAAGGCAACAUACAUUCAUUAGUGACCAAAAUACCCUUUUAUGUCAUGAGUUAACUUAAAAAAGCAUCACGCAUACAUAAAUGACUAAAAUACCCUUUUAUGUCAUGAGUGAACUUAAAAAGGCACCAUGCAUACAUAAAUGACCAAAAUACCCUUUUAUGUUAUGAGUGAACUUAAAAUGGCACCAUGCAUACAUAAAUGACCAAAAUACCCUUUUAUGUCAUGAGUUAACUUAAAAAGCCACCAUGCAUACAUAAAUGAUCACAUCACAUGUAUUCAAAUACACAUACUUUAAAUCCAAAUUACCAUCAUCCUAAUACACAAACUUAAAAUCCAAAUUACCAUCAUCCUAACACACAUACUUUAAAUCUAAAUAACACAAAGGAAAAAUCAACACUAAUAAAUUAGAAGAGCUUUUCCCUUAGAAUUUCCUGGAUCAUCAACACCACCAACUUUCUUGCCUAAUUUCAACUUGAAGAUUCUCUUUGACUUUCUUCUCCUUAUCCUGUUCAAAAUCUUGGAAAUUGGUCUAACCCUUACCUGUUGAACCUAGAUAAUAGGAGUAACCUCCUAAAUUUGAACAUUAUCAACAACUUGGACAUUAGGAAUAACCUCAUCAUCUUGAACAUUACCACCCUCCUCAACUUCCUCACCCAUAACACCCCCAUCACCUUCAUAACUUCUAGGUGGAAUAACUUGCAUAGACUGACUAAAAUCCCUUGCACUACUGGAUUCAACAUGAGUAGAAGUAACUUGCAUAUCAUUUUGAGUAUUAUCCAUCUCAAUUGGAGUCAUUUAACCUCUUCUUGUUGUUGUGGUUCACUUGUACUACCCUAUAUGGCAUGAUAUAAUUAUGUUAGUGGCAAAUCAUAUGUAAAUAAAUUUAAAUUUUAAAUGGUUUUACCUGUUCUGCAUUUUUCUUCACAUAAACUUUUUGUUUCUUCUGUUUCUUUACAUUUAACUUUUGGGGCCUUCUCUAUGGACAAGUGGCCUUACUGUGACACAUCUCCUUGCAUAUAAUACAUCUAAUUUUCUUUCCAUCCUUAGAAACCCUGUGUGUUCCUGUAUUCUUUGUAGUGGAUUUCUUCUUCUUAGUAGCUGGCCUACCAUGCAUCCGUCUACUAAUAAGAGGCAAUGGUGGAGUAUAAUUUGUCUCUGGCCACAUGUCACUGCCAUUCAUGGGGGAAAUUCUGUAAUUGUAUGCCUUCCGAAUUGUGGUGGUGUUAAACAUGUUGUCUACAUAGGCUUCUACAUCUCUAUUAAGAUUGGAUAUGGUAGCUACAGAAUGAGCAUAUCCAUAUCCAUUUAACCGCCACAACCUACAUGAACAUGUUUUCCUUUAUAAGUCCACCUCAUAUGCAUCUGUUUCUCCCUUACCUCGAACUGGUUUAAUCCACUAGGUAGUACCUGAUAAUGCCUCUGAAUUUUUUAAGCAAAUUCACCUUAUCCCUUAUCUCUGGACAAAUAUUAUUUCCCCAUUGUUGUCCCUUUAAUUUCAUGUUGUACAUUUUGUCCAUCAUGUAUAAUCUUAACUCCUCUAACAUGGUUAUUAUGGGCUUCUUCCUGGUAUCCACUAUUACAACAUUAAAACUUUCAGAGAAAUCAUUUUCAACUGCAUCACAACACCUUCCAGCUUGAAAGUAAGCUCUUGACCAUGUUUUAAGAUCUUUCUCCAUGAGAUAUUGAUGGGCAUCUGGGUUUAAUGUCUCAAUUUCCUUCAUCACAACUUUAAAAGCAUGCUCAUUUGUGGUUUUAGAUGCUCUCCAAAACAAGGUAUGAUAUAUGACACCAGUGAAUCUCUUCUGCAAAUUUUGAAAAAUAUGUCUAGCACACUGCCUGUGCAUAUGGAAGAAACUCUUUAACAGCCUCUAUCAAACCUUGUAUUAAUAAAAAGGUUUAAAUCAGAUAGUAUAAAAUAAAUAUAAAUGAAUUACUAUGUAAAAUACUAACCUUAUGUUGGUCUGACAUUAAACUGAAGCAAUUGCCUAAACUUAAGUUUAGAUUAUUAAUGAGAAGCUCUAAAAACCACUUUUAAUUCUACUUGUUCUCCACACUAACCAUUGCCCAAUCAAUAGGAUAUAUCUUGUUAUUUACAUCCCUCCCAAUAACACAAAGCAAUCCCCCCUUACAAACACCUUUAAGAAAACAUCCAUCAAGACCCAUUAUCCUUCUACACCCUUUAAUCCAACCUUGUUUAAUUCCUUGAAAACAAACAUAGAACUUGCUAGAAUAUUUCUUUCCAUCUGGACCAUCCUCCACAUCUAGUUUCACAGUUGACCUAGGAUUUGUCCUUAAAAUCUCAUCAACAUAUUACCAUAGCUUACCAUAAUGUUCAACAAGGCUACCUUCAACAAGAUUUAAUGCAUACUUCUUUGUUCUCCUACAUUAGCCCAUACUAACUUGGAUACUAAACUUGGUCAUUACCUUUACCCUAAGCUUCCUUACACUCAUUUUAUGACUUUGUACAAUCUCUUUGGUAUAGUGACUCCCAAUCCAUGCAUAUGUCACCAAUAAUCCAAACUUGAAGUUCCUAGCACAAUUAUGAUAAGCUUUUUGUGACUUGAUUUGGAAAGUCUCUCCAUCAUUCAUCCAAGAAGCCCAUAAUAUAAAUGUGCAAGCACCCUUGCUACAUCUCACCAAAAGUCUUUUCCUAUCAUAUUUUUUCAAAACACAAUUGAUAUCCAUUAGCCACAACAUAGUUGCACAACCUUGACUUUACUUGCCCUGGACCCUUAGAUCUCAUUCCUAGAAUUGGUUUUUGUUUUUUCCAGUGUAAUAGCUCAUUAAAUAUGGAAAUAGUUUGGAUGUUAGGUUCAACUUCUCUCCCAUUAUCAUCAUCUACAAUGUUGUUAUCCUCCUCAUCAUCAACACACAACUUACUCACGAAAGGAUCAUUUGAUGUCCUAUUCAUAUGCACUGCAUCCUUAUUAAAUUCAAAGACAACAUUCCUAAGUUCAUCUAUGUUAUCUUCAUCUAUGUUAGCGGCGCAGCUUUUUGCCCGUUUGCCUUCAAUCGAUAUGUAUUGAACAAAAAUGUUUGAAUGUCUAUCAAUACAAGGCUCAUGUUCAUCAUCAAACCACCCACCAACACCAACCCCAAUAUGAUCCACAUAAACCGAAAUUACACCAUCUGUUCCAUCAACAUCAAAAAUAAAAGCAGCAUAGUCCACAUCAUCUGAAAAUGGGAUUAAGCUCUUCCAUCAGGGAAUUGCCUGGUUUACAGUAGUAAAACUUUUUACACUCUUCAUGCAUGAAAUGUUCACAGAAGGUCACAAGCUCAGAAUAAGUCAUAGAAGAAAAGUCGACAUCAGUGAACAUGGUUUUCACACCACCAGUGUAAGAGAAAGGAUUUCGAUUAAAUACCCCUUGGUAGUUGAGUUCCACCAUCACAAACACUCCAUUAGGUUCCGAUUGUGCCAUUUUUGCGACUUCUUUGGCUCUUCAGCUCGAUCACAAAAAUGCUUCACAAAACCUAAAUCAAUUUCUUUUAAAACUAAAUAAUGAAGACGAGUGAAGUUCGAUAGCUGAAGACAAAAGGCUUAAAGCUUCGUAUAUCAUCUAUUGAUGUGGCAUAUCUCACAUGGCAUCAGAUUAGCUAAAAAAGAUAUAUUAAUUGACAUAUAUAAAAUGUCAACCAGGAAACCGUUUACAAGUAUGGAAAUGACUAAAUUAAUAAGUCAGAUACCAUUUUAAUGGUCUAAUGUACCCAAAAAACUUUAAUGACCAAAUUAGCCAAAUGUAAAAAGUUUCAUGUGCUACAGUGACAUUAUCCCUGAUGGGUUUUGAGCAUUCUAACACUCCUAUGGUGUACAUGCAACCCUAGAAACCUUGGAUCUAUGUUUGACUAAUAUACAUGCAAAUAAUUAUUUUCCAAGGUUCUUAUCCUAUCUAGCAUGGCAUGGGAACUUGAAUCAAAUAGAGCUAGUAGAAUUACUUACCUUGUAGUUGUUUAAAGCUUCGUAUAUCAUCUAUUGAUGUGGCAUAUCUCACGUGGCAUCGGAUUAGCUAAAAAAUAUAUAUUAAUUGACAUAUAUAAAAUGUCAACCAGGAAACCGUUUACAAGUAUGGAAAAUGACUAAAUUAAUAAGUCACAUACUAGUUUAAUGGUCUAAUGUACCAAAAAAACUUUAAUGACCAAAUUAGCCAAAUGUAAAAAGUUUCAUGUGCUACAGUGACAAUAUCCCUGAUGGGUUUUGAGCAUUCUAACACUCCUAUGGUGUACAUGCAACCCUAGAAACCUUGGAUCUAUGUUUGACUAAGAUACAUGCAAAUAAUUAUUUUUCCAAGGAUCUUAUCCUAUCUAGCAUGGCAUGGGGAACUUGAAUCAAAUAGAGCUAGUAGAAUUACUUACCUUGUAGUUGUAGUUGAUUGCUUGGAGUUUUAGAGCCUAGCACCAAUAGUGUGGAUGCCUCAAAUGUAAAUCACAAAUCACUACAAACUUGGAACUUUGAGAGAAUAGUAACCACCUUUCUUGAAAUCGGCCCUCUUACUUUACUCACCACAACUAGUAUGAUUUCAAGAACCAAAGCCUCCUUUAUAUAGUGUGGUGGAUUAGGGUUACAUCCAUGUAAACCCUAAUACCCAUGUCUUUUCAUUUCCAUGAGAUCCAUGGGUUAAAGCUCCAUGGAGUAUCCAUGGACUUUCCAAGCAAGCCUAGCCCAUUCCAAAUAAGCAUUAGCCCACACUAUAUAAAUAUAAGAGCCCAUAUUUAAUUAGUAAUACUUUUGAUCUCUAAAUUAAUUUUAGAUUAAUUAUAGAUCAAUACUAAUUAAAUAAUAUGGUUUUAUAUUAAUAUAUUAGAACUUAUAAUAUAUUAAUAAAUCAUAACUUAUACUAUUCUCAAAAGAUUAUCCAUAAAUUGUUCGGGUGAAGUGCAACCCAAAUGGACCAUGACGGGUCGGGUCAAGUACAUACCAAAUAUAGUUAUGGACUUAGACACUAUAUCCAACAAUCCCUACAUAAAGUCAUAUGUAGUCAAGGAUCAGAUAGAUAAUCGAACAUAUGACUCACCUAAGAGCGAACAAUCAGAAAAGAACAUCACAAUCAAGCCUUAGAUCAAGAGUUAUCAGUCUAUCCAACUUAAACUAGAUAGACCUAAGAUAUUAUUACCACCUAACCAUGUGACAUAAACAUUUAACAGAUACUAGCAUAUUUAUACACUUAGCAACUAUCCUUCCCUAGUUACCCUGUCAUUGAUCACUUCUCAAUCAAGUGAUCAUCUGGUCAGUCAUGCAUAAUCAUGAUAAUUGACCUACCCCAAUUUCCCUAACUAAACAUAACUCAUAACAAUAUCAUACAAUAAAUAGGAAAGACCUCACAAGAAUAGCAUACCCAGACACCAAGUGUUCUAAACUGCACAUGCAUAUCCUAGCCAACUAGCAUAUUUGUACUCUAACAGUAUCUCCAUCCUAUCAUGCACAGGAUAUAUAAUGAGAUAUGUGGCAUACUAUGAAACUCACCUGAACUGAAGAACCGGAGAAGCACAACAACACUCUUACACAUUUCACUACUCGAUCAUGUGAACCAAUUAACACCAAAAUAGAUAAAUCCUCAAUCAAUAAUCCAAAUCCUCCAAGUUUGACCCUAAGUCAAACUGGUCAAAAGUCAAUAGUCGAUGUAACGCCCAUGUUUCUUUCCAGACAUUAACUAAAUAAUUAGGGUCAACAAUCACCACAACGUGGUAACCUCUUGGCCACAUCCUGGGAAUUUCCAUACAAAAUAGUUACGAAGCUUAGGAUCACCAUGUCGUUGCAAGCCUAUUGCCACGUCGUGGAAAUUCACAGGAAGUCAUAUUCUUCAUUAUGAGCUUAAUGCUUACAGAUCUAAGCUCAAACUUUCAUAUUUGAUUCUUCUUGAUGAAUUAAUGGAUCUUAAACCAUAAGUCUAUUAAGUCUUUAAUAUGACCAAAACUAGAGCAUGGAGAAAAGGGAGCUAUGAAUUAACGCUUUUUCCAUCAAACAAGACCAAAAGAUGGUCACCAAACAAUUCUAAAGUUCUGGAGUUGGCCAAAACUCCAAGAAAAUGCCUUCAAGGGACUUCAAAGCAUGAUAUGAGAGAAAAGGAUGAUAAAGGUGGAAGCUUUAUACCUUCCCAAAAUCCACAAGACAUAGGAGAUGCAAGAUCUGAAGUAGAUACACCAUUCAAACUAGCAAACACACUGUCGUUUCCUUCCCAAAGUGCAACCCAAGGCUUCAAACUUCAAGAACUCCAAGAACUCAUCAAUAUCACUCAAAUAGGGCUAGGGUUUCGAAAUAGGAGGAUGGAGACUGAGGGAAAUGAGCUAACCCUAGAGUUAAGGCCAUUAAAUAUGGGAGAAAAUAUAAAAAAAAAAAUUAUGUGCUUGGGCUACAGCACUCACAACGUCGUGGCAACCCUCUAGUCAUGUCGUGGUGCUCUUCAAAAUGUGCGUUCCCGAAAAUAUGUGUCACGUCGUGGUCAUCCAUGCACCAUACCAAGGCAUAGAUUUUUCUCCUAAAACCCCAUCUUUGAUCCUAUUAGCUCUUUAGUUAAACUAUUAUAGAAAAUAGGUGUUAUAGCCACCAUUCCGAGUUCCUUCUGUGACUGCUAAAUUAGUGUUUGGCGGGUUGGGGAGCCCGACUUCUUUCUCUUAUAUCUUCACAUAUAUAUAUAUAUAUAUAUAUAUAUAUAUAUAUAUAACAUUUUUUUUUCAAAAGUGUAAUACUAUCAAGGGAAAUUGACUUAUCAGGGUAAUUACUGUUUUGUUUUGUUCACAUCGGGGUAACUCUUUUUUUAGUACACAUCUAGGUAACAAACUUUUUGUAAGUGUUCACAUGUGACCAUUAUAAUUGGUUGUAGCAAGUUACAACCGAACGUAAUUGUCAUAUAUGAACACUUCCAACAAGCUCGUUACCUCGAUGCAUACAAAAAAAUGAAGUUACACAUAUGUGAACAAAACGAAAAGGUAAUUACCCUGAUAAGCCAAUUUCCCUUUUUAUUAAGGUGGCAAAUCAUAAUGUUUGUAAUAUUAAUAUAUUCAUUUAAAUUUCUUUAAAACAACAUUUGUAACACCCGGAAUCUAGAAGAUUAAUUAUGGAAACAAAUUCCCUUACCUAAGUAAAAACACGAUGAGUUGAUGGUGGGAAACUCGAUGUGUUGGAGGUUUUUGGGACACACGUUUUUAUGAACCAACUCGGUGAGUUGGUGAAGGAAAAUCGGCGAGUUGGACACUGACUGAGAAACCCUAAUUUUUAGGGUGUUACACCCUAUUUAAAGACCUUAAGUUCUUUAGCUGGCCUCCUUACCGGCCUCCUCUAUCCAGAAACCCUAAAACUGAGCCUUGUCUUCCAUUUAUGAGUGUGAAAGCUUGGGGAGAGCCUUGAGAGUUCAUUUUUGGUGCUUUUUGAAGGAGCUAAGGAAUUAGGAGUUGCUUGGCUUGAAGAAGAAGUCUUGGAUCCAGAAUCUCUGCCUCAUUUGCCAAGUUUUUGAGGAAUCGUGUUCUUACCUUGCUUAUUUGUUGCUUAGAUCUCUUCUUGGGUUAGAGUUUAUGAUUUUUAGCCAUUUUGGGUGAAUGUUGGGGAUUAGGAGGUCCCAAGCAAUUAUUAUUUCAGAUAUAAGGGCUAGCGGCGCUGCUUGUUGCCCGUUCGCCUUCAAUCGAUAUGUAUUGAACUUUCAUUGGAGUAUAUUUUCUUAAUAUAAAUAUAUAAUAGAUAUAAGGUCUACAUGAGCUCUUUAGGCAUAAAGGUGCCAACUUUAUGGAUUUAAUGGCUUCAUGUAUUCAUUAAGUCUUUCAGUUAGCCCUUUUUGAGCUUUUGAUCACCUCCUAGUCAUGCUUAAGUGUAAAGUUGGAAACUUUACACGGCCAUCUAGCCUUAUGGGGACAGAUCUGCAUUAUGGGUUUUAUCUUUGAUGAUUAAGUGAUUAAUGAUUAAGCCUUCACUCUUUUAAGUUUAGGGUUUGGGUUUGGACCCAUUAGGUGAUUCCUAGGGGUAAAGUUGGAAAAUUUACCCUUCUUGAUCUCAUUUUGGUCGAGAGCAGAGCUUUGGAGCCUUUGGACUCGAUGAAGGUACCUUAAUGCAUUAAGAUGUUGGUUCUUGAGAGAACUCGGCGAGUUGACUUGGUUUCCCCGAUUUGUGUAGUUGAUGGAGAAACUCGACGAGUUGGGUUAACUUGGACCGUUGACUUUGACUUUCGAUUUAUGUCUUUGAACAAGUUUGUCCCAAUGGGUACUUGAGGUAAUCUGAAUUGUAAUUAAGGGAAUUAUGAGAUUAGGAUAAGGCCCAUAUGGGGUUGGUCCCAAUUUGGAAAAUUGGGCCAUUACUGGGCCUUUGCGGAUCUUUUGGUUUUGGACUUUUUGGUUAAUGGAAUUUGGGCCUCAGUUUUGGUUCAUGACGCGUUAGGGUUAAAAUGGUCAUUUUCCCCCAAGUAUGGAUGGAGGGCUUUAGAAUGGAACCCAAUUGCUAAUUAGGUGUUAUUUUGAUCUCAUAGCUCGGAGGUCUCAUCAGGGCAGCAGCUAGGGACUUCUUUCUGUGAGUUUCUGCGUUCGAGGUGAGUCUCCUUACUUUUCUAUGGUUUGAAGGCAAUAAUGACGGCCCAUUUGGUUUAUGUAUUAUAGGAAGACCUGGGGGAUAAACCUUGGCAGUUUGUAUGAAAGACCAGGAGGCGGCUCCUGGCAAACUGUAUGCAAGACCAGGGUCUGAACUCUAGCAGUUGACUAGUUAAGUAGUGUAGAUUUUAUACUAUUUGUCUUUGUGACACUUUCAUGGAAGACUCGAAGGUGGAUCCUGGCACUUGUCUGUAAGACCUAGGUUUUUGGCCCCCGGCCUGACAAGGAAGACCACAAGGCGGCUCAUGUCAUAAUGGCAAGACUAUGGAUGGCACAUAUCACCUUUACUAAUUGGGGUAUAUGUAUGCUAAGUAAGACUCAGUGAUAUUAAUGUUAUUUAUAGUUUUGAGUUGAGUUUUCUCCUGCGAUUGAGGUGCAACAGUUGGUGCGAGAGUUUCUGGAUCUCUGUCAGACUACUGAGACUGUGGCAGAUUGUGGAAGGGUGGAAGUGAUGUAAGACUGAGGGGUGGCCCGUAGCAUUCACUAGUUAGAAGUUGGUAUAAAAAUGUUGUAAGACUGUGGGGUGGCACGUAGCAUUCACUAGCGAUCAGAUAGUGUGGGAAGUGUUGUAAGACAGAGGGGUGGCCCGUAGCAUUCACCAGUCCCUAUACAGCGGUGAGAGUGUGGCAAAUUUGUGAUUUGCUCACGGUUUUCUUCGGAUGAUUUUGGCCAGGAUGGAUCAGUUCGCAAGGCUAUGGGAAGGACACAACAUGUUUGGAAUCAAGAUAUGGGAGGUCGUGGGAGACCGGGUUUGAGGUAAGACUAUAGUUGGUCUGUAACGUUCAACCUAGUAUCAGAUUAUUGACGAGACGGUUUGGGUAGUUAUUGCCAGUGAGGCUUUUUUUCAAAAGUUGCGAUGGGCGAUUGUGUGGAGUUUCAAAAGCAGCUACGAGGCAACAAGCUGUUUUGGGCAGUAUUAGUGAUUUUUGGGCAGUAUUUUCGGGUAGUACUAGUCAUUUGGAAUUUGUGUGUGAAUAUGUAAUUUUUCAAACAAUUUUUUUUUCAUUUAUAAAACUCAUAAAAACUCAUAUAUUUCAUUUCAUAAAAUCACAAGUGUCUCAAGUCAACAUAAAUCCACAAGAAAAAUCAAAUCCUAGAAUCCUCAACAUAAUCUCGAACAGGUGUGUACAAUCACGUCGGUGCCUUCCCGCGAUCCUCGGAGGUACUUGAAACACAUAUCACAUAGCACGGUAAGCAUAAAGCUUAGUGAGUUCCUCAAAAUACCAUGCACACACAUAAUUAGCCACUCGAGGCUAUCGCUCUGUAAGACCCUCCGGUUAAUGUGUCUUAGCGAGACCCACCAGUCCUACAAAUCGUCAGACCCUCCGGUCCGGUCUAAGUGAGAACCCUCCGGUCUCACUACUCGUUGGACCCUCCGGUCUAGUCUAAGUGAGGACCCUCCGGUCUCAUAGUUCGUUGGACCCUCCGGUCCGGUCUAAGUAUCUCAUAAUAUAGUACACAGUAUAUAUCACACAGAAAUACAUAACUCAAGCAAGCACAUAAGACCCUCUGGUCACACAUAAUGACCACACUAGGUAAGGUAUAAUGAGAAGACUCACCUCCUAAGAACUCGGAUAAUCUCAAACUCAAAUCACAGGUUUAGCCUCCGCCUAAUAUACACAAUAAUUAUCCCUAAUUAAUAACGGCUCUCACAAGGCUGAACUAACCCUUCCAUACACUCACAGAAGGGUAAAAGACCAUUUUACUCCUCCAUGGGCUUAAUAGACCACAUGUUGACCAAACCCUAAAAGUCAACCGAAAGCCAACAGCAAGGAGUACGCUGUGCGUACCAACUCCCUACGUUGGGCAUACUCGGCUGCCAUGCAGGCAUCGUGGAGACUCGACCUCUACGUUGUGCGUACUGGGAUUAUGCCCAGCGUACAUCCUAGUUUCACUCUCCUCACAAUUUUGGUCUUAAACAGUUAAUACAUUGGCUCAUAAUUCAGAUCUGGACUCCCUAAUGUCUCUUAAUCCAUAAAGUUGGUGACUUUAAGCCUUUGCGUGGCUAAAUAGGUCACAAACACUGAAAACUCCCAUCCCCUUUCCUCAUGAAACUCAUAACUCAUGCAUGGCUUACUCCUAAUGUCCAAGAUUAGAUUUUUAUGACUUUACUCCACAAAAUACACUGAAAAGGGAUAGAUCAAGGCCUCUAGAGUGCAUUAUCUCAUAAAGUCUCCAUCUUUUGGGAAAAAACCCUAAAGUAAUUCAUAUGAAUGCACCAAACAAACAAAUGAGAAAGCUUGAAGAUUUAUACCUUUAUGUGAAACCUUCUUCACAGCUAAGCUCAGAUCCAACUCCUGGGGCUCUCACUCCUUCUUCUCUAAAGCUUCCUCUCUACUUCAAGAACACAAGAUUACACCAACAAGCUCUCAAAUGCACUCUCCAGCUAUAAUGACGGAGAUUUAGGGUUAGGAGGGGUUGGUGUUUGGGAAUGGUGGCCAGGAAUGAGGCCAUCAUGUCCUUUAAAUAGUGAGCUCAUUAAAAUUUAGGGUUUCAUUAUGGGCCUAGCAUGCCCAGCGUACCCACUGGUACGUCGCGCGUACUAGGUGGCCUCCACAUCACUAACACGCAUUGGAGUAUGCUGAGCGUACACUCAAGUACGCCCCGAAUACUCGUUUACCACCUUUUCUCUAAUAAGGCCAAAAUGGACAAAUGCUCAAUAGAUCAAGGUUUACAAGGUAUACCUGGACUUGGGAUGUUACAUCGUGUGUGAGUCUCUUGUAGUUCGGGGAAUAUAAUAAGUUGCUUGUAGUGGAUUAAAUAAUCUCAGAGUGGUUGAUUUGAUUCUAUUGCGCAGUUCUCGUCUGAGUCUAACCAUUGCAGGGAUGAAUCUUCUACUCAAAGGAUUAUCUGAGCCUAUUGUCGAGUAUAAGUGUUCUGUAGCUGCAAAUGAUCUGUUUUUUGGUUCCUUUAAAAGCAUUAAGAUAUUGGUUUUAUAGUGGUUCAGAGAGGGGGAGGGGGUGAUCAGCCAGGAAGUCAAAUCAAAUUGAGAUUUCAGGUAUCAGGAAAGGUAAAGGUGGGUUUUUCUGCAAGGGAUUAAGGUUCGUUCUGCUAGGGUUGGUUUCAGUUGCUAUGGGAAGGUGGUAGUAUUAUGGGGUUGUGAAGAUGAGUCCUUAUGGGGACAGUGUUAUCUGGUGCUAUCUGUCAUGGAGUUCGGCAAUGUCCAGGGUUUUCCAGGUUCAAGUUUAAUGGUUAGGGAUCUUCUAUUUUGGAUUUGUCAUCGGUAUGGGUGGGCGGUUAUCUAAGCGGGGUGACUUCCUUAGUCUUUUGGGGUUCAAGGAGUUUAGUCAGGAUCAUCAGUUCGGUACACGAGAUUUUAGGGAAUGAUUUCGAGGAUGAAAUCUAAUUUAAGUGGGGGAGAGUUGUAACAUCUGGAAUUUACAAGAAUAAUUGUGGAAAUAAAUUCCCUUUCUAGGGACCAACACGGCGAGUUGAUCGUGGGAAACUCGACGUAUUGGAGGCUUUUGGGAUGAGCGUUUUUAUAAACCAAUUCAAUGAGUUGGUGAAGGGAACUCGGCGAGUUGGACGCUAAUCGAAAAACCCUAAUUUUUAGGUUGUUGUACCCUAUCUAAAGGCCUUAAGUUCUUUGGUUGGCCUCCUUACCAGCCUCCUCUGUCCAAAAACCCUAAAAUCGAGCCUUAUCUUCCAUUGUUGAGUGUGAAAGCUUGGGGAGAGCCUUGAGAGUUUAUUUUUGGUGCUAGUUGAAGGAGCUAAGGAAUUAGGAGUUCCUUUCCUUGAAGAAGAAAUCUUAGAUCCAGAAUCUCUGCCUCAUUUGCCAAGUUUUUGAGGUAUCAAGUUCUCACCUUGCCUGUUUGUUUCAUAGAUCUCUUCUUGGGUUAGAGUUAAUGCUUUUUAGCCAUGGUUGGGUGGAUUUUGGGGAUUAGGACAUCCCAAACGAUUAUUAUUUCAGAUCUAAGGUAUAUAUGAGCUCUUUUGGCAUAAAGGUGCCAACUUUAUUGAUUUAAGGGCUUCAUAGAGUCAUUAAUUCUUUCAUUUAGCCGUUUUUGAGAUUUUGUGCUCGUCCUAGUCAUGCUUAAGCGUAAAGUUGGAAACUUUACAUGGCCAUCUAGCCUUAUGGGUUCAGAUCUGCAUUAUGGGGUUUUGUCUUUGCUGAUUAAGUGCUUAAUGAUUAAGCUAUCACUCUUUUAAUUCUAAGGUUUGGGUUUGGACCCAUUUAGGUGGUUCCUAGGGGUAAAGUUGGAAACUUUAACCUUCGGGGUCUUAUUUUGGUCAAUAGCUGAGUUUGGAGCUCUUGGAUUCGAUGAAGGUAGCUUAACGCAUUAAGCUGUUGGACUUUUAGAGCUCAUAUCGUGAGUUCGAUCUUAUCCAUCCGCUGAAUCGACUUCUGACAGCCCGACUCUGGAACCCAUCCAUCACUGGCUCACGUCGUGAGCUUCAUGCUCACGUCAUGAGUCCUCUUAUAGUGUGGGGUUGAGUCUUUUACUCGAAGGAUUAUUUGAUCUUUGUUGCGUGUGGCUAUAUUAAUGAGGAAGCUAGUUGACAUUGGUGGGAUUCCUUUAGCAGUUGAGGGUUUGGUGAGGUCGGGAACCUAGGAAAGCCUAGGAUAUGCUUUAGUGGGUUAGUGGUACGGUUUAGUGAGUUUUGGUGCAUUGUGCUGAAGAAGUGACUUAGAGGAUUCGAGAGGAUUACUGAGGAAAGUAUGGAUAGGUGGGCUUUAGAAUGGAACCCAAUUGCUAGUUGGGUGUUAUUGUGAUCUGAUAGCUCGGAGGUGUCGUCAGGGCACUAAUGUCGGCCCAUUUGGUUUAUGUAUUAUAGGAAGACCCAGGGGAUAACCCUGGGCAGUUUGUAUGAAAGACCAGGAGGCGGCUCCUGGCAAACUGUAUGCAAAACCAGAAUCUGAACUGUGGUAGUUAACUAGUUAACUAGUGUAGAUUGUAUGCUAGUUGUCUUUGUGAUGCUUGCAUGGAAGACUCGGAGGUGGCUCAUGGCACUUUUUUGUAAGACCGCAGGUUUUGGCCCCCGCCCUGACAAGGAAGACCACGAGGCGGCUCGUGACAUAAUGGAAAGACUAUGGAUGACACAUAGCACCUUUACUGAUUGUAGUAUAUGUAUGCUAAGUAUGGCUUGUUGAUAUGAAUGUUAUUUAUGGUUCAAUCGGUAUGUUUGGUAUGUGGUAUUUGGGGAACUCAAGAAGCUAUGUGCUUACAUUUUGUGCUUUAUGGUUUCAUGUAAUUCCAUUUUGAAAGGAAAGGGUUCGGCUUAAUCGCAACGCAUACACCCAUGUUUUCCGCAAUGUGUGAUAUUUAGGAAUGAACUCUGAUAAUUGUUUUAUUUUGAAACUCUUCUAGAUGUCGGAUUAAAGGUUAAUGAAUGUUUUGGGCAUAAUAAAAACGAAAUUUUUACCCCUGAUUUUCGGGAUGUUACAACAUUUAUUACCAUUUAUUGACAUUUAAAUUGGCCACGACAUGUUUGAAACCAUUUGUGAUAGCAUAAUUAUCAAAUCAAAUAACUCUAUAUAUUGAGACAAGAGCAAUGUUAUCCAUGUGGAUAAAAUGUAUUUCUAUUUUUUGUAUUUUAAAUUCAUGUAAUACAUGGAACAAAAUUGAAGAUGAUAUUCUAUUUCAUGUUAUUGGUCUCAAUAUCUGACACUUUUAGUAUCUAGUAAAUUUUAAUUUUCAUAUGUAAUAUCUUAAACAAUAAAAUUCUAUAAAAUGACGAUGUAUUUUUUCCAUGUCAAAUGUGAUUUUUUUUUUGUAUCAAAGUAGUGUAUUUUAAAAAGAUAUUUACCAAGUUGGAUUGAGUGACAAGUGGAUUGAGUUAACUGAAAAAAAAAAUUAUUUUUCAUGGGUUAGAAAAGAUGAAAAAAAAAAGUUGAUAUAGAACUCACACCACAUGAAUGAUUUGACACCGUUCUACUCCUACGACCUUUACCCCCAACAUCGAAUUCAUUAUGAUUGUUAGCCUAUCUUACGAGACAGACAUGACCUCCUACUACCAUGUAUACUAAGUCCCACUAUUUAUAACUCUACCCUAUAAAACUCGACGGAGCGCUGGGGUGAAGGGUUACGGGAUCCUUUCCCGCUCACCGGAACANNNNNNNNNNNNNNNNNNNNNNNNNGGGGGGGGGGGGGGGGGAAGGCUGCUGCACUCUCUCUCUCUCUCUUCUUCCUAUUGGCUGGUUUUUUUCCCAAGCGAACUGUUUGAAAUAAAUAACAAAAUUAAUUUUUUUUUCAAUACAACUAUUGAAAAACAACAAUGAAUUUAUAUAUAUAUAAUUUUGUUUUUACCUCUAUAACAUCUAUAAAUAUACACAUACUUUAACCUUUCAAACUCACACCUCCUUCUAUGAAUUUCUCUGUACUUUCUUCAAAAAAAGGAAUCCAUACAACCAAACCCCAAACUUCGAUAGAAGGAAAAAAACCAAUGUUUCAAAUUUAAGCACCCCAACUCGAAACAUUUUUGAUAUCGAUUCAUCUCAAGGGGUUUAUCGUCCACAACUCGAUGCUCACAUUUAAUCUUCACUACAAUCACAAUACCAAAAUAUUAGACAAUUUUACCCGAUGCAAGUUCCAAAUGUUACUCCAAAUAUGCUAUUAAACUUUGUUGUUUUUCCUGAUCAACUUUCGCCAAAUCAACCCCAAACUCAAAUCCCACUCUUUCAAUCUCAAACCCAAACCCAACCUAAGCCCAAACACAAUAUCAACAACAAUACCAAAUCUUCGAUGAGUCGGAUGAAGAGAUUGUACGGGAAACUCAACCCACAACCCCCAACCCCACAAAGUAAAACAACAAGUGAGAGAGGGUUCCAUACAACCGGGACGACAGAAGCCGCAACCAUGGACUAAACGAGAAGAGAUAAUUGGGGUAAAAGCUUGGGUUGACAUUUCAGAUGAUUCAGCGACAGGAAAAUGCACAACCUGAGGAUCAUUUUUGGUUUCACAUUCUUGAGAGGUUUCAUAAGGAGAUGGGAAAAAGUGACGAGUAUCGUACCAAUCAUCAAUUGAAUUCAAAGUUUCGAGAAAUAGCGUGGGCCGUUUCAAAAAUGAGCGGGUGUACAACAACCUAAAAACCUAAUGGAAAAGCAGCCAAGGAGAUGAAGAAAUACUUCAGGAAGUUUUGCAUUUUUUCGAGAGGAAGUGGGAAAGUCAUUCAAGUGCCACGAUUGUUGGAAAAUAUUGAUUAAAAGUCGUAGGUGGAAAAAAUACGAGCAAGAGUUUAUACGUCGAGUACAACAAUCAAAACGAACAAAAAUGAGCUCUAGUGGUUACACAACUUCCUCCGAUGCUCGGGUCGGUCUAGAUUUAAAUGACGAGGACGCACUCGAGCUAGAAGAAAUUGUCCGACCGAUAGGUAGGGACAAAGCAAAAAUGAAGGGAAAUGAGACUUCUUGGGGUGAAUCGAAUUUCAGCAUGGACGCGGACCAAGUGCGAAAAAUGGUGGAGAUAUUUGAUCGAUAUAAUCUUAAUUUUGCUGAAAGUUUUGGCAUUCGACAAAGACAAAGAAGGAGAAAAAAAGAAGGAGAACGCAUAGAAACAAGAAAUGGAGGAGAUGAUGUUAUUGAUGAAAAAUACCGACCAUCUUUCGGGACUAGCUUCGGAGCUCGUUUUGAAAAAAAAAGGUGCGGAUUAUGCAAAAAUAUUUUCCCUAAGAGUGUUGUUUGUUUUUUUUUUCUAGUUAUUUAAAUCUUAGGUUUUUAUGUAAUUUUUAUUAUAAUUAACAAUGGCGGAGUUACUAUAUCAUUAUAAAUAAUAUUUUGUUUCUUAUAAUGAUAAUCUUUCCUAAUAAAUAAAGAACUUUUUGUCACAUGUCAAACUCUCAUUGAUUUGACCACAUGUCAUUUUGUGGUUAUUUUCAAUUAAUUUUUUUUUACACAUGUCAUUUUGGGGUUUUUUCAUUUUAUUAAUUUUCACAUAAUAUUUAAAUGUAAUAAUUACAAUAAAUAUAAUAAUAAAAUGCAUAUCAAUUUUAUUAAUUGACUUCCUUUUAAUUUUAAAAUUUCUAAAUUAAAGUUUCAUUAGUUUCCUUUAUUUAUUUAUCUAAAUUAUUUGUUUAAUUUAAAAGAAAAACAAACAAUUUAAUUUUAAUAAUUAAAUGUUUUUCUAUUGUUUUCUUAUAAAUUCAAACUUGUCAAAUGUUUAAAAUUUUAUAUGUUUUUCUUUAAAAUGAACUCAUGUAAUACAUGAGUGUUACACCUAGUGAUAGAUUAUAUCACGAGUACAAUUCAUUUAAUGAAACAUAUGUACGUAUAAUUAGAGAAAAUUUUUAAUAUUAGCAUGUUAAUCCUCUCUAAAAAAUAAAAAUAAUUUUGCCACAUAUCACUCUUUUAUUAAUUUGGACACAUGUCAUUUUUUGGUAUUUUUGAUUAAAUGUUUUUUCCAUUUGUCAAUUUUUUAUUUUUUAAUAUUUUCUUAAUUAACACAUCAUAUAUACACCUCAAUUAAUAAUUACCUUAAUUGAAAAUAACCAAUAAAUUACAAUAUUAAUAGUCAUAUAGUAUUUAAUAUGUUUCCUUUUAAAUUUAAAUUUUAAAAUUUUAAUUUCAAAUCUAAAAUUUCAAAUUUGAAUAAAAUUUGUUUGAACUUUUAUAUUUAAUUUUUGUUUUAUCAAACUCGUAUAACAUACGGGUCUCACACCUAAUGGAGAAUUAUAAAUCAACGUUUAUUGUCGGUCUAAACUUUUGAAAUGUCAUUUUUGCAAUGAUCGGUAUAACUUCUCCUUAAAGGAAUUUUUAUAGUCAUUUUCUCUUUCAAGAUUGUAGACUCUUUUACAUUAUUUUGAUAAAAGAUAUAUUUGAAUAUAUUUUUACGACGUCGGCUUUCCUUAUUCUUAAAUCCUGGCUCCGUUCCUUUUAAUUAAUGUAGUGGUUUUUAUUUUUAAUUAUAUAUAUAUAUAUAUAUAUUACUUAUUCAUUUAUAAAAUUAUAAAUCAUAAAAUCAAUUAUUUUUACUUAAAAAAGAGUGAUACACCUUUACAAAAUUAUAAACCAUAAAAAUCAAUUAUUUUUACUUAAAAAAUAGUGAAAAAACCUUCCCACAUACACCUUGGUUUCUAACUAAGAAAAAAAAUGUAGGAAAAAGGAUAAAAUGAUAAAGAAAAAUAAUAAAAAAAAAAAUAAAAACCUUCCCGUACCCACCCUCCGGCAUAAGAAGGUGCGUCCCUACGAGUACAAGAUACACAGGUGUAGAUACAUAUGUAAAAAGCUAGUAAUUAACCAACUAAUUAUUAAUUAUUAAAUAAAAUAGGGAUAUAAUAUUAAUGAUAAACACAUUAAAAUAUUCCAAAUGCUCAUGAAGUCAACAUGAGAAAUUAUAUUGCAAUAAAUUUCUUGUUGGGUGAGAAAUUCACAAGUAAAAUUUGUAUAGUAAAUAACAAACCGAAAGUUCCAGAAACAGGUCAAAACUUAAAACCCUAAAUGAGCUUACAAAUUUCCAUUGGCCACAUACCCCACCACAAAGGCACAAACAAUCAAUGAAACAAGUGUAGAUGUAGAGGCCUUUUUCACCACAAUCACCCUUCAUCGGCCAUUUCGAAGGCCACGUGAAAUGUCACUAACGUGGCCCUCUAAAUAUCCACUACUUUGUCUUUAACCCCUCCCCCCUCCCUUAUAAAACACUCCAUCCUCCUCCUUAAUCACCAUCACCAACAACCUUCUCUCCUUCCUCAAAAGUACCACCAUCUUUUCCGACAUGGCAGCUUCUUCAAUCUUCAUGGCAACUCCCAUCACACUCCUCAAAAAAACUCCCACCUUCUCCGUCAAAUGCAUGUCACAAACACCUCAAAGCGGUGAACCGGAGAUUUCAAAAUCAGCAACCACCCCAACACCACCACAGAUCAACAUUCCUCCUCCUCCGCCACCUGCUCCAAAGGUCAGCACGAAAUUCUCUGACGUGUUGGCGUUUAGUGGACCUGCACCGGAGAGGAUCAACGGAAGGUUGGCGAUGAUAGGGUUUGUGUCGGCGAUGGCUGUGGAAGUGAGCAGCGGUCAAGACGUGUUUACCCAGAUCGGCAACGGCGGAGUUGCGGUGUUUGUGGGGACUAGCGUCGUGUUGACGUU
Molecule: long non-coding RNA, 252582 nt
Filed under: Lactuca sativa (garden lettuce)
Lineage: Eukaryota; Viridiplantae; Streptophyta; Magnoliopsida; Asterales; Asteraceae
Source: RNAcentral